This 289592-nucleotide long non-coding RNA is filed under the name Aquilegia coerulea. RNAcentral's name for it is "long non-coding RNA (ACOE_LNC001960)". The stretch from base 33455 to 33566 matches the Rfam family "U5 spliceosomal RNA". The record is from RNAcentral. Lineage: Eukaryota; Viridiplantae; Streptophyta; Magnoliopsida; Ranunculales; Ranunculaceae.
AAGGAGUUGAGAAUCUAUGGAUGUCAUAAUCUCAAGAAUGUCUUAUCAUCAUCUAGGUUGCUGCAGCUGCUCCAAAACCUUGAAGAGAUAUGGGUGAUUCGAUGUGAUGAACUGGAGGAGUUGAUUGGAGAAGAAGAAGAAGAAAACAGAAGAAACGUUGAAACACCCAUCGCAGUUCAAUUCUCUAAGAUUAAAAAAUUGGUGUUUAGGAAUCUACCAAAAUUGAAGAGCAUUUGGAGGGGCGUGAUGAUUUGUGAUUCUCUGAAAGAAGUUUGGGUACUACCAAAUUGUUCUGAAUUAAAGAAGCUCCCUCAAUUUAAGGGAGAAGAUCAAUCGAUACAACCGCCAGCAUCUCUGAAAGAAAUCCAAGGAACCAGAAAAUGGUGGGAUUCACUGGAAUGGGAUCCUGCAUAUCCCCAAAAUAUCCUUCAACCCUUCUUCAUAGAACUUCAAGGUAUGUAUGGAUUGAUUUAUCACACCAAAUGUGUUCAAAUUUUUUUCUGUUUUCUUUUCAUUGUAGUAUAUUUUGAUUAAUUACUUCAAUUCUAUUUUGAUUUGUUCGUAGUAGAAGAAGAAGAAGAAGAAGAAGAAGGUAUGUAGAAUGUUUGAGCAUUGGUUUCAGUUCAACUAGUUAACUAAAGCGUUAUCACAAGUCACAACCAAAUACACAAACGUUAUGUUAUAUAUAAGUUUUAUAUAUAAGUUUCCACUACAACAUUGAAAUCAAUUGACCAGAGUAAAUUCGUUGGUAAUUCGUUGUUCUUUUGUUAAGUAAUUCGUUGGUUACUUCUUCAAGUAUGCCUAUUUAUAUAUGUCAUCUGUUUUUUACUAAAAUGAAAUAGAAAACCGCAUUGCCCAACGAUUAAUUAAGUUCCGACUUUAAUGGAUAUAUUUCAUUCAAAAACAAAUUCCAAAUUGAAGCUAAUUAAAAGCAAGUGCAAUGUUUUGGUCAACUAUAUUUCAAAAUUGAAGCUAAUUAAACCCCGAUUGCUGCCACUGUGUCUGAACCCAAAAAUAGUGUUGUUCAUCACGAUAUUCCCAAAAGAUAAGCUAAAAUCGAAGAGUAGAUUAACCAUGAAGUUUACUGCUUUAUCUAUAUUUUUUAUGUCAUGACUCAAAUUACAUUGAUAAAUGCAUAAGGGAGAGAUACAACGCAUUUCCAUAUAUUUUUUAUUUUAAAAUUGAAGAGUAGAUUAACCAUGAAGUUGAUCCGAUUACCAUAUUCAAAAUAUUUGACAUAUAACGCAUUUUGUCGACAUCCCUACCAGAAGAUGAAGUGGCCCAUUUCUAUAAAACAUUGAUAUAUAGAUACCUACAUACAUGCAUCAUACAUUUCUUUUGGUUUGGGCAAGAGUUGGACUGUUAGACCUACCCCUACCCAUUUAUCAACACUGCCAUUAACUAUACCUUGUUACUUUCUCUAAAAGAAAAAAACGUCUUAUGACUUAUGAAGUGACACUGUCUGCCAUUCCAUUGGUCUUGAACUUUUCUGAGGACAUUAGUAGUAAAGAUUUGAUGUAUUACAUCGUGCCACUAUCAUUAACCUAGCAAUCUAUUGUCUCAUGUGCAGGAAAUAUACACACUGUAACUAGUUGCGAUAACUGUAAGGUAACAUCCUUCUUGCAUUUUGAUUCAAUUUAUGUAAAAUUCAGGGUACUUAUCCAUAUAAGCUGCAAAUGGUCCGUUCUGAUUGAUAAUUUUGUUCUGAUAGAUUGUAUGUUCUUGUCUGGCUUCUUUUUAUUUUCUGUUUUUAGAGUUUUGCUAAACAAUCAUAUACUGUACCUAAAUUUGUGAAAAGAAGAAGACAUCAGACUGCUAGAAUGGAGUGCAAAUUUGUUGAUAUACGCGGGACAGUCUUAUUUCCUUGGGCGACCUGGUCCAAAAUUCACUUAAGUUUUAUUUUAAUAAAAAUUAAAAACAAAAAAGGGGUUUCUAAAAAUAAAAAUAACGUGAAUUUCGAACCACAUGGCCCAAUGAAAUAAGGCUGUCCCAUGGACAUACAUUGAGUGUAUGUCCACAAAUUUGCACUCCACCAGGUGAUACGCAAAUACUGUAUAAAAUACUUCAUUCUCUAACUGCAUUCAGGAAGCCGAAGUUUGUGUAAAGUUUUCAGGCAUACAAUACUUUCCUCUUUUUAGCUUUAUCCUUUAGUCUUCUCUUACCACCUAAAUUGACCUCUACAGAUGAAUCCAAUAGUCGGAAAGCGAUACAAAUGCAAGGAAUGUUAUGAGGAACGUGUUGUUGGCACUGAGGGAUGGAUAGGUUUCGAUUUGUGUGAAGAGUGUUAUAAUACUCCCUCGAAGCAUUCAGAUUUUGUCAAUCAGCAUAACACAAAAGGGCAUACCUUUGAGCUUAUUGCAAACCGUGGAGACAGUCCAGUUCCUGUACAUACCGUUGAAGAGCAAAACAAUGCAUAAAGUUGAGCUAGUUAAUAAGUUCAUAUGAAGGAGUGGUACAUCAUACUGGUUGUUACAGUACAUUAUUAGUGCAGUUCUUUCCCAGUGGUUUCUUAUGAUGCUGCAGAAGAUCUAUGGACUGUACUUUUUCAUAUAUUCUCUGGGGCUCUUUUGAAGUUGCACUCAACUAUUUUGCUUAUUGAAAGUUGUUGAUGAACAAUUUAUGCUUAUUGAAAUUGUUCAAGUUGUUGAUGAACAAUUUAUUGCGUUUUCAUUGUUACCCAGAUUUAAACUCACCCCAUGUUUAUCCAACUGAAUUGGCUGAUAUCAAUGUGGAGUAAUAUUUUUUGUAUUGAUUUGGUUUUGCCAAUAAGUUCUAACAGUAUGAUUUUACAAAUUGUCUUGGUUUGUGGAAUGGAGAUGGUUGUAAUUGAAUGCAAUUCAUUCAAUAGGAAAAAGAAGAAAGUGAUUUCUUCUGCAUAAGGUUCACAUGGAUCAUUGGCAAAUGUAGAGAAUUAACCCUGUACAAGAAGGGUAGUUUGUGCUAAUACAUUGAUGGACAAAGAAGAAGUGUUGUUAAUGUUAUCAGCACUCUGCUUUUUUGCAGAGGAAUUGCUGAGCUUGAAAGAGUUGGAGAAUCUUAAUGUCACUUUCCAUAGCUUGUCUGAUUACACUAGCUAUGUUAGAUCGGCCAAAUUUAAUGGGUUAAAAUGUUUUUUUGUAGCCAUUGGACCACACUGCUAUUAUUCUCAACUUCGUCUAUGUAAUCCUCCAAGAGCACCAGUUCAAUUAUAUUACUCACCUGAUGAACAUUGGGUGUAUAUGGCCGUGGUCUUCCGAAGAUGAUGAGUGUAACAACAUUCAUUCUACUCAUCUAGGUUGCUGCAGCUGCUUCAGAACCUUGAAGUGUUGUAUAUCUUUGAUUGUAAAGAAAUGGAGGAGUUGAUAGGAGAAGAAGACGAAGAAGAAAAAAAUAGGAAGCGUCAAAACACCCAUCACACUGCCUAGGUUAAAUGAAUGGUGUUUGUGGAAUCUACCAGGAUUGCAGAGCAUUUGAAGGGGCAUUGAUAUUGCAACAGAAUUAGGUUAAAUGAAUUGUGUUUGUGGAAUUUACCUGACAUUAUGCAUGGAGUUACUUGUAAACUGUUUAUUACGUAAUAUAAAUAUGCUGAUAAAUUAGAUUAUUGAAUGCAAUUCAGUAGGGUAAAAAGGAAAUAGAUUUUUUUGCAAAAGAAAAGAAUUAACCAAAAUAUUUUCAUACCUUUUGCUUUUGACACAUUUGAAUCAAUAGCCUCAGGUGUGGUAUGACACAUUUUCAUACCUUUUGCUUUUGGCAAUGUGAUGACUGUUGGUUCGAACGAAUAUGUAUUUAAAAGAAUCGGGUCUGCUAUUCAAAAAGGAUUUGUAGCCCGUUUGUCCUCUAAUUUUGUGUAAUUUCUUGAAUAUGUCAAAAAGAAUCGGGUAGUUUAUACUUUGUAGCUAAGUAGCAAUCAAGCAAUGAGCAUCCUUACCCCUAAUUUAGACGGUGGUUAAAAAGGGAAAUAACAUUGUUGUAAUAAUUCAAUUGGUGCUAAUGUCAACUAUACUCCCCCCUCCUCCCAAUAUCAACAAGCUCUUUGUGCGGCUACAGGACAUACGUACGCCCUAACUACGUACGUACGUUCCUGAAAGAAAAACUUCCCUUCUCCACCAAAAAACCCAACAUGUUCGAGCUCUGAGGCCUGCUGUGUAGGCUGUGCUGACGAGAUGUUGAAGCGAGCAGAUAUAUACUCUGAGUGGUUGGUGGUGGGGAAAUAUCAAUGAAUGGCCGCUUAAGCUGUUGACAUUUAAAAUGUACACCUAUUAGGAUGAUUUCUUAGAAUCCCAAAUUAGUAUCACUGUCAUCAUAACAUUUCACCCAACACUCCAAUUCUAACAUACUAUAAGAAUAACAACAAUACUCAAGCCUUAAUCAUCAUCACUACUUUUCUGAUACUCUCAUUUCUCUAUCAUCGAUCACAAUGGCUUGCAAACAUAAUGCAUCUCUGUUUUCUUACCUUGUUGUCCUUAUCAUGUUUCUUGCCAUGACCCAAUUUGCUUUCGCUGCCCGGGAAAUCCCAAGAACCAUUAAUAGCAAUGCUAAGAAUAAGCAUAAUCAAGAUGUCCCAUUAACCACUCAAAUUUUUCCAGGCUUUGGUGUUGGAUAUAACAACCUACCAGGAAGACAAUACCACCAGUAUAUUCCAGGUUUUGAUGAUACCUUCAUUCCAAACCCAGGUUUCGAGGUCCCAUAUCCGGCAGCGGUCCAAGCUUCUGCUGCUCGUCCAUGAACACACAAUAUGUAGGGGCUUGAUUGUCAAGAGGUUCUCUUGUCAAAACAGUAGUUUAGAAAUGGUGAAGAUCUCUAUUGCUAGCUAGUGUUAUUUUCAUUGUAUUUUAUUUCAAAAUGUUUCUUCCUAAGUUGCAUUAUGAUGUUUUGUUUUGCUGCGUUUGCAAUGAAUAAAUUUCAAGUUAGUCUGUUCUGGCGAUGGCAGUAGUCUUGAAUGCUGUUUUUCCUUAUGCUUCUAACUACCGCAGUCUGCUCGGUGGUGCCAAACGAAAACUAACCAUUGAACAAUUAUAAGAAAUACCAUUACCACCGUAGAACACUGCUACUUCCUCAGAAUAACACAAGAAUAUAGAGAAUGGGUUUUGUCAGUAUGCUUCGAAGUUCAGCACAAAAUCUAGUUCCAGCAAGGAAUACCGAAUGUCAGCACAAAAUCUUGUUCCAUGUGAUAGUUAUCACAUUGAGGAUUUGCGAAUGUGCAAGACAGUUUUUAGUGAGCUUUGACAAAAAUGACAACUGAAAAUAUAUAUUCUUCGGACUACAUCAGAUAAUUGCAGGAAUCUAGUGGCAUGUCUACCGACAGAUCACUCAUUCCUCAACUUGGUGUUUAAUUCAUUGAUAGUUUUAGGCUUUAUUAUGGAUAACAGGUUAGGUUAGAUAACUUCCCUAACCAGGAAAGAUACAGAGUGCUACUUUGACUAAUACAAUGUUAGGGAUGCCAUGCCAAGAUGCACAAGAAGCCACGUUCCAAAAUUUGAUGCCUAGAUCAGUAAAACCUACUUUGUACCAUAAUCUAGACUGCAAAAGGAGCUCUAUUAAUAGGCUAUCGGACGACGUAGACAGUAAUUAUCUCGUCGUUUUUCUUUCUAGGACCACUAGGUUUUUUUGGACCAAUCUUACUAAAAAUGAUCUAGAUAAACUUGAGGUGAUGUAGAUAUAUAGUGUAUAUUUAGGAUUAACAACGAGCUGAACUAAAAUUUCCUAUACAGCUACUCUUAGUCAAUCAUCAUUUUUAUUGAAAGUAAAAAUACGAGUAUAUAUUCUGAAUAGAGAUUUGCAUACAUAUUAAUGCAUCAAAAGAGAGCAAUUGUUGAAAGUAAGAGUGGCAAAAACUGGUAACACUGUCGGUAAAGACAUCCCUGUCCAUGGUUAGAGGAAUUUUACUCAUAUAAUAUUAGGAGGAUCUCUCCAUGGUGGAUUAGCCUUCGGGGAUUGUUCAUUGUACGGCUUACUGGCCUAGUUUCAGAUGUACACCUUCGGACCUUGUGAAGUAGCUUUCAGGUCUUGGAAUAUAAUGAAAAAAAUUAAAAUUAAAGAAAAAAGAAAAGAAAAAAAAAGGGUAAUUUCUCAAAUAAGCACAACAUCUUGCCUAACUUUCCUAAAAACACAACAAGUCUUAAGUUCUUCCCAUGCAAGCACAAAGAUUCUCUUUCAAAAUUUUUUUUUUGUCUUUUAGUUAAUUUUUAUCCCUAUUUUACCCUUAGUAUUUAAAUAAUAUUUUGGGUUUGACCGACAGAUGUGACAUGUGAGAAAAUGAUUCUUCAUUAAAUGAGGACCAUUGGAUUCGCUUGAUUAUAUGUGAUCGUUGGAUCUAAAGUUAAGUUGGGGUUAUCUGUAAGAAAACCCUAACUAUCUGCUACCUUAGGAUAACACGUGGCAGAAGCUGUUUAGGGAACAAAGAGAGGAGCUUUUAGUUUAGGGAAAGUGAAAUUUAGGGAUUUCAAUUUCAAUUUCGCACAACAGCAACGCCUCCCUCUCAUCUUCUUCUUCCCCAACCGUCGCCACUCUUCCUCUCAUCUUCUUCUUCCCCAACCGUCGCCACUCUUCCUAACUUCGAUAACCACUAUUUAUAACCCAAAGUUUAGGGAGUUCUCAAAGUUCUAAUUUCGGAAGAAAAUGAAGGAAACUAAGAAGCAGCAGCAGACUAAAGAUGAUGAAACCGAAAUCAAAUGAAAAAGGUAGGCGAUUUACCCUUACAGUAAGGUGUUCAACAACUAAAUUCUUCGAUCACUUUCAACACCCAAGUGACAAAAUUCCACCUUCAGAGUUAGAAUCAUUUAGAAAUUCUCCCUUUGGUCAAUUUCUAGAUUUUAAGUCCGAGGAUGUUCAUAUGAUAACAUCUGUUAUCACAGAAAUUGUUAGAUGUAGAGUAGGAGGUUGAAAUAUGGAAUAGGAGGAAGAGUUGUUGAAUUCAAAAUGAUUGAUGUCGCAAUGAUUUUAGGGCCUUUAAAAUUUCAAAAAGUUCCGGUUGAUUUUCUUAUGAGGAAGCCUAAAGAGUAUAGUGCAUUUAGGAGCAAGUACUUUGGUAUGAAUCUGCAUAUAAAGGAUGAUCACAUUCUGAGUGCAAUUACUGAAGCAAGGAGAUUUAUUGCUAAUGGAGAAGCAGAUUCAAAUGAUGUUCAUCAUUUGAACAGGUUAUAUUUUCUGUGUAUUUUUCUUCUUGCCGAGUCAUCUAAAAAAUCUGAGUGUAAAGUAUAUUGAUUUGGCUGAAGACUUGAAUGCCUUUGAUGAUUUUCCAUGGGGUACUGUGACUUUUCAAUUGCUUGAGACUUCCCUUGAAGAAAUAUAUCCCUAAACCCUAAUCCUAGUUAUUGCAUAAAUGAGUGUAUGUUGGCUUUCAUCAUUGGGGCAUAUUUGCACUUCCGUGAUUUGGGUCCUAGGAGAGAUCGAAGUGUUGGAUUUCCAUGGAUGCUUGGAUGGUCUGAGUUGCUAAACAGGAACAAAACUAGAAAUAAAAUUGCUCUAAAGUUGUUUCCCAAGAAAGGUAAAUGUACGGUGGCAUAUCCAUUAGAUGUCACCCAGGAAGAAAAAGAUCUAGCUAAUCUACAACAUGUUGCAGAGGUAAAUCCCCUUGAAUUUUGUUUUUAUCUUCUACAAAACAAUGAAUUCCCUUUCUGUAUUAAUUUAAUCUGCUAUAUUGUACUAUCUAUUUUCUAGACUACAACAUUUAUCUACUACAUGUUAUUUGCAGUUUGAAGCUCAGUAUAAAGCAGAACAUGAAGAGUCUGCUUCUUCUAGGCCAUCUAUUCCUUCCAUUCCAUCUUAUCCAACAUCUUCAACAAGAAGUGGGGGAGGUUCAGAUUUGCUUACAAUUAACAAGGAUUUUCUUGAGACAAUUCUGAGUGGAGUAGUUAAGGCAUGCAUGACUCAAAAGGUAUUUUGUUUGCUAGAACUAAAUUUUCCAUGUUCAUGUUUUGAUAAAAUAUCUACUACUUGUUUUAUGAUAUCUGCCAUUUGUAUGAUAUUUGCCAUUUGUAUGAUACUUGUUGUAUUAUAUCUGCCACUUGUUAUAUUGAUGAAUUGUACUGUUGAACUGUGAUAUCUACUACAAUGUUUAUUUUAUUUGUUACAUUAGUACUAAUAUCUGCUAGAAUAGUAAUUAAAUGUGUUUGUCAAUUCUUAUCUGCUAGAAACUUGGAUUUUGUCAACAUAUUUUGUGUAAUAUCUGUUAGAUCUAGCAUUUUAUCUGCUACAAUGUUUUGUGUUCAUUUCUGCAAAGUGGUCAGCAACUUAAUGCAAAACAAUUUGUGAGUGAUGUUUUAGGUCAAAUUGAUAAGGGGGCAUCCAAAUCUAAGGCAACAACAGAAAAGAAGUCAAGUACCUCAUCAAAGGCAACACCAAAAGUCAAACCCAAGACCAACUUGCCAGUUAAAACCAAGAAACCUUCACCUCCCAAACCUUCACCUCCCAAACCUUCACCUAAGAAAAAGGCUGCAGCCAAGAAACCCAUUGUUCCAACCCCAAAAGUUAGUGUUUCACCCAAACCAGUUGGGAAAGUGAAACUUCCACCUAAGAAGAAACCCCCUACGACCAACCCCAACAAGGAUUCAAAAUCUAAGAGUGAUUCAUUACUGCCUAAAUCCCAGAAGAAUAUUCCAAAGCCAACAACAUCACCAACUUCAGUUAGAACUACCAGAAGGAAAUCCUUGGAGGAUAAUGUUACAACAGUUGGUAAGUAUGAGUUAAGAAGAAGGGAACCAAUAGAACCAAAAGCUACAGAAGUUAAGAAGAGGAAAAAAUCAGAUAAAGAAGUUAAGAAGGAUACCAAGAAGGUGAAAGUAGGGGAUAAAGUUGAGGAAGUUCAGAAGGGUAAAGGGGAGGGUAAGAAGGGUAAAAAGAAGAGAAAAAGUGGUGAUGAUGAAGUGAAGGAGGGUGGUGUUUAUGUGAGUGAAGAAAUGAUAGACAUGGAAUUCUUCAAGCCCCCUACAGUCCUUCUACUUGGCUGGUAUGAGCAAGAAGACAAUGAUAAUGAUGGAGAAGGAACAAAGAUUACAGAAAUGGAGGUGAAACAAAGAAAGAGGAAGAAAACAGAAGUUGGAGUACCUCCUUCAAGACUACAACCUAAGAGGAAGGGUGAAGCAGAACAAAUUACAUGGAGGAAAGAUAUAAGAAGGAGAAAUGAGGCAAAAAAGAAAAAGACACUUGAAGCAAGAAAAACACAAUCAGAUGAUGAUGAUAUCCCCAGCUCCAAGAAAGCAAGAAAGUUGAAUUUUUGGGAUGAUGAUGAUAGUAGUGAUCAUGAGAGUUUUGAAGUUGUGGUGAAAUUUUUUAAAGAAUGAGCUAAUCCUCUUGACACAGAGAUGUCAAAGUUGAAAGAACUUUCUAUUCUUGCUUCAAUGAAGGUUGAUUCAUCAACAAUAGGUAGUUCAUCUGCUACAUCUGGUCAACCAUCUUCCACAGCUACUCACCCAUCUGCCACAGAUAUUCAUCCAUCUGCUACAUCUAGUCAACCAUCUUCUCAGAUACUCUUCCUUCUACUACAGAUGUUCAUCCAUCUGCUACAGAUGCUCCUCCAUCUGCUACAGAUGCUCCUCCAUCUGCUACAACAACACCAACAGGAACACCAUCAGCAUCUACAACCUCUAAGACUGAAGACUCAAGGGAUGAGGCCACUGAUGAUGAUGAUGAACAAACUGGAGGGUUGAUGCAGAAUACUUGGCCAAAAUAUCACCUGAGGAGGUUCAGAUUGGUCUUAAGUGUGAUGCAAAAAUUCAAGAUAUAAUGAGGGAUCCAUUCUUCACUGGGCAAGUUGAAAAGGAAGAAGCAGAUCUUCUUCAUUAUUUGUGGAGAUUGGCUAAGGAACCUUCAAGAUUGAGGCAAUAUGUGACGGUUUAUGGUUAUCUUCAAUCAUGCCCUGUGAGUGCUUUCAACACACUCUAUAAAAAAAACUGGCUUAAUGAUGAGAUUAUUGAUGUUUAUUUGAGGUUGUUAGUUCGUUGGAUGAUUGGAAAGAGGCCACAAGAUUACAAGGAAGAAGAUCAAUAUGCUGUGGUUCCAAAUGUAUUUCUACAUGUAAGUAUAUUCUUCUGAAUAUUUAUUCUUCCAUGGUUAUGUUCUUGUAUUUCUACUACAUGUAAGCAAGUUCUUAUUCUUGUUUUCAUCUGUCUAGACCCAAAUUGCCUCUUAUGUGAAGCCUCAGUUUGAUGCUUUAAUGAAGGACAAAAGUUUUGCCAAAAUGAAUCCACAAGAUAGAAUAUUGUCUGGGAGAUUUAGGAUUCCAUCAAAUAUUACUUCUCUUGUUGAUCCAUGGAUAGGCCUCCGCAAUCAAGUACACCCUGUGAAAGCUAAGGCACUUCUUGUUCCUUUACAGGUAUUUUCUUCAUUUAUACUACCUUAUCUGCUACAUUGUAUAACACAUCUGCUAGAUAUUUUUGAGUAUCUGCUAGAUAUUAUUGUGUAUCUACUACUUCAUGUUAGACACUUUUUAUCUUCUACAUUUAUCUGCCACAUUGUUCAUAAUAUCUGCUAGGUUUUAAUCAGUAUCUUCUAUGAUGCACAUGUCAUCUACCAUAUCUUACAUAUCUAUUAUUAAAUGGAGGUGGAUAACAACCACUGGAUUCUGCUCUCAUUUAGUUUCAGAGAGAGAAUAAUUAGGAUUUAUGAUUCUUUGGGCUACAAAAGGGCAACUGCUGAACUGAGAAACAUGGAGAAGUCGUAUGUUAUUUAUGUUGCGGACCCAUCGCAGAUUCAUCUUGAUUUGGGAAGGAAAUGGAAGCGUGAGUAUGUAUCUUGUGUUACACAACCAGACUUUUGUACUUGUGGGGCAUUCCUUCUUGCUUUCGUCGAAUGUGUCCUUCGACGAAUACCACCGGUAUUUGAAGCAGAUCCUUUGUAGAUGGGCUACCGCAUUGCUAGAGACCUGAUUGAUUGUGGAGAGCUACCACCAAAGAGAAAGACCUAUUAUGAACCUAUUGACAUGUUUGUGAAGACUUAUGUAUUUUUUUUUGUUUUGUGAAGACAUGUUUCUGAAUUUAUUGUAUUCUGAAACUUAUGAACCUUUUAACUUAUGGUAGACACCUUGUUCAGUAUAUUGGAUUACCCUUAAACAUCUGUUGAACAUGUUAGCAAAGAUACCAAGAUUUUAAAUAACAGAUAGUAGAAUCAGUCUAGUAGAUAGAAUGCUCUUAAUAGCAGAUAGUAAGUGAACUCUAAUACACAAUGAUGUAGAGGAUACCAAAACACACAAAAAAAUUACUUGAAAAACCUCCUAUGUUGUUUGAGGGAGAGGAGAGAGAGGAGGUCAUUCUCCAAACUGCAUUGGAGUGAAAAGUUCAUAGUCAUCUAUGAAUUCAAUGCAAGUUUUUUUGUUGUGGCCUCUCCGUUUACACCUUGAGCAUCUCCUACUCUGGACUGGGACACCUUCAGCUUUACCUCUCUUCCUGACCACUUUAGGUCGACCUGGCAUACAAACUUUAAGUGGUGGCAAUAUUUUUCUUGUUGGUCGUGCAGUUGGCCAUGAUUCCUUUCCAGCAGUAGGAAUCCAUUCUUCCUUGUAGGUUUCCAUGUAUGUUUCUUUCAAGUAAAAAACUUCAACAAACUUGUAUGGAUCAUGGCCUACAUCCUUUAUAGUUGCCAUGGCAUGCGCACAUGGUAUCCCCAUGUGCUGAAACCAUUUGCAUGUACAUGUUCUCUUGUUAAGAUCAACUACACAUGACCUAACCAGCCCUGUAACAGUCCAAAUUCCGGCUGAAACUCUUUUAUGUGUGCAUCUUCUUGUUGUGGAAGGAUUGUGAAUUAUUAGCUCCUGACACCAUUUUGUAACUGGUGAGUUGAACUUCAAGGAGUCAUUGCGAUAAUCGCGAUAAUGCCUAAUCACAUUGUCUCUUAUCAUUGACAUAACAAUAGUAAUUGGCAUCAUUCUCUCCCCAACAAUCAUUUUGUUCCAGAACUCCACAUGAUUUGUGGACACAAUUCCAUACCUGCAACACAUAGUCAAGGGAUAAAUGUAGGCGAUAGUAGUUUAUAUGUAGAAAAAGGAAUUAAAUAUCUAGCAGACAUUUGGAUUGACUGACCUUGAUUUUUCUUGAAAAGCACUUGGCCAUUUUUCUACAGGCCCAACAUCCAUAAGUUUUUCAUGUGCCUUGCUUGACAUACAUCAGAUUCUAAGCAUCAUUCCCCCAAAUUCUUCUUGGUUGAGAGUUUUUGCACCUUCUUGGACCAAGAACUUGAUUUUCUUGUUACCAAACUUGCCACUCAAGUGAUAAGAACAGUACAUAUGGAUAGCCUUUGGCAAGAUUUUAGGGACACCCUGGAUGAUACUUUUGUGCCUAUCAGAUAACAAAAUAAACUCAUGAUCCUCCCCAACCCUGGAUGAUAUUCUUAUACCACUAACAGAUAAAGUGGUCAUUCUAAAGGAUAGAAUUAAGAUUGAAGAUGAUAAAGAAUAUACUUACCUUUCUCAUUGCCUUCUCAUUAGCUAACCACGCAACUUUGUAAGAAAUCUUUACCAAGUAGUCUUCCUUGAUUGCACUCACCAAUUUUAGGGGUGGCAAGUCUGGGUUGUCCCUCAACCUUCUCAUACAAACUCUUGAAACCCAAUCACUGUUUGCUUGGCGGUUUUUAUUUCCAAAUCUAAAGUUACCGCACGAGUGGUCAUCAAUUAGUGUUUUUAUUAUCCAACUUCCAUCAAAACCAUUUGGGGUUGCAUACAGAUACCAUUUGCACCCAUCAGCUGGACACCUAAAAAUCAACCUCUUACUGUUUGUGCUUCCACGUUUUAGAUAUUUUUCCCUUUUAAUCGCGUAUGUUUGGACAUCCCUUUCAAGCUCAUCUCGAUUAUUGUAGAUUACUCCUCGUUUAGGUUGCACAUAGUCGUUGUGUGCAGGCUCUGUAUGAGGAGCACAACCUACACUUGCCCUUUUAGUCGCAAUAAAAAAUAUUGUUGAGUUCGCAUUUUACCUCGUCGAAAUCACGAUUUUCCUCAACCCUAAUAUUAUGCUGCAGUGGUACAUUGCUAGGAAAUGGCACAUUGUUCUGAAGAGGUACAUUGUUCUGAGGAGGCACAUUAUUGGCUUGAGAUGGCAUAUUGUGUUCUGAUGGUUGAUUGGCAAACAUAUCGUCUAGAUUAUCAAACCUAUCGGUGAGAUUGCACCUGACCCCCUCUGUCGUCGCACUUUCAUCUGCCACAUUGUCACCUUGUUGAGUAUUUACAUUGUCACCAACAUUUGGGCUGCCUUCUUCAGAGAUUGGUCUAGAAGGACCAAACAUUGGUUGACUAUCAUCCCACAUUUGAUCCUCGAGCUCAUCUUCAGUAUUCCAAGAUGCAGGUGAGUGGAAGACUUCUGGAUCUGUAUCCCAAUGGUAUUCUUCACCCCUAGGCGAUUGAGAGUCCUCACUAUCAUCAUCUAUUAAUGUUGGUUGGAUCUCCUGUGCAGAUUGAAGAACAACAUCAACUUCUUGUAAUAAAAGUGAAUCCCAAAAACCAUCAUCUUUUUGCAUGGCAGAAAGAAUUCCAGCUGCAUCCAUGAAACCUUUGCUUUUAACAGAUAGUGGUGUACAAAUAGAAGAUGGACAUGGAUUGGUAGAAGAUGUGGGAGUAUGUUGGACUGGAGGUUUAGGAAUAUAGACACCUCUAGGGGGAGGGGUUUCCAAAACUACAGGGUCAUUUGCAUGCCCCAUUCCCUUGACUAUCAUAUCAGCACUUGGGUCUUGAGUAGGAGUCUCCAAUCUAUAUUCAUCUGGAACAUUAACAGGUUUGGUGGGUGUACGAUAAGUAGAGUAAUCGGGUUUACUUUUUGGAGCCUUUUGUAACUGCAUUGGUAUCUUUCUUUCUUCCCUUCUUAUUAUUUCAGGUUUCUUACUCAAAGGUGUAUAAGAAGGAAUAACUUCAGGAAAAAGUUUUCUUUUCCCUUUGCUUUUGGGAGCCUCAUUUUGUAACACAAAUGGUAUCUCCCUCUCUUCACUCCUUGCUAUUUCAGGCAUAAUCUUCAGUAUAGGUGGUUUUCUAUGAUCAACAAUCCAAACAGAUAUGCACAUUGCAGCUGAAUUGUAUAUGGAAGCUAACAUUGCAUUAUAAUGAUCUUCACAUUCAAGUCUGGAUACCCUGAGGUUGACUACUGCUCGAAGUGACCAUAUUCCUUUUGGAGGAUUGCAUAAGGAAGAUACCUAUUUGAGGAAGUCUGCAUAGGUCGUCUUAAUAUCAGCAAUCCUUAUUCUUGACUCUCCAUCCACAUAUCCAACAUUUCCCCCCUCAGCUGUAACCUCUAACAGACCACCAAAACGAUAAAUUACAUUGAAAGUAUUCGCUGAAAGUAUCCACAUGUUAAUAAUUUGGAUUAGUAUGACAGUGUUAUAGUAGUUAUUCAAAGUUUUUCAUGCUUUUUAAAAUCUAUCUGCUACAUUCUAAUUCUAUCUGCUACUGUCAAGAACUGUUGCUUUAUAUAGCAAAUCUAUCUGCUACUUACAAACUGAAAGCUUAAAAUCUUUAAAAGGCAAAGUUUGCAUCUUUAAACCUAAUUGCAUCUUCAACAACAAAGCUUGCAUCUAUAAAAACUUUAAAAUCAAAUCUUGCAUCUUGGCCCAACUUUAAAAAUCAAGAAACUUUAAAAAUCAAUUCAUACUUUGGGAAAGCUUUCAUCUUAUAAUCUUUCAAAAUCAAAGCUUUCAAAAUGAACAAAUACACACUUACUUGAACAAACUUAAACAAUAGCAAACCAUAACGAAUUGGGUAACGAAUUUAAUGCGAAAAACAGUAUUAAAUUGAAUAGCAAGCCCUAUUAAAUAUCAAUCAUUACAUUAAGGGUUUAAAUGCAUACCGGAUAUGCUUAACAAAAAAAGAUAGAUAAAAUUUUAUUAAUUAUUAUUUAUAAAAAUUGAUUUAACAAAUGUUUAUACAAUUUCUAUUUUCCAGGUAUGAAUGAUUGGGAGUUAAACUUUAUGGUAAAUCGACAAAAGAAAUCGAAAAAACAAUCAAAUUGAAAGAAAAUGGGAAUCAACCAACAGUCAUCAUAACUUCAACAUUAGCAAAAUAUCAUGAACCAAAAUUUGGUAAGAAUUGUUUUCUAAUUUAAUUAAUUUUUUUAAUUUAUUUACCAAUUUUAAUAAAAUAUUAUUCAAAAAUAUAAUAAUAUUAAGUUUAUAAUUUAAUAAUUUAAAAACUGGAUACUACGUGGAAUCAUCAUUUGCUACAAGGAUAUUCGUAAACAUAAGGAUGCAAGAAGUGGAAGAUUUCAACAACAAAAUGAACAAAAGAAAAGUUGUGGAGAUGGAAUAGGAAACAAUUAUAAUGUACCAAAUGUAUAUGGAUGAUUUUUAUUUCUUUGAAGAUUACAUAGAUAUUUCAUAACCAUUAAAUCAAAAUCAUAUUAUAAAUGCAAAAAAAAAAAAAAAAAUUGUAAACUAAAACUAAUAUAUAAAAAAUUAAAAAAAUAUAUAUAAACUAUAAAAUACUAAUUUAAACUAGCGUGGCAAAGCCACGGGUAUAACUAGUGUAUAUUAUACUGUUGGUGGAGAUCAUAAGUCUUGGACAUAAGUUUGGUCCAUCCAACGGUGUAGAUUAGAUUUUGGCUUUGAAAUUAAGUUAUGGUCGUGGAUAUUCCUUGGGCACUGCUUAUCUAUGUAGGGGUCAAAUUUAAGUUGUCUUCGAUGGCUAGGAUUAGAUCCUAGGUCUAAAAUUGGUUGUUGGCCAUGAAUAUUCCUCGAGAACUGAUUAGUUGCUCUGGGCCCAGAGUUAAGUCGUGUAUGAUGGUUCAGAUUUCAUCGAUAAUUGAAUUUUCCAAGUCUUUUGCGCAAUCCAUUCUAGCUUCCAGUAUAUAAACCAUUCUUUCAAACAAUGUAACAACAAAUGUGUGAUGAACUUAUUACUCAAAUUGGACAUACUUAUGUCCACAAACAGAGGUAUUUACUUUAUAAUGUAUUACAUCCUUUGUGCAUGCACAUCCAUCAGACUCAGGUGGAAAGUUGUUAUCCCGCAGCACACACCAGCAAAACAAUUUGCUUUAUAGGCCCUGCUUGGUUAUUCCGCAAAAAUUUGCAUGAAAUUUAGCCUAAUUUAAUAUGCUCGAAAUUCUUGACAAUUCGGUUUAUGACCAAAUUUUAUGCAAAAAUUUGGUGCUAUUUUAAAAUUGCAAAGAUUUCACAUUUUUUUCUAAUAGACUUAGUAGGAGACCAUCUAUGAUUAUCUUAUACUUACCUAAGGUUUAGGUGGGGGACCAAGCUAGAUUAGUUGGGGACCAUUCAAAUCAAAGAGUAAAUUUGUGAGGGACCACUCUAAUCAUAGAUGGGUAAUGAUUUGCCUUUUUUGCAGCCCAAACAAGCAGGGCCAUAAAGGUAAUUGUCUAGUCCAAACUUCAAGAAGGACCUGACAAUAACUGUUGUAUACCUGUAUUACUUGUUCACGCUGGGGCCACUCUCUCUUUCUCAACAAGUUUCUCAUAGAAGAACCUGACAGUAAACUAUCCAUUAAAUUUUAGCAUUUUAAAUCUAAAGUGGAACGGCUAUUAACAUUGAAUUCUAAAAACAAGUCGUAGGGGUACUACAUACAACAACCAAUCAAAACACGACACGUGGCCUACCCAACAUUCCAUCAGGUCGCCCACUGCACGACCCAACUAAAGACCGACCAGAGCAACUCGACCAUAUGACCGUUGGCGACCUCUCUAUACGCACGUGCCCUUAAUCAAUGCACAAAGAAUAUCUUCGCCUGUUACGUAAUCAAUGCCAGAUAUUGCACAAUCAUUAAGAUGUCUGAGAAUCUGCAAGAUCCCAUGAUCUGCACCCUUUCAUCUUCUAUAAGAACAGAACUACGAUGGCUUGAUCUCUAAGUUCCACUCCCUCGAACUAGAGUACGUAGGCAAUCUCGAUCUCAUCGAGGUGCAGCCACCCCCGAUCUCAAAUCUCCACCUUGGUCAGUCAAACAGCGACCUGACCUAGUUAAUGCAUUAAUCUGGAAACAAGUUAAUACAUUUGGCACCGACUGUAAGCAUCGAUAAUAUUGAAAAACAAAUCCUCCCACCCAAGUCAAAGUCAUACACAUCUACCUAUCCAACAAAUUGGUACCCAAGACGAUAUCAUCUAAGACCUAAGAAACCAACUUAAUCGUCUACAAGAGGAAAAUGCACAGCUAAAGGCUGCAAGCAACGUUGAUACAAACACUGAACAUGGAGCAGUCAUUGCAGAUGACAACAACCACAAGUAUGAGGAACUAAGCCAACAGCUCGCUAAGUUCAAGGCCUCUCAGGCCGCAAUCUAAUUAAGAAAAGGUCGCACAGCCGAACAGCUCGCUGCCCAAUCUUUACAACACUUUCAGGAGUCUCCAUUCGCCAAGGAGAUCCUAGAGCAAGAGUUGCCCAACAAACUGAAUGCUCCGAAGUUCGAUCAAUACUCAGGCAUUGGAGAUCCAACAGAUCACAUCAAGGGUUUCCACAAAUCACUCCCACUCAUCAAGGAAGAUCAUCUGCUAUGUCUAUUGCUUCAAUCCAGCCUCACUGGACCAACUCUUGAUUGGUUCCACCGUCUCAAGUCAGGUUCCAUCAACUCGUUCAGCGACCUGGAAAAGCAGUUCGUUAUUUUUUACAUCCAUAACAAGAAGCGUCCAGUAACCAUCGACGCGAUGUUCAAAGUCAAGCAACGAGACGGGGAACUGCUGAGCGACUUCUUCGCUCGUUUCAAAACCGAACUACACUCCAUUCAAGACUUCGCAAAGGAUCAUGAACCCUUUGCAACCAUUGCGUUCUCUCACGGUCUAAUUCCUGGGUCAGAUCUCCACAAGUUUUUGGCUAUGAAACGGCCAACUUCUCUCGAAGAGCUCUACCUCAAGGUAGAUCGUUAUAUCAAACUGGAAGAAGCCCUGGUCGGAAGGGUGAAAAGCCAUGUUAUUUCAAACGUAGAAGGGGGCUCCACCAAAGAACCUCGAUCAGACAAUAACAGGAGAUUCAAGGCUAAGGCGUUGCCCACAGAGCAACGUGAGUAUUACCGAUUUAUACGCCCUUCAAGAUAUAUCUAUGAGCGAAUCAAGCAUCACCACUGGUUCAAGAUUCCAGAUUUCACACCAUUAGUAGGACACAUCUGGUCGUCCAUACUGCAAGGUCUACAAGGUAAGAUGUCAUCAAACAGAUGAUUGCCGCAUACUGAAGCGAGCUCUUCAGACAUGGGCUGAUGAAAAAAUGCUGAACAACUGAAUCUACAAUAGGCAAGAAAAAUCUAGUGAAAAGAAAACCAAGAAGAGAUCAAGAACACCUCCACGUUCUGCCAAACGUUCUCAAAGCAAGGCAAGAACUGCCUGCUCAAGUCCAGCAUGCAGCAGAGGGCGAAGCCUUCCAAGAAGACUAGGUCCCACCGGCGACCUCUGCGUCCAAAUCAACAAGCAGGUCGCAAACAAGAUAGAUGAAGAUAGUGAGACAGAAAGUCAUGUGGUCUACAUGAUCUACGAGUCCAACUCUACAUCAGUUUCAAGAGAAAAGAAAAGGCGAGUAGAACACCUGCACCAUGUCUACUCCAUCACAGGUCGAGCAGCUUGAACCAACAUUCCAGCUCGACAGGAAACAGAUCUUAGUUUCACCGAAGACGAUCUCAACAAGGUCGUUACUCCACACAACGACACUUUGGUCGUUCAAUUGAGAAUUGCAGAUUACAUUGUCAAGAGGGUUCUAAUCGACCCAGGAGCAUCUUAUAACAUACUGAUGUACAAGACCUUUAAGGAUAUGAGGCUACCUGAUUCAGUCCCCAUUCCUGACUUCACCCCAAUCUUAGGCUUCAAUAGCUCGAGAGAGGACCCUGAAUGAGAGAUAUUGUUGCCCGUUUCUGUGGGCAAGAACGAAGACAGUUUCAAUCACAACAAAGUUCAGCGUUCUCAACAUUGCAAGCAAGUACAAUGCAAUACUUGGUCGCAAAUGGAUCCAUGCAAUGCGAGGAGUUCCAUUCACCUAUCAUCAGGUAUUCUGUUAUCCUGGCCCCAAUGGGGUAAUGGAGCUUAGAGGCAACCAGAACGCUGCACAUGAAUGCCAUGGAAUUCUCGAAGCUAUGGCGAAUGACAAGGCAACGACCUCAGGAACCAAGGAGGUCGCAAAUCAAGUAAAGAGUCCAUCAAAGGGAAAAGCUAAGGCCACAGACACGACCAAAUAGCAACUAGAGAAGGAGCAAGCGAGCUCCCCUCAGCUAUCACUUGGAAGCACAGAUCCAGGAGUGCAAGUGAACUUAGGGUCAGAGGACGACCCCAAGUAUGUUUAUGUGGGCUCAGAGUUAGGAACAGAUAAGUACAAUAAUUUUGUAAACUUUAUUUCUCUUAAUAAAGAUGUCUUUGCUUGGUCGUACACUGAUAUGCCUGGGAUAGAUCCAUCAAUAGCAUGCCAUAAGUUACGAGUAAAUGCCAAUUAUCGAUCUGUUCAGCAAAAACCAAGAGGACUUGCCCCAAAAUUUCAUCAGGCCGUCAAUGAUGAAAUUAGUAGACUCAAUCAGGUAGGAUUCAUCAAAGAAGUUGACACACCAGAUUGGUUGACCAACAUAGUUCCAGUCUUGAAAAAGAAUGGGAAGACAAGAGUUUGCAUCUUUACAAGCUUGAACAAAGCUUGUCCUAAAGAUUCAUUCUCACUCCCACGAAUCGAUAGGUUAGUCGAUCAGACUUGUGGUUUCGAACUACUAUCAUUCAUGGAUGCACACUCAGGGUACAAUCAGAUCCCAAUGGAUGAGCCAAAUCAAGAAAAGACUUCAUUCACUACUGAGCAAGGAAUUUUCUGUUAUAAAGUCAUGCCUUUUGGUCUCAGGAACGCAGGAGCGACCUACCAACGACUGGUCACCAAAAUGUUCGACGACCAACUAGGUCAAACGAUGGAGGUCUACAUCGACGACAUGUUGGUCAAGAGCGACCUCGAGCAAGACCACUUAGCCAAUCUCGAUCAGACAUUUCAAAGAUUACGACAAUUCAGGAUGAGACUUAAUCUAGAAAAAUGUCUAUUCGGGGUCGUAUCAGGAAAAUUCCUCAGCUACCUAGUUACAAGGAGGGGUAUUGAAGCAAACCCCGACCAAAUUAGAGCCCUGGUCGAUAUGCCCAGCCCGAAGACAAAGAAGUAAAUUUAGAAACUCAACGGCAUGGUAUCAACUCUCAAUAGAUUUAUUUCUAGAGCAUCCGAUAAAUGUCGACAAAUGCUUCAUAUUCUUAGAAAAGGGGCUGCAUAUCAAUGGACAAAAGAAUGCGAGCAAGCCUUUGCCGAGCUGAAGGCAUACUUAUCCAUUCCACCAGUUCUUACUAAGGCUAAUGACGGAGAUGUGCUCAGAAUCUAUCUCGCCACAUCAGAUUUUGUGAUCAGCGCAGUACUAUUCAAGGAGGAAAAUCAAGUCGAACGACCAAUCUAUUUCACAAGCAAGGUGUUGCAACAGGCAGAAAUAAGGUACACACCUCUAGAAAAGUUAGCAUUAGCUCUCCUAUAUGCUGCAUGUAAGUUUAGACCUUAUUUCCAAGAACACACUGUUAUAGUAAUCACCAACCAGCCACUACACCACAUCCUAGAAAAGAAGAACAAAACAGGUCGUAUGGCCCGUUGGGCAGCUGAGCUCGGUGAUUAUACCUUUGAGUUCGUACCUCGUCAGGCCGUUAAAGGCCAGGUCGUAGCUGAUUUCUUAGUAGACUACCUUGCUGAAGACUCAAGCUGGGAACCAGAACCAGAGACUAGACCAGUCCAAGUUGAUCCACCAAACACUUGGCAACUAUACGUUGAAGGUUCACACAAUGCAAAUGGAAGUCAGAAGUGGCAUUGGUGCCGUACUCAUCUCACCUGAGGGCUCACGACAUGAAAGGUCAACUAGAUUAGACUUCUCGACCUCUAACAAUGAGGCCGAAUACGACGCCCUAAUCCAAGGUCUACAAAUGGCCAUUGACCUACAAACAGAACGACUCAAAGCGUUCAGUGAUUCUCAGCUGGUAGUGAAUCAGAUCACAAGUAACUACCAAAUUCAUGGAGUCAAUUUGAUAAGAUAUGCAAGCAAAGCAAAGGAACUAAUCAGCAAGUUCAGUUUCUUCACCAUUGAUCACAUCCCAAGGGAUGACAACCGACAUGCUGAUUCACUCGCAUUCCUAGCAUCCAAGGUCGAAUCAGAUCGACCUCGAGCUCUGACAAUAGCAGUAAACACCCUACCAGCAUAUUUACAAAAGCAAGAAGAGGCCAACCAAAUCAACGACCUAUUCAACACGACCUCAGAAGACAUCAAGGGAACUUGGAUGGAACCUUUCAUCAAUUACUUGCAAACUGGCGAGCUCCCAACAUACAAGAAGAAAGCUAACCAGUUAUUACAUAAAGUCACUAUGUACAAGUUACAUGAAGGAAAGCUAUUCCAAAAAUCAGCAACUGGUCUACUCUUAAGAUGCUUAAUUCCCAAGCAUGGGCAAAUCAUCUUCCAGGAAAUUCAUGAAGGAGAAUGCGGAAAUCAUUCAGGAGGUCGCACACUUGCUCAUAAAGCGAUUUCGCAAGGUUAGUUUUGGCCAAGAAUGAAGGAAGAUGCAAAGAAAUUCGUUUUAAGGUGCAAGGAGUGUCAACGUUUUGUCGACCACACUCAUCAACACCCCAACGACCUCUUCAACAUCACUGCUCCUUGGCCAUUUCACAUGUGGGGGCUCGAAAUCAUAGGCCCACUGAUUAAAGAAAAGAAGUCUGAGAAGAGAUUCGUUCUAGUCGCAUUUAACUAUUUCUCCAAAUGGGUUGAAGCUAUUGCUCUCACUAAUGUUACUCAAGCAGAUGUGAGAAGAUUUCUGUGGGAACAUCAUUACAAGAUUCGGCUUGCCAAAAUGGGUCGUUACUGAUAAUAGAACUUAGUUCGUUGGGAAGAACAUUACAGCUUUCUAAGAACUUUGGAAAAUCGAGCACUCCAUAUCAGCUCCUCGAUAUCCACAAACCAAUGGUCAGGUCGAGGCUGCGAAUAGACAAAUUCUUUCAAACCUAAAGAAAAUAUUCGAAGAUCAAGAAGAACAAUGGCCACAACAGCUAAACAUCCUUUGGGCCUAGAGAACAACUCAUAGAACGUCAACAUGAAUGUCUCCAUUUAGUCUUCGCUAUGGAGUAGAAGCUGUCAUCCCAACCGAGCUGACUUUUGGUACGAUCAAGUCAUUACUAGUCGACACUGAACUCAACAAUCAAGCUUGGUCGUUUGGGAUAGACCUGGCUGAAGAAAGAAGAAACCAUGCUACUAUUAAACUCGUACAGUACCAACAAAGCUUAAAACGACUUACAACAAAGGAGUACGACCUCAAGCUUUUCAACCAGGAGAGCUCGUACUAAUUAGAAUGUUCCACAACAAGAGGAAGGCGAACAUUAGAAAGCUUAAUGCUAAUAGGGAAGGACCUUACAUCAUCGCAAAUGUUCAAUACAAUGGAUCUUAUCGCCUCAAAACUCCAGAAGGAGAGGAUGUCAAGAAUCCCUGGAAUGCUUAUCAUUUGAAGAAAUUCUACCAGUAAAUGAAAGCAUGCGUUCUCAUACUUUAAUAAACGAGCUCGAUUUUGCCUUCAUUUCAGUUCAUACAUAAAUGGUUUGAAUAGGUCGGAAUCAAUCACACUAGACCUUUAAAUUAUCAAUAUUCUAGUCCCUUUGAUAAUUUAUAUAAGUGUUAAAGUUGACAUCUAUACUCCAACUAACACUGUCCUACUUAGGUCAUAACUAUCCCACGACCUAAGUAGACUCGAGCUCAUAAUCUAACGACCAACUCUCAUCCCAGGUCGAAUUUUAUACUUAACUUUAUUAUUUGAUGUUUGCGAUCUAGCCACGCAGACAAUACAAAUAACAUAAAGGAAAGUGCAAGCAAGGUAAUCAAAUAAAAGUUCAUUUUAUUUAUUUAUUCCUAGUCAAACUAACUAUUACAGGAAAAAUGAUCUAAUCGUUGUAUUACAUCAACGACCUACACUACUUGGGGGCUACUUCAGCAAUCCUUAGCUACAGCUCGCAAAGCAGAAGUACCUGCAAAACAUCAAACCAAACUACAAGAAAAUGAGAGAUACAUAUAUCAAAAAGCAAAUUCAUUAAACAAAAGCAUGCAAGAGGAAAUCUUUCAGUUCGUCCUACUUGUAGCCAUUCACCUCGUCUACCUGCCUUCUGAAUGGGCUACCAAGACUCCUUGGAAACUAGUCGACAAAAGAUACAGGUGACAUUAUCCACAGCAAAAAGGAAAAUGCAGAAAAGUAAUAGCGCAAUCGACCUGCCGAAGCAGAUCGAUCACUAUUGUUUACGGCCAAUGGCCCGAACCAGGAAUCAGAGCGCCACGAGUUAAUUUGAUCGACAUCAAAUCAACUCAAGACUAAUGUUUUUAAGCCACACAGGGCCGCCAACCACCAUCAAAAGAACAAACUUUCAAGAUAAACAAAUUGUUCAAAUCCUCACACACUCAAGAAGAAGAAAAAGAAAUAAGUCACUGUUGCUGCUCUUGCUCAACCUGCUCAUCCUGCGUUUCCACUGUUCGCUCUCCAGGGCCCAUCGAGGUGUCCUGCGGUGCAACUAGAUUACCCUCUUCAACCACCGGCGUCUCCUCUCUUUCGGGUGAUCCCACUUCCUCAAGUUGUCGUCUCAACAUUUCACAAUGAGUUUGCCAGGCCAGGCCGUACUCUUCACAUUGCUUCCUUGAAUUCUGCAACAAAACCUUCACCUCGUGAAUCGCCAGCUUGUAUUGAGAGGCCUCUUUCUUCUGUUCUCUUAUCCUCAGGUCGCGCAGAAGCAGUUCAUUCUUAGCAUUGUGAAGAUCAUCCCUAGCUCGUUUCAGGUCCAGGUCAGCCUGCGCCCCAGCCUCAGCCACACCUCUCACCUCCUGGAAUGAUGUAUUCAACUACAAAGCAAAAGUACAAAACAUGAAAUCCCAUUUCAAAAUUCAACCAAAAAUGAAAACAAAAGCACACACUUACGAGUGCAAUGGCAUAAUUGAUCUUGGAGCAUGCGUGCGACAAGGACUGAGCCAUAACGGCCUGAUGAUCUGCAUCCAGAACCAUGGCUUCAUUGAUGGCUUGACAGACGAGGGGAUUGGAAAGAGCACUAUCAUUGUUCAGAACAUAGAGGUCUUCCGCUUGCCUAUUCUUGUACGAGAUGGGACCAGGAAGAAAAGGAGAUGUAACUUCCUUCCCUUUACCAUAGCUCGCCUCAACAAACUUACGGAUAGCCUCAGGAACAGGUCGAGGAGUAUCACCAGCUCGUAUCACAGUAGGAGGGGGAACAACCUUGACAACACCAGACAACGACCUCUUUUUACCCUUAGAGCUCGCAGAAAACUUAGGAAUGGAAGGAGGAGGAGAAACAAUGCGCAGACUAUCAACUUCAACAACACGACUACUAGAACCAGCUUUACCCUUGUCAGCACCACGUUUUCUCACAUGAGCCAUGAAAUUUGACCUAAGAGCUUUCCUUCGUUCGAGCUCGUCAGCAACAGUCUUUGCACCACCCUUUGGAAUGAAAUACUCACGCAGAUGAGGAAGAAGCUUGAUUUUUUUCUCGUGACUCCAGGAACCAAAGAUGUUCAAACAAGACUCAACAACAGUACACCUCACAACAGAAUCGUCCUUAAUAGCUGCAAAACAAAACAAAACAAAACUGAGGUUAAAACCACAGAUCGCAAUACCAUAUCAAAACUAUAAGGAAGCGACCUAAGCACUUACGAUCAGGUGACGAAUUCCUACUGACAUACAUCAACAACACAUUAUCUUCAGUGACACGACCAGUACGCAACAUGCGCUCUUUCCACCAGGGCUCACUGCUGACCGAAUAGAUCAGAGGCAUACGUUCAGGUCGAACCUGCAUGUUAUAGCCUUCGCCCUCCAUCUUGGCAGAUAGCUUAAAGUAGAAAUGGCCAAGAACGUCAGAAAUAGUAAUGCCCCAUUUGUGCAACUUAUUCAGGUCGUCGAUCACCCUCAUAUUUCUCCAAAAAUUACCAUUCAUCUAGCAUGGAGCUCACUUAAUGGUAUUGAGGAGAUCAACGACCAAACGCGACAAAGGUAGACGGAGACCAACAUGAAAUUGAGCCAAUGUAAAGACAACAGAGAAGGGAUUACUAGGUCGAUACGCUUCAGUAAGUAAGCGAUCUCCCAAAAACCUAAUUUCAAGAUUACUUAUGGUGUCCAAAGCAUAAGUCGACCUAAAGGAAAUAUGCCUCUUCACAUAAGUAGGGUUCACAACACGAUGAAAACAUUGGUUAUCUCCCUCAAGCAUUUCAUCAUCAGAACUGUCCUCCCCAUGAGGACCACUACUAUCCGGACUAUCUCCCUCCUGCUCUUCAACUCGACCAGGAGUACUUGCAUCAUUCCUAGAUUGAGUCCUCUCAUCAUCAGACUCAUAACUACCAGCACUACCUCCACUCAAGUGAUCAUUUUGAGAAUUACUAGCCUUAGACAUCUCUCAAACGAAAGAAAAACAAGAAAAACGAAGCAAAAGAGUAUGUAAAAGUAAGGAAGAACUGUACUCACCUCAAAAGCUCUCAAGAUCUUCAGGUCGAUACGACAGAACGACAGCAAUUUGAGAGAGCAAAUGAAGAAAGUAAAAAUUCGACCAACAACCAGUGGUUUAAAUACAAGGAAAAUCCCAGCCAUCAAUGAAGUUCUAAUCAACGGACAAGAUCACAAGCAGACAACCACGAUCUUUGCAGUUAUUACACACUACUCCGACUAUCUACAUCCAUCGUUGGAUCAUUCCACGUGUCAAACAGAAUUACAUCAGACAAAGCGUACCUCAGUUGCCAAAUAAUUACAAUUUAACUGCUCGAGGAAACCACUCCACUUCCCCACGAAGCGCAAUGAUGGUGUCCAACAACACUGCAUGUGAGCCACGUGUACAAAUUCAAAAUGUCGAUUCAACCAGCUCGCCCGGUAAACAAAAGGUCUUUUCAGCCUGAUUUUCUAUCGACCUCAAAAGAGGAGGCUUAUGUAGGGGUACUACAUACAACAACCAAUCAAAACACGACACGUGGCUUGCCCAACAUUCCAUCAGGUCGCCCACUGCACGACCCAACUAAAGACCGACCAGAGCAACUCGACCAUAUGACCGUUGGCUACCUCUCUAUAAAGACAUGCCCUUAAUCAAUGCACAGAGAAUAUCUUUGCCUGUUACGUAAUCAAUGCCAGAUAUUGCGCAAUCAUUAAGAUGUCAGAGAAUCUGCAAGAUCCCAUGAUCUGCGCCCUUUCACCUUCUAUAAGAACAGAACUACGAUGGCUUGAUCUCUAAGUUCCACUCCCUCGAACUAGAGUACGUAGGCAAUCUCAAUCUCAUCGAGGUGUAGCCACCCCCAAUCUCAAAUCUCCACCUUGGUCAGUCAAACAGCGACCUGACCUAGUUAAUGCAUUAAUCUGGAAACAGGUUAAUACACAAGUACAACCUUAGUUACAAAUCUCUAUAUAAAGGUGAUAUCUCUUUCUCAAAUUCCAUCAUUCCCCAACUCUAAAAAACUCUCAUAUGGGAUUAAUCAAGCACUCGAUUACUCACAUCCAAAUUUCAUGAUUUUUAAAGGUACUAUGUGAAUGUGUACGCGUAUGCGUGCGAACAAAAAAUAGUCAAUAAUUAGAGAAAUAAUUAACUUAUUUGUGCCCAACAAAAUAAGAGAUAAAUUUGUUUUUUUGUUUGAAUGUUUAUUUGGGUUUAUAACCAUUAUAUAAAAACAAAAAUAUUUUUCCUGUAGGGUUUUUUUUUUUUUUGACAAAUUUUAUUGAUUUAUAAAUUAUAGUAGGUCCCAUUUUUUUAAAAUUAUCUUAUUUCCCUUUUCAUGUAGUUUACAACCCAUAAUACAUUAGGGGUAAAAUUGGAACUGUGCAAGUGGGUUUUUAAAUGUAACACGUCAGGCUUCGCAGGCGCCUCGGGAAUGAGGCGCCUUUAUAAAGUAGUAUAGAUGUAUUAGAUUUAAUUAACUUACAAUCAAUUGAUCAAUUGAAUUAUUUGUACUUUAAAUUACCUACUUUCAAUUAAAUUAAAAAAAAUAAAAAAUAAAAAAUAAAAACUACAAGGUUUUUACACAUCUAAAGUUCAGCUAUAAAGCAGAGUAUGUUCUAUAUGUCUACUUUCUUUUUCUUUGCUUGAUAACUUAAUUGCAUUGCUCCUAUUGAAAUAAAAAUUAUGGAUUUUGUAUUGCUCUGACAUUGCGAUAAUACAUAGAACAAUACAUCUAUCAACACCCCUUCCUGUUUGAAUCAUCUUUUACACUGUCUCAAAACAAUACAUGUUUCUUGGUGCUCUUUAUCUAAACAAGAAGAUUUUUAACCCUUUUAAUGCCAUAGAACUUCUUGUACUCAUUUAUGAUACACCCAAGAAACCUACCCUUCCCCAACUAUAGUGCUAUAUGCUAAUAUGGGAUCUCAAACUCAUGAAUAGCGCUCUUAUGAGCAAAUGGAUUGAAAGAUACAAUAAGGAGGACAAGGCAUUGUGGAGGCGUGUAAUAGAUGCGAAAUAUGGGGUGUGCACAAUAGGGGGGAAGCCAUCCUAUCAUCGCCAAGCUCAUUCUUGUAGCUUAUGGAAGGGCAUCUUAGCGUCUAGGGAAAAGUUCUAUGAGGGUUUCGUCAUAAAGUUGGCAAUGGCAUUAACAUACGGUUUUGGCACGAUGUAUGGCAAGGGGAUGCGUCUUUUGCACACAAGUUCAAGAGAUUGUAUAGAUUUGCGGCUUUGAAGAACGCGUCGGUUAGUGAUCAUUGUGAUGAGGAGGGAGGGUGGAAUCUCCAGUUGAGGAAAACUCUCUUUAAAGAUAGUGAGAGGCUAGAGCUUGAAAGCCUCAAUCACAUUCUUGAGGAGAUUUUUUUUGAAUGAAGAGAAGGAUGGAUGGGAGUGGAUAUGGUCCAAAAAGAAAAUCUUUUCGGUUAAGUUGUUUUAUUACCAACUGUGGGUCUCUAAUCAAAGCGAUGAUCGCCUCAGCUUGGAUUUUCCACAUGAGCUAGUAUGGGACGUUAAUAUCCCCACCAAUGUGAAGGUUUUCAUAUGGUAUGUAGCUUGGAACAAAAUUCUGACAGUUGACAGACUUAAGGGAAUGGGAUGGCAGCUAGCAAACAUGUGUGUUCUAUGCAACAGUGAAGAGGAGGAUAUACCUCACUUAUUUCUGCGGUGUGCACAGGCUAUGAAGGUGUGGCAGAGCCUGUCAGGUGGCUGUACUGAAGUUACUAGAUUGGUACAGGAACAACAUAACAUCAUGGCAGUGAUCAAGCAUUGGCCUAAGUUGAACACCACUGGUCUGGGAUCCUAUCUGUGGGGAUUGGUACCCUAUGGGAUUGUCUGGUGCCUCUGGACAAUGCGCAAUGAAGUAAUCUUCAAUGAUGCUGUUUUCUCGGCUGAUGAGGCAAUCAUUAGAAUAAAAACUAUGUUGUGGACAUGGAUGGCAUUACAGGUGGAGGGUCUGAAGGAGCGCAGAAAGCACAGGUUCCCUGAACUGUUGAGGAAUUGGACCAGCACAAUGGGUGUAUGCUAAACUGGUUCUGGUAAGUAGCUUUGUCUGGGUAUAAACUUAUAUGGGAGUUUGUAACAUGCUGUAGUAUGGUUAUGCCACCUGGCGGACUAUUACACUCGCUGAUCAGGCUUGCAAUUGUGUCUUGAAGAUUAAUAUAAUUCUACAUUCUAUCAAAAAAAUAAAAAAUGCUAAUAUGCAGCAUUGUAUAUCUAUAUUAAUUGUGAGGAUGGCACAAACAUAGUUUGUCUAAAUAAGACAAAGAAGAGUCUGGAUCAUCUAGAUAUCUGUGGAUGAGGGGAGAUCUGUGGGUGAGAUUAACUUGGGUUGGGUCCAAACUUAAGUUGUGUUCAAUGGUUAGGAUCGUCUUGAGAUCCGUAUAUAAAAGUUUGAUAUGAGAUUCAGAUUCUUCCUUUAAUAUAAAGCACAACUCCAAUGGGCAAAAAUUUCUUACAAACUGUUACAUAAUCCCGCAGCCACAUCAGCAAAAUGUGAGUAGAUUUCCAUGUUUAACCCCGAUUUAAUAGAAAAUUCUAUUUUAUUGUCCUUCCCAUCGAAAAGCCCUAUUGUCUUUUAGAUCGACAGUUAUGCAACCACAUCGGUUCGAGAAAUCUGUCACGAAAAGAUGCAUACUGUUUAGAUGUUUCUAACUUUCCUUUUGGUUUAUAUAUAGGGAAAGGAAACCCAUUGUUGAAUCCCUUUCUUUAAUUUUCCUCGCGACGACGGAAAUCGUAGGUAGUUCAGGUUUUACAAGGUAUGUAUGAUGUAUCACUUUUUUUUUCAUCGAUCACAAUCACAGUAAUUAACAAUCAAUGAAAGAUUGCGCCUUCUAUGAUUCCGGUUCAAGUUCUUUGUUAUGUUGGUUACAAUUUACUCUUACAUUGUGAGAAGAUUGUGACUAAAUUAAAGACAAAACUCUAUUUGAUUUAAAUUUACUACUAUUGUCUAAUCAUUAAAUUAACUCUUUUGUUUGUUUAUAUUAUAUGAUAUUACUGUGAUUGAUUAUAAUCAUAUGGAAUUUUGUCUUUAAUUUUAUGCAUUUAAUUUGAUUAUUUUUCCAUAACCACAAGUCAUUUUCGAUUGUAUAUUUAAGGGCCCGUUCGGCAACCUUUAAGAAAGGAGGAAGGAAUUUCGGGGAGAUGAGUUUUCUAAGAAAGGAAGAAAGACGGAAGGAGAAAGCUAAUCCCCGAUACUUGAGGAAUAAUGUAUUUCCUGACUUUCCAAAAUUACUUUCCAAAUCCGGUUUUACAAUUAGCCGAACUAACUUAUCUCUUUCCUACUUUUAGGAAGACAAGUAAUGCAUUCCUGGGCCUUUGCCGAACGGGCCCUAAAACUCAUAGAAACAUAGUAGAAAUAUAUACUCAUAUAUGUCUCUGUGCAGAUUGAUGAAUACAAGAAUUGGUGAUAUAACUAGCAAUUUGGGUCACUGGGUGAGGUCCUUUAGAACAUCAUUUACAAUUUAAAUUCACUACUUGCAGUCCAGGAUAGGAAUAUAGGAUUAGGAUGUCUGAGGAUCAGAAUACAAUAAUGAAGCAUUUCAGAAUGUUUCGCUUUUCUGUAGAAAGGACAAAUACAAAAGAUGACACUUUGAUGAUCAUGGUAGGUUACUUGGGAGUCUUCUUAAUGGUGUUCUUUAAUGAGAACUUGGUCCCCAAGUUAUAGAGAAGAUUCAACGAGUUACAAUCCUUAAUUGAAGUCACAUCAUCUUUCUUCAAUUCCAACUAAUCAAAUCAAACAUAUUGGAAAUGCUACAUUCAAACAUAUUACCCUCAUGUGUUUUUUUCCCUGAUUUGUUUUAAUGUUUUACUUCGAAUAAUGUUAAUUUUAGACUUGAGUAACAUAAAUUCUCUCCAAGGUGUUGUAUGCUAUGUUUAUUUUAUCUAUUUCACACUUAGUCUUCAAAUUUAUCUUACUUUCACAUUUGUUUAUAUCAUACCCCAUUACUAGGCAGAUUUGGAAGAAAUUUAUUUUUAAUGUUUUUAGCUAUAGCACCAGCACCAACAAUUCUAACAACGACACCACUAUUUCAGUUUCAGAUAUAUUAUAAUAAACAACAAUCGUCAUUACGAAACUACUACACAACCAGUGAUACGUAUACGAAGAAUGUCAACAAACAAUCGUGUACAUGCUCAUCAACAACUGAAAUUAAGGAGAAGAAGAGAAAUAACAACACUGCCACUUUUAUUGCAGCAAGCAUGAAUUGUUAUACACGUUGAUAAAAAAAAAAGUUUUGUGUCAUGAUGCUCCUGGACAUCAUUAAUUAAUUAACAACAUGAUUGCAAUUGUGUUGUCCUCAUCAUUGACUCUACCGGUGGAUUUGAAGCUGAUAUCUCCAAAGAGUGGGCAGGCUCAUGACCAUGCAUCCUUCCAUUUCACUGAGAGAGUAUAAUUGAUCUACUUGCAUUGUUUGCAGCUGUUAAAAGGGUUUGAAUUAUAGAAGUUAGCUACAGGUUACUGAGUCUGACUAUGGAUUCAUUGUAGCAGUGUUUUUGCAUGAUGGAUAAAUCAACCAUUGUCUUAUGUAUAAUAAACAAAAACCACCUUUGGUGCAUAACUCAUAUUCUUACCUUAAGUUCUAAAUUCAUGUACCAAAAUAUAUUUGUUAAAAUUAGGAAGGACAGAGUGGAAGUUGAGUAUUAUAAUGUAAUGUGCCAAGUAAUUAUGUGCACAACACUAUGUAGCAUUUAUAAAUUAUGGGUCAGUUGUUUACUAUGUUUAUAAAUUAUGGGUCAGUUGUUUACUAUGUCAAAAAUGUACUUGCCUCCACUCACACUUUUGCUACCCAACUUUUUUUUUUAUUUAGUUAAUAAUAAUAAUGUAUACAGUAAUAGUAUAACAUAAUUAACACUAAAGAACUGUUAUGAUUUAUAUCCUCUUUCUAAAAUAUAAAACCAAUAAAGUACAUCUUCAUUUAAAAAAAAAAUUAAAAUUAGCCGAUGUUCUAAAUACUUGCUUCCGUACCUUUUAACACACCUAACUUAGUAAACAUUAUUACUAAAACAAAAAUAAAUUAACAAAAUACUGUAGAAUCUAAAAUUGAGAUAAAUUGAAAAAACAAAAUUUUAUAUUGAAUGAUUAUUUCAAGCUCCCCGUCUAACGGACGGGCUAAAAAGCUAGUUAAAUCAUAGAGCAGGAAAACUUGGGUUUGAUAUUGGGCCACGUAAAUGGAUUUGACGUUGGGUCUUCCAAAGAGAUUGUAGUUAGUAUUACAAAGGGGGUUUCACAUAUAAUUCGUUUGACAUAUAAUUCUUACAAACGGAUCGUAGUUAGUAUUACAAACAGAUAGUAGUUAAUAUUACAAAAGGCAAAGAAAACCGAAGAAACCCAAAAAUCUCACUAUUUCAGAAGAGUUGACUCCAAAUAAACAUCAACAAACUCAACGUAAAAGGAGACUAAUAGAAUCAAUGAGCCAUACAAAUAAUACAACAUCAAAGAAACCCAAAAAUAAUGAAGUUUCUAAGGAGUUAGCUUCAAAUAAACGCAAAAUAGUGCAAUGUGAAAGAAGGAUAAGAAAAAGGGAACAUAUAUUGAAAAAUACAGUGAAUGAAGGAUUAAGGUUUGUUUUUCUAAAUAUUAUUUUCUAUUUCUUAUAUUCAGAUAUUGGCAAUACACAUUAUGUUUACGUGAAGACUAUUUCCCGUUCUUUUUUAAUCUUACUACAAUAUGUACAGUUCUUGAAUGAGUAUAGUAAACUUUCAUAAUAGAUUACAUUGUUCCCUAACACCUACCAGCUUUUAAAAUGAUGUUACUCUUCAUUAAUAAAAUGAUACAAAUUCAGUAGUAGUUCUCUAACUCUAUUGGCCUUCCUCAAAGCGUUAUUCCCUUUGAAGAUACGACCAUUCUCAAUGAUUCCUAGGCAUUUGCAAUGACAUCAUAUAAAAAUUGGUAAAUAAUGUUUUGAUGAUUAUUACUCAUUAAUCAUGAUCUUGAGUUUGACUUAGAUGAGUCCACACUAGACAAGACCAUUAUAACAAAAAAUUAGCUAAACAAGAUCUUGAUGAAUCAAUAUAAAAUAAAUUAAACAUGACCAUGUUAGAGAUUGUUUCACAAUUUUGUUUAAUUUUAGUGUCCAACUCCGCCAUUUUCUUCUUCGUUUGGCAACUUUGAUAACUAUAUACAGUGUAACAGCAGUUUUAGGUUCAAUACAAACCGGGUGAGAAACAAACCAACAAUCCAUAAAUAAAGCCCAACAAUAUUUUAAGUCUCUGAGUCCAAACCAGAAAACCCAUAAAAAAAAAUCCAAUAAAUUAAAACCAAAACGAUGAGGGCAUUGUGCUCACUGUUAGUGCUCACUCUCAGCUCGAUUCAGUUAACAAUGAGUGAAAGUGACGGUAUAUGUUCAAUCCAUACACAUAUCAAAUUUUUGAGGUCAAGACUAAAGAAAAAGAUAUAUAAUUCCAAAAAGGGAAUAAAUAAAUUUUGAAAGAAAGUACAACAGUCAUUCAUAUUAUUUAGUUGGUUUGCUAAAUUUUUGCUUUGAUUGCUAAUGCUUUCGUACAGUAAUUUCAAAAAAUGCAAUUUGUAAUUUGUAUACCUUCCAUGCAAUUUGUAAAAAAAAAAAACAAUUUCGUACAGUAAUUAUUUAGUUGGUUUGCUAAAUUUUUGCUUAGAUUGCCAAUGCUUUAAAAUUUAAUUAAAGAGAAAUUAUGAUAAUUUUGUAUUCUUCUGAGAUUUAGUGCAUGAAUAGAAAUUUUAAAUUAUAUUUUCAUUGGCAUUUUUAACAAUGUUAAAAGCUUUAGUACACUGUAUAGUAGAACUAACGUACACACAAUUAGAAUAUUAGAAAUUAAAAUUGAUUAGAAGGUAGUAGGGAGGACCACAUGGUGGUUUAAGGUAUAUGUUGAUUUCUUUUUAUUUUUCUUACAUGAAAGUAGAAUUUUUAUCACCUUAUGGUGUUGAGUAGCAUAAUUGGUUGUCUUUUAUUAAUUUCAAACAGUAUUUUCCAGAAUUGAGGUUGAAAUUUAUGUUUUACAAUCUCCAAUUGUUGUUUUGACGUGUUUUAGGUGGAUAUUAUUAUCAUGUUGUUUUUCAAUCUCCAAUUCUUAUUUUCUCUGCACCAAUAUAAUAGCAAACUUGAUUUGUAGGUUUAGUUCAAUCAAUUUUAAUUGCAACCUGUACAAUAGAAGUUAGAAUUUUAAUAGCAUUUCCCUCACUUUGCAAGUCAUGGAGCUGUGUGGUUAACACAAAGCGAACUAUUCUUUCGCAUUUUAGUAAAGAAUACCGUGUGCUCGCCACACAAAGCAUCAUACACCAUUUUUUGGAGGGUUUUUUUUCCACUUGUGGAGAAACCCAAACAAAUUAAUUGUUAAAUUUUCUACUCUUACAAGUCCGGCACAUUCUCUUGCUAGACAUUUAUAAACACAGGUCAGAUGAAUACAAAAGUGGAAAAGAUUAUUCUGUAAAUAAUCAUCAAAGCACAAAGUAAAAUGCACUUUAAGCCUAUUGACUAUGUAUGGAAUGAGCUGUGCACCACAGAUUUAUAAACAGUCCUCAAAUCUACUCUUUCAUUGAAGAUCUAUAUCACUAUAUUAGUUGUAUUUUAGAGGAUUUUCCAGUGUUGGUUCACAAAACAAAGUUUUGGUAGCUGUAUUUUAGGGGAUUUUUCAGUGUUGGUUCACAGAAUCUAAUAUUGAUGAGACGUCAAGUAGUGCCCACAAAUUCAGGCAGGCACAUCAUCAGUAGGAAGUUUCUCAUGUCCAAUGCAUCAUCGUAGCAUAGACAAUAAGGAUUACAUGAUCUGAUUUUAACUCUGACGAAGUUUAUUAUAUGUGCACUCUAAUAUUCCUUCAAUUUUGUUCAUCUUUACAGACAAUGCAAUAUACAACAAACUCUGAAGAACAUGGUAGAAGGUAAAGAAAACCAAAGAAACAAAAAAAUCUCACUAGCUAUUUCAGAAAAGUUGACUCCAAAUAAACGUCAACAAGCUCAACGUAAAAGGAGACUAAUAGAAUCAAUGAACCAUACAAAUAAUACAACAUUAAAGAGACCCAAAAAUAAUGAAGUUUCUAAGGAGUUAGCUCCUAAUAAACGCAAAAUAGCGCAACGUGAAAGGAGGUUAAGAGAAAGGGAACAAAUAUUGAAGAAUACAAUGAAUGAGGGAUUAAGGUUUGUUUUUCUAAAUAUUAUUUUCUAUUUCUUAUAUUCAGAUAUUGGCAAUACACAUUAUGUUUACGUGAACACUAUGUCCCGUUCUUUUUUAAUCUUGCUAUAAUAUGUACAGUUCUUGAAUGAGUAUAAUAAACUUUCAUAAUAGAUUACACUGUUCCCUAACACCUACCAACUUUUAAAAUGAUGUUACUCUUCAUUAAUAAAAUGAUACAAAUUCAGUAGUAGUUCUCUAACUCUACUGGCGUUCCUCAAAGAGUUAUUCCCUUUGAAGAUACGAAAUUCUCAAUGAUUCCUAGGCAUUUGCAAUGACAUCAUAUAAAAAUUGGUAAAUAAUGUUUUGAUGAUUAUUACUCAUUAAUCAUGAUCAUGAGUUUGAUGUAGAUGAGUCCACACUGGACAAGACCAUUAUAACAAAAAAUUAGCUAAACAAGAUCGUGAUGAAUCAAUAUAAAAUAAGCGUGACCAUGUCACAGAUUGUUUCACAAUUUCGUUUAAUUUCAGUGUCCAACUCCGCCAUUUUCUUUUUUUUUUUGGCUAUUGUGAUGACUAUAUACAGUGUAACAGCAGUUUUAGGUUCAAUACAAACCGGGUGAGAAACAAACAAACAAUCCAUAAAUAAAGCCCAACAAUAUUUUAAGUCUCUGAUUCUAAACCAAAAAACCCAUAAAAAUAAUAAAAUAAAUUAAAACCAAAACGUUGGGGGCACCGUGCUCACAGUUAGUGCUCGCUCUCAGCUCGACUCGUCAACAAUGAGUGAAAGUGACAAUAUAUGUUCAAUCCAUACACAUAUCAAAUUUUCGAGGAUAACACUAAAGAAAAGGAUAUAUAAUUCUAAAAAGGGAAUAAAUAUUUUUUUGUAAGAAAGUACAAUAGUCAUUCAUAUUAUUUAGUUGGUUUGCUAAAUUUUUGCUUUUAUUGCCAAUGCUUUCGUACAGUAGUUUCAAAAAAAUGCAAUUUGUAAUUUGAAUACCUUCCAUGCAAUUUGUGAAAAAAACAAUUUCGUACAGUAAUUAUUUAGUUGGUUUGCUAAAUUUUUUAUUAGAUUGCUAAUGUUUUAAAAUUUAAUUAAAGGAAAAUUAUGAUAAUUUUGUGUUCGUCUGAGAUUUAGUGUGUGAAUAAAAUUUUAAAUUAUAUUUUCAGUGGCAUUUUUAACAAUGUUAAAAACUUUAGUACACUGUAUUGUAGAAACUAGCGUGGCAAAGCCACGGGUUAAACUAGUCUAUAUUAUAAUCUACAAAGGUACAUAAAAUACACAAGUUGGGUUAUAAGCUAUGCUGUCAGGGGCGGAGCGGAGCGCCAGGCGCUCGGUUUCUGCCUCACCGCCUCGACCGCCUAGGCGCCGCCCAGGCGGCGCCCUGAUCAGACCCCUGACAGCAUGUCAGCAUCACAGCAAUACAGACCCCUGACAGCGGAGAAGAGAGAAGAGAGAAGAGAGAAGAGAGAAGAGAGAAGAGAGAAGAAGAGAGAAGAGAGAAGAGAGAAGAAGAGAGAAGAGAGAAGAGAGAAGAGAGGCAGCAGCGGAGAAGAGAGAAGAAGCAGCAGCAGCAGCGGAGAAGAGAGAAGAGAGAAGAGAGAAGAAGCAGCAGCGGGCAUGGGCUUUUUUUAAGUUUUUAUUUUGGGGCCCAAAAUUUGGGCCGCUUGAGCGCCUGUAUUUUGACUGCCCUGAGCAGAGCGCUGCGCCUGGGCGCCGCCCAGGCUGUUCGAAGCGUUUUAGGCGCUAUUUUACCUGAGCGAAGCGACCCCUUUCUGAAAUAGCGCCGCCCCUGACAGCAUAGGUUAUAAGUAGUGGUCCAGAUUCUCUCGAGUCCGAAGUUGUAGAUUAGAUCUGCGGUUGAGAUUGGAUUAGAGACAAACUGUUUAUUAGUCGUUGGAUUAGAUUGGGUCCAAACUUAAGUUAUAUUGGAUGGUUGAGAUCAAGAAACCAUUUUCCAUUGUUUUCUCUUCUCCCCUCUCUCUUCCUUUGCUUCAACAAAACCUUAAUUCCUCUCUCUAUCAUCUCAAAUCUAAUUAACUAGCAGCAGCAGCAGCAACAGCAGCACCAAAAUUCAAAAUCAUAUUCACAUCUCCAAUCACAUCUCGAAUCUAACUACCGGCAACAACAGCAGCAGCAGCAGCAGGUUCUUUUUCUUCUUCUUCAUUAGCAUUUGUUAAAAACCUAUUGACCAAAUCACCAACUCUCCUUAUUGUUGUUCUUCUUCUGCUAUUGAAUCAUUAUUAAAUUUUAAUGAUUGUGUUCAAUUUGUGGUGAGAAGCCAUUCAAAUUGACCUGAGAUCAACAUACAGUCAAGUGAUUUCCCAACGAAUUUUGUGUUCUUCUUCUUCUUCAGUAGCAUUUAGCUAUGGAAAAAUUAAAAUCAGCAUUCAAUUAAAGUUUUUAAAUUUAAUUUUGAUUGCUGCUGCUAUUCCGAAAUUUAUUCAAUUUGAUUUACAUAUAUAAUUUAAACUCAACAAAUCAUCAUCUUACGUCUCUGAAAUCAAUAAAAAAUCAUCAUCUUACAAUAUAUCCUCCAAAGGUAAGUAGUAAUGCAUUGGAUGAUCAAUUAGUCAUCCAUUUGAAAUUGCUUAUCAAGUGGAGUUCUCACAAUCAUCUCGCGCUUUGUCUUCUACAGGUCAGUUUGUAUCAACAUUCUCCACUAUCUGUUGCGCUUCGUCUUCAACAGGUCAGUUUGCAUCACAAAGUCUAGGUCUUCAAUAUCUAGACAAAAUUUAUAUAAUAUUGCUUUCACUUGCUUAAUUCAACUAUCCCUGUGAAUAUCGAAUCUCUUUAUAUUGCUUUACCUUUUGUUUUAAUCUCUGCAGAUUGUUGUUUGAUUGUGGGUUUUAUUUUAUUAAAAAACAACAAAUUAUAGUUUUUUGUUUUCUGUUGGAUGAAUUAUAGUGAAGCCUCAUGCAUGUGUUUAGUUCUAAGUUCUAUACAUUGUUCAACCAGAUCAUGGUGUUUAGUUUUGAAAGUUGAAAUUUUGAUUUUUGAUAAGGUUAAGCUUUCGAAUUUUGAUUUUUCUGUUUCAAUAAGCUGCAAUAUAUGUAAUAGUAUCGGUUUUGAUGGAACAUAUAAAUCUACUUUUGCAUCAGUUCUUUUACACGUUUCGAAGAAAAUAUAUGUAAUAGGGAUGAACUGCCAUUUUUUUUUUUCUGAUCGAUUAUGAUUCGAUUUUCUAACACCGGGAAUUGUUAUGGAUCUUAUAUUAGUAGGCAUAUUCUCUUUGUCCUACCAAUACAAAAAAGUUCUCUACAAAUAAUCAUAUUCUAAUUACACCAUGCUUCUAUUUAAUGAUCUACAACACCAGAUUAGAUUCCAACUUUAGAUUUCCUCAAACAGUUAUAUGUACAACUAUUGCUAGAGAUGGUUAACAAAAAUAUAUAUUGAUGGUUGUAUUUAUAUAGAUUUCUAUAACUGAAUUUGUGAAUAUUAUGUGUUCAUCAAAUCUGCUCUUCUCUUGCAGGUCCAUACUUAACUUCUGACCAUAUAAAAAUUUACCUCGAUUUCUUUUCUUCUCCCCCUCAUCUCUGUUGAUCAACAAUUGUAGGUUCUCUCAAAACUUUCUCAAGUAACUUUUUAUGGUCUUAAUCUCAUUUUGUCAUUUUGUCCUACAGUCUAUUUUCUGUUUGCAAUCUUCACAUUUUCUGUCAUUUAAAUGUAUUGUUACACCAUAUAUACCAGUCUUAACUUAUUGUUUUAUAGAUAUCUUCAUAUCUAUACAAAUCUUAUUUUUUUCUACCCAGCAAUUGUCUCUUUCAUUUUCACAAUCAUCUCUCUUUCAUUCUCCAGUAUCUGUUGUGCUUCUGCUUCAACAGGUGAGUUUGCAUCAAUCAAUUAUAGGUCUUCAAUUUGUAGACAAAAUUAUAAGUUCUUCAUCUGCAUAAGGUAAAUAACUUGCUAUAAUAGGUGUACAUUCUGCUCUUGAUUACCUCGAAAAUAGAAAAUAGCUUGCAAAUGAAUGAAUUCUCACUGCCAAUAGUAGUAAUGAAAAAUAAUAGCAGUAGCAGUAGAUGCAAGUCUUUACAGCUAAAAUGGGGUAGAUUUCAUGAUCAGACUACCAAAAAAAAAAAAAAAAAAAACCAAUGAAAUACAAUCAGUUUUAUAAAAACAGUUAAGGUUAUUCUAAAUUAUCAGCUACCUGUAGGGCAUAUUUUUUUUUACUUUGAAAAUAUAAAUAAAUGUUCUUUCCAUAUCUCUUAAUAGGCGAGAAUUAAUCAUGGUUUUAACUGAUACUCCUUCAUUGAUUUGUUUCACAGGUUUCACUGUUGUUAAAAAGGUUUAAAAUCUGGAAUAAAGCUGUUCAAACCAAGAUACUCUUAUCAAGUUGUUCCAGUCUUCCAGAGUAUCUUCUAUCCACAAGUAUGAUUUCUUCACCUUCUGCAAAUAUUAGUAGACAUUUUUUUAAUUUUGGGAUGCAAUGUUAGAAACCCAUAAAUAGUUUAAGUAUUCAUGCUAAGGUCAAACAAUUAAGUUUGAGCUUAGCCUUUUCGGAACCAUACAUCGCAUAGUGGGAAAUGUAUUUAUAAUAAUCAUCUUAAAUUGUUGUAUAUGGUAGAAAGGGGAUUGAUGUAUCUUAUUGAAACCAGGCUUUUUAUUGAACUCGAUUAUAGUAAGCCUUUAUUGUCAGUGUUUACGGUUCAUAUAUGGUUAUAUUUAUGUUAUAUUUAUGUAAAACACUUCUUCAGAUCGCCUGUAGACAUUUUAUUUACUGGAAAUUAGAAUUUGCGAUUUUUUCGCAUUUCAUAGCUUUUUAGAUGUUAUGGAGUAUAAACCUAGCAGAACAGUAGUAGGUUAUAUUGAAAGGGCACCGCUCGAUGUUUACUGUUGGUGUUAGCUGGGACGAGCCCCAUUGGCUUUCCAACCAGAUGUGCCUAUUAUAGCACAGCCAAUGGGCUUGCAUAAAAAAUGGAAACACAAAACCGGAGUUCAGAUCAACACAAACUUAUUCAACAUAUUCAAUAGCACAGCCCGCAUUUAUGUAAUAGAUGUUUCACCUUCAAUAUUAUCUAUUCAAUUCCAUUAAUUACUGUGUACGGAGCCCACAGUAACAUAAAUGUCGGUACCCUGUAUAACACUUUUUACAUUAGUAUUUAUGUCUGGUGUAUGUCCAAACAUCGGACGAGACCCAUUGGCUUUCCAAAAGUAGAGUCUUUCCAACCAGAACCUGGGUUUGCCUUGGACUUUAGUGUCAAGCCAAACCGAGUAAAAGUCUGCCCAGAGUCCAUAAGCCUAGCCAAGCCAAUGGCAAACCAGAGUUUCAUACCAUAUGGUAUAUCAAUGCCAUAGGUCAAUAUUUAAUAACUGGAUAUUCAUAUUAUCUUAUCUUUCGUUUUCGAUUUUUAAAUUUAUUUCUAUUUACAAUAGAUUUAAAUAAUACUUCCGCGUGCAUCUUGCAUUGUGUUUUUACCAAUAGCAAGUAAAUGUAAAAGUAUAUUUGUCAUUACCUUUUAAGACUCAACCAUUAUGUUAAUCUCUAUGUUUUAUUAAAUUGUUUGAUUUGCUACUAAAAUUGUUUGAGUAAUUUGACUUAAACUAUGUUAUGUUAAUGAACGCAGAUUGCGUCCUCGAAGGGUAUUUUUAAUACCUUCAAAUAUUAUGGUACUUCAAGUCCAACAUGAAAACUUGGAUGGAUUGCAAAGAACUGGAGUAAGUCAGGAUUGCUUAAUUACGACUUUGCAACCUCAACUCCACUUUUAUUUUUUGUUUCCCUCCUAUUUUAACACUUUUCACAUGUUCAAAUCUUAUAUUUUACAGGCAACAAACACUUCCAAUAAAAUUGCUUGAGACAUUGAUAUUUCGUUGAUAACAAAUGUUCUAAAUGAUAUGCCAGUAAGUAAACGGAAACAAGCUCAACAAAAAAGACGAGAGAGAGAAAUGAAUGAAAAGAAUCAAAUGGAACAUAUAUGCAAUGCAAAUGAAGGGAUAUCCAAGCGUUCUGAAAGUCAGCGAAAACGAAGAGAAAGAGAAAAGGAAAUAUCUGCCCUAAACAAGUAAGCUCAAUUCAUGUUAUAUUUUUCAAAUUUUUAAUUUCAAUUCAUAUGUCUCAAAAAAAAAACAACUAUUUGUUAUUGACGACAGUUCAUCAGUUACAAAGAAGCAGCGACAAAGAAAAGGUGAUGAACUCAGUGAAUCAACAUCAAAUAAGUAAGUUCAAUUAAUAUACACACCAUGAAUCAACAUUAAAUAAGUUCAAUAACUUACUAAUUUUGAUUUCUUUCCCCUUAACAGUUUAACAAUCACAAGGAAUAAUAGUCAAACAAACGAGGAUUGCUCAAAUAAAAAUAGCACACAAAGGCGAUGCCCUAUCAAGUAAGUAUUACUACUGUUACUUUAUAAAUAUUUUAAAUAUAAUUUAAGCAACUAAAUUUAUUACUUUAAAAAUGCAGGGAACCAGGUGCAAAGAAACAAAGACAAAUAAGGGAUGACUGCGCAGAGAAAACGAAUGAAAAAGUAACAAACUCUAAUGAACCUGUGUUAAGCAAGUAAGUACAUUCAAAGAAUUUCGUCUAUGGGAAAAAAUAACAAAUUCUAACAUAUAUUUUUUGACCAGUGUUCGAAGGCAAAACAAAAGAAGUUUAGCUCAAAGUGCUCGAAGAAAGAGUGAACGUUCUAAGCAAUGUGAGUUUUCGUAUACAAUGGAUGGAAUAAUGAAUGAAAAUUCACAACCAUUACAAGCUGGAGAAUAUCAAAGAGGCAAAGGAAAACAACCUAUUAUUGAAAAUGAUGAUGUGGAUGAACUUAUAGUUGAAGAUGAUGAAGAGGAUGAAGAUGAUGAGAUUACAUAUUAUUUGUAUGGUUUUUCAUCAACUGGAGAUUCGACCCGUGAAAACCAAGUUAUGAAACGAUACCCUAUCAAGUAAGUUAAUCCUACAUAUUAAUCGCAAAACACAUAUUCAGAUUAAUUAUAUAUUCAGGAAUACGUUAGUCUUAAUUUUUAUGCAACUACAGUUAUUUUAUGGUCUCACCAUUGGGUUAAAACCUACUACAGUCGUAAUCAAUUUAAUCAAUAAGGUUUUUUUUCCUGAAAUUAGAUUUACUGACUCCACAAUCAGAUCGCUUCCUUGCCUUAAUUUGUUGACCUCUCCCUCUUAAAGUAGUAAAGCACAAGUCUAAAAUAAGACCAAUUAAGGCCAGAAUUGACAGACACACUACUGCAUAAUAGUUUAAUAGCAAGUUCCCCUGAUUUGUAAGUCCAUGAGCCAAUCUUUUCCCUGUACAAGCGGAAAGUUCCAUCGAGUCUAAUGUUGACAGAAACAUUAAUUGUGAAGUAUGAUGUUCUGAAAUCAGCUAAUAGCUGCUAGGUUCAUUAGUCGAGUCCAAUCUUUAUUUUUUACACAAGUUUAUUUAUUAAACAUUAAUGUUGCUGCUGCUGCUAGGUUCAUUAAUCAAAUUGGUAUGGUAGAAAUGGUCUACACAAUCUCAUUUACAUUUCAUGAUCUGUUUCCCAGGAUCCUAUUUUUAUUUAUUAAACUUUUUCCCAUGGAGCAACAACAAACUAGACCUCCUCCCGGCCAAAGUUAGAUUUACUGGCUCCAUAAUAAGAUUGUUUCCUUCCAUGAGCCAAUUUUUUCCCUCUACAAGCAGAAAGUUCCACCGAGUCUAAUGUUGCAAGAAACAUUAAUUGUCAAGUCUAAUUUUUUUCUUAGACAAGUUUAUUUCUUAAACAUUAAUGCUGCUGCUGCUGUUCAUUAAUCGAGUCCAAUCUUUAAUCUUUAAACAUUAAUGCUGUAGCUGUUGUUGCUGAUAGGUUCAUUAAUCAAGUUUAUUUAAAUAUUUUUUAAACAUUAAUCGAGUCCAAUCUUAUAUUAAUAGUUAAUCUAAUGCUGCUGCUGCUACAACAGGAAAAAAGAACUAAUGUUUAUUUUCUUAGACAAGUUUAUUUCUUAGAUAAGCAGGUUCUUCUUCUUCUUGACCAGAAAAAUUAUUUCUUAGACAAGUUUAUUUUCUUUUAAUUUUUAAAUUUGAGAAUUAUGUUUAAGAACUAAUGUUUUUCUCCAUUUGAUUUUUCCAGAGAAAGGACAAAUAUGGAAGGAAAUGAUUGUACUACUGUUGUUCAUCCUGUAAGUGAUUCUCAUUACGAUACUAUAUUAGAAGAUGAAAUUCACAUACCAAUCGAUCCAGUAGAAAAUGUUCCAAAAGAAAGACAUUAUCUUGGGAAAAUGGAUGUCAUAUGUCCAUCAUGUUCUGCUUAUCAUUGGUUAGAUGAACGAUUGACUAAAUCCAUUAAAAAGAAGUCAUUCUUCGGUAUGUGUUGCCUGCAAGGAAAGAUAAAGUUGCCACUACUUACACCAUUGCCUUCUGCUAUUAAAUUGCUAUACGAAGGGAGAAAUUCACUGGCAAGGUCUUUCAGGAAAGAUAUUAGAUCCUAUAAUGCUGCUAAUGCCUUCUCCAGUUUGGGUGUUUCGAUGGACAAACGUAUUCUAAAAGGUCUAGGACCAACUUCUUUCAUAAUUCAUGGUCAGUUGUCCCAUCAAAUUGGAUCGUUGUUACCGGAAUCAGACAAAUCUCCAAGUUAUUCACAGCUAUAUAUUUAUGAUCCUCAUAUUGCAUUGGAAUGCCGACAGAAAAGGAACCUGCACUUAAAUCCAGCUAUUCUGAAAAUAAUUCAAGAAACUCUAUUGGAAUCAAAUGAGUUGUGCAAAAUAUACAAAGGUGCGUAUGAUGUUCUGAAAUCAGCUAGUAGCAAUGGCGGUGAAAGUAUACCUAUAAGGUUAGCUUAUACGCCCACUACUGAUCCUAGACGCUAUAAUCUCCCAACGUCUGAAGAUAUUGCUGUUAUUAUUCCUGGGGAUGAGACUGAACCGACUUGGAAGCGAGACAUAAUACUACACCUGAAGAAUAACAAUCUCGAAAGAAUAAGCGAGUGCCACCCACUGUAUUUGCCGUCACACUAUGUCUUACUAUUUCCAACUGGAGAUCUUGGUUGGUCUACAGAUAUGAAACAUUGGGAUGUCAAGAACGAACGGUAUUUUACAGUUACAGGUAAAGAAAAAAAGAAUAGAUUGACUCAGCUUCAUUAUUUCUGCUAUCGCUUAUUUGAGAGAACGACUGAAUAUUCUGCUUUAUUUCGAGCUGGCCUUUUGUUCCAACAAUUUAUUGUAGAUGCCUGGGCGUCCUAUGAACAAAAUCGAUUAUAUUGGAUUAGAACACACCAAGCUGAUCUGCGCUGCGAUGUAUAUAGUGGAUUGACAGAUAUUGUUACCAAUGGUCACAAUCCUAAUGACAUUGGGAAAAAAUUCAUUCUACCGUCCACUCAUUUAGGCAGUCCAAGGCAUAUGUAUGAAAUCUACCAGGAUUCUAUGGCGAUUACCAGAUACUACAAACAUCCAGAUAUAUUCAUGACAGUGACUUCUAAUCCAAAAUGGCCAGAAAUUCAGAAUGAGCUUAAGCCAGGUCAAGCUGCAUUAGAUCAUCCUGAUUUAGUUGCACGUGUGUUCGAGCUUAAAAGAAAAGCAAUUAUGCAUGAAAUAGAAAAUAAAAUAUUAUUUGGAAGAGUUGUUGCAAAGGUGUAUACAAUAGAAUUUCAAAAACGCAACCUUCCACAUAUGCAUGCAUUGCUUUUUCUUCACCCUGAAGACAAAAUCAGGACGACAGAUCAAGUGGACAGAAUUGUUAGUGCUGAGUUCCCUGAUCCUAUAAAACAUCCAGCUUUGUUCGAAACUAUUAAAAAAUGCAUGGUUCAUGGUCCCUGUGGUACUCGCAACAUGGAAUCAGUAUGUAUGGAGAACAAAGUUUGCAAAUCUAGAUAUCCAAGAGAAAAUGUAAAUGAUACCAGAAUAGAUGUGGAUGGCUACCCAAUCUAUAGGCGAAGAAAAAUUGGUAAAAGUUAUCAUGUUAGAGGACACCUGGUUGAUAACAAAGAUGUAGUCCCAUACAAUCCUCAUUUAUCAGAAAUGUUUGAUUGCCACAUUAAUGUGGAAAUUUGUGCAUCAGUAAGGGCAGUCAAAUAUAUUCACAAGUACAUUUACAAAGGCCAUGAUAGAACCACAAUGGUGGUUGGGGCGGAAGAUGAUGAAAUUCAACAGUAUCUUGAUGCUCGAUAUGUAGGUCCUACUGAAGCAGCAUGGAGAUUAUAUGGAUUUCGAAUACAUGAAGAACUACCAUGUGUCACUAGACUUGCGCUUCAUCUGAAAGGUAUGCAUGUGUGUGUCUUCAAUCCUAACGACACGCCAGAACAAGUAAGAGAAAAGGCUGAAAAUCAGAAAUCAUCUUUGACUGCAUAUUUCGAUUGGUAUGAAAAAAAUCCUACUACUAAAGCUUAUACUUACCAACAAUUCCCUGAACAUUUUAGAUGGUGCAAAGAUAACAAGAAAUGGACACCAAGAGUUACUUCAGCCUUUUCUAUUGGUCGGAUGUAUUUUGCCAAUCCGAAUUCUGGUGAAAGGUUUUACCUUAGGUUACUAUUAACCGUUGUGAAAGGACCAUCGUCAUUUGAAUCCUUAUAUAGUGUGGAUGGCAUCGAACAUAAGACAUACAGAGAAGCAUGCAUUGCUCGUGGUCUUCUAGAAGAUGACAAUGAAUGGGACAAAUGCCUAGAAGAAGCUGUAAUAAUGAAAACUGGUCAUCAGGUACUCGCAAUUUAUGUUUAAAUUCUUUUUAUAUGUCUAAAUAUUAAAACUGUUUUAUCUAAAUAUGGAAACUGUUUAUUGUUGCAUCUAUAGCUAUAAACACUGUUGCAUCUAUAUCUACAGUGUAGCAUCUGGACAUGUUUACCAAGUGCACCGAGCUACUUUAAGAUCUCGAUACCCAGAUAGACAACUCAAUCCCGUUGUUGUUGCUGUUAAAGCGCAUCCUGGUAUCAAGGAAUCAAUUAAGAGGGAUUUUAUUAUUAUCGAGUCCUUUGCCAACACACACCAUAACAGUCCCUAAUAAUUUACCCUUCCACCAACUGCACUGUAGCCUUCAGUUUCAUUGAAUAAUAUACUUACUGAUGUAUUCCCUUGCUGUUUUACUUUGCAGAAAAUAAUUAUUAAAUUCCAUAUAUUUUGUUUAUUGAAAAUCAGCCACUAAUUCAUAGUUUUUAUAUGGUAAGCAGGUACGGAGAUUAUUCUGUUUGAUCCUAACUGAAUGUAAUCCUUCUCGACCGGAAAUUCUAUGGGAGAAAAAUGCUUUAAAAAUAUGUGACGACUUGCCGUACCAACUGAAAACAAAAUUUGGCAUUCAAGAUCCCAGUGAUAGUGAUGUUUGUGACCAUGGGUUGUUCUUAAUGAACGACUACUUGCUGGAGAGUGGUAAGACAUUAUCAGAUUUCCCAAACAUGCCUUUAUCGUGUAAAACAUGGAAUGAAGUAGUUACCAACCGUCUCAUUACAGAGCAUCAGAAUUUCGUGUAUCAGGGAUUAUAUGAAAAGGCUCAAGAAAAAGUUGCAAGAUUUAAUACUGAACAACUAAAUGCCUAUACAGAGAUUACAAAUUCUGUUCGUAAUGAUAGUGGACAAGUAUUUUUCCUAAGUGGUCCGACUGGAACAGGAAAAACGUUCGUCUAUAAUACUGUAGCAGAUACAUUGAGAAGUGAAGGUCAUAUUGUGAUAAUGGUUGCUUCAUCAGGAAUUGCAUCUUUAUUAUUGACAGGAGGAAGAACAGCUCAUUCUACAUUCAAAAUUCCAUUUGAAGUUCUAGACGACUCUGUUUGUUCAGUCACAAAGCAAACAAUCCAUGCAGAAUUAUUCAAGAGAGCUAAACUGAUUAUAUGGGAUGAAGUACCAAUGCAACAUAGGUUCUGCGUGGAAGCUGUUGAUCGUACACUAAGGGAUAUUCGUGAAAUUAAAGAACCGUUUGGAGGAGUUACAGUUGUUCUGGGCGGUGACUUCAAACAGACUCUCCCUGUCAUUACUAAAGGAACUAGACAAGAAAUUGUUCGUGCAUGUCUAACAAAAUCACAUUUGUGGAGUGGUGUUAGACUCUUAACUUUGGUUAAAAAUAUGCGACUGAACAGUAAUGAUACUGAAAAUGUCAAGUUCGCAGAUUAUUUGAUUGAGGUAAUUUUUAAAUUUCAACAAUAUUUGUUAUUUUCAUAUCUAGGUAAUUUUUAAAUUUCAACAAUAGUUCUUAUGUUUAUAUCUACGUUUAAACCUUUGCUUAUUAUACCCUUAAUAUUAUAAUUUACAGAUAGGAACAAAUCCUAAAGAAGAUGUGGAAUUGCCUUCAGAGAUCAAAAGGUGUAAGAGUACCAUGGAUCUUUUGUUUAAAGUUUACCCCAAUCUGAAUGUGGAAGAGGUAGCUACCGAGACCUACUUACAUGAACGAUCUAUUCUCUCUGCUCGCAAUGAUGAUGUAGCUACUCUUAAUGAAUUAGCAAUAAAUCAUUUUCCCGGUGAAUUACAUGAGUACCUAGCUGCUGAUAAAGCCAUUGAAGAUGAUCAACCAAUCGAGAAUAGGGGAAACGGUAUAUCAAACGAGAAUAUGCAAGCACUGGAUCCACCGAGUCUUCCACCAUUCAAACUCCAACUUAAAGUUGGUUGUCCAAUAAUGUUACUACGGAACCUUCAACCGAGAGAUGGUUUAUGUAAUGGGACGCGUCUAAUGGUUGUCCAGUUUGCUACAAGAGUUAUAGAAGCAAAGAUACUUAAUGGUAGCCAUGCUGGAAAUUAUGUAUUCAUACCACGUAUAACUCUUCAACCAUCUGUUUCAGAAACGCCUUUCCAAAUGGCACGACGACAAUUCCCAGUUCGAUUGGCAUUUGCAAUGACUAUUAAUAAGUCACAAGGACAAUCAGUUAAGUAUGUGGGUAUAGACUUGCGAAACCAUGUCUUCAGUCAUGGCCAAUUAUAUGUGGCAUUAUCAAGGUGUACUUCUUCCAAUCGAAUAUCUGUUCUCCUAGGGAAUGAAGAUGAUGACAAAACAACCAAUGUUGUUUAUCCUGAAGUUCUUCUCUAAUUGAUUACAGGUAUGACCAGAUUACUCAUUCGUAAAGUUAGAUUUUUGCAAUGGCAUUAAAUGCUUGGUAACGGUGAGACCAUUUUGCAAACGUUUCGAAAGAUUUGGGACCAAAUUGACCAAUUUAAACUUUGGGGACUCAACUGAAAAUUUGGACAAAGUUAGGGGACCAAAAUAGCUAAUUUAUCGUUUUCAGUUGGAUUCUCAUUGUAUCAUCAUGAUUGUCCACUCUGGUAUGAUUAAUUGUUGUGACACACUAUUGGACUCCCAGACAAAUAUUGAAUUUUAAAUUCAAAAACUAUACUUUGGAGGUGCCCAACAUUAAACAAUCUGUAACGUGUUAUGUGCUUGGGUUUGAAUUUUAUUUAGCACAUACCCAAACCUCAGUUUAAACUCCUUCCAUUAUGUUGUUGACUGAAUUAUUUGCAUUUUGCCUUUUAUUUUUUCAGGUUGCAAAUUAUUUUAACAUUCCAGAUUGUGGCAAAGAUCAUCAAACAGUAGACUACAGAAUAAACUCAACAUCAAGAAUGAUUUCAGUCCAGAGCAAGAAAAGGUUAGGAAGGACAACCGGUGGGCCUUUGAAUGAAGGACCGAGAUAGAGUGUAAUUUGAGUGGACGGGAUCAUCAUUUUAUUUCCAUUGAAAAUAGUUACUUUUGUCUAGAGUUUUGGGCUAUUUGAUAGAUACUGGUUAGGGAAGAACUUUUAAUACUCUGCCAUUUGGUAAAUAUCUAAUACUAAUUUUAUUUAGUUUAUAUUAAUUGAUAUUGAUGUGAUAUGAUUCUGAUAUCAACUACCUAAUGAUAACUGCCCCUAUUUUGUUCAUACUUUUGUAAUGUCUGUUGGUGUUAGUACAGUUAAUAACUCCACAAGGGAUGUUUAUUAUAUGUUUGUUCCAUAUGUCCCUGAGGAAGUAUUUGUUUUGGUUUUGAAUAUAUAUGUUUAGUUUUAGUCAUUCCGAAUUUGGAUGUUGAUCUUCAGUUUUGUUCUCUGGCUUCGUUCUGGGAUGCAUAUUGUAUUCAUCAAUCAACCUCUUAUUAUAGAACCUGUUACUAUAUGAUCAUUGAGAUGUAAUUUCAAAAACCUGAAAAUAUACAAAUGAUGUUUUUUUUUUAAUCAAAAACAAAUUUUAUUGAUAAAAAUUUGAGAAAUUAUACAAAGUUAGAGGACAAACGAGCUACAAACUACGCUGUGAGCCUCUAUUAUUAUUAUUAGUAGUAGUAGUAGUAAGCGAGGUUAACUUAACGGGAGCCCUCCCCCUAAAUUGUUGGAAAUACUAAUUAUGGCUGCUCAAAAGCUACAUAGACGACCUUCAAUGCUUAGAGAAAAUCAAAAAACAUACAUACGACAAAAAUGCAAUGUUAUGUAAACUGUCAAUACAAACUACAAACAUGUUGCUCCGAGUUUGCGACUUGAUAUAGAAUAUUUUAAGUAUAAUAAUAUAUCCAAGAUUUAAUUAAGUUUUAAUGCUUUCUUUCUUAUUCUUUUAAAACAUCCUUGACAGUAGUAGAAUUCCCAGUACAAUUAUUACCAAGAGUGCAGACUACGGGAUUGCAACUUCAAGUUCAACCAACUCUAAAUCAUAUAUCAACUAAUCAAAAAAAAAAAAAAAUAUGAUCGUCAAAUUAAUCGAACAAACAAAAUAUUUUGAUCUAAAUUAAAAUUUACUAUGCAGUAUAAAAUUAAUUGACAAUCGUGGCAGCGCCACGGGUUUUACUAAUCUAUAUUAUAAUCUACAAAGGGUACAUAAAAUAGAUAAGUUGGGGUUAUAAGUAGCAUUCCAGAUUCUUUCUAGUUCGAAGUUGUAGAUUAGAUCUGCGGCUGUGAUUGGAUUGGAGAUAAACUCAUUUAGCAAUCGUUGGAUUAGAUUGGGUCCAAACUUAAGUUGUGUUGGAUGGUUAGGAUCACAUCAGGAAAACUAACUCUAUCGUUGCUCUAUUGAAACAAUGUAAUUCUUCUUCUCCUUUUCACAUGUUCUUCAUCAUCAUCUUCAUCAUUAAACCAAUAUCUUUGCUUCUCCUUCUCUCUAAUUCAAUUUCUCCACUCUUCAGCACUCUCUCUCUCUCUCUCUCUCUCUCUCUCUCUCUCUCUCUCUCUCUCUUUUCUACUUUGAUUAAGUGAUUUUUUGGGGUGAUUUGAUUGUAUUGACACCUUCAGCAGCAAUAGCAAGCUUUUUGAUACGAUUAAGGUGAACUUUAUUCUCAAUCUUUAACUGUAAUUUUACACCUUCAAUUUCGAAUACUAUUAAUUUCGAAUAGAUUGAGUUGAAUUAAGGGUAAUCCAAUCUUCGUUGGUAAAGCUUAAUUUUAGUCCCUGAAUAAAGAAACCUUUGGUUUCAUCAAUGGCACUGUCUUUUAUAGAUUAUUUUUGCCCAAAGUGUCGUCUCUCAAAAUAAACUUCACCACUAUGUUGUUAAAACCUUUUGUCUUCCUCCUCUCUCUCUCUGCUCUGCAUCAUCAAAGUAAGUUACUGAUUUUGUCUCUGCGAAGCCUCUUUCCAGACCCAAAACUGAAAAAAAAAUUGUUUUGUCUUAAAAUUUCAAUAUAAAUUAAACUAUUUUUUCAUGUCAGCGAUUCAAUUAUUUGAUCAAUAACAAAUAGAUUUUUCUUUAAUUGGCUAUAUUUUACUGUCUUAAACAAAUAAUUAUUUUGUCAAUCAGGUGAAGAGGUUUCAUGUUUCCAUGGAUUAAUUUUAAGUUUGUGGCAAUUUGUUCGGUUCAGUUUGUGCACGAGGUUUUGACAGGUAGAUUAAAUAUCUUGGUUUUUAUGUAAUUUCAUUCAAUGUGAAUCAUUUCAUCCCUAUCACCAAAUUAUUGUUGGCAGAAUUAUUAUUUCAGAUCAUCGUUUUAGAGAAAAUCGACCCAAACUCAAAAAAGUCGAAACACAGUGUUGUCCAAAUAAGUCGUGAGCCUAUUUUUUUUUCUUACACAAUCUAUUUCUAAUAUUCCUCCUUUUUGUUUAUUUUUAUUGUUAUGCUAAAUUGUAAUGCACUUUCAAUAUUGUGUGAUCUUUACUAAGUUCAAUCAAUCUCCUAUCUACUCGAUCAUGGUGUUAUAAUCCUUAAUCUAAUCACUAUUUUCCAUCAACCUGUAUGAUCAAAGAAUUUGAUAUUUAUAUGCAAUUAUCUAUUUCAAAGGACAUCUAUAAUGUGAGUAUUUAAUAUCAACACAGGUGAUAUUGAUAAUGGAGGCCUAUAUGUCCCGGUCACACUAUUUUAAUUCUCACAAACUCCGUUUCACACUUUACCUCUCUCUAUCUCACACGGUUUUUGAAGUUCUAAAAGUUUGUUAAUUUGCUUAUGCAGUUUUUGAUUUUGGAACAUAACUAAUUUAACACUAUUAACCACAGAUGACUGACCUUAAUACACUACUUCAUCAGAUAACUGUUGAGGAGGGUGAUGACUUAUGGACAUAGAGAUUAGUCGUGAACAGGUCAGUUUUCAGUCAAAUCUAUGUAUGGCAAAUUGUGCAAACUAAACACAGGCCCAUCUACUCAACUACAACACUUCCCAACUAAAAUUGUUUGAGACAGACCUUCCCCCCUCAAUAUCAAGAUACUUUUUUGUACAUUAAACUCAUUAAAAUGGGUAAAGCGCUGCCACCAGUCUGUUACAUGUGUGGGAUGUCAAAUGAAUCCACUACUCACUUUUCUGCAUUGUACAAAAAAUUUGUAGAUUUGGACGAUUUUAUUUCUCCCCAGACAUUUACUCAAAGAUUUUUUGUAUAGAGACAGUUCAGUUGGUAGCGUGGCCGGAGAAGCAAGGACCAGAAAUUACUUAGUGGAUUUUGAAUCUACUACCUGCGGCGGUUCUUUGGGUUAUAUGGAAAAAUACAGAAAUGAUCCUUUCUAGACCUUCACCAAAUUGUAUAAGCUGUCUAGACUUUGUAAUCCUUUUUACAAAUUAACAAGAUUUUUCCUUAUAAAGAAAAAAAAAAUACCAUUAACCAAGUUCCUUUAUCUUAAGUUAUCUCUAUACAGCUACAUCCGUUUGAUCACAAAGAGGUGGAUGAUCAACUGUUUUUAUCUUCGAUCAAUUCUCAUCUACAAUACUGGUAUGAAGUCAUAACAUUUUUUACCUUGAUAUAUUGUCCCUAUUUUGCUCACUGGAUAUCAAGAUACAUCCUAUAUCAGGUUAUAUUAAUUAGUGUGCUUUGAUUGGUAUCCUUACUACAAUAACAUAUUAGUUAAUAAUUAUUGGAAUUGAGUAGUGAAGAGAAUUUAGACCCUAGUAUUGGAGUUAAAUUUUGUCUAAAUACUGUAGAUGUUUUCGAGUACAUAGGCAUCACAUUAACAUGUUGCAAGUUAGGACAACUCUUUAGGUAAAAGUCCGCAAUCCAUUUUAUGGUAGUUUGUUUUCAUUGCGUUUCAGGAAGUAUCAGUUUUAUUCAUUGUUGUAUGGGAGUUUUAUUCAUUAUGUUUGCCUUCGGGUUAGUUUUAUUUCAGAGACCUGGAGAAUAUAAAUAUUGUGGUGCAAGUAAAGACUGUAAUUUAGAACUAGCUGAACAUAGGCCAGUUUGCAAUUAAGUUGAUACAAAGUAUAAGGGUUGCAUGUCUCCUCACUGGGUGGCACAAACUUAUGGAAGCAAGAUGAUAGGUGUACGACAACAGCAGGAAGCAACAACAGUAAAUUAAAGGUUUGAGCCUUCCAGGUAAUUACAGUAGCAGCAGUAGGAGUAGCAACGCACUGGCUUGCUGAGGUUUCUUCUUUACUUUUAUUUUUGUUAAAUUUCUUAAUGUAUUUGAUUUUAAUAUUCAGCAGCUUGAGAUCUUUGAAAAAGCGUAUGGAAGAAUGGUCGGAGUUGAACAAAGGAGAUUUUUGCGGGAAAGUCUGGUCCAUUCUUCCUUAUGCCGUGGUUUGGUUCAUUUGGAAUGAUGUUAUCUUUAGGGAAAGGACUGCAAGUUUACUGACAAUGCAGUUCUGAGUUAUGUUGUGACAGAGUUAGUCUGGAGCAAAGGGGUGACAUCAGAUUCAUGGAUCUGUUGAAUGACUUGGAACUAUGCAUGCUCAAGGGUAGACUUUGCAGUUUUCUGAUUGGCUGUGGAUGAAGUUUAUGGAAUGGUGUUGCUUGUUGGUUUUGUUUUUGGCUGCAUAAUGUAAUUUGUAUGCUUUGUAAGUGUGUUGUGUGUAAGCCUUUUGGGGGAUUCGAUCCCAUGGUGCGAGACCUGACGGUGUAAUACUUCAGUUGUACAUUCAAGUUCAAUGUCACUGAGCCAUGGUUCACAGAAGGUCUCAAUAUCAUUCAAAAACCUGUUAAAUUUAUUGGACUGUGUUGUUUGUGUUCAUGAGGAGUAUUUCUCCAAAUCAAACAGUUAAAACCUUCAAUGCCCCAUCAGGUCCCUCAAAACUACUAACCAAACAAACACAUAAGGUACCUUUGACAUUCAAGCUCAAACAUGUUGUAACCAACUAACCUGGGCAUGACCGUAGAAUUAUUAGGAACUCGAAGUUCAAUGUAACUGCCCCUGGUUCACAGAAGUGUGAAUGUGUGAUCAACUACAGAUAGCUCUUUCAGCGCUCAGAGCGAAAUAGUAUGCAUGCGUUGUUUAUGUUAAUGAAGAACAUCAUAUCAAUAUUACACAACCGACCAUGAACGUUUCAGAACCUGCCAACAGUAAAUGUUCUCUAUGAUGCCAUUUUGGUAUUUCACCAGUCCAUGGUUUACUAAUUUACUUCGUUGUCAACCUUCUAGGGGAGAAAAGCUAGGUAAAAUACAUGGUAUACCUAUUGUUAGUGUUAACACACAAAGAGAACCUAAGAAAGUGAAUCCUUAAGCUCCGCUACCUAAUCCUCAAAAACUGCUAGAUAUACUUAUUAUGGUUGCUAAAUAACUGAGCUAUAAUGUUAUGUAGGCUGAUAAUACAACUAGACUAAGAAAAGACUCUUAAGUUUAGCCUUUGAAUGUGUUUGCUUAUGACCCUUUCUUCAUCUGUAUACAUUAGACUUUGGAUCCUUCUACGUACAAGAUCAGGGAGUACCAUUCAUUACUUCUUUACAAAUACUACAACCUACUAUGUCAAUAGAUCAAAAACUAAAUUACAAUUUUAAAUAUACUUUACGUUGAAAUCAAAAUGCUUAGAAAGUGUUGUCGAUAUGUUAUCCUUUCUCAAGAGCUUUGUCUGGCAUUACGCUUGAAAACCCUUAUAUCCUUGGUGUACAGGGUAUAAUUGAUAUUAUAUUACUCCAAAACAUACUUGAUUAGUAUUCAGUUAUCGCAGAACUUCUUUUUACUACUGUUGUUAUUUUUUUAUUAUUGCCAAACUCUAAAGGUAACCAAAUUAAUUUAAAGUGGUACGCUUUCUAUUAUAUGUCAAUUUAUUAAUAAAUCUGUGUCAUUUUAUAAUUCAGAGGAAACUAAUGGUUUACUCUUACAAAGUGGUGGACACAAAUCGUAGAAAUCAGCAAAUUUCGAAAAAUAUCAAUAAUGGAUGGUAUCUAGCUGUUUUUUACGACAUACUUACUCAUCAUAAUAUAUAUUUACUGUAUCUAGACGAGUUUUUGGAUGCAGUUAGAAGGGAAAAUAUAACGAAAGUAAUACAAUCAAUAUUUGAAGAUAUAGAUGACGAUAAUAAAGAUUAGUUUGAGCUAUAUGGUUCACCUAAAUAUUUUAUUGGACUUAAGAUUGUAUGGUUUCUUCUUUUAUGUCACUUUUAUUACUUGGUAGCUUACAAUUUUACACCAAUAAUUUAGGAUCAUAGCGACUUCGAUUUAUUAAAAAUGAACUAUCCUAUAAUGUAGAAUUACAAUAGUUUUAAAUUAUUAUAUCGUAUUUUUGAAUUAUGCGAUAACAAUAGUGUGGGUGCAAAACUUUGAUCUACAAACUCGAGAUAUGUAUAGAUUAAUCGAACAGUUACAAUGAAAGUCUUGUAUAGACAGAGAUUAGAUGGGGGUAUAUAAUCAGACUAAACCUGACGAGGAUCAGGCUGCCUACGUACGUAUCCAAGAAGAUGAACUUGAGAUCAAGUCUCUGCUUCCACUAAGCUCUAAUGGAGUUGCUCCGAGAAAGACUCGUAGUUCAGGAGGUUAAGAACUCUUGUAUUUGUAGUAGGCUGGAGGAGGCUAGCUCAACCACCCCUCCGAUUUUGACUCCAUGAACUCAAGUAGUUCAAAUGUGAAGAUGUUUUACGUAGCGAUAGCUUGCACGUUGCUGAGCGGUUAUCCCUUUGUUUGAAUUCCCUUUGACCAGGAUGAUUGCCACGUGGCAUCCUCUGAUAGGCUCUAGUUCAAUCUGGGUCUUCCUUUAUCUUCUCCAGCGGGCUAGAAUAAUGGGUUCUAUUAGCCGGGAAUCUCGUUGGACUUAUCCAGUUGGUUGAGGCUUGGAUUGACCAAGCCUGGAAGCAAAGACUUGGGCUUGACUCCUCUGACCGGAGGCCCAAUCUUCAUUGCAUACACCCUGGCCAGGUCCUCUGGACUUCUAUGUUAAGCCAUUGGAUGAGCCUCUGUCGCUGUUGGACUUUACUGGGCCGGACCUGGCCUACUUGACUGAGGUGGGCUUGGUCGAUGUAUGGGAGCCCACGGUUCAACUUCUUAUACAGUAACCGGGGCUCCACCCAUUGAUCGUGGACUAUCUGGUGGAUCAAGGUCCACAAAGAGUAUGUGGACUGUAACGCCCCGGGAUUUCGUCCUCGCUCAUCCCGGUGCGUCGAGCACCAUACCGCUCGCUAAUGUCAAUAUUGUCCCCCUUUAGUCACUACGGAUAUCCAGCAGUAGAGGGCUUUGGAUCAGGGCCCACCCAUGUGGCUUACCCCAAAAGGCCUUGACAUUAGUUAGAGUAUGGUUAAGCUCUAUAUACUACCAAUAAAACCACUUCCUUGGCAAUGUGGGACUAACACCAACUCAUGGGUGUUACAAUCUCACCACCUUAGAAAUAGAGCCGUCCUCGGCUCUGCAGUACGCUCAGUACAGUCCCAAAAUCUCCGACGUUCCCUGCCAAGUGAGACAAGUACCUGGCGCUCCCUGGGCUUUUCCAGCGUACUUUCCCACUUGCAACAGGCGACCCGUCGUCGGCUUUGAUACCAACUGUAACGCCCCGGGAUUUCGUCCUCGCUCAUCCCGGUGCGUUGAGCACCAUACCGCUCGCUAAUGUCAAUAUUGUCCCCCUUUAGUCACUGCGGAUAUCCAGCAGUAGAGGGUUUUGGAUCAGGGCCCACCCAUGUGGUUUACCCCAAAAGGCCUUGACAUUAGUUAGAGUAUGGUUAAGCUCUAUAUACUAUCGAAACAACCACUUCCUUGGCAAUGUGGGACUAACACCAACUCAUGGGUGUUACAUGGACUCCUUGAGACCGGGUUGGGCCCUGAGGAUAGCCCAGGCCUGGAUGGCUAAUCCUCAGGUGCUCCUGGUUUAGCUUCUUAUACAGCCAUCGGUGACACAUGUCGGUUUUUUACCUGGGGUACACACAUUGCCCCCUCUUUGUCAAGUAGAAAAUCUGCUUGGGAAAUAUCUUCCCCGGCUGUUGAGAUUCGGAGGAUUCCUUCCUUGAUACGACUCCUGAUGACGAUUCCGCAUCUCUUAGAUCAAGGACUAGGGUUUAUUUCCUCCCCAAUAAAUAGCAAACCGGAGGUGUAGAAGGAUAUCCACUUCUCUUCCCCCGGUUUUUAUUGUUAUUGUUGUUGCUGAAGCUUCUACUGGAGAAUGGCUGACGACCGGGUUGCUGACUUAGCUCACCGUGCAUUCAACCUCAAAGUGGAACAUGUGUUCAACCGUGUGCAGGCCCAAGAAAAGAACCUUGAGAGGGUCGUGCGAUUGGAACAUGACAUGAAGUUGUCUCUCAAGAAGCGAUACGACAUUAUUGCAUACCUGCACCGAGAUCUCCGGCUUUCUGAAGAUUCGCUUAAACAGGUCGAAGACCAGAUUCAGAACUUGAAAGAGAAGGUUUGGAUCCUUGGCAAUGCUGCGGCCGGGGGUACUAGCUGGGAUCAAGCCACUAUUUCCCCUCCUACUACCUCGGACUUUCAAAUGGGGGGGGGGGGGGGUAUGUCCAAAAAUCUCUAUUAUAUAUGGCUGCAAUGACUAGUAACAUCUUAAUAGAUGUUAUCUUCGUGAUUAGUGAGUAGUUGUCAAGAUAGUUUAAACCUUCUUUUGACAACUCUUGUGCUAGUAAACUAGCUUUAUAUUUAUCAAUGGAACCAUUAGGUUUCAUUAUUCUCUUGAAAACUAGCUAUUUAUACCCGAUUGAUUUACUUCUUAAAAAAAGAUAAAUUAAUCCCAAAUAAUAUAAUAGUUUCAGUCUCACUAGCUGUCAAUUUCUCCAAAGUAAAGCUUUAAGAGAAGGCAUUGCCUUCAUGCUCAAUUUCUAUCAUAUAUGAUAGAAAAUCUAGACCAAAAGAGUUAGAGGUUCUAGCCCCUCUUAGUCUAUAUAAUUCAGUUUUAUCUGAAUCACAUUUUCAUUCAUUUGUCUCACAAGAUACCAAAAUAUUUAUUUUGGAGUAGUGUCAAUGUGAUCUUUCCUAUGUGGAAAGACAGUCUCACAAAAUGUGAUAUCACAUGACUUUAUUAUAGUAUUUGAUACUAUAUCUCUAUUUGUUCAAAUUUACCUACCCAAAAAUAUGAACAUGCUAAUUAUUUUGAGCAUAUUCCAACAAAUAGCAUUCACUCAUUUUAAUGUCUAAGUUUGGAUCUCUUUUUAUUGGAACCAUAACUUUGGGCAUAUACCCCCACACUUGAAGGUAUUUAUAAGCUGUCAUCCUUUUUCCAUAUUUUAUAUGGAACACAUCAUUUUUCUUAUAGGGUACUCCAUAUGUAAUUAAGCAUACGAAAUAUUUUGAUCAACAUAAAUUUGAACCAAUAAAGAUUCGUAUUCACCCCCUUUAUCAAGAUGUUAUGAUCUUAAUUUUCCAAACUGAGCUAUCCUCCCCCCCCCCCCCCCCCCCCCAUUUGAAAAAGAAUUGAGAUACCCCCCCAAUUCAAGAUGUUGUGUUAUCUUAGCCGUCCAUCAUAAAACUCACCUACGGCUGUAAAACUCUUCUCUCUUGAAUUGGGGGGGUAUCUUAAUUUUUUUUUCAAAUGGGGGGGGGAUUGGGGGGUAUCUCAAAUUUCUACUUUCAAAUGGUGGGGUAUGUCCAAAAAUCUCUAUAUAAUAUGGAAAUUCAUCAAGAGGACGAAUUAACUGAGAUGGAUCAACUAGAAAUGUUCCAAAUCCAAGGAUAAGGAAAUAAAAUGUGUAAACUGGUUAUAUUCUUAUAUGGUUUAAAAUAACUUCCAACACAAUGGCAUGUGACGCUAGUUGGAGUUAUAUUAAAGAAAGGGUUUUCACAUCAACUAAUUAGACAAGUGUUUCUAUUUCAAGCAAGUAUACGAGAAUUGUAUAAUUGGUUGUUUAAAUGUCGAGGACAUGCUUAUUUUCAAGACUAAUAAUGAAGUCAUUAAGUCUAUGAAAAUAUGUUUAACAAACAAUUUUGAUGUGAAAAAUCUAGAGAUUCUAGACGUUUAUCUUGAGAAUUAAGAUAAUAAGAUCUCCUAAUGUGCGAACUUUAUCUCAAUCAAUUACGUUGAGAAAAUGAUAGAUAUAGACUUAUGCAAUAUGGAAUUACUAAGGUGGGUACUCCUUGUAUUCCAUUUGUGGUGUUGCAUAAAAUAUUGGUCCUACCAUUUUUCAACUCGAGCAUUCUCGUAAUAUUGGUAGAUUAAUGUACAUUGUGACUUGUACAAGACCAUAUAUUGUUUAUUCUAUCAGUAAACUAAACACUGGGAUGUAUUACUACGAGUAUAAGUAUUUGAGGAAUGCAUAUUACAUAUUGCAUUAUGGAGAAUAUCCAAAUGUCCUUGAGGGAUACGUUAAUGCAAAUUGAUUUUCUUAUACAAGAAAAUCAAGAACAAUUAGUGGUUAUGUGUUUAUCAAAGCACAUAGUUGCAAUUUCAUGGAAAUCUUCUAAACAAAUGUGCAUUGCACAAUCCAUAUGGAAUUUGAGUUUAUAGCUAUAAGUAAAACAAGUGUAGAAGUUGAGUGACUUCAAGAAUUUUAGAAGAUAUUCCACUAUGGCCUAACAAUGUGGGGGUCAUGUGAUAACCAAGCAACAAUUUACAGAAUAGAAAUUUUUUUUGUACAACAGUUUGUUAUGACGUAUAAAUAAUACAUCGUAGACAUAAUACCGUGAGGCAGUUACUCUCAAAUGGAAUUAAAUCCAUUGAUUAUGUGAAAUCAAAAGAUAACCUAACGGAUCCAUUUAUUAAGGUUUAUCUAGAGAGAAAAAUAACUGUGCAUUGGGGGGACCUAAAGCCUAAACCAAUACGAGUUAUCCUAUACGGAAACCUAACCUAGCGACUGGAGAUCCCACUGACUAGGUUCAAUAGGACAACCAGUUCUGAGUAACUCACACGGGAGCACUUGGGAGUCCUACUGCAUCCUGAUUCCUAUGAUGCAACAAGUGCAACCUACAUGCGAUAAAGAGGUUAAGCUAUGCUUUUAAUGAUGUCUAUAUCUUGUGAAAUACAAGUGAGGUAUUGUAGGAUACCUUUUAUAGAAGCGGUCACCUAUGUUAGUGAGAGUUGGGUCGGCUCUAUGAGGAUUCUUAAAGGCAGAAUUUCUCUAAUAGCACUCGCAGAACCUAAGAUUGUUCAGUGCCAAAAUGAAGACAACCGAGAAUUGAAUUUGAAUCGGAACAAUGUUGUGCAUGAUUUAUUGUCUUGGUUUACACCAACAACUGACAGUUCAAGAUGAAAUAUUUCACUGAUUAGCUAAGUAAAUCCGAUAGGCUUAUGCUACGGAAGGUUCAAAGUGAAAUAUCUACCUAUCCCGAGGCAAUAUUGUUCCAACAUACUCUUCGAAAUUUUUGAGAUGUUGUAGAAUCGUUUUCAUUCAUGUGGGGGAUUGUUCAAGGAAAAUUCCAUUAUAUAUGAAUGAAACAAUGUUCUAUAGUCCCAUAAUGGGUUGUGGCCUUGUUUGGAUCUUAAACAUUGUAGAUAAUUGUCACUCAUGUGGGGGAUAGUUGGAAAUAUAUUUUUUAAUAAAAUAUUUUGUUAUGAGUGAAAAUUAAGGAGAAAAGGUGCAUCCAUUGGAUAAUACCUUUUAGGAAUUGUUGUGACCAGAUUCAGUGUAUUUUUCAUAAUUCUUUAUGAAAAGACAUGUCUUUUCCUUUAGUUUACAAUAGGUGCCUAUUUGUGAAAAGGUACUUUGAAACAACUUAUCACCUUUUUGUAAAAGGUGUAUGUAUGUGAAAAGACACUUAUGAAGAGACACUUGUGUAACUAUAAAUAGUGUGCUAAUUAUUGGUCAAUUAGUAUACAAUUAAUUAUACUAUAAAUAGUGUGUUAAUUGUUUGCUAGUACUCUACUAUUACAGUGCGGUUUAGUAGAGUGAAGAACGGUUGUAUCUUCGGAGACCAAUCGUCCAGUGACUGUUUGCACCAUAGCAGGGAUGUAAUAUUGUCUUAAGAAAAUUGCUUCGACAAGCCUCAGUUCAUUUCCUUCUCCAAAAUCCGUAUGAGCAAAGUGGAGUAAGUGUUUACUUUUAAUUUGAAUUUAUUGAGUGUAAAUUCAUUUGAGUUUAUUCUUUUAUUAGAAUUAUUUUUGUAAUGUGUAUUACUUUAUUUUAUCUUGGGUUAUUAUUAUGAGUUCACACAUAUCGUUACCAACAAUUACUUCUAUAUUUGUCAUGUUAUUUCCUUAUGUUGUUGUUGGUCACUGACAUAUUCUGUCGUCUACGUUUUAGAUAAAUAAAAGUUUUUAUUAAGCUAAAAAAAACUGUAUCAUAAAACUGCAAGUUCCGAAAUAGUAUAUAUGCUACUGCAUCUAAGCAUGUAAUUUAAUUGAUAUUUAAUUCAUAUAUUUUUGUACGGAAUAGGUUUAUAAACCUAAUCAUAGAGAAAGUAAACCAUUGUUGUUUCUUUGACCAGAUGGUGUUUCACAGGCACGCUCAUUAAGAAACUGUUUGACAAACUACUCAUAGAAAACUAAUACAUGAUUGACUAUCACUAUCAUAGAAAAUUAUAGAAGAUGGCCAUAGCAGUGUAUCACUGUAUGCUCUCUAAUUGUUAUCAAUUGGCAAGUACUUAGUUGCGACAAAUGGACGACUAUGAUAGAAAUAACAUAACCUGACAGUGGGCAACAACAAUGGCUUAAGAACACUUAUUUAGGGUGGUGAAAUGGUGAAUCGCCAGAAAUAACCAUUUACAAUGCUGAUGUAGACAUGCCAGCUGAUCUAGCUCUCUUUGCCAUUGUAUUCAAUAAGGCAAAGCACUUAACUCUUAUUUCUCCAAGGGCAAUGAUGUUGUACUUCAGGAAUGCAAUUUACUGAUUACUAACUUUGUUAUGGUGCUCGAUCUUUCAGGGAGAAAAAUGUGUUGCUGGAUUUCGUGUUUAUGUCCAGGAAGAGAUUUAUGAUAAUAUUGUACAAACAAUUCUACAAUGCCAAUAAAUGACCACCUGUAGAAUGCUUAUGCCAGUCCAGGAAUAAUCAGUUUGGUAAAUAAUUGAUGCUCUAAUAUAUGCCAGUCCAGGAAUAAUGUGGUCUGAAAGCUCAAAUAUAUGCCAGUCCAGUACAUAGAAAUAGUCGACAUUUUAUUGAGGAUGGAUUUGUGCACCUAGAAUGAAAGAAGAACGCACUACUGCAGACAAGUUUAAUCUAAUAGCCCGACUAUUGAAAACAAAUACUAGAGGUCAUAUUACUCAUAUGGUGCAUGGCAGAUUCUUGUAUAACAAAAACUAAUUUCAACAAACCACUAAAAGAACAACUCCAUCAUCUAGAAUAUCAAUCUCAGAGAGUUCAAUUAUUAUUUAUUUAUUUUUCCAAAACUCUAAUAUUUAGCAAGGGCAAAUUAGUGACAAAAAAUGAUUGGAAGUUAACAAACUAAUUUCCACAAGAUAUGGGGCCAUGUGUAACAAUCCUAGCGGGGUGGGUAGGGUGGUGAGCAAAAUAUUUAUCCUUCUUUUUGGCAAUCUUAUCUCUAGAUCAAAUUCAAACCACAAUUGCCACAUAUGCUAAGAUAAAACCCUUUAUAGAUGAAGAUUUCAAAUAAGAUAUUGUUGUUCCUAUUCUUAUAUAUCUGGGGAAAUAUGUUCAAUCAAUGUAAUGGUUUCAAAAAUUUCAAUACAAUGUUAAUAUUUAGUCUUUACUAAGUUCAAUCAAUCUCCUAUCUACUCUAUCAUGGUAAUAAGUCUUAAUCUAAUCUCAAUUUUCAAUCAACCUGUGUCAGAGUAUUAGAGGUGAUGAAAAUAUUUGAGUUUGUAUGAUAAAUAAGGAUUGAAUUACUCAUAGUUUGUAUCAUAAGCUUAUCAUAACAUCACUGACGUUCAUUAAAAUUGUUUGAAAUAAUCCGAGGUUAAUUAUUUUAGUUAAUGUUGAAGUGUAUGGUGUUGAAAUAGUCCUUGAAGACAUUCAUGUUCACUUUACUGUAUUAUCAACAUGGAUAAUGAUGAUAGAUGUUCUUAUGAACACUACAGAACACUUCUUCCGAGAAUGGAUGAAUGAAUAACAUGGCUGUUGUAUUGGAACCACUGAAGCCAAUAAUUUAUUUUUUUUUUAUUUUUUUUUUUUUGCAGAAGAGUCAAACUGUGGAUUCUCAUCUUCUAAGGCUGCAGGACUCCAUCUAUAAUAAGUCGGGUACGUUUAAUUUGUUUUAUCACAAUGAGUUGAAUAGGAUUGCCAGUCUUCCUUUGGCUCUGCUUUGUUAACCCUCCUGGUAGUCAGAUUUCAAACCUGAUGUCAACUUUCAGUCUUUCACUAUUUUCUACAGUCUGCUAAAAGAAACCGUAUUUGAUUUGUACCAUAUAUUCCAAGUACACCAAGCCUUGUGAUCAUGUGACGUAGAUAGAAGCAAUUGUGAUGCCUUAGGAUUACCACAGUGAAAGACUGAAAAUUGUCUGAAAGGCGCUUUCAGCAUUCUUAUGUUGUCUUUAAUUUUAAUUUUUAUUGUUCAGCGGCGACAUAUUUUAUUUCUAUUGGAUCCGUGUACAUUUAUAAAUGGUUGUGUUGUUAGCAAACAACUCAUGUUUGUAAUGGGAUUUUGUGAUUAAAAUUCUCAUUUUACGUGAUUAAAUUUUAUAAGUUGACAUAAAUGUGUAUUAGUUCAUAUUAAGCGAGAUAAGGAGACACCUUUAUGGCUUUAUUGAUUAGCUAUCUUUAGCAAUUUUCAGAAAGUUUGUAGCACUCAUUGGAAGCUAAAUCUUUCAAGAGUUAUAAUAGAUGUUGACAUGGUGUAUUCCACCGCGUAAAAUUCUCAUGUUGAACUCACUGUGGCUCUUCACUAUGUAUUUAAUCUUCCACAAGGCAAGAUACUUUGGGAUCUUGGACAUCAUGUCCCUUUCUUCCUUCUUUUUCCUUACCUGUCUACGUAGAGAGAUUUAUCGUUCUAAUUUGAUUGCAAUAUAAGAUACAGCUAAUCAAAAGAUUUAGGAAUAAUGGUUCGAGAACACUAAAAAGCUGAUCAGUGGUUCUAAUUCAUCACUAUUUGAGGAGCUGGGUCUCUAUUACAUUGGUCCAGUAGAGUACUCAUAUAACAGGUCCAGUUCUCAUUCAUGUUGUGACUGAUAAAGGCCGAGGAUACCCAUACGCAGAAAGAGCUGCAGACAAGUAUCAUGAUACACAAGUAUUAACUGCAAUUAGUAUACUACUAUUGGAAAUGUUAAGAUUUUAAAUCAAUGCUUUAUCAUUGCAGAUGUAACCAAGUUUGAUACCAGAAAAGAAUUCAAAGGCAGCAACAACACUCAGUCUUACACUACCUAUUUUGGAGAGGCUUUGAUUGCUGAAGCAGAAGUAGACAAGGCUAUUGUAGCCAUCCAUGCCGCAAUGGGAGAAGGUACAGGCAUUAAUCUCUUCUUUCGAUGCUUUCCUACUAGAUGCUUUGAUGUUGGAAUUGCGGAGCAGCAUGCUAUAACAUAUGCAGCAGGCCUUGCUUGUGAAGGCCUUAAACCUUUCUGUGCAAUAUAUUUGUAUUAACCUGUUUCCAGAUUAAUGCAUUAACGAGGUCAGGUCGUUGGACUGACCAAGGUGGGAGUUUUGAGAUCGGGGAUGGCUGCACCUCGAUGAGAUCGAGAUUGCCUACGUACUCUAGUUCGGGGGAGUGGAACUUAGAGACCAAGCCAUCGUAGUUCUGUUCUUAUAGAAGAUGAAAGGGCGCAGAUCAUGGGAUCUUGCAGAUUCUCCAACAUCUUGAUGAUUGCGUGAUAUCUGGCAUUGAUUACGUAACGGGCGAGGAUAUUCUCUGUGCAUGGAUUGCGCAACGGGCGAAGAUAUUAUGUGCAUUGAUUAAGGGCACGUGUAUAUGAAGAGGUCGCCAACGGUUGCAUAAUCGAGCUGCUCUGGUCGUGCAGUGAGCGACAUGGUGGAAUAUUGUGCAGGCCACGUAUCGUGUUUUGAUUGGCUGGUGUAUGUAGUACCCCUACAAUAUUCAUCCUUCUUACAGAGAGCUUAUGACCAGGCAAGUCAAAUAUUCUCAUCAUUAUUAUGUACAUUACAGAUUGAUUACAAAGUCCAAAUAAGUAGUUAUUGUUCGUCGUUCUUUUUGUGAACACUGGAUGCGAACACAAACAACACAGUUGGAUAGUUUUAUUCAUAGUAUUAAUUAUGUUUUACCUUAUUAAUAUACAAACAAAUUACCUUCUGUCAUGCUCAUAUUUCUUCAAUUGACCUUCUGCACAUUCUCUAAAUGACUAUAUUUAAUGCUUAAUAUUACGUUUUCCAUAGCCAGAAUAUUCGAACCAUAAGUAGCUUAUGUAAAUAGUUGGACCUGUUUUGUCUGCAGGAACUUAAGUUCUAAUCAUUGGAAGGUUCCAUCAAGGCGUCGUCAAAAGUCUCUUGUUUGUCUGUGAGUAUAUCUGAGCCUUUUCCAGCAAACAUCCUUAUCUCUACCAUUUUACCGUGAGCGUUUGGUCAUUUUUUGUAUUGCUUAUUGAUAAAUUAUCUUUGUGCUUAGGUGAUGUAGAACAGUGCUGACGUCAUCACAGCCAUGUUGACAUCAUUUUUAGAAAUUUAUUUAUUUAUAUUUUUUUUUUAUCUUAUUAUUUUAUGUAGUAAUUUAUAUUUUAGAGUCUAUAAGUUCUAGAAUAGCUGGUUUACUAUUAGUUUGAUAUUAGUAAUACAAUUCAAAGUAGGAUUUGUAUUUUGAUUUAUUUGUUUAGGAAGUCCUAGUGCUAGUUGGUCUAAGUCUUUAGUCUAUAUAAAGAGUCAUGCUUUUUAGAAUAAUUAUUCAAUUAUUCAAUCAAUACAAUUAAGAUUUGUCUCUACAAUUUAUUUUUUCUUUAGUUUUGUUUUAGUUCUUGUUUCAAGGCAAACCUCCCCUUGGGUUAUUCAAGGUUUGAUUUUUAAUCGCUUCCGCUACGUCAAUUGGUAUUAAGAGUUUCGUUUCGAUCCUACAAUGGUUAAUGACAGAGAUUCUUCACCCCUCUUCCAAGUCGGUAAUCUUGGAGAUUAUGUGACGAAGGUUGAAUUCAAUUCGGCUAUUAUUCGUCUCACCGCUUCAAUCGAUAAACUUACUCUUCGAUUUGAUAAGUUUAAAUGUAAGUAAUCUAUUGUUGAUGCUCCUACCCUCCCACCCUCUACUAUGACCAACAUAUCCCAACCACCCCAAUUUUCCACCACCACCCCAACUUUACCAUAAGGUUCCAAUAUUGACUUCACAUCUCUCCCUAUUCAUGGUUGCCCCCAAACACCACAAAACCUAUUUUCACAUCCCUACCCAUACAUACAACCCUAUAGUAACUCCCAACCAUCUCAACUCUCCAACACUCUACAAGUUCGCACCACUUAUACCACUAUUGUUUCUCCAUUUCAAUCUCACUACCAACUCCUACAUUCAACCAAUAAUGUCCCACCCACUAUACAAAAUUUCCAACCACCCCCCAAUCUUCCUAUUAAUCGUUUUCAACAAACUUAUCACCGUCGCGUCCCUCGAGCACCAAAUUCUUAUCUUGAUGAUCGUGAUAGUGAUGAUGACGCUGAAAAUUACUAUCAACAAGCAUGCCCUCAACCUCAACAACAACACAACAACAACUUUCAUACUUAAUCUGACCAGUUUCGCAUGAAAAUUGAUCUCCAUACUUUUACUGAUAAUAUAAAUAUUGAGGAGACUCUUGAUUGGAUUCAUGAAGUUGAGAAUUUCUUUGAGUACAUGGAUACUCCCAAACAUGCACAAUUUAAGCUCGUGGCAUAUAAACUCAAACAAGGUGUUUCUGUUUGGUGGGAACAACUCAAGGCUCAUCGUCGAAAGAAUAAUAAGCGGGAUAUUGUUUCUUGGGCACGUAUGAAAACUUUGAUUAUGGAGCGUUUCUUGCCUAAGGAUUAUGAGAAAAUUUUAUACAACUAAUUGUCAUCGUGUCGCCAAGGAUCUCAUAGUGUUGAUGACUAUGCUACUGAGUUUCAUCGCUUGGUGUCUCGAAAUAACAUUGUGGAAAGUGAAGAUCAAUUAGUUACUCGUUUUCGUAAUGGUUUGAAUAGGAAUAUCGUGGAGAAGAUUUUUCACUCAAUUCCUACCUUGGCCGAUGCAAUUCAAAUUGCACUCAACAUUGUGCAACAUAAUAGUUUUCGCACGAAUUCUAGUAAGUCAUACUCUUCUCCAUAUUCUUCUCAAUCUUAUCCAAAUCGUCGCAACAACUACAACCCUUCACCAUCAUCUACUGCACACCACAAUAAUCAAAAUUCUCCAAACACUAACUAUUCACCCAACACUCCUACAAACAAUCAAUCCACACUUGCUUUCAACGAUGAUCAACCUUCACCUACCAAAGCUUCACAAACCACCCAACCAAGCAAAACCAAUCCAUAUGCUUACCCUACCAUGCCCAAUUGUUACCCUCGCAGCCAAUCGGGACAUAAGCAACAUGAAUGUCCCAAAUGAGAUAAGUCUAGAGUUAACUUUAUUGAUCAUGAUGAAAAUGAUUGCGAUGAUGACUAUUGUGUGUACCCUAGGUAAAAAGCCCGACAGGUGUCACCGAUGGCUGUAUAAGAAGCUAAAUCGGAAGCACCUGAGCAUUAGCCAACCACGCCUGUGCUGUCGGGUAGGGCCCAACCCGGUUUCAAGAGAUCCGCAUACGCUCUGUGGACCGUGACUCACCGGAUACCACUAUCAAUGGGUGGAGCCCUGGUUAUUGUAUAAGAAGUCGAACCGUGGGCUCCCAUACAUCGACAAGGCCCACCUCAGUCAAGUAGGACAGGUCCGGCCCAGUAAGGUCCAGCAGCGCACAGCGGCUCAACCAAAAGCUUAGCACAAAAGUCCAGAGGACCUGGCCAGGGAGUAUGCAGUGUAGAUUGGGCCUCCGGUCAGAGGAGUCAAGCCCAAGUCUUUUCUUUCAGGCUUGGUCAAUCCAAGUGCCAACCAACUGGAUAAGUCUAGCGAGAUUCCAGGCCAACAGAACCCAUGGUUCUAGCCCGCUAGAGAAGAUAAAGGAAACCCAGGUUGAACCAUGACCUAUCAGAGGAUGCCAUAUGGCAGUCAUCCUGGUCAAAGGGGAUUCAAACCAAGGAGAUAACCGCUCGGCAGCAUGCAAGCUAUCUCCAUGGAAAGCAUCUUCACAGUUGAACAACCCGAGUUCGUGGAGUCAAAAUCGGAGGGGUGGUUGAGCCAGUCUCCUCUGGCCUACUACAAAUACAGGAGUUCUAAACCUCCUGAACUACGAGUAUUUCCCUGAGCAACUCCAUUAGAGCUUAGUGGAAGCAGAGACUUGAUUCCAAGUUCAUCUUCUUGGAUACGUAGGCAGCUUGAUUCCGACCAGGUCUAGUCUCACUGUAUUCUCACAUCCUAUCUCUGUCAAUACAAGGCUUUCAUUGUAACUGCGAUUAAUCUAUACAUAUCUCGAGUUUGUGGAUCAAACUUUUGCACCCACACCGUGGGGCUCAAUCUCCCAUCAGUUCCAGAGCCUUGCAAGGAAUCUCAUUCCAGUCAUACCGGAGUUGCUGCAGCAAUGGCCGGAAGUAAGAGACGCCCAACUCGUUCCAACAAUGGAAUGAGUCAAGUUAGUGAAAGUCAGACAGAGAACCUUUCUCCUUUGUCUUCGUUUCUUGAAGCAACAGAACCGGUGAAUCAAGAAUCAGUUCUCGGGAGUGAAGGCCAUGAUCAGGGCUCACAACACUCUGAAAGUGGACAGCCGGAGGUAGAACACUUAGUGGUACAAAUCACUAAUGAUCCUGGUGAUCCUAAUACAGUCAACCGAACCAUCAGGAUACCAGCAUCACAAGAUCCUGAACCUUCCAGGGCAGCCGCUACAAGAAGAAUCCAGAGAAUCUUUCCCCUGACAACGGGAGGAGGUUAUACUGAGCAGCAGAAAGGAAAGGACCAGCGGUCGAGUCCCCAACUACAAUCAUCAAGCGACUGACUAAGGAAAAUACGGAAUUAAGGAGAAAAAAAGAGAACCUGGGCCGGAGAUAGCCAGUUAUCUUCAGCCCUAUCUUCGUGUCCAUCUCUUCAGAAGAAGAUAAGGCCACGGUCAAGUAGUGACUGGAGUCUUACCCCUCAUAGCCAUGGUCCCCGUCCUGUCUGGGAUAGGCUAGCACCAGGGAGAGAUAGGAUGUCUAUCUCUCCAGUUCAGAGACAUCGCCGCAGACGUGCAAGCACCCGGGCUACGUCAUGGCUGCAGGAUUGCCCGCAACAAAUUUGUCGAAAAAACCACUCCUCCAGGGAGACUGCGCCGGAGGAGGCACCAGAGUACUCCCCCGACAUAUCACGGUCAUAGAUCAAGGAGCCCUCAAGGGAUCCACAUUCAUCAGAGACAACCGGAGUAGAAAGUGGAACAGAUGAAUCAACUCAAGCAACAUGAGAUGAUCGACUUAGCUGUAUCCAAUAAAGCCAACCGGGAUGAGCGAAUCAGAAAGCUUCCUCUUUCGAGACUAGCCGUAUCACCUCUAGAAGAAGAGGUCAGGAGCCAUAUGGUCCCGGCCAACUUCAAGCAGCCGGCCUUCGAACAGUAUGACGAGACUAGCGGUUGUCUAGUUCAGCAUGUUAUGAACUAUAAAAGCACCAUGGCCAUCUAAGACCAUGAUGACAAACUACUAACGUUGUUGCUUCACUCAAAGGCGAAGCAUAGACGUGGUAGCACAAUCUGCCACUCGCAUCCAUCAACACAUCCAUGGCCAUCUAAGACCAUGAUGACAAACUACUAACGUUGUUGCUUCACUCAAAGGCGAAGCACUGACGUGGUACCACAAUCUGCCACUCGCAUCCAUCAACACAUUCGUACAACUGGCUGAGUUGUUUGAAGAAAAGUACCGAUUCAAUGUGAAGACCAAGAAAGGAGCUGAAGUCUUGUUCUCCUUAUAGAUGUACCGGAGCGAAACACUCAGGAAUUUCGCCCGGAGGUUUCGAACCUUACUAUCUGUGGUACAGGAAGCAUCUGAUAGCGUCGUUAUUCAAGCUUUCAAGUAUGCCUUGAGUAGCAACCAUGAAGAAUUGUACCAGUCACUGGCAAGGAAGCCUCCCUCCUCUGUUUCGGCCUUGCUCGAGAAAGCGGAAAGGUAUACCCAGGAGGAGAACGACCUGUAGGCCAGAAGAAAGAGACUUGCCGGAGGCCAAACCUCCGAGAAGCCGCAGAAGGCAAAGGAAGAAAGCUCCGGCAGGAAUCGCAAGGAAAAAAAAGCCCCUGGCAGGAACAAAGACAAGAAGGUGAAAGCGCCAGCCCGACAACCCGACCGCCGAUCAGAGAAGCUACCGGGGGCGAACGCAAAGAAAGGGAAUUCACACCCUUGAGAUUCCCUCUCGAGGAAGUAUUUAAAAAGAUCAAGAACAGAGGGUUGCUUAACAAACAUGCCCCUCUUCCGGCAGACCAGGAGGCCAGGAGAGAUAAGGUCCAAGAAAUGUGAUCAUCACAAUGAUUACGGUCAUGAGUUGAAGAACUGCAGGUCUUUGAAAUACAAAAUGCAAUGCCUGGUCGAUGCUAGCUUCAUCCCAAACAUGGUCCAGACCGGAGCAGUCGAACAGGUGAAAACUAGAGAUCGAAUUGUAUAAGUCUGCCAUGUACAAACACCCGGUUCUUCUAAGACAGAAAAAAAAAUUGUGCUCAGGAAAAGCUCUGGUGGAUAGGGCAUGUCCAUGAAGUUGGACAGCUCAACUUCAACGAAGGGACGGACAUUGAGUGCAUUAUCCCCGGAGGUUUGACAUUCACCGAAGAAGACGAAAGAGGAGUGCAUUAUUGUAAAACCUCGGGUCGACAGGUGGUUUGCCGAGGGGGUGGGUCCUAGGACACCUAAGAGGAGGAUGUCCUGACAUUGGAAUAUAGGUAUAGAUCCGUCAAAUAUUAUCACCGAGGCAUUUUGGGCUCACUUGGCUUCAGAGUUUGAAAGAAUUCCGGAGUUAAACGUGCUCGGGUGGGAGUAGCCUCAGGAUGGGUGACCUCCUGGGAAGCAGGCUGCUGCCCAAUAAAACCCCACACUAUCGGACGUCCACAGUGGCUAAGUGGGGACAAUAUCGGUGGUGAUCUAUACCUAUAUUCCAAUGUCAGGACAUCCUCCUCUUAGGUGUCCUAGAACCCACCCCCUCGGCAAACCACCUGCCGACCCGGGGUGUUACAAUUAUCCACACAAUGAUGCCCUGGUCAUCAUAGCAUGGAUUGGAGUCUACCGGGUCCGGCGAGUCAUGGUCGAUGCCGGCAGCACCUCCAGUGUUAUGUUCUCAUGCGCCUACAAAGCUAUGGAGCUAUCUAAGGGUCUCAUCGAAUCUGAUGAGACUCCUAUCUAUGGGUUCAACGAGGAGCCAACACUGUCCUCCAGGCGAGUCCACCUGCCAAUCACGGUGGGGUUCAACACUGUCAGGAUAGACUUCCUGCUAGUCGACUCCCCCUCCUGCUACAACGUUAUUCUGGGAAGGGACUAGAUUCAUCAGAUGAAAGCCAUAUUGUCCACCUUCCACCAGAGCCUCAAAUUCCCGACUCCCAACGGAGUUUGCAGAGUCAAAGGGGACCAAGGGACGGCAUUCAAGUGCCAUCUCGAUGUUGUCAAAGGAAAGUCCAUCUCCGAAACCAAGGGGAACACUAUCUUCCUGACGGACUCUCAUCAAUAGCAACCAGCUCCCGGCAAGUCUGCCAAGGGGAAGCCAGACAUAAAGACCGGGAUAUUACCAGUGGUCGAAGAGCUAGAGGAAGUUAUUGUGGGAUCAGAGUCCAACAAGACGACUUACAUCUCUUCCGGUCUACCGGAGACAGAGAAGGAUUCUAUGAUCACUCUGCUCUGGCGGAAUCACCACGUCUUCACGUGGAGUGUGAAUGAGAUGCCAGGAAUAGACCCUGCGGUCGCCUGCCAUAAGCUAGACAUUAAUCCUCAGUACAAACCGGUUAAGCAGAAACCAAGGCGAAUGGCACUGGAUCGAAAACUGGCAGUCAACGAAGAGGUCGAUCGGCUACUUUCAGUCAACUUCAUCGAGCCAGUCAUCUACCCUACUUGGGUUUCCAGCAUCGUGGUCGUCCCGAAGAAGAAUGGUAAGAUUUGAGUUUGCAACGAUUUUACUAAUCUUAACAAAGCAUGUCCUGUGCACCCAUAUCCACUCCCCAGGAUCACAGACAUGGUAGACGCCACCACCGGAUAUCAAAGAUUGUCUUUCAUGGACGCAUACUCCGGUUACAACCAGAUUCCACUUCACGAAGAAGAUCAGAAACAUACCGUAUUCAUCACCAACCGGGGUUUUUACUAUUACUGGGUGAUGCCAUUUGGUCUGAAGAAUGUCGGAGCAACAUACCAGAAGCUGGUCAACACCAUCUUCAACGAGCUCAUAGGCCGGACCAUGGAAGUCUACAUAGACGACAUGGUGGUCAAAACCAUGGAGAAAGACAAUCAUUUACGAGAUCUAUAGUAGACAUUCGACAUCCUCACAAGGUACAACAUGAAGCUGAAUCCAGCCAAAUAUUCUUUUGGUUUUUCUUCCGGCAAGUUCCUUGGAUUUCUCAUGACCAACCGGGGCAUAGAAGCCAAUCCAGAUCAGAUCCGGGCAGUCCUUAAAAUGUUCGCCCCAAAGCCAGUAAAAGAAUUCCAGAGGCUAACCGGUCUUAGAACCAAGGAUGUCAUGGAUCAAACCCCAUCCAAUCCAGGAUGCCCGGACCUAGCUUCUGAUCCUGGCUAAGUCCUAAAUGCAGAGUUAUGCUCCUUUUAGGCCCAAGACGCCAGGACCUAGCUUCCGGUCUUGGAACCAAGGAUGUCAGGGAUCAAACCCCAUCCAAUCCAGGAUGCCCGGACCUAGCUUCCGAUCCUGGAUAAGUCCUAAAUGCAGAGUUAUGCUCCUUUUUGGCCCAAGACGUCUGGACCUAGCUUCUGGUCUUGGAACCAAGGAUGUCAGGAAUCAAACCCCAUCCAACCCAGGGUGCCAGGACCUAGCUUCCGAUCCUUGCUAAGUUCUAAAUAUGGAGCUACACUUCUUUUAGGCCCGAGAUGCCUGGACCUAGCUUCCGGUCUUGGAAAUCUAUCUUAAGAACGAGGCCAUCCACUCUUAGAACCGGGGCCGUUAGGCGAGCUAGCCUUCUCCCCGGUCGAAGCAUGCAACACAAAGAAAAACCCCCUUCUCAGUAGCAGACCAUGAAUCUCCAUGGAAUAAGCAAGAAAAAGAACUAUUAUCGUCCCAAGGAAAACUCCUUAAAACGAUAAGGGGGCGAGGGAGAUAGUCAGUUGUAAUAAACGUUGUAAACAAGGUAAAGAUAUCUAACAAGAUAUUUUUGCAUUACCAAAAUAUUAUUUUUAUUUUCUUCUUCAGAAAAGAAUAUGUACAAGAGGAAGUCCCCCGGCAACCGGGACAGGAACCUUUCUACAAAAUCUAAAGAAGUUAAGGUUGAGAAGAAGGACCGGGGCCAUUACCGCCCUUCUCCAUCUUCUCCUUCUCCAGCUGGUCGAGGACCUGCUGAUAGGCAGCCUUCGCCAACCGGAGCUCUUCAGCAGUCCGGUCGUACGCCGUCUCCUUGAGGAUGAGACGCCAAUCCAGCUCCAGCUUCUCUCGGGUCAGCUUCCCACAAGUGGCCUCCAAUUCUGGCAAGGAAGUCUUGGCAUCCUCGUCCCUCUGGAGAGCAGCGGUCAGAGUGAAGUCCAAGUUAUGGUAGUCUGUCGCCAUGGACCGCUUGUCCUCCUCCAGAGCCCACCAGUCACUGUUGGCCGCCGCCAGAUCUUUCUCGAGCUGACGAUUCUCAGCUUGCAGGUGCUCCAGAUCCUCCAAGGCAGAAGGUCGGGGUCUGACACUCAGCUCCAAGACCCGGGCCAUGGUAGCUUGGGUCUGACAGAAAAAAAAAACAAAGGUCAGAAAUGAACAUAUAGACAUCAACAAGUCUAAAGCCAGAAUUCAAGUCAAGGAACCGCGAUGAGAUUCUGAGCAGCCACCCUCAUCGUCCGGUCGUGAGAAAGGCGGCUGUAGUAUGUCUGGUCCUCCGAAAGCAGGUUCUGGAAGACGUAAUCAAAGGCAGUGUGGAGGUUCAUGAUGUCGGAGUCCCCAAUCGACAUCAGCUCCCCACCAAGGAAUGCAGGAUGAAUGGUGAACGCCGGCAGCGAGAACUCCGGGGUAGCCUCAAGCUGGUACUCCCCCGGUUCAGGCCGAGUUGCACAGUGGGGCCAAUGGGUAGGUCAGUAUAUGGGACCUGGUCACCCUACCCAUACACCGGGGCUUCAUCAUCGGCAAUGCCAGGAACAGUGAACUCCACCAGGGUCUGGACGUCCUCAACGGCCAAAGCAUCUUCAACAAGGACCUCCCUUCUUGGGGGCACAGGUUCCCCCUGGUCAGCAGGGGAGGCAUAAACAGCUCUCUUCGAGCCUCGGGCAGACUCAUCUACCACAGCCUUGCCCCUCGGAUCAACCAAGGCAGGGGACUGCACGGAAGCAACUUCAACCGAAGGAGGCUGGGAAGAUCUUACUUCCACCGGAGCCUCCACUCCAGCAUCUCCAACAUUGGGGGCGUCAACUUCAUUCAACGGACCCCCCGACACUACAGCUGGCUCGCCUCCCUCAGCAGUAGAGGCGACCUCUAUUUCCCCGGACACACCUCCCACCAUCUCCGGCUGGGCCAGGUUAUCCACCUCAGCAUAUACCUGCACUGGGGUAGGAAAAAAUCCCUCAGUAGAUGAUUCGCCAGAUCCACGGGAAAGAAGAAGUCCACUAUCCCUCGACAUCAGACUUAGAUAACCAGAGGAGUCAGAUGAGCAAUAAAAGACAUGUGGCCUCCUCCGGCAACCGAAGGGAGGGUUUGAAUGACAAGCAAAGCUAGCACAACUGACCUGAACAUCCUCGACAACUGGGAUGACCUCCGGCAGAACAUCCGACAUUGGCUCGUCAGGAGGAGAUCUUCCCCGAUUGAAAGAACCUCAUCGGGCCAGUCAUCCAUCUCCCCCCGCGGAUCAACAGCCUCACUCUCAACCGGAGGCUCCCCCUCAGCACUGGGGACCGUGCUCUCCACAGUAGCAGCACCUUCACCAGAGUUGGACUCUACCUCCACAACCUGCGAAGGGGCCGAUAGGGCAAGCCUCGCCGGAUAAAAGAUAUCUGUCACGAUCUGGUCAGGGAGCGUCAAUGUUCCCUUCAGCAGCAGAGGAAUCCACCCCCGCUGGCAGAGACACCUGAAGCUGACGUUUCCCCGCAAACACAAGCACAACAUUGUUCUUGAGCCGGAGCUCAACAAGCACACGAAGCAUAAGAGCAAAGAUGAAAGAAAUGCCAGGCGCAUGCUUACCUAUGAAGUCCCGCGGCACCGGUAUGCUGCAGUCAGACAACCACCCUGACCCUCGGUAGCAGGGCUAAAACCAAGUCCUAUAAUGGUUGGGAAGUCCAGACAACCUACGGGCAGUACGCCAAGAGAUAGCGUAGAAGCAGCGUUCCUUGGCCUCCCGGGGGACCGGCUUCAUGAGCAUGAACAGCUCGACCGGGCCAAAUGGAAUCUCGAAUUGGAAAGCGAUCAGCCCAAUCCGACGCAAGAUUAUCAAGAAGGACACGUGCAUCUGACUGGGCGGGAUCCCACACCACGACAGCAAUCUCAGAAUAGAAGAAUACAACAGAAAGUGCAUGCCAUAAAAAAGUUGGUAAAGACUUACCGCGAUCAGGUUGUCGGAACAAACCGUUUGAAAUAGAGGGGUAGGAAACAAACCGGACCCCUCUCCAGCCAAGCCGCUCCUGAACUUCUGCCGCUCUCAUCCGCUCAAGCUCAUGAUUUCGGGGGAGGUUGGAGGAAGCUUGCCACCUCCUCCUCGGCCUCUCAACAGGAAGCUCAGCAAAAUUCAGGUGAGUCACUUCCGCCACACCAGCAGGCGAAGGCGGACCCGAAGCCUGAAUACUGCUUGGUCCGCCCUCAUCAGCAGAGGGACAGGGAGCGAGACUCUGAGGCUCUUCGUCACUACUUGAGCUCAGGAUUAAGGUUCUCCUCAUCUUUGAAGAAAAAUUCGCACGAAAUCAUUGGAAUUCAGAAGAUCAGAACUUAGGGUUCCGGCGAAAUGAAGUGAGGGUGCAGAAGUGAGAUAUAUAUAUAUAUAUAUAUAUAUAUAUAUAUAUAUAUAUAUAUAUAUAUAUAUAUAGAGAGAGAGAGAGAGAGAGAGAGAGAGAGAGAGAGAGAGAGAGAGAGAGAGAGAGAGAGAGAGAGAGAGAAACCCUUCUCUCCUCUGAACUUCUCCUUUUCAUAAGGAGAGCCUAGGGUCCACUAGCUGAUGGUAUUCCAAGUUCUGUUAAUGAAAUCAUCAUUAAGGCCAUUAAACCAACUGGUUUUAAUGACUCGAUCAGCGAAGAGUCACAAGCUUUCACUGGAAGUUCAAGCCGUAUAUCUCCCCGCCAACAAAGGAAGAUUUAGAGAAGACGAAGUGGGGUCCACUUCACACAGUCUGCUGGGGCCCACACUGCACAGUCAUCUGGGAUCCACAUUAGAUGGGACCCACCUUGUACACUCAGCGAGAUCAAUCCAAUCUUUACAGGUGGGGUCCACAUGGACCAGGUCAGCAUCAUGUGGACCUCCGGUCUACAUCACCACGGUCAAGUGAAGAUCGAUCGUCAUGUGUUCCUGCACUCUACAAAAAAGUAACCGGUUCUACCUACCGGAGCUCAAGACAGUAAUAAAAGGGAACAUAAUUUUAUUACGAAAUGCAUUACACGGGGUGCACCAAAUCCCCUACAUAGUGCGACCGGAGCUAAAUUACAUCAACGGGGGAGAUAGAGGAUUUAGACCGGACCCCUCAGGCUAAUCAGGAAGGCCGUACCUAAUGUUUGCAGCGGCAUACCCAGCCUUCCAAGACGUAGCCACAGCGAAGUCUGCUCGCUCCUUGGCGACUGACAGCUCGCCCACCUUCUCCUCCAGCUUGUCCCGGUAGUAAUCUACUGUCUCCUUCAUACCCGCCAUCCGAGCAUCAUACAUAUCUUUAUGAAGAAGUUGGUCCUCACGAAGCUCGCCGAUUUUCUUCUUGAGGUCAUCCACCUGACACGACAGGUUCCGAACUAUCCCCGAUCGGUUGUCACUCAAUGCACUGGAGAGAGGUCUAGAAUCUUUCAUUAUAGAGAAAGCAAGGGGAAAGCCAGAGUAUUAAAGGGACUCCUUCAUCAAGAAGAAAGGGAGUCAUGAGUCAUUCUAAACAAGACUAACAAAGUUGGUGACUCAGCGGAACGAGGGAGACAAAAGACAAAAUAAAUAAAUGAAUUUAUUGACUUGACUCAAACUAGGCACUACUCCCCUACAUAGUGCGAGGGGCCGGGAAGGGACCGGUCAAGGGUUCUUCUCUUCCUUGACCGAAUGAUAUCCCAGCCUCUCCAACAGUACAUGUGCGGUAGCACGUUCCCACUGAAGAACCCGGAUCCAUUGAGUGGCAGCCUCAAGCCUCGGGCUCUUAUCAGCAAGCUGGCCAUUCAUGGCAAACAGGCUCAGGCGCACUUGCCGGAUGUCUUCCAAAUAGGCGGCCAUCAUCAACUCGAUACGGCGAUCCCGGUCCUCAAUUUCCAGCGCCAUGCUCUCCCGCAUGUCCAUGGUGUACUUCUGGAUGGUACUCCGGUCAUCGGCCAUUCUUCAGAAGCUUCAGCAACAACAUCAACAACAACGGUAGUAUUAACAAACAGGGAACGGAGAGAGAGAAGUGGACAUCCUUCUACACCUCCGACUCCCUAUUUAUAAAGGAGGAAAGAAACCCUAAACCUUGACCCAAGGGAUACAGAAUCGUCAUCAAGAAGCGUGUCAAGGAAGGAAUCCUUCGAAUCUCAACAGCCGGGGAAGAUAUUGCUAAGAUCUUUCCCAAUCAAAUUUUCUACUUGACAAAUAAGGGGCAAUGUGUGUACCCUAGCUAAAAAACACGACAGGUGUCACCGAUGGCUGUAUAAGAAGCUAAAUCGGGAGCAUCUGAGCAGUAGCCAGCCAAGCCUGGGCUGUCGGGUAGGACCCAACCAGGUUUCAAGAGAUCCGCAAACGCUCUAUGGACCUUGACUCACCGGAUAGUCCAUUAUCAAUUGGUGGAACCUCGGUUACUGUAUAAGAAGUUGAACCAUGGGCUCCAAUACAUUGACCAAGCCUACCUCAGUCAAGUAGGCCAGGUCCGGCCCAGUAAGGUCCAGCAGCGACAAGGGUCAUCCAAAGGCUUAGCAUAGAAGGCUAGAGGACUUGGCCAGGGAGUAUGCAGUGUAGAUUGGGCGUCCGGUCAGAGGAGUUAAACCCAAGUCUUUGUUUUCAGGCUUGGUCAAUCCAAGUCCCAACCAACUGGAUAAGUCUAGCGAGAUUCCAGGCCAACAGAACCCAUGGUUCUAGCCCACUGGAGAAGAUAAAGGAAACCCAGGUUGAACCAAGACCUGUCAGAGGAUGUUACGUGGGAGUCAUCCUGGUCAAAGGGGAUUCAAACCAAGGAGAUAACCGCUCGGCAGCAUGCAAGCUAUCUCCACGGAAAACAUCUUCACCGUUGAACAACCCGAGUUCGUGGAGUCAAAAUCGGAGGGGUGGUUGAGCCAGCCUCCUCCGGCCUACUACAAAUACAGGAGUUCUAAACUUCCUGAACUACGAGUCUUUCACUGAGCAACUCCAUUAGAGCUGAGUAGAAGCAUAGACUUGAUUCCAAGUUCAUCUUCUUGGAUACGUAGGCAGCCCGAUUCCGAUCAGGUCCAGUCUCAUUGUAUACCCCCCAUCCUAUCUCUGUUUAUACAAGGCUUUCAUUGUAACUGUACGAUUAAUCUAUACAUAUCUCGAGUUUGUGGAUCAAAAUUUUGCACCCACAACUAUGAUGAAGAUUACUAUGAUAACUGUGAACCUAGUAAUGAGAUACAAUAUGAAGUGGAUGCUCCAUUCUUGGGUGUUAUUCGAAGGCUUCUCUAUGCUUCUUCUCAACCGAUGAUUUUGAACGAAAAAGGAUCUUUCAGACUCGUUGUCAUGUUAAGGAUAAGGUUGUUAAUUUGAUUAUUGAUGGUGGUUCCCAUGAUAAUUAUGUUCCUUGAAACAAAACAAAAACUCAUCCAACCAUAAGGAUGUAUUAGGGAAGCUCAUAAUCAAGAGAAGAAUAUAGUUAUCCCAAACAUAACCCUAUAACUUAGUAAGGCAGAAAAUGAUUGCAACAAAAGCCAAACAAGAUAAGUAAUAGCCAAUCACUUAGAAGAAUCACUUAUCCAAACAUAUGAUAGACAAAAUAAAAAAAAAAAAAAAAAUCAUAGAUGAAAGCCAAGACCAAAAGAAAUCAACCACUCACAUAAAGUGCACACAAACUCACAAUUAAACAAGAGGAUUAUGAGUAUCAACAUGAUUAGGCAUGUAAGGAAAAGGAAAAUCUAAUCACGACUCUAAAUAGCCAUGUCCAAGAAAAACAAGAAAACAUGGAAAAACAAUUACAAGACAUGCAAAAUCAUAUAUAAGGCAUGAAUGUAAUAUGAAAGAAACAAUGAGUCUAGUAAAUGACUUCCCAUAAAACAAACUAGGCUCAAACUACUCAAUGAUCAGGAAUGCUUACCACCAAAAUAUCAACAUAUUUCGGAAUGCACCGAAAAACCUGAAAGUAUGUUAUGUCAGCAACAUACACCGCUACCAUCAUCCAUGAAUUGGAAAGAAGAAUUUCACCAACAGAUGAAAGAAUCACCUUCGGGUCUAAGAAACAAAGAACCCGACGACCUCUCAUUCAAAUGCCCCAAUUGACAAUGAAAGAGAAACCAAUAGCUUGUAGCAAGAAACAACAACCCAUAUAUGUUCCUGAAACAAUUCAUAACUCAUUCAAACCCAAAGAAUUGUUAGAGAUACUCAUAACCAAGGCGAAUACAAGGAUAUCUCAAACACAGUUAAUGAAAGACAUGAAUACAACCCAGAAACAUGUAGCUUAGUGGAAAUAAAAAUGAUGGUGAUAUAUGCCAAACAAGUGAAGUAAUAACCAAUCACACAGAAGAUCCCUAAUCUGGGCAAGCACCAUCACCCGAACAUAUCUCAUCACAAGAACCACAAAGUAGGAAGAGCAAAGGUCUUGUUCUGAGAGACAAAGCAGUCAUCAGCUACACCAACAAUUAUGAUAGACCUUUGAGAAAGAGCAAGAGUCGUCGAGGAGAUUUCGAAAUCAUCAUAGAUUAUUGAAUGAUCAUCAUUCAUCACUUUAUUAAAAAUUAAAAACUUACAUAUUCCGGCAAAAUACAACAAGAUUUCGACGACAGACAACGAAACUCCGCCGAGGAGAGAACUUAAAACUCACGAAUUCCGACGAAUGAGAGAGAGAGAUUCGAAAAGUGGAGUUCAAUCUCAAUCAACCAUUACUGGUCGGAAUCUCUAAAAGCGAAAGGAUAUUCGUAAUUUCCGUUUUACUGUCGGAUAUCCUUGAAUAUUCAGUAUUUCGGGUCGGCAAGGAUAGCUACAUGGACCAAAACAGAUCCGCCCUUUCAUACCGAUUCGAAUUCAGAAAAACCGGAUAUGUCGUCGGAAUUUCGCGGAUAUCAACAAAAUUUUGAACCAUGCUUACAAGUUCACUUCCAAUCAUAGUACAAAAUAUCGCGAUAUCUAUCGGUUUGGGAAGAAUACGAUACGACAUUCAAUCAAUUAUAUCGAUUUAAAGUAUCUGCCAUAUAUAGAAUCUAUCAUCUCGAUAUAUCACGAUAUAAUACGCUAUUUGGUGAUAUUAUACGAUAUUUUCUGGAAAAAAGAUUUCAGCUCUCUACUGUAUUAAUCUCUUUCAUUGUUUUAGCUCUCUCUCUCACAAUCUAUCUAGUCUCUACAUACAGAUUUGAUUUAGAAGAAGGAGAAGAACACGAGAGGAAGAAGACGAUCAUGAGAAAAUAUAAGAUCUGAUUUAGAAGAAGGAGAAGAACACCAGACGAAGAAGACGAUCAUGAGAAACUAUAAGAUCUUCAAUAUACAUUAGAUCUUUCAUUAAAAUUUUAAUUAGAUCUGUGAUUAUUAAAAGAUUUUGAAGAUAUCAUUUUUUGAGAAGAACCAUGUAAUAUCUUAGGUUUGUGUAACUUGAAAUCUUUGUUCUCAACUUUGCCGGAUCUGUAGCUCAUCCCUCCCUAAUUCAAUAUCUGUUUCUAUGAAUAUAAAUUUUUUUCCCAAAAGAAUAAAAACUUCCUAAUUUAUUUGUCUAAUUAAUGGAUGAUUAGUAAGUGAUUAUACACAAUUCCGGCAAGAUGAUCUGAUAUCUUUAAAAAAAAAUAAAAAUAAAAUAUUAUCUCUAGAUAUAUUUAGAUAUAUCCGGAUAUAUCGGAUUAUGGGAGAUACGAUAUAUUUGUAAAUAUCGACCUUUAGUUACUGGUUCUGAUUUCUCAUUAUAAAGAGUCACUGGUUUCUUCAUUGGUAAGAUCAGUGGACGACAAAAACAAGAACCAACACAAUCAGGCCCAAUAGUAAACAACUGAAUCAGGCCCAAUCCUCCAAACAUGUCAAUUCUCUCUCAUUCUCACUCUUCUUCUUCUUCCCCACUCUCUUACUUCAAACAUGUCAAUUCUCUCUCAUUCUCAAUCUCCUUCUUUAAUUGUCAAAGCCAAUCACUGGUUUCUUAAGAAGAAGAAGAAGAAGAAGAAGAAGAAGAAAACAUGUGCACUGGUAAAAACCACCUUUUUUCCAGUAAUUAUAAAUAAUCCAAUUUUUUUUUUUUAAUUAUGAUAAACAGUUGGUGUGUUUGGUUGUGAAAACAGGGGAUUGAGAUCAAUUUUAAGGUUAGUAUAUUGAUUUCUUUAUUACAUUUACUUUGUGUUUUGUUUAAUUUGAGAAUUACUAAAUCUUUUUAAGAUGAAAUCAUGAAAACAAAUAGUUUUAUAUAUGUUAAACUUGUUUGAAUAAAUUUAGGGCACAUACCAAUUGUUCGAUUUCAUAUAUACAUGUUAAAGAAGUAAUUUCCUUAUUAUCUAACCAAUUUGAUAGUCAUGUUUAACUCUAGUGAACAAGUUCUAGGUUAAAGAAGUGUCAAUAUUACACCACCCCACUUCCAUUGCAGUCCUGACUACGGUUGGUAUAAUAUCAAUAUCCCCAAAAUUGAAAAAGAAAAUAAAGAACAAUGUUAGCACCAUACAAUAAGUUAAGCAAACCACUUUAGGAAUCCAAUUUAUCUUUUUUCUUAUUGAGAACAAGGUUUCAAAUACUUUGCUUGAUUCAAAAAAACUAACGACUCCAACAUCAUUUCGCAGUUAUAAAUACAACAACAGUACCCUCCUGGGGUUGUGAUGAAUCCAAGUAUUCAUUUCUCCUUCUCGUGCUUUGACUAGCUGAGCUAUCCAAGGAGCAAUUCAGGUAUGUUUGGAAUGAAUGCUGGCAGCGUUGUUAAUUGUUCUCACUUAGUUCGGUCACACUGAAUCUACUUGGUAUACCUGAUAUAUUGCCAAUAAGAAAAUCCCUACCACUCUGUUUCCCAACCUUUGGCAAUAUAUUCUUCUACACUCUUACUAGUAUUCUAGACAAAACUUCUACUAUUUUACUUUCCGAGAUUCAUGAUCCAGUUAUAGCCCGUAGAUUAAAAUUAUCGAACCCACCUAAUUCGGCAAUCCACCCAAAUUACAAGAAAAGAAAAGGUUAAUCCAGCCCACCCCAUUAUAUUUAUGGGCACUGACGGGUUCUAUGUACCAAAUCCGUUAACUGCCCCUUCACCCGGAAAAAUUAUCUAAUACCAAUUUAACUCUUUUGCGCACCCAUUAUUUUUAUGUGUAAGUGUAAAUAGUAAUUUCCUUUCCUAACACUGAUUGAUCAAUUUGUUUAUUUGCAUUUUAUAUUUCGUGCACGUUAUAUGGAGUAUGUGAUAAUCUUAGUUUAAUAUGCACAUUAUAGCUAUGUAAAAAUUUAAUAAGACAUGAUAUUCAAUAGUAGUGAUGUAGUAGUAGUCACCAGAUACAUUUUUUAGUCAUUUUAACUUGUCAUCUUAUGUUAAUUUAAAAUUUUUUAUUUAGCACAUUUUUAAAUAAUGAGAUUUAAUUUAUCUAAAAAAUCGUUUAUGUUUUUUAAUUUCCUAGGUAAACAACAACAAGAAAAUUAGUUUAUAAGAAAAAUCAGAAAAAGUAAAAAAAAAAAAAAAAAAAAAAAAUAAUUGGAGAAAGGAGUUAUGAUGGAAAUUGUGGAAGAAUAAAACAAAAAUGAGAGAUUGAGAAGAAAGAUUACAAAACGAAAAAGAGGGCGAUUUUUCUUUCUUUUAUUUUUUUUAUUAUAAAAAUAGAUCAAGAAGAGUUUUAUUAAUUUUGGGUUUUUGACAUAGUAUGUGACUAUGUGAUGGAGUGUAAAAGGUCAUUUUAGUAACAAAUUUAUUAUUUGAUUGGGUUUUUUGAAGCAAAUUGGUCUGAUUGGGUUUUUGGCGACUUAGUUGGGUGGUAAUAAGAUCUCCUCAGAAAUACUCCACAACUUCUACUCAUGAGCAUACGGUAGAAGUGUAUAUAAAUAAAACUAGUGUUUAGGCCUGUGCAAUGCAUGGGCCGGACUUGAUUAUAUUAGGGAUUAGGUCCACUUUAAGUUGUUGGAUUGGGCUUGAUUAUGCCUGUGAUUUGGUUGUUCUAUAUUGGCCUUAAAACGCCCCGGCUAAGCCUUGUCGAUCUUGAGGUUUUAGAUUCCAAAACAAGUGGGUUUCGUCCAUAAACCUCGUUUUAACUGACGGAACGUUGUUUUUCGCCUUAGAACUCCCCGAGUUAAGCUAUUGAGUGGCUAGUCUCUUAGAUGUUAUUGUUUUCCAUGCGGAAACAUGUGUGUUUUGUCCACUUUUAAGUUCAGAACAAAAAUCGAGUAAAUACCAAGCCAAAUGUCCGGACAAAACCCCGUUCCCAUGGUCCAUAUGUUUUAUAUUAGCCUUAAAAGCCCCAGGUAAGCCUUGUCAAUCUUGACUUUUAGAUUCCAACACAAGUGGGUUUCGUCCAUUUCCAAGUUCGGACAAAAAACUGAGUAAAUACCCAUCAAACCGAUGGAUAUAAUCAAUUGGAAUUGAUUAUUUCCGUGAUGGGUGGUCCACUUUUGCGUAAUUAUAAAUAUACCCAAACUUAAUCAAAAUUCUCUUCAAAUUCUAAUUGAUAGCCUAAUUAAAAAGAUAUUUUCUUAGGGGUAUUUUCUGCUUUAAUCUAUAUUAUAAUCUACAAAGGGUGCAUAAUUUGACUAGGACUAAUUUCUAUGACUAGGAUUAAUUUCUAUGACGGGGAUUAAUAUUUAGUAUGACUAGGACUAAAUUAGUAUGACUAAGAUUAAUAUUUAGGGUGACUAGGAUUAAAACCCCAAUCUUCUUCCCCUUCUCUUCCCUAACUUCUAUCUUUCUCAAACUUCCCCCCUUCCGGCCGCCCCAAUCUCAUUCUCUUCUCUUCUCUUCUCAAAUUUUUAAAAUUUGUAAUAAAACAUCAUCAUAUCAGUCAUUUUCAAUCAGCAGCAAUAGCAAGCUUUUUGAUCGGAUAAAGGUGAACUCUAUUACUUCUGAAUUCAUCUCUGCAAUUAUUACUUUUUUAUUGAACACAAAAUUCGUUCAUAGAUACGUUCUGCCAUGUUUUUCCAUCUAUUUACAAAUCUGAAAAUUGGAUUUUCUACAAAGUAAUUGUAUUUUUUUUAUUGAACACAAAAUUCGUUUUGAUUAAUCAACAGACUCGACUGAAUUAGCUGUUGCAGACUCGACUGAAUUAGCUGUUGCGUCUAUAACUAUUAUACCAUACAAAAUUCGUUUUGAUUAAUCAACAGACUCGACUGAAUUAGCUGUUGCAGACUCGACUGAAUUAGCUGUUGCGUCUAUAACUAUGAUACCAUAGAAAGACACAAAUGUGGUAGCUUUCUAAAAUAACCUUCUAACAUGAUAAUUUCCCAUUCCAUAUGAAAUUAUUACAAGAUUCAAUACGUAAUUAGUUUAUAACUCAUGACAGCUAGAAUUAUAAGCCAGCUACAAAUCACAUGGCUCACGAAUGCUAAGAUUAUUCAGAGAACAAGUUAAUGAAAGUUUGAUUUAACAAAAUACACCUCUAUCUCCUGAGCAACAAUCGACCCCAUGCCAGACUUACCAGAGAAACUGGCAGUCCUUUCUAAUUCGAANNNNNNNNNNNNNNNNNNNNNNNNNNNNNNNNNNNNNNNNNNNNNNNNNNNNNNNNNNNNNNNNNNNNNNNNNNNNNNNNNNNNNNNNNNNNNNNNNNNNUAAAGGUAGACAUUAGCUGCAGUUAGUGGUAUUGAGGGUAAUUUACCCAAACACAACAUUCAUACUGUGGUUUUUUAUAGGCUACUGCUAAAUACCGCUGCCAGAUUUCUAUGUUAGGACCACAUGUUCUAGAAUUCUGGGUUUAGGUUUUAACUGUCUAGAGUCACGGCAUAAUGUUUUCAUCACUCUUCAGGACAUCAAUGCAUUUUUCCAUCUAUUUACAAAUCUAGAAAUUGGAUUUUCUCCAAAGUAAUUGUACUUUUUGAUUGAACACAAAAUUCGUUGGGAAAUCACUUGAUUAUAUUCCUUUAAUUUUUAUAUACAAUCAUCACUCCUGAAUCUAUUAGAUAUUGCUCUGGCAUGAAGUUAAGAAUAAUUGGAUAUUAAAUUUUUAUAGAAUAUUAUUAGGAGUAUUUUGUGUCUAGAGUUGCUUUGCUACAUCUCAAACUAAUAUGCUAUGCUGUCAUAUCAGUUAUUCGUGUUCAUGUAUUCAACAUUGGAUGUCUUACCGUGAUCUUCAUUCAUUAAGCAAAACUAAAAAUUCAUCGUAUUAGUAACCAAAAUCAUGUCGACACCUUCUUAGCGAAAUCACUUAUAUAGAAAACUAGAACUAAUGUUAUGGUAUUAUUAGGAGCCCCAAGGAAAAUGAUGUAGUAUGAAACCAUUUGAAUGGGGGAGUGUAUAAGACACAGGAUAUGCACACACAGUAGACUAACAAGGACCGAUACAUAUUAAGACUUUGUCCUAAUAUGGGAAGCUUCCAAAAUAUAUAUGAAGCAGGAGCCCAGAUAAGACCAGGAAAAUGCUAUAAAUCUCAAAAGGACAGGCAGCAAGAAUAAUACCAGCCCCUCCACAUAGGCACAAUCUUCCUUAAUUAGUUGCUGCAAUGGGGAUACAAAUGGUUAAGUCAUCAUCCUUGGCAGUGUAUUUACCAUCUAGGAUUUUUUUUGUAGUCUUAAUAUCUUCCCUGUAUUUGAAGCAAAUACGAUUGGUUCUAAAUUCUGCUGAAUUUUUUUUUUCAAUUUUUCUGAUUGGAUUUUGAAUUUUUAAUCCUUUUUAAUCUGUUUGAAUUCAAGCCCAACAGCAUCAAGUUCUUCUUAGUCGUCCUUCUUCUUCAACUGUAAGUACCCUAUUUGAUUCAGAACUGUUUACUGUUGCAGUCAAAUUUGUGCUUGAUUAUCUCAAAAUAGCCAGAAAUUUCCAAAUAACAUGCCUGUGACAGUAGCAUUGGUAUAGUGAAUUUUUAAUCUGCUCUACUAAAGUUAUUCUGUUUAUCUCAAAUAAUUGUUAAUUAAAUUCUAAAAAAAAUUGUUAUAUGGGAUUCAGAAGUACUAUACCUCCAAAAAAAAAACUUGGCCUUCCAGUCUUAUGUCGGCUUCUUCUGCCAUGCUCUAGGUUGUGAAUAUGAAGAGAAUAGACACUAUAGCUAACAUAGUGUGUUCAUAAUAAUAUAUUAGAGGUAGUGGUGUGCUCUAUUACGUAAACGCAAUGAAAAAGUUAAGCGUCAUGUUUUUUAGGUAAAAAUCUAAACGUCCAGUUCAACUCAUAAAAUGUUGAAAUCAAAAUGUAAGGAAUAUCAAUUUAUGUUAAUUGGGGCAAGUAAUCACCUUUUAUACAGUAUAGUCCUUCCAUAUAUAUAUUUUUUAUACAACUUAAAUUUCAGCAUUACUAUUAAACNNNNNNNNNNNNNNNNNNNNNNNNNNNNNNNNNNNNNNNNNNNNNNNNNNNNNNNNNNNNNNNNNNNNNNNNNNNNNNNNNNNNNNNNNNNNNNNNNNNNNNNNNNNNNNNNNNNNNNNNNNNNNNNNNNNNNNNNNNNNNNNNNNNNNNNNNNNNNNNNNNNNNNNNNNNNNNNNNNNNNNNNNNNNNNNNNNNNNNNNNNNNNNNNNNNNNNNNNNNNNNNNNNNNNNNNNNNNNNNNNNNNNNNNNNNNNNNNNNNCAUGUUCAAAUUUUAUAUUAAUCAAAAUUAACCCAAUUUAAUCCUGAAAUAAACCUAAAAAUCUAUAUAAUUUGGUGAAUUAAGAGGAUGCCUAACAAUUCUAGGUGAGCUUGGUUCUAUUUAUAAAUGAAAACGCCUCCACUUGCUAUUUUCAUGCACUGAUGGAACAAUGCGCAUUUCAGAUUUUGUAGUUUGUUCUAUCAAUUUAAUCUUUUGAUUUUGCUUAAAUUUCAAUGUUUAAAUAUGGUGUUUACGUAAAUUCAUCUGAGUUGCCCUGUUAAUUAUGCUUAAUUUAAUAAUUUAAUUGUUCGAAGAUUUACAUAGUACUGCCACAAUAAAAGAGUGGUCUGUUUUGGUGUACUUUUACACAAUGAAAAAGGGAUAUGCAUUGGUGUACUUUGUUAUUUUAAUUUUUUUUGAAAGUGUUUCUUCUAAAACCUUAAAAUUCAUGUGCAACCCUAUGUUGAAUUACUGUCAUUGUCCGCAUGUCUCUGCAAUUCAUUUUAGAUUAAGGCUAUUCACUAAGAGGACCUUUGGAAAGAAAGAGUUCCUUACAAAUAGUAGGAAGCACUUACAUAAGGGAGGAUGUAAACAAUACUACUAUUGACGCAAAUCGAUUCAAUAUUACCAUGAACAUAUUAUUUCUUGCAAUUUUCUUUUGUUUGCUCUCUGUAUAUGUGCUUCACAACUUUGGGGUUUCCUUUUUGUUUGUUUCACAACUUGACAUUGAAAACUCUGCAGUCCAUUUAAUACUAUACAUCCAGAAUCUAUUAACGUUAUGACCACUCAGGAAAAAAAAAAAUUUCUUUCCCCUUGGAUGAAGGAGCAACCAGUUCAAAGUUGUUAAUGGAAUGAAUCAAUUUGGUAUAAGGUAGAACCGACCUAGCCACCUAGGUAAUUCAGUUCUACUCUUCCAAUGUAUAAUAAGAAAGCAAGUGGAUGCAUUGAUGAUUUUCAUAUUUUUACCAACAAAUUAGUUGCGAACUGUAGUUAUAAUAGAUUGAUAACUAAUUGUAGAAUGUGAAUCAGUGAAUAUUAUAGAUUGAUAUGCUCUGUCUUGACUUCUCUGUUAUUUCUAUGAUAUUGAUGCAAUCAAUUUGAAUUCAAAUGUAGGUCGGUGAAUAUUGCAACCUUUAAAUGGAAGGUGUAUGCUUAUUUGUUUGAUUGAACAAAUGUAAUAGACAGUUUCAGUCCUUAUCAGUCCUUUUGUCGCAACACUUAAGGUAAACCUUUAAUAUUUAGAACUACUAUCAUAGCUUAGUUGGUUGCUCAAAGUGUUAACAUUGUUUUCAAUGUUUAGAACUACUACCCUAUCUUAGCGUUGAUUACGAAAUAUCAGGGGAGGCAAAAUCCAUAACCUAUGCUCUGUGAUGAGAGCAUGGUAAAAACCAUAAGCUUUGCUUUUGGAUUAAGAUCGAAGCUCUUUACAUAUACAUCUAUAAGUUGGUAAGGUUUAGUGGGUUGUGGUGGUUUUAUGAAUGGUUAUAACACACUUUACAUAUACAUCUAUAAGUUGCUGCAUUGCAACCAUUUUUAGGUUAGACUGAUCCUCCUUUAGGGAUGACUUUGAUAGCUUGUAUGAUUUUAAAAAAAGUUUCAUUGAUCAAUUUACUUAGUUAAAGAUUUCAGCAAUAAAAAUAUUUCUAUCAUACAUUCUAGCUGUUCAAGACUCAAUUUACAUAUUACAAUAUUUGGAAUAUGAUUUAUUUGAUUCAAAACUGGUCCCAUGUUUGAACAAAAACAUUGAAAGUUUAGAUCUAUGGGUUUACUUCGUUUGGGCAGAUUAUAAUUUUACAAAAAUAAUAAGCUAAAUUUGAAGUGAGAAAAAUGGUUUUAAUAAUUGGUCACAUUAUUUUUUCUACUGAGAAUGAGUAUUGGUUCUAGCAUACAGAUGCACUGUCUCUAUUUAAGCCAUCAAUCGAUAUAGUUUGUUCACGAGAAUAAGAGCAAAAAGUCAUUUAGAACAGGUAAAUACCAAUGCAUGUUUUAUGAGUUGAAUUCCAACAGUUAAUAUUUCUUAUCAUACGGAUAUUUUUGCGGGAAUAUUGCUAAACUUGCAGUUGUAAGAAGAGGUACAAGAGGAUGCUGCAGAGUUCAAAUCAGUGAGUUUUCUUUGUAUCUUUUAGCUUUCGAUCUUUAAUAUUCAAUUGACAAAUUGAGAGUUUGUCAUGAAUGAGUUUUCUUAUAACAAUUAGACAAUUCUUCUUUCAUUACUUAAUUGCAGCAUAGCUCAAAGGGUGUGGAGUCACUUCUUGCAGCCUAUACCUGCUUCUUACAAUAGAAUGUUCGUAGUGGGGAUAACCAGUGAAUUAUGUCCAGUGAUCAACGGAAUACCCAUUUGGAUGAAGUAUUGUUAACAAAAAGUAUGAGAAUUUACACAUUAUACAAUCACAUGAGCCCUGUGAGAGAGAGAGAGAGAGAGAGAGAUGAUGUGUGUACGAUCCAGGUUGAGUUCAUUGUUUAUGUUGUAACUUCAUGUAUUUAGUUGAUCAACCAUGGAGUGUGAAGUGAGCAUUUGAAAAAAGUAAUUGUAUGUUUCUUUUAUGUACAAAUUGAAAUUUAAAUCAUACAAUUAUUUGCUUGAUUUUUUCCAUACUUUUGCCAUCUCAUACAAGUCAGAAACGUUUUAAGCUUUUAACACAUAAAUCUUUAUUACAAAAUUAUUUUUCACGGUUGUAAUAAGGCAUUCAAUAUGUUAACAUGGGCAUUAUUAAUAUAUGUUAGAACUUGCAGUAGUAAAAAUUUAAUCCUAUGGGCAUAUAUUGUCCGAUGUUGUAAAUCAGUAAAAGUGAUGCUCAUUUAAAACUUUAUUUCAGCUUCUCAAUUAUGUGUCAAAGAGUAGUAUUAAACCACCCAUUCUAUUAUGAUUAUAGUCAUCUGAAAAAUACUAGAAGUACGAAAAUUUAAAUUCUAACUUGACAUUCCUUCCUUAAUUCUUCACCUAUAUAGGCACACACACAGUCCAAGAUCAAGACACGUACUCAAUGUCACAACAUCCAUCGAGCAAAAACUGUAACACAAUAUCUCUAAUGGGGUACAAAUCUACAGUGAAUACCAUACGCAUACCUUCUACAUUUAUAUGAAUAUCUACCUCUUAGUAUAUGUUUACUAUGAUCGGUUACAAUUUUUCGCUAAAAUUUGAUUCCUAAUUACCUGUUGUGCAAGUUUUAUUCUACUACUGUGAUGAUUAUAGUUACAAUUAAUGGCUCAAAAAUUCUUUUUAUGAUUGGUUGCUUUCAUCAACUUAUAAUUAAACAAACAAAAUCCACAAUACAUAUUUAUUUAUUUAUCUAAAUUUAUAUUUAGGGUACAAUUCUUUUUAUCAUAAGAUAUAAUUAAUUGGCAAUCGUGGCAGCGCCACGGGUAUUACUAGUAGAGUAUAAUAGAUUAUAGAUUUGAGUUGAUAGUGAUGAAUAUAUUGGUUCUAUUCAGACGGAGCCCAUAAAAAAAAUGGCCCAUAACUUUGAUUCAUUGGACUAAAGUACUAAACUAUAACCUAACCCAUUAAACAGAAUCAUGAUCCACCCAAUAGUCCAAUUUGUGGGCUUAUGGAUCGACUCACCCAACCUAGCUCGAAAAGUUGUUGCCAAUUUACCCAAAUUAUAACAUAGGUGGGUUUGAUCUAAUUAAGUUAGCCGGAUUAGAUUAGUUUUGUCAGUGUAACCUGAUUCACCCAAUUUUAACACACUUUCUUUUGAGUAGGUAACUUCCUUCUAAAUCAACUUUAGGCCUUUAGUCCAUAUAUCUAUAUUAUCUUAUAAGCGGCUUGCCAAAAAGCUGUCCAAUCCUAUUCACUACUAAUCAGGUUUCGCCACAUUAGACACCCAGAAAAAUCUGACAAACACAAUUUUGUAGUUUUCUCUUUCUUAUUCCAUGUCAUACAGUUCAUGGAUCCUACUAUUUAUGUAUAAUAGCAAGAUGGGGAACCAGUGAUACGCAUUAGGAUUUUAUAAAUUAAAUUUUGUGACUUAUUUAUACAAAAAAAUAAACUAUUUAUAUACAUGUAUAUUAAAUUAAUAUUUUUGGUUAUAUUUGACUAAUUAUAUUUUAUGUUGUAUUAUUUUGCUUUGAUUAUUAUUAUUUUUUCCUUGGAGAUGUUUGUGUUUAGUGAGAGUGGAGAAAGAGUUUAGAGAUAUUUUGGCUUAGUGAAAAAGCCAGAAUGUGUAGAGAGAAAUACAAAAAUAGUUAGGGGGCACAUAAAAUUCUAGCCAAUUAGAUUUUUUUCUGUUUUAUUUUAUUUUUUUUAAAUGAAAAAAAUAAAAUUGUGAGAACUUGGAGAUCAAAUUAUCAUGCCACCUAGGAAAGAAUAAGUGGGACCCAUUACUUAGAGGGUAUUAUGUUAAUUUACCAAAAUAAAAUUUGAACUUAAAUCACUUGUUGUAACCCUAUUGAGUAUGAAUGAAAUAAGAGAGAUUACUACAAAAGAACAGGACAAUUGCGAGAAAGGCCAAUCGCGACAGGAAAAAUCCAUCGCAAGUUAAACACAGUAGAUGUCGAUGCUAGUGGUGUGGCGUCAGACAUGAGCCGUUGCCAAUGGCCAUUUCUACUACUGACUGUUGCGAUGACUUUUGGUAGUCAAGAAGGGGCGACAGCUUGUGGCCGUCGCAAGUUCCGUCACAAAUUCCAAUAGAGAACAGAUCUAGUUUUGAAAUUGCGAUGGCUUAUGGCCGUUGUUACUCUUGCUAUUUUGUAAAAAAAAAAGAUUUUUGGCGCUUUAGUAAAUAUAUAAUUGUACGAUAAAUUUUUAAUAUCCAUGAUAAAAUUUUAUUAACUCCAACCAAAACAAACUUUACAACUCCUGAUCAGCUAGCCAAAGCUUUGUCAAGCCAUUUAGGAAAAAUUCACGGAGGACAUGCCCUCGUAGAAAAAAAAUCAAACAGAUAACAAUGUAUAUACCUUACAAAAAAACAAAAUAUGACUUUGUUACUAAGUCCCUAUCUUCAAACUCAUCUUCUAACCCUGUUGUAUAAACCUUCCAAAGAAGAAGAGAUAGAACUAGGGUUCUUCAUUAGAACGCGAAGAAGAGAAAACCAGAACAGAACAGAUUACAUAUGCACACAUAUUUGGCUUAUAAAACCCUAUGAACCAAAAUUACUAUACUACCCUUAUAGCUUAAAUACACAACUCUAAUAGUUUAGUCUUUAGUUUGACUAAUGCCUUAGCCGGUGCUACGCACCGGUUAAUUUUAAUUUAUCAGUGUUCAAUUAUCAUUCUGAGUUUUAAGUUAUUAUUUUUAUAAAAUAUUAUAAAUUACACUAAGAAUUUAUUAAAUCAUAUGCAAUAUUGUAAUUAUUUCUUAAGUAAAUUUAUUAUUCUUAUUAUAUUUUGUUAAUUUAAUUAUUUUUUUAAUUAUUAGACUUCUUGGUUAUAAAUAAAAAUUCAGCCUAUAAAUAAAAAUAUGUUAAAUUACAAUAAAACUAUUAUUUAAAAGGUAUUAUAUAAAUUUACCAAAAAACCAUGACUAAAACGUUAUUUUAGUCAGAAUUAGGUUACAAAAUUCUAAAGCUCAAUUCUCAUUAACCGGGACUUACCCCUGAAUUUUAUUCAGGUUUAUAAUAGUAGUAUAGAUUAAACUUGCAAGCUUCAACCAAUAUGAGCAUACAUGUGAACCCAAUCAUGGCUUUAAACUAGUCCUCCUUGUUCAGUUGUUCCAUGGUUAUACAAAAGUUUGAAAAACUAGCCAUCAAACCUGCUAGCUUCAUUCAUCCAUGGUUACUUCUGUUCAACCAUGGCUCUAAUUCCAACCCUUGGAUAUGCAGAGGUUUGAAAGUAAAAAGUACGUCCUGCACCUAAUUAAUCAAAUAUGUUAGCAACUCGGUCUAGUGAACUAAUUAAUUUAGGUACUUGUGCAACUAUGUACAUAAUUAUAAUUGAUCAGUAAGUUCUCUGUCUUGGCUUUUGGCCUUUGGAAAGCUCUACCAGAACAUGGGGUAAUCACAAACAAUUUCAAACAACAAGCAGUUAUGUCCGAGUUAGAAAAUAAAUAAAUUUAUUUUGAUGACAAUCAGUACUUCACGAAGAGACCAAGGAGGUAGAAAUUCAGAUUUGCAGCCACUAAAGAACUUUGAGAUCAUUUUAAUGAUAAAAAAAGAUAGAAAAUAAAAAGGUUUAGUAAAGUGUUGCAUAACUAAAGUUAUGUCCAAUUUACGGAAAAUAAAAGGUUUUAUCAUUGUUAUUUUCACUAUUAAGUAAGUCAUGUGAAAAAAGGUUUUAUCAUUGAAUACCAAGAAAUUUCAUAUCUUGGAGCAUAUUUAUAUGCGAAUGUGAGACUUAUCAAAAGAAAAAGUGAGUAAUUUGAACAAAUGUGUGUACCAUUGUUCUUUAUUCUCUGUGAAUUAAUCUGAAUGUAAAUGGAUUAAGUUUUUUUUUUUUUUUUUUAAAUUAUUAUUAUUUUUACAGCACAAAUAUUGUUGAGGAUUUGGAUGCAGAUAUGUGUACCACUGUUCUCUAUUCUCUAUGAAUUAUAAUCCAAAUGUAAUUGUUGUUGAGUUAAUAAAUAGGUGGAUACAGAACACGAGCACCACUUUAAGUACGGGGUUAACUUGCGAACAUACGCAAAGCGCGUGCAUUCACAUAGUAUAUAAAAAGAACACCAUUGAGAAUUUAAGAUAAUAAAAACAACGCAUACAACCACUAUAAAGUGUAAACAUAGCUUGGAAAGCCCAAAUAGCAUUUUUAAAUCAUCAAACUUUAUCUUUCUCUUUGAUGUAUACUGUAUGUACCCAUUACCGAGCUCUUUCUUACUUGGAACUCCCAAUAACCGACUCUCUGCACUUAUUUCAUCCGACUUCAAUCGAGUUACAUCACCCGAGCUCAAGCCCAUUUCCAACAACUUGGCCCAUCCGACAUGCAAUACUCCAACUCGAUGACUCAUGAGCUCGUGUGGCGCUUACGUGGCAAUGCAUGUUAAUGCCAACAAUUACAAGAUCAAGAUCAAAUAUAUUCUCUUUAUUAUAUGUCCGUUAUUUUCCGUUACAAAAUCAAUAUGAAUAUCAUACAUGUAAUUCCCUAUCUAUAUAAAUGGAUCUAUUUCAUGUAAAAGAGGACAAGCUCUCUCUAGCUCCUCACAAGCUCUCUAGUUUCUCUCAUCUCAUAUCAAUAAAAUACACUUAUCUCUCCCGUGGACGUAUGCACCAUUGCCGAACCACGUGAAAUUCAUGUAUCUAUUUACUUAUAUUUUGCAAUCUCCAUCACGACUUGUUCUUUUUUAUGUAAUGUAUUUACAUAUACAACCCUUCCAAGCAUUGAUAUGCAAUUGCUCCACGAGGGAUGUUGAAACAUAUUCAAAGUCUAUCCUGACCUCAUCGCGAGCAGUGAAAAUUAAAGUAGGAGCAAUGAACUUUAUGGGAUCAAAUGCAAUAAUAAAUGCUUCCAUCUACACCAUCAAUUUGGAAAAUAAAUCAAGAUAUAAUAGAAUUAAUUAUCUGUCUAUGGAGAAGGGUGGGCGUAGCAUUUUCAUUAUAUAUACUCCCUCUGUCCCGCUUUUAUAGGCUAAUUGGGGUUUUUCACACAUAUUAAGAAAGUGGUGAAAAAUUAUUUAUUUGCAUUUAAUAUAAAUAUUAUUUCUAAAAAUACCUUUUUUCAUUUGUUAUGUACAUUUAAUACUAUUGACUAUAUUUAAAGAAAUUUUCAUAAUUAAUAAGGGAUAAAUUUGUCACUUGUCUUAUUAAUUGUUUUGAAUAGUGUGAAAUGGACUAUAUAGUGGGACAGAAAAAACGGGCAAAUCAGCCUAUAGAGUAAUUCUAUGGGGACAACCCAUGAAGCCAGACUUUAUAACCAGCCUGACGUGUCUGCUUACAUGGCUAGUCCACAUCAGCCAAAAAAUAUUUGCCCUCCUCUCUACUUUGCGUCUCUCUCUCUCCAAAAUCAAAAAAACAAAAAAAAUCUGCACUGUUUUUCUACCUUUAGCCCUGUCCAACUUGCCCGCUCUCAAUUUUCUCAAGUUUUAACUUCGUUAACUUUCGAUCUUCUAUUAUCAGAGAAAACUUCUGAUCUGAUUUUUUUUUAGUUGAACAAUGAAGACAUUGGCAGUUGCUACUAAUGUAGUUUAUUCUUUUUACCACUUUCAUCAAUGGCUUUUGACAUAGGAUCAAAGUGUGCUCCAUUUACAAUUAUUUGGUAAUCAGAUUUUUUUUUUUUUUUUUAGUAUUAUCAUCCAAGUUUGUUAUUAGUUUAUCUUAUCACAGAAAAUUUUGAGAAGAAAAAACCCUCCACGUCAAGAUAAACCCAAGUUGUAUCCCAGUAAAAAUUGAAUGCACAUCAAAUAAUAUGAAGCUCAAAUAAUAUCUCUAAGACAAAUCAGAUGAGAAAUACCAUUAACCCAAACCUGAAUUAAUCCCCAUCAGAUUCCUUAAUAAAAUUAAAAGUAUAAAGAAGAUCAAUUACAAAAAUAUUAGGUACAAAAGACUUAGGGUUAUAUUGGUUUACAAAAGAGAAGAGAAGAUUGCGAAUAGAGAGAGCUAGAGAGAGAAAAGUCCAUAGAAAAUAGAAGAUAUCAAAUAUUCUUUAGCUAAUGUGGACUAGCCAUGUCAGCAGACACAUCAGGCUGGUUAUAAAGUCUGGCCACAUGGGUUGUCCCCAUAGAAUUACUCAUAUAUAUAUAUAUUAUAUGAGGCAUGUUGAAACAUAUGCAACUCUAAAGCCAAUAACACUCAUUUUCCCAAAACUGUGUUCAUACAUGGUGGAACUAUUUUUUUCCAAAACUGUUGGCUCUUGGAUGGACCUCACCUAACCCCAAAUAAGGUCAACAACAUACACCUAUACUUCAUUUCUAAAAUCGGAUGCACAAGGUAUUUCAAAAAAUAAUUAAAAAUAUUACAUAUCACCAACUCCACAGUCCACAGAAGAAAAUAAUAGUGCCAUGGUGGUUUCGUUGUGGAUUAUAAUAAAACUAAUCAAACCCCUACAGGCCCACUAAUUAAUUACAUAUGAGUGCCCACUAACAAUUAUAGUGCAAUAUUGAAUUUUGUUUCAUAGAAGAAUUAGGGUUAUAAAUCCAAAACAAUUAAAGUUCUUGAGGAAUGGAAUAUUGAAAGAUGAAAGGCAAAACUUAUAAAGAGAGUAAAGGUGUAAAGUAGGAAAUUUAUUCGAAUCUAUCAAUGGUCUUCAUUCCACUAGCUAGUAAUAGUGUAGGAAGUUUCCAAAAAGUAGAUUUAAAGCAGUCGUUUACUAUAAUGUAAACAGCCUAAAUCAUAUUAUAUGUUGUAGUGUGUGGGGCUUCCUCAGUUUUUCCUUUGUUUUGUGAUAUUAAGUGGUUGUCAUUCUACUACUUUAGUGAAAAACAAAUGGAAAUAAUGCAAUGGGUGGAACCUUGGUAAAUGGAAAUAGAAUUUUGUUUGCUUCCCAUGGAGAUGAACUAGCCUAGGGUUGCAUAAAAGAAAAGUGACUCAAUGAACUCUUGGUAAAUGGUAACUUACCUUGUGAUUUAUUGGUCUAUAAAAGAAAAGUAGGAUGAGGCUAUAUAUAUAAUUAGCUUCAUCAAGGAAGUUCUUAUUGGCUAUCCAGGAUAUAUAAGUUGGUUUGCUUCCCAUGGAGAUAGUCAAGUGCUGCCAGAUUCCUCUCCUGACUGCUGCAACGACUAUGGUCUCCUCUCAAGUCUGAUCGUUAUUUCUUAGAAAUUGUCGCUUUGAGCAUACAAAGAUAUAUAUCCUUCUUGAGAAAUUAGCUUGCUUCUCAUUCAGAUCUAAUUCAUAUAAAUUCUACUCGUAAAGUCUCAGGUAUGGUCACUUGCUUUGAAGAUACAUAGAUAGAUAUUUUCCUUCUUGCCCACAUUUUUUUUAUUUUUUUAUAUUUUUUAGAGAAGCAUUUUCUACAGCGUAUUUUUUACAUUCUCUACAUAUAUAUAUAUAUAUAGUAGUAAAGUCUAUAACAACUCAUUGUUUGAGUUUUUCUCAAAUGAAUUUAAUUUUUCUCUCUUUCAGAAGUGUUUUGAAUUAACUUCAAUUUUUUCUAAGAUUAUUUUUUAUCUUUCACUCUUUCAGAUCUGGUUCUGCUCAUUGUUUGGUUAGUGCUUAAGCAAAAAAACUUGCUUGGUACAUAAGGUAAAUACGUAAGAAAACCCCUUUGAGUUAAAGGCGACUGCUAUCUAAUUUUGAUAACUACUAAUCCAAGCUACUAGAUUUGAUAUUUUAUUUUUAUGAAGCGCUUUAUGUGGUUGUCAUCUUGGUAUUCAGUUCGCAACUUUACAUUGAUAACACUAUUCUAGUAAAUAUGGAUUUACUAUCUAUACUAUACUAUUAUAAGCUUGAAUAAAAUUCAGGGGUAUCUCCUGGUUGAUGAGAAUUGAGUUAAAAUACAAAUACUCUUUUAGUCAUGGUUUUAUCGUAAUUUAACAUACGAUUUUUUGUCGAAAGGCCCAAUAAUUUUAAAUAUAAUCAAAUUAACAAAUAUUAUGAGGAACUAACAAUUUUAACUGUGAAUUCCUAUAAAAGAAUAUUAAUAAAUUUGUUUCAAAAAUAAUUAUUUCAUAAAAUUCAAUAAAUUAGUCUAAUUGUAAUUUUUGCUAGCUUGCGAGUGUAAUUAAUAACUUAAAACUCGAAUGUUCAUCUUAAACUGAUAAAUUAAAAAUUAACCAGUGCGUAGUACCUACUAACACAUUAGUAAAAAUAAUUUCAGUAACUUGUUAGCGUUAGAUUGAAAUACAGUUUAGUAGAGUGCAUUCUAAACUAGUUCAUCACAAGCUAAGAGUACUUGCAACUUCUAGGUAUGACUGAACUUCUUUAUACCCAACCUUGACCUCCCUUUGUUGUAAACCACGCCAACUUGUGAUGUAUGUCAAUUCCACAAUAACAGAGCAAAAUUGUGAUAUUUUUUGUUCUCAUUCACAACCAUUUCGUAUAUGUUCUAGUAAAUUCUUAGGCAUAGUCACUUGCCCAUCUACAACUAUCAGACUUCCUUUUUGCCUUUUUUUCGUUUAUCAAAAGCACUUCUAAAUUCUAAUUGUAGAUUGAGAAAAUAAUUACAUUGCAUAUAUGCUAUUAAAGUCUCCUCCAGCUCUUGUACCUUUUGUUAUAGUGUUCAUUUUAAAAUUUUCUUAAAUAACAUGUUUUCUUUCUCUCAAACAAAACUGGCUUCUUAAUUGUGUAGUCAGUGUAAAGAUGGCUAAGGAAUUGCAGCAAAGGAACAAAGUUCGAACAUAAGGUAAAUAAAUAGAAAAAUACAAUUUUGAAUUUUAGGAGUCGAUUUUUCUUUGCAUUUAACUGGGUUUUUUUUUCUAUAGAUUCAUACUUUUCAAAUGUGUGUAGACAGAAUCCUAUUCUUUGCGUUAGAUUUGAUAUUUUUUAAUAAAAUAUUCUCGGGUUUGGUCGGGUAUUUGGGUAAAAUCUUGGGUUCAGGUUUAUUAUUUAAACCCAAUUCAGAUUCGGGUUUAGGCUGUUUUAUAUAAUUCGGGUUUGGGUUUGUAUGAACCCAACAAUACCUGACGUGUUUUCAGCCCUAGGUUUCUUUACUUUUGACGUAGAGGGAAGCAUGAUAAUUGAAUCUAACACUAUAAACUUGAAAGAAAAUUGCUAAAAAAGUAGAACUUUGAUAGUUGAAUGAAUAACUAAUUAAAUUUUUUGUUUUUAGACCUCUUUAUAUAGAUAACUCUUGAUAACUAAUUAGAAACUGAGUAAACCUCCAAAUACAUUUUCCUUAAGGAAUCCUAAAUAAAGUAGAACUCAAAUGACUCUUCUAGACUAUUAUAAAGACAACAAAAUAGCAAAAACAUAACUUAGAAACAAAGUUUAGCUUACAUAAGGAUUUCUAAACCAAUACACUCAAAGUAUGAAAUAGGAAACUGUCAGUCAACUCAAGUCAAGAUGCUCUACAUCGUCCUCGAGUUCUCGCAAACCAAAACUUCACGUGAAUCAUAAAUUGGAUAUAUGUUAUGUACGUUAAAGAUUGGAGAAAUGCGUAUAUCUUCUGAAAGAGCAACACCAUAUGCAUUACAUUCAUGAUCUAAUUAUAGCACGUACAUUAAAAUUAUCAAACCAACCAAAUCCGCUCAAAUUACAAGAAAAAAAAGGGUUAACCCAACCCACCCCAUUAUACUCUAUGAAUCGGCACAGGCAGGAUCUAUGUUCCAAAUCCUUUAAUUGCAAAAAAAAAAAAAAAAAAAAAAGGUAUCCAAUACAAAUUAAACUCUUUUUCCCACCCCCUAUUUAUACAUGUAAGUGUAAAUAAUAUAGAUCUGUACUGGUUAAGCUAACUAAAAAACCUAGCCGCUAGAGAAAAAAACCUAACCAAUUGAAAUCCCUCCCAUGAUGCCAGAUUUCAAUCGCUGGUGGUUAGCCUUCUUCUCUAUGUGAUCGUCCUUCUUGUUUUAUCGUUUCAAGCUUGGUUUAAAUCUGGAAUUUAUUCUAGAUCCAAGUUAUAGCUUUGAUGAGAAGGUUGCUUAAUUAUGGAAUCUGUUUUUCUUUCCUUGUUGUAUUUUAGGUCCUUGGCUUUGAUUGGUAUUUCUCACAAACCUUUAGGGAGUUAAGGUUUUAGGUAUAAGCCGCAAAGCCUAGGCGACAUUUAUUCAUCUUUAGGCUUUAGGAUUGGUUUUCCGCUUGUUUUAGUUUUGUUUUGCUUUAGUCUUGCUAGAGAUAAGCCUUGUUUUAGUGAGUUAUUCUCUUUUACCUUGUCCUCCAAAGGAUAAGCUUUGUUUCUAUAAGCUCUUUAAUGAUCAUACUCUUGGGGAUCCUGUUUGUUUUCUGAUUUCUAUCUACAUAAAAAAAAAUUAUCAAAAAAAUAAAAUAAAAGUGUAAAUAGUAAUAUCCUUGCCUAACGAUGGUUGAUUAAUUUGUAUUUUAUGCUUCAUGGAUGUUUGAUGGUAAUGUAGAUCUUGGAAGAAAGGGAUUAGGAAUUUCUAAAAGAAGAAGAGGAUACAAUGGUUAGGAAUCUUUUACGAAUGGAAGCUUGGAAUCUACCAAGUAAAAGAGAAGAAAAAGAUGAAUAAUCUAACAAGAAACAAAGGAUAACUCAAGAAACAAUUCUUCUAUUCAAUUCAAUAAUAAUUAACCUAUCUAUUACAAUAACCUAAAGCUUCUUUUAUAAAACAAAAAUCUUGUUUAAAAAAGGUUUCUAAACAAAAACGAUUUUUAAACACAUAGUGAAUGCGCGAAAUAGUCGUUAAUUAGAUCAGGUUUUCAAAACCUUGUUUUGACUACCUAAAAUGAGUAUAGCUUCAAGAACGGUUAUCGAAUCCACGUCUAAGAGAGAACCAAAUUAAAUGAAUAAGAGAAAUUCAUUUUUACUAAUCUAGAGAAUAAGGGAGCAAAUGAUUUUCCAAGGUAUUAAUGAUGAUUAACUACUACUAAUGAAAGAAAUAUUUUAAAAAGAUAAAUAAGGUGAGAGUUUCAAGAGAUUGAAUCCACCAAUUCAAACAUGUAUAAUAAUUAAUAUAUAGAUUUAUCAAGAUUAAUCCGUAGAUAAAUACUCAUUACACACUAAGAUGAUUCGAAAUGCAUAAUAAAAAGAUAUGAUAUUAAACACUUAUUGUAUUUACAUUAGAGUCUAUCAAUUCUAGAAAAUCAAUGAUACUUCUUAUCAUUAAAAUGUGAGGAAAUACUACAACACAAUAUACAACUAUUAUGUUGGUGGCAAGAAAGAGUACGUUCGUCUUUCUGAGCGUCACUCAAUGUGUCCCCAAAUAACUAUAGCAAAGUGUAUAUUCCACCUACUAAGAGAAUUUAAAGAACUAAGAAGAAAGUAAAUGAACAUCGUUAUAUAUUUCGUUUCACAAAUAAAACAUUGUAAUAACUUACCUCUAACCUUUUCUCGAAGUAUUAGAUCUUUAAUCUUCAGAAUUACUCUAAAGGAUUAAAACUUAACAAAUCAUAUACUAACCACUACAUAAAUGAAAAAGGUUUCAUCUCUCACUUGAAAAAUGGAGAUUAACCUAGCAUAAUACUAAACUAAAAUCUAUUAAAUAAAAUAACAUAGAAAUAAAAUUAACUAAACUAAAAGAAAAUGAUAAAAAGAAUUUUCAUGUCCAAAAGUGAGUUCUAACAUCAUACUAAUUAGGGAUAAAAAUUACGUUUUUGGAUACUUAUCAAUAAGUAGGAAAGAUAGAAUAUGCAAUAAACUCCUCAUCUUUAAAUAAGUCGGCUAGGUUAAAAUCAACAUUCUCCUCUUGAGAAAAAGCCGAAAUUGGUUGGAUGGUGGAGGCAACAAUAAGUGUAGAGUGGAGAGGGAUGAUGGUGGCUAGAAUAUUGGAUGUAGAGACGGGGAUCUUUUCAUCAUUUUGUCCUUACGUUUGAGUAUUUGAGAAAUUUGGCGGGUGAGUUGAUUAAUAGAAUCUUUCAACGAAAUUUGAGUAGCUUGAAAAAAAAUCUUGUGAAGAUUUCAUCUAUGUUUGAGUUUCUUUAAGAGAAUUGAUAGUUGCAUCAAAGUCUUUCCUUGAAAAAAAAUCUUGUUGAUUAGGUGACAUUGGAUCUUAAGAGAAAUGUUGUUGUAGUAAACAAACGAUUUAAAACACCUUGUAGUAGAACGUGUGAUUGUGAUAGAAAGACGACUCGAAGAUCUUUCCAACAAUAUAUCGCACCCAGACUGGGCCAUAAUAUUAUGUCCUGUAGAAGCCUACAAAGUUGACGAAUUUUCUGAAUCUGGAUGGACGAAAUCUGCUUGAAUGGAAGGUGAUGACAGACCACUUUAUAGAUAAGGAUCUAAAAAGUGAGGAUCUAAUACCACAAAAUGUGGAACUUGGAAGAAAGAUAUUAGGAAUCUCUCAAAGAAGAAGAGAAUAAAGGGUUGGGAAUCUUAGACGAAUAGAAGCUUGGAAUCCACCAAGUAAAAGAAAAGGAAAAGAUGAAUAAUCUAGCAAAAAACAAAGAUAACUCAAGAAGCAAUUCUUCUAUUCAAUUCAAUAAUAAUCAACACAUUUAUUAUAACAACUUAGAGCUUAUUCUAUAAAGCAAGAAGCUUGUUUAAGAAGUAAAGGGCUUGUAAACUAAAAUGACUUUUAAAAACAUAAUGAUUCUUAGUAGUUAAUAUAAUAUACUUAGAACUAAAAGAAUAUUUUUUCUUGAACCUACUUGGAACUUAGAAAAAAAAAAAAUAAUAUUCAAUAUAUCCUACAUCAGAUGGAAUACAUGAUAAUCUUACUUCAAUAUGCACAUUAUUGAUAUUGUCCCCACUUAGCCAUUGUGGAUGUCCAACAGUGUGGGGUUUUAUGGGCAGCAAUCUGCUUCCCGGGAGGUCACCCAUCCUGAGAUUACUCCCACCCAAGCACGCUUAACUCCGAGUUCUUUCGAACUCUAGAGCCAAGUGAGCCCAAAAGGCCUCGGUGAUAAUAAAUGAGGGAUGUAUACCAAUAUUCCAAUGUCAGGACAUCCCCCUCUUAAGUGUCGUAGGAACCACCCCAUCAGUAAACUACUGUCGACCCGGGGUAUUACAUUUGCAUUUUAUGUUUCAUGCAUGUUUGAUGGAGUCUUAGUUUAAUAUAUAUAUAUAUAUAUAUGCACAUUAUUGCAUCUAUUAUACUAUAUAAUAGUUGUAGACAACAAGUGCCACAUGGCGCUUUUUUAGAAACUUGAGAAUAAAGCUUGAAUUUGAUGAGAGCCCAAUUUAAAAAAAGAGCCCACCUUCUAUGUCAGCAUAGAUUUAUAGAAACCUUAAAACCCUUAGAAUUCACCGACUUCUGAAUCUCUUUUUCUACUAAAUUCUUUUUCUAUUUAAAUUCCUUAAUUUUUCUUUUAUAAAAACCAUACUAAAUACAAAAAAAAUAUUAAUUAUAAUUCUCUACAAAUCUAGGUUGAAAAGGGCAUUAAAAAAGCUUAGUUCCACCAUCAUACAAUUACAACAAUGUAAUAAGGUAAUAGAAAUCCUUUGGGAAUACCAUGCAUUAUAAGCGAUCCUCCAUUUAUCGGAUAACACAACUCCCGGUGCAUAAUAUGGGUUCAACAACUUGUGAUAUUCAAUAAUAGUUAGUGUACGUAUUAGACCCAAGGUACAUUUUAUAGUCAUUUUAACUUAAUUGUGAACUCAUGCAUGUUAAUACAAUUAUUUUUUUUAUUUAUUUCCCACACAUUAAAAUAACGCGAUUAUAAUUUAUUUAAAAGAAAAAAAACCCAUAACUUGAUUCAUUAGACUAACCCAUAACCAUCCCAUUAAACCAGAAUAUUAAUCCAAUUUGUGGGGUUAUAGGUGGAUUCUCAGCUUAUAAAUUCUACCCAAUUAGAUUUUUACUGCUUUAUUUUACAUUUUAAAAAAUGAGAAAAAGUGUGACAGUUGCAGAUCAAUUAUGAUGCCACCUAGAAAAGAGUAAGUGGGACCCCUUGGGUUCAACUAUUAUAUAGACUAUGUUAAUAUGCACGCACAGUUCAUAUGCGUGAUUCCCAUAUUUAUAAAGAUUCUAACUCUUGCCACAUGUCCUCAAAAACCCAGUUUGCCAUGAAUAAAUAACAUAAUACAGUUCCUUUUCAUAACUAAUAACAAGUCCAUUAAUUUUUCAAAAUAGAACGUGCACGACAAGUGCAAAUUCACUUAGUGUUCUAGUAAAGUCUCAAAUGUGGCCACUUGCCCAUCUACCACUAUCAAGCCUCCUUUCUUGCCAUUUUUUUUAGGGAGAUCUUAGUCACACCACACAAAUCUUUCAUACACCACACUUGUUUAGCUUACCACAAAUAUUCUUAAGAUUCUCUAGGCACACCACAAAUAAAAUUGAAAAAAAAAACUCUCAGUAUACCACAUUUUAUUUUAUUUUAUUAGUAGAAAAAUAUAUAUAGAAAUAAAUUUAAAUAAUCUAAAAGAUGAAAAUAAAUCUAAGCAACAACAUACAAUAAUGUAAGAAUGUCCAACUACUUCUAGAUAAGAGAGUACUUUCAUCUACAAUUGAAAUCAUAGAAAAAUAUUAAAAUCUUAGAUUUUGACUAUUGUUCUCCAUAUUUUAUUUUUCAUAGAAAAUCUAAAAUGAAGUAUUAGAAGAAGAUGGAGAGAUUUAAGGAAGAAUAAAAUUAGCUGAUUUUUUUAUUUUAGCAUAUUUUUAAUAAAAAAAUAAAAAUAUCUUUAUUUGCUAGAUUUAAUUUAGCAACGUUUCCUUAUUUACUAGAUUUUGUUUGGCAAGUAAAAAUUUUGAAAGAAACAAAACCAAAAUUAAUGUGUAGUGUGCCAAAUAAAAUAAUAAGGAUAAAUCUGUAAAAACACAAUUAUUCAAAAUUUAUCUAAAAAUGUGGUGUAUGAGAGAUAUAUGUGGUGUGACUAAGAUCUCCUUUUUUAUCGCAAAAAUAAGGACAAAUUACAAUGUUAUUAUAUAUAUUCCAUACAUAUUCUAGUAUAGUCUUCUCCAACUCUUCUUAUGCGUAAUUUCAAUUUGCUGAAAUAAAGUAACUUACUUUUCUUUCAAAACAAAUCAAAUGAUUGUUUGCCAAAAUUGUAAUUCUUUCAAAACAAAUCAAAUGAUUGUUUGCCAAAAUUGUAAUUCUUUCAAAAUAAAUCAAAUGAUUGUUUGCCAAAAUUGUAAAUAAAAAAGGGCAUGUUGUAAGGAAUUUAGUUACGAUAUUAUGAUAACGGGUCAUACAAAAUUACUUGAUAAAUAUUAUUGCCUCCGUCCCAAGAUAUCUCACUUUCCAUAUUUGACCACAUAUUAGUUAAGUUAGUUUGUUCUUUUGCCUAUAUUAUCCUUGCUUAACAUAAUUACUUUAAUGAGGAUAAUUAACGUAAUUUUAAUGAAUUAGGGUAAAUUUAAAAAUAUAAUUUAGUAGACAAACUAAUAAAUGAUGUUUCUUUAAUAAGUUGGAUCUUCUAUAAUGUACUUAUAAUUUGGGACGGAGGGAGUAUAAAUGAUAAUAAAAUAAUUUCACUAGAUAUCAGAAAAGCAAGGUAGUGUUUCUCUCAUCUAUCUUCUCACCUGAUCUCAGGCAGUUAUUCCCUUAUUGUCCUCCUAUUUCUCCAGAUAUUAUUGAGAAACUAAUUCUCCUCUCUAAUCAAAUACAUCCUAAAAUAUAAAAAAAAUCUAAUCAAACAUAUGUUCUUGUUAGGGUGGCGCUCAUCCUAAUUUUCUAUGUAAUCCCAUUAUAUGUUUAUAUACAAAGUGUUAGUGUAACUCAAUUUGCUCAUAUUUCAAAAAAUAAUAUCUUUACCAAAAGAUUUUUUGUUUUCCCUAGAAACCAAAAGAAUAAAAAUCACGACCCAAGGAAUAAACUUUUACUUUGAAUUUGACGGAUUGUUUUUUUUUUUUUUUUCUUUUUUUUUCUCUGUAGUAGAAUAUAUAUAUAAACCAUCAAACUUGUUCAAGUUCAUAUCCUGUUGUGUCAAUCACUUUAAAAGGUUUUCCUUAUGUUGUGUUAUAAUGGCAGGAUGGCUGAAAUAAUUGCUGCAAUCGGUACUCUUUUGAGUUGUUUUUGUCAACAGAAUUGUUUAAAUACCCAAAUUUUUGUACGAUGCAAGCAUAUGAUUAAUCCCAAGAAAGAAAUUAAGAAGUUGAAAAUACUGAAGACAGAAUUAAUUGCCUUGAAGGAUGAUGUAAAUGGCAAGUUACACACAGCAAGGAUUGACCGAGGGGAGGCUCCUACACAAGUUGUGGAAUUGUGGCUCAAAAAUGUCCAACGUAUUUUGGAAGACACAGAACUCAUUGAAGGAGAGUUCAAAACAUCAAAGAGGUGCUUAAAUCGUGUAUUGCCUAAAUGUUGUUCAAAUUUUAAUUUAGGACAACGUAUCUCAGUGUUGAUCAUGGAGGGGAAUAAACUUACUCUCAUAGGUAGUGAAUUAUUAAAGGACACUCUCACAUCACAAGUACCAAAGAUUGGAGUGGAACUACCUGCACAAAAAUUGGUUGGGAAAACUACGGCUCAAAAAUCUUUAGAGAAGGUUUGGGAACUUCUAAUGGAUGGCGAAAGUAGAGUGGUUGGAGUGUACGGAAUGGGUGGAAUUGGUAAAACCAAGAUGGCAAUGGUUAUAAAUAAUCGAAUCCUAGAAAAGUCUAAUCAGUUUGAUAAGAUUAUUUGGGUCACUCUAUCAAAAGCUAGAGAUAUUCAUGGAUUACAAAUUGAUAUUGCGAAAAAGGUUGACUUGGAUUUAUCAAAUGAACAAGAUGAAAUAGAAAGGAUGGGAAAGUUACAUGAGGCGUUGAAACGGAGGAAAAGGAUCCUAUUUAUUUUGGAUGACAUGUGGCAAGAAUUUCCUCUUGGCCAGAUAGGUAUACCUGAACCCACAACAGACAAUGGGUGCAAAGUAUUAUUAACUACCAGGAAGAAAGAAGUUUGCAAUAAGAUGGGAUGUCGUGCAGCCAAUGUGAAGGUAGAAAAUCUAACUGAAGAAGAAGCUUGGGAGCUGUUUUUAGAUAAAGUUGAUGAGCUUACUCCUGAAGUAAUGUCGACUGCAAAGUUGAUCGCUAAGGAAUGUUCUGGUUUGCCACUGGCGAUAAUCACAGUAGCUGCAGCUAUGAGAGGAAAUGGUGACCUUGGGGAUUGGACAGUUGCUUUGAAUGAUUUGAGGAACUUUAGCAACCAAAUCAUUGAUAGCGACGACAUUGUCUUUGAACGUUUAAAAUUCAGUUAUGACCGGUUGCCCAAUGAAAAACUAAAAAAAUCCUUCUUAUGUUGUGCAUUGUAUCCUGAGGAUUAUGAAAUUUUAGCAAGGGAAUUGGUUGACUUUUGGAUCAUGGAUGGUAUGGUCGAGGGAAGAAGUAGACAGGAUGAGCUUCUUGAAGGCCAAUUUAUAUUGAAAAAACUAAAAGACCAUUGCUUGCUUGAAAGUGUUGAAACCAAUGAUGUCUACUACAACGAAAUGUCUGAUGGUGUAAAAAUGCACGAUCUGAUCAGGGACAUGGCUCUUCGUAUCACACGUAAGCAUUUCAUGGUCAAAGCUGGUUCCCUAUUGCAAGUAUUACCAAGUGAAGUGGCAUGGGAAGAAGUUCUUGAGAGGGCUUCUUUUAUGAAUAAUAUGAUAUCAAAGGUUUCAAUCAGUCCAAGAUGCCCUAAGCUCUCUACCUUAUUUCUUGGAGGCAAUCUUUUCAUAAGCAGUAUAACACACGAUUUCUUUAUCCAUAUGCAGUGCCUCAGGGUACUUGAUUUGCGAUGUCAUUGGGACAAAGCAAAUCAUAAUUUAGAAUCGUUGCCAGAUUCCAUCUCUGAAUUGGUGAAUCUACAUGAUUUACGUUUAAGUUGGUGUACGAAGUUGAAGAAAGUUCCUUCACUAGCUAAACUCGUCCGAUUGAGAAGGUUGGAACUUAAUAAUACUGCCAUUGAAGAACUGCCUGAAGCUAUGGAAAUGUUGGGCAAACUGAAUUGCCUUAACCUCCACUGUGUAAGAUUGAGGGAGACAAUUCCACUAGGAUUAAUAUCAAAGUUGUCUGCAUUGCAAGAGUUGUACCUUGGUGGCAUAGAAGUGGAUAAACUGUAUGACGUUGGAAGCGGUGAAUCUUUUGCAAAUGAAUUGCUCAGCUUAAAAGAGUUGGAGAAUCUUAACACCAGUUUUCAUUGUUUGUCUGAUUAUGCAAGCUAUGUUGGAUCAUCCAAAUUUAAUGGGUUGAAAUGUUUUUAUCUAGCAGUUGGAGAAGAGUACAAUUUCCGUGAAUAUCAUCUAGGUGUUCCUCCAAAAGGCAACAGUUCAAUUAUCUUGCUCAGGCGAAGGUAGUGCUCAAAAUGCCCAUUUUUUCCCCCAAAACACUAAACGUGUUGCAAUAAAUUCGUUCAAUGAUUUGACAAGGUUAAAUGAGUUGGGAUGGUUAAUAAAGGAUGUAAGAGAGCUAGUAGCAUUUACAAUUAACCAGUGUAAUAAAAUAGAGUGUAUAUGGUGGUGGUCGUCGUCAGAAGAGGAAUUGAGUGGUACUGGUACUGGUACUUCUUCUACUUGUUGGCUACAAUGCCUGGAAAGAAUAGAUAUCCAUCGAUGCCCCAAAUUGUACACGCUUUUUAAGGGGAUUCCAAUUCCUCCUUCCUUCUUCUGCUUGAAGGACUUGAGAAUCUAUGGAUGUCAUAAUAUCAAGAAUGUCUUAUCAUCAUCUAGGUUGCUGCAGCUGCUCCAAAACCUUGAAGAGAUAUGGGUGAUUCGAUGUGAUGAAUUGGAGGAGUUGAUUGGAGAAAAAGAAGAAGAAAACAGAAGAAACGUUGGAACACCCAUCGCAGUUCAAUUCCCUAAGAUUAAAAUAUUUGUGUUUAGGAAUCUACCAAAAUUGAAGAGCAUUUGGAGGGGCGUGAUGAUUUGUGAUUCUCUGAAAGAAGUUUGGGUAGAUAAUUGUUCUGAAUUAAAGAAGCUCCCUCAAUUUAAAGGAGAAGAUCAAUCGAUACAACCGCCAGCAUCUCUAAAAGAAAUCCAAGGAAGCAGAAAAUGGUGGGAUUCACUUGAAUGGGAUCCUGCAUAUCCCCAAAAUAUCCUUCAACCCUUCUUCAUAGAACUUCAAGGUAUGUAUGGAUUGAUUUAUCACUCCAAAUGUGUUCAAAUUUUUUUCUGUUUUCUUUACAUUGUAGUAUAUUUUGAUUAAUUACUUCAAUUCUAUUUUGAUUUGUUCGUAGAAGAAUGAAUCAAAAAGCUUUCACCUUUUCACUCGUAAAAAAUGCCUAAAUUUGUUUUGUCAUCGUAAAAAAUGCCUAAAUUUGUUUUGUCUAUUAAAACAAACUAAAUUUUAUUACAACAUUGAAAUCUAUUGACCAUUCACUAGAGUAAAUUCGUUGGUCAAUUGCAUUAAUUAAAUUAUUUGUUCUUUUGUUAAGUAAUUCGUUGGUUACUUCUUCAAGUAUGCCUAUUUAUAUAUGUCAUCUGUUUUUUACUAAAACGAAAUAGAAAACCGCAUUGCCCAACGAUUAAUUAAGUUCCGACUUUAAUGGAGAUAUCUUUCAUUCAAAAACAAUUUCCAAAUUGAAGCUAAUUACCAUAUUACCAUAUUCAAACUCUUUGACAUAUAACGCAUUUUGUCAACAUCCCUACCAGAAGAUGCACACAUUUUACAUAUAUGCAUCACAUAUAGAGUUGGACUAUUAGACUACCCCUACCCAUUCUAUCAACACUGCACCUUGUCAGUUUCACUACAAACAAAAAAUGUCUUAUGACUUAUGAGGUGACACUGUCUGCCAUUCCGUUGGUUUUGAAUUUUUUCGAAGACAUCAUGCCACUGUCAUUAACAAAGUAAUCUAUUGUCUCAUGUGCAGGAAAUGUACAUUCUGGAGUUGCAUGUGAUAAUUGUCAGGUAACCUCCUUGCAUUUUCAUAUUGGGAUGCUAUUCUUUAAAAAUUCAAGUAAAAUUCAGGGGACUUUUAAUCAUGCAAGCCGCUAAUGGUCUGUUCCGAUUGAUAAUUUUGUUCUGAUAAUAGAUUGUAUGUUCUUGUCUGGCUUGUUUUUAUUUUUUGUUUUUUGAGGUUUUGCGAAACAAGGAAUAUGUACCUAGAGUUGUGAAAAUAUUGUUCUAUGAUAAGAAGAAGACAGUAGUCUGCUAAAAUGUCGGUAAUAAGCAAUAAAUUGUGGGAUUUAUUGCUCCCAUACUUCAUUCUCUAACUGCAUUCAGCAAGCCGAAGUUUGUGUAAAGUUUUAAGACAAGCAGUACUUUCCCUUUGUAGGUUUAUCCUUUAGUCUUCUCUUACCACCUUAAUUGAUCUUUACAGGUGAGGCCAAUAGUUGGGAAUCGAUACAAAUGCAAGGACUGUCCUGAUGAACGUGUUGUUGGGACAGGGGGAGUGAUAGGUUUUGAUCUGUGUGAAGAGUGUUAUAAUACUCCCUCGAAGCAUUCAGAUUUUGUCAAUCAGCAUAACACAAAAGGGCAUACCUUUGAGCUUAUUGCAAACCGUGGAGACAGUCCAGUUCCUGUACAUACUGUGGAAGAGCCAAACAGUGCAUAAAGUUGAGCUAGUUAAUAAGUUCAUAUGAAGGAGUGGUACAUCAUACUGAGGUUGUUACUGUACAUUAUUAAUGCAGUUCUUUCCCAGUGGUUUCUUAUGAUGCUGCAGAAGAUCUAUGGACUGUAGUUUUUCAUAUAUUCUCUGGGGCUCUUUUGAAGUCGCACUCUGCUAUUUUGCUCAUUGAAAGUUGUUGAUGAACAAUAUGGAGUAAUAUUUUUUGUAUUGAUUUGGUUUUGCCAAUAAGUUCCAAAAAUAUGAUUGUACAAAUUGUUAGAUCUGCCAAAUUUAAUGGGUUGAAAUGUGGUUUUGUAGCCAUUGAACGCCCCAAAUUGUACACACUUUUUAAGGGGAUUCCAACUCCUAACAGCUCCUUCUGCUUGAAGGAGUUGAAAAUCUGUGGUUGUCAUCAUCUCAAGAAUGUCUUCUCGUCAUCUAGGCUGCUGCAGCUGCUUCAAAACCUUGAAGUGCUAUAUAUCUUUGACUGUAAAGAAAUGGAGGAUUUGAUAGGAGAAUAAGAAAGAAGAAAAAAGAGGAAGCAUCAAAACACCAGAAUUACCAAGAUUGCAGAGCAUUUGAAGGGCGUUGAUAUUGCAACAGAAUUAGGUUAAAUGAAUUGUGUUUGUGGAAUUUACCUGGCAUUAUACAUGGAGUUACUUGUGAGAACCCAAUAUGUGCAAUAUAACAAUAGUAGAGCAAACAAUAAAGCAGUAAACAAGUAAAGAACACACGAUAUUUUUAACGUGGUAAAACCCAAUAUGGGAAACGUCCACGGUUGUCCUCGCGACAACAAAUAAAUCCACUAGAUGAAAAGAGAUUUACAAACCUAUCAACUACCUGCAAUCACUGCGAGUUGACACUCCUGGUUAUCUCUAACACCUUGACUUCACCGGAGCACCUUGAUAUACGCACAAGACACUCGACUUCUUGAUGAACACACAAGAAGACUCGAAGCCGAUCUAUGUAACAAGCUUACACCAGAGUUCCUUGAUGAACACACAAGAAGACUCGCAGCUAAAUCACUAUUCAAUAAGGAAGAAGAAGAUGAAUGGGGAAGAAGAAGAUGAGUUCAAUCACCAAAACAACCUAAACCAAAACCUAAACAAACUCCAAGACAAGAGAUGAAUUGGACGGCCAAAGAACUAGUUUGUUCUUUGGUAGAAAACCCUAUAUAUAGUUAGGGUUUGAAACAGGAGAAAAUGGGCAGAAAUUGACAGAUUUCAUAUUGGACGUACGUACGUCGAAACAGCGUACGUACGUCCUGAGACAUAAAUAGUUCGCUGCCUACUUGGACGUACGAACGCCCUAACUAGGUACGUACGUCCUGACCAAAACAUGUUUGCUGCCUAACAUGACGUACGUACGCCAACUAGGUACGUACAUCCUAAACCCAAAACUUACUUUUGACACAAGGACGCGAGGACACAGACUCGGGACGAUGCGCGUACAACUUGGUUUUCCUAACAAUGAACUCAAGGCGAGAUAACCAUGGACAUCCAAUGUCACAAAAUUAAUGUCAAACAGGAGUGCAGGUUUCAACUUGUAAACUACUUAUUACAUAAUAUAAAUAUGCCGAUAAAUUAGAUAUGCCUACAAAACAUCAAAAAGAGUAAACUCGAGAAACUUCAAAUUUAUAUAAACGUGCCAACAUUCUCAAUCCAGUUUACCUCUAGUUUUAUAAAUAACCAUUCUUAAUCAUUCAUCAAAACACUACGAAAAAUUAACAAAAAACCAACAUGUGAAUUUGUAAAACAAUAUCUUACAUAUGACUUAAAAAUAAGAAUUCAAUUCAAAAUUCCAAAAACUUUAAACAACUUACAUGCCAAUAAUCUCUAUCAAUAGUAAGCAACUUAGUAAUAGCAUAAGUCCCUGCAGCAAGAACAAUAACUGCAUUUAUAGCUCUAUCAAUCAACAUCUCAACAUCUUCUUCUUCAUUUCCAAUCACUUCUGAUACAACACUAGCCGAAGAUGACGACGACAAAGAAGAAGAAAACCCAUUAAUCUCUCCAGCUCCUUCAAAUAAAAACCUUCCUUCAUUAGCAAAUCCACCAACUUGAUGAACACUUUGUUCUUCAUUUCUUUCUAUUUCAAUUCUAACCAAAACCCCUUCUUGUUGAUCUAUUAAAUCAUUACUUUGAACUGGAAUUACAUCAAAUUCUUCUUUAAUAGACCCAAUAAUCCAAUUUCCAUUGUUUGUUCUCAAAAAUGUUGAAUUCUUUGAGAUACCCUUUAAUGGAAAGUUGGAUUUGCUUAGUUUUGAUUCCUUGUUAAUGGGUUUUGAUGAAAGUGGAUGAAGAAAUCUUUGAGGUGUUAGACUAUUUACAGAAGCAGCCAUUGUUGGACUACUCUGAAGUUGAGCAGAACCAGUGGUUUCAGUGUCUGAUUUGGCUUCAGAAAGUCAAAGAGAAAAUUGUGAAGAGAAAUAGAGUUUUAAAUAGGUCAAUGCUGACUCACUGACACGCUGGAAUUAGCAAAAAAAUAUAAAUAUGGAGAGAGAGAUUUUUAGAGACCUCCAUUUGAACCUGAAAAUUUGAGAUACCCUCGUUUAAUAUUUAAUUAGGGAUAACCAAAUUAAGAGACAAACUGGUAAAUUCACUGUUGACUAAAUUUUCGAUGAAAAAAUCGACAGCCGAAGGGUGGAAUUCGGACGAACAAUCGGAAAUGGUAGGUUCGGAAAAAAAAAUCGAAAAUCGAAAUUAAAAAAUUUCUUCUGAUUCUGUUCUAAAUUCGGAAUAUCGAAAAUAUUCUGAAUAUCAAAAAAAAAAAUUCGGAUCAAUCAGAAUUCCAACUUAAAAUAUAUCGGGAAAAAUGGUGGAUGUGAUCCGUUUUCGAAACUUGAAAAUCCUACCCUCUUUAUACUGAGUUGAGAUAGUAUAUUUGCAUAUUGGGGAAUUUUUAUCUAAUAUUAUUAACAUACCACCCCAAUAAUAGAUCAAAGUUCUUGAGUAUAACAUCUUAUAAAACAUAAUUAUACUGCACAAUUUAUAUAUUACUGAUAUACUUGCAUGAACAAGAAAUGAGCUAAUUUGACUAAUAAACGUGGACCUUCAAUCGAAAGUAUAAGGGUUAUUUAGGUUUUGGCCAUGAUUUUAUAGUGCUAUUUAGGCUUUAGCCAUUUUUUAUCUCGUAAUUAGGGUUUGCUCAUUUGGUUUAGUCUGACUAAAAAAAAAAAACGGGUUUAACCGGAUUAUUUUCUUAAAUGACAGUGUUGCCCCUACAGUUAGGUGUAAUUCAUCUGAAUUAACUUGAAAACAAACUUAAAACAAAUCACGUGUUUUAAUCUGACUUAAUCUUUCUUUUAUUUUUACUUUUGUUGAAGACUCAAUCUUUCUCAAAUUAGCAAAAAUCAAAACAAGAGCUAAGAGCUACCAUCAUCAAUCAAAACAUCAGGAGUAAUACCAAUAAAUUGCUAAAUCGAUCGAUUCUCUUUCUAAAUCAUCUGUUUCAGAUCCAAGAAUCUCUUCAUUAUUCUUUUUCUCAACUCUAUUGCAUCAAUAUCAAUCGAUUUCAUCGCUUUCUAUAAAGCAAUGAAGAGACAUCUCCAUUUUGAGAUAGCCGGAAUAUAGUCUUUGUAAAUACCGUUUUGUUUGUCUUCUGAACUACUAACGGUUUCCCAAGUGGUUUUGACUUCAAGAUCGACGAUUUCAAUGGAAGUUGGUAUUUUCGCCAUGGUAAAGCUGGUGGUGAAGCUUGAUAAUAAAUCAAUCAAUUAAGAUAUAACUCUUAACUGAUGCGUUCCUACCAAUAGCUCGAAUCGAGUUGGUAUUUUCUUUAAGAAAUUGUUUCUGUUCAGAAAAUUCCACAACUUUGAAGUUUGAAUUCGUUUUCGAGUUCUUCGUAACUGAACUUUGGGUAUGUCAUUAGAACUCGGAAAUUCUCAGCUUUGGGUAUGUCAUUGAACCUCAAGUUCAUAAGUUCUCAAUUUUCCUGCUAAGGUCUCUAUGGACAUUGUCUUUAAGUCAUUGCUUUCUUGAAUGGCAUCUUUCCUAGAACGGAAUCUAGAUGGCAAAGACCGAAGAACUUUACGUACUAUUUGAGUAUCGGUGUACACUAAACCUAAAGAUGCACUAAAGUUGAUAAUAUCCUGCAAACGAAUAAAGAAUUCAUCAAAAGAUUCAUUAUUAUCCAUUUUCAUAGUUUCAAAUUGAGUAAUAAGAAGUUCAAGAUUACUCUCUUUGACAGCAAUGUCACCCUCAUGAGUUCUUACCAACCUAUCCCAAGCCUCUUUGGAUGUUAUACAACCAUGAACUCUCCGAAAUUCACUAGCAUCCAAAGCCAUAAACAUAGCAUUAAGCCUUCUUUGUAACAACCUCAUCUGUACCACCUGUAGUAACUCUCGGUGGUGACCAACCAUCUUCCACAACGAUCCACACAUCCCCACUCAUAGCCUGCAAAUACGCAGCCAUACGAACUUUCCAAUAGGGAAAAUUAGUUCCAUCAAAUUUAGGAGGACAAAUUAGUGUUCCAAAUUUAUCAGAAUCUUAAAAUUGCACUAAGGAUCUACGCGUGAGCCUUUACGCUCCUUAACAAGCGCCCUGCGACUGAUACCAAUUGAGAACCCAAUAUGUGCAAUAUAACAAUAGUAGAGCAAACAAUAAAGCAGUAAACAAGUAAAGAACACACGAUAUUUUUAACGUGGUAAAACCCAAUAUGAGAAACGUCCACGGUUGUCCUCGCGACAACAAAUAAAUCCACUAGAUGAAAAAAGAUUUACAAACCUAUCAACUACCUGCAAUCACUGCGAGUUGACACUCCUGGUUAUCUCUAACACCUUGACUUCACCGGAGCACCUUGAUGUACGUACAAGACACUCGACUUCUUGAUGAACACACAAGAAGACUCGAAGCCGAUCUAUAUAACAAGCUUACACCAGAGUUCCUUGAUGAACACACAAGGAUACUCGACUUCUUGAUGAACACACAAGAAGACUCGAAGCUAAAUCACUAUUCAAUAAGGAAGAUGAAGAUGAAUGAGGAAGAAGGAAGAAGAAGAUGAAUGGGGAAAAAGAAGAUGAGUUCAAUCACCAAAACAACCUAAACCAAAACCUAAACAAACUCCAAGACAAGAGAUGAAUUGGACGGCCAAAGAACUAGUUUGUUCUUUGGUAGAAAACCCUAUAUAUAGUUAGGGUUUGAAACAAGAGAAAAUGGGCCAAAAUUGACAGAUUUCAUAUUGGACGUACGUACGUCGAAACAGCGUACGUACGUCCUGAGACGUAAAUAGUUCGCUGCCUACUUGGACGUACGAACGCCCUAACUAGGUACGUACGAGUGCCGGUUUCAACUUGUAAACUGUUUAUUACAUAAUAUAAAUAUGCCGAUAAAUUAGAUUAUUUAUUGAAUGCAAUUCAAUAGAGUAAAAAGGAAAUAGAUAUUUUUUUGCAAAAGAAGAGAAUUAACCAAAAUAUUUUCAUCCUUUUUGCUUUUGUCACAUUUGAAUCGUUAGCCUCAGAUGUGGUGGAGCUCCUCAAGAGAGUGCAGAAGAUAAUAGAUGGCAAUGUGAUGAUUGUUGGUUCGAACGAAUAUGUAUUUAGAAGAAUCAAAUUUGUUAUUCAAAAAAGAUUUGUAGCGCGUUUGUCCUCUAAUUUGGUGUGAUUUCUUGAGUAUGUCAAAGAAAAAGGGUAGUUGUACUUAAUUUAGACGGUGGUCAAAAAGGGAAAUAACAUUGUUGUAAUCAAUGAAUGGCCGCUUAAGCUGUUGACAUUUAAAAUGUACACCUAUUAGGAUGAUUUCUUAGAAUCCCAAAUUAGUAUCACUGUCAUCAUAACUCACCGUCAACAAUACUAUAAGAAUAACAACAAUACUCAAGCCUUAAUCAUCAUCACCAUAGGUGAAAAUAUCGUGCGUGCCGGGCGGAUAUUCGCGAUAUUUUCCGUUUUUUCAGAGAUCGGCACGGUACGGAUCACGGCAUAUAUUCGGAUAUUAAAACACCCCAUGCCGGUCGGCAUUUAUCGGAUAUUCGCGGCAUAAAUCGGCAAAAACCGAUAUUUAUCGAAAUUUUGGAAAUUUUCGAUUUUAAAAUUAACACAUUUAUUUUUAAUCCCCCCGAACUAGAAUUUUCGAUGAGAUUAUCAAAAAAAUGUCCAAAAGGCACUAGACGUUUGGAAACUUUCGCGACGAACUUGAUGGCCCUCCAAGAGCAAUAUAUCAGAAAGAAACGAAAAAAAAGCACGCUCAUGCCAAAGUGAAGUUCUCUCUCACUUUUGGCAAACCAGUAUACUGUUUGUAUCCAAGGUUUGUUUUUGUGUAAUGAAUAAUUGGUAUCGAAUUGGUAACAUAGGAACCUCCCAAAGUGAUGAUUUCAGUGUACCAUCCUACCAAACCCAACCAGAUGACAGUGGUUCUUGGUUUCCUAAUAUAGGGAGUUGGUUGGCCCCAAUGACAAGUGGGUCCGACGUGCAGUCAGCCGAUACAUUAAUGCCGGUUCAACAAUACUCGAGAUUUCCUAUAUUUGAAUCAUUUGCUCCGUAUUGUAUGGAUCAAGAUGCAUAUGAUAUGCAUAUUGACCAAUUCAGGUCGUACGAGCAAACAAUGUCAUGGGAAUAUUACUGUACUGAGUUCGUCCCCACUCAUCGGUUUGACAAGGGGCGUCUAUCAUUCUGGGGUUAGCAUGUCUUUUAUUUUGAUUAUUAAAAUAAAACUAUGGGUUGAGUUGUAAUGAGGUUGUUUGUGUUUAGUUCUUGUAUUGUAAACAUAUAAAAUUUCUAUGAAUAUCCGCCCGAUAUUUACGAUUUUUUCACCUAUGAGUAAAACUAUCUUGUGUAAUAGUUCCGUCUUAGCUUCCUUGUAUGAUUUGUCGUGUGUUUAAUUUGUAAUGUAUGUUUUUCUUUUAAUUAUAAGUUUAUAUAUCGAAAUCCGCGAAAAAACACGUAAAGUGCAGAAAACCUCCCAAUUUGCCGAAUUUUUCGCGAAUAUUCGCGAAUAUCCGCGGCAUAAACCGAUUUUUUCGAAUUUGCCAAACCAAUACAAUCCGACACAUGAGGUCGGAUAUCCGCGAUAUUUUCCGGUUUUUGGGGGAUCGGAUAUCCGCCCCUAAACGAUAUUUUAGCCUAUGAUCAUCACUACCUUGUUGUCCUUAUCAUGUUUCUUGUCAUGACCCAAUUUGCUUUCGCUGCCCGGGAAAUCCCAAGAACCAUUAAUAGCAAUGCUAAGAAUAAGCAUAAUCAAGAUGUCCCAUUAACCACUCAAACUUUUCCAGGCUUUGGUGUUCGAUAUAACAACCUACCAGGAAGACAAUACCACCAGUAUAUUCCAGGUUUUGAUGAUACCUUCAUUCCAAACCCAGGUUUCGAGGUCCCAUAUCCGGCAGCGGUCCAAGCUUCUGCUUCUCGUCCAUGAACACACAAUAUGUAGGGGCUUGAUUGUCAAGAGGUCUCUUGUCAAAACAGUAGUUUAGAAAUGGUGAAGAUCUCUAUUACUAGCUAGUGUUAUUUUCAUUGAGGAUUUGCGAAUGUGCAAGCCAGUUUUUAGUGAGCUUUGACAAAAAUGACAACUGAAAAUAUAUAUUCUUCGGACUACAUCAGGAUAGUGGCAUGUCUACCGACAGAUCACUCAUGUCUACAGAGUGCUACUUUGACUAGUACAAUGUUAGAGAUGCACAAGAAGCCACAUUCCAAAAUUUGAUGCCUAGAUCAGUAAAACCUACUUUGUACCAUAAUCUAAGACUGCAAAAGGAGCUCUAUUAAUAGGCUAUGGGACGACACAGUAAACGUAGACAGUAAUUAUCUCGUCGUUUUUCUUUCUAGGACCACUAGGUUUUUUUGGACCAAUCUUACUCUUAGUCAAUCAUCAUUUUUAUUGAAAGUAAAAAUACGAGUAUAUAUUCUGAAUAGAGAUUUGCAUACAUAUUAAUGCAUCAAAAGAGAGCAAUUGAUGAAAGUAAGAGUGCCAAAAACUGGUAACAUUGUCGGUAAAGACAUCCCUCUCCAAGUUGGGAGGCUGUGGGUUCAAUUCAUCUAGAAAAUAGUUAGAGGAAUUUUACUCAUGUAAUAUUAGGAGGAUCUCUCCAUGGUGGAUUAGCCUUUGGGGAUUGUUCAUUGUACGACUUACUGGCCUAGUUUCAGAUGUAACACCUUCGGGCCUUGUGAAGUAGCUUUCAGGUCUUGGAAUUUAAUGUAAAAAAUUAAAAUUAAAGAAAAAGAAAAAGAAAAAAGAAAAAAAGAUGAAAGUAAGAGGUUUGUUGAGCUCUAUUUUUUCUCCACUGUUUCAUUGAAUCAUGGAGAGGGUGGUUUUAUACAAAGUAAAUGCAAAUUUUGGAAUGAAUAUAAUCUACAGGUAACUUAUAUUGACAUAUGUUACAACAUUUAUGAUUUGAAGAACCACGACAAUGAUUCUUAAAUAGGGUCAAACAGGACUUACAUACACAUUAAUGUUUCGAUGGAAAGCCAGCAAGGAACCAUAAGCAGUAUGUCAAGCUUAUACAGUAUUUCCACCACUUCCGCAUCAAGUCGUAACAAUCUAUGCACAGAUUGAGGAAGUCACUCACUCUUUCUAGUAGGCGUCAAUCUCAUAGAAUCGAGUAAUCUUCUUUUACUGCAGAUUUACUUUGCUCUUCAUUUAUUCCUAAUAAUCACAACCAAAAUCAAUGGAGUAUGGUAGCAAAUAAAAUUCAGUAGAGUAUCUGCUAAUGUCAAAACACAAACAAAACCAGAUGUUACUGUAAAAUAUUUUUUGCAAAAUACCUCAGAGUUAAUUGAUAGGGUACUAGAGUUCACUUCCAAUGAUGCUUCAGAGGUUCUUGCUUCUGAUUUCUCAUUUGACAAUCUAACAAGCAAAUGAUAAACAUGUUAGAAAUACUGUACCAAGUAGAAGGCAUGAAAGUGGAUGACAUGUUCUUUGUGUUGUUGUUGAGUACUUACGUGGAGAGUAUUGUAACCCAAAUAAGCUCCACACAAUCAACCCAAAGAAGUCUUUGUUCUACUGGAACAACACCGUACGUAAUUAGAUGAGCAAAAGGCCAGAGCUUCCAUCCUGCCUGUCAAACAAACAACAUAGAGAUAAUGUUAAUAGAGAAUAUAGAAGCUCUAUGCAAAUACCAACUCAUAAAAAUCCAAGCUCAAAUACAGUGUUCCAACUUAGCCAAGAACCACACCAAUAGUUUGAUGAAGAAAACUUUAUUACUUUAAUCAAUAAAGCAGACUUUAGCUCUUUGUAGUUUUUAUUGUUCUUAUUUAAAUACUCGAUCAGAACCCCUUCAAUGCAUAAAUCAGCUUUCAAGUUAUAACAAGGUUGGAAUAUCCCAAAUGACUGAACAAGCAGUUGGACUCUAGGCUAAUGAUAUUUAACUCCGACCACGUUAUAGACCAUUUCCUACGUUUAAUAACUUACGUUAUUAAGGGCCAUGGUGCUAGUAUGUAAAUCCUUCAUUGACCAUGGACACAUUUACAUCAACUUACUGCCUGACAACUCUACAAAUGCAUUGAAAAUGAUCCACCAAAUAAAACACGAGUCAAUGAUGCAACCCUAGACAUAUACGUAAAGGACAAAGCUUUGAAAAUAUCAAUAUGGUUUGCCAGUGAUUUCAAGAUUUGCUCACUGCUCAAAGCGAAACACAAUGAAUUAUAAUUCAGCAAAGGAACAUAGCUUUUUAGUGUAUUUGAACUACAUGAUGCAAUCAGAAGAAAUUAUACACUAAUAUCAAGGAAAGAUAAAAAUUUCUUCUUUUUAAGAAAUAGUGCAUAUUUCUAGCCACAAUUUAGACCUUCAGGUCUAUGAAAACAGAGAAGGAGUCUGUAUAUAUAUAUGUAGAAUGAUACAAAACACUAAACACUAAACACUAAACAGAGAAGGAGUCUGUAUAUAUGUAGAAUGAUACAAAAGGCAUUAAACUUAUGAAAAGUAAAUUAUUUAAAGAAAGGAAGAUAUAUCUUACAGUCAGCAUGGGAAUAAAUGUUGCUUUUAGUUCAGUGAAAAUGCUGGCUGGGGAUUCGAAACGCAAUAACCCGAGUACUACAUAGUAUAUGCUGUUCCAUAAUGCUGCCCAUGCAGUUUGGUCAAAGACAACCUUAACAGGAACCACCCACCAGUCUUGGAAAGGGAAUAAAGCCUGCAGCGCCAACAACAACUUUCAGGCUUUCACGCAAAACCAACCAAUACGCUUAGUAGCUAAUAUCUUCGAAGAUUGAUCCUAAACAAUCACCUCACAGAACUGGUAAUAAUAAUGAGAAAGAGAGCCAUGAAGAGAGAAUCCAACAAGGCCUGAUCUGAACAUGCGCGUCCGAUCAAAAUCAAAAAGAGGUUUCCCUUCAUAGCACUACACAAUAAACAGAAUAUGAGAAAACAAAUAUAUGGAAACAAGAUUGAAGGAAUGAGAAACUAAAGUCUCCAGAAGGGUUACAUUAUAACCUGUGCAAUCCAAUCCCCCAGAGAGUAGACCACUCCACUUAUGACCAUUUUGGCUAAAACAGGAUUUUCUUUUAAAGCUUCUUCAUAAGCAGCCCAGUUGUGCAGGGGUGCGUAUCUUAAUAUCUCAAAAAUAGUCCAACCCUAAACUUACAAAAAACAAAUGGAAUAAAGAGAUAUGUCUACAAAUUAAUUACAGGAACACUAUUUUUGUUUACUUGAUGAAAUAGCCAUAAAUAGUAAUUCCGCGUGCAAACACCAUAUAUAUAUAUAUCCGAAUUGACGAUAUAUAAAAAAAAUUCAUGCUACCACAAAAAAAGGAUAUUUAUGGCUAGGAAGCUUACUUAAAGCAAAAUAUAGAAGAAAAUUGACAGUUUUUAGGUGAUACAUCAACAGAAAUAAAAAGUUUUAUAAAUAUUCCUGGCCCUUAAUAAAGCAUUUGAGAAGGUAUGCAACUGCAAACAGAAUUCACAUUGGAUUCUUUCAAUUCAUAAUUCUAAAGCAAUGCUCAUAAUUAUCGAUCAACAAAAACAGAUGAGUGCUAACUUCCAAAAUCACAGAUCCAUUGAUUCAUAGUAAGUAUAAAGAAAAAUCUAUUCAUAGAAUUCCGAUCACAACCAUAAUAACAAGUAAAAAGAAAUCUGUGGAAGGACUUUGAAAGAUGUAGUAAGUGAAGGUAUGGAGAAAAAUCUUAAGUAAUAGACAUUGUCACAUACUGUGAGGUUUGAAGUAGUUUAGGUUCCAUGCAAAGCCCCUUACAGCUUGUGUUUCCAUGUUGCCUCUUUCUCAGUUUUACAUUUUGGAACCUAAUUAUGUUGUUGUCAUUCUAUACAUAUCUUUAGCAUGACAGAUAAUCUUAUCGCUUUAAAACCUCUAACAGACCAUGUAGACAUCAAAGCAUCAACUACUCUGAACUCAGAACUGGAAAGACUAUCUAUUUUUUGCAUACCCUCUACUUUCAUGAAGAUUAUUCCCAAAUCUAACAAUUAAAAUCCAACUUAAUUUCUGCAAAUUAUACUCUAAUUAUAAAUAUAUUUAAGAAAACACAUCUUGAGCUUGUUACAUAUGCCUACAAAACAUCAAAAAGAGUAAACUCGAGAAACUUCAAAUUUAUAUAACUUAGGUGCCAACAUUCUCAAUCCAGUUUACCUCUAGUUUUACAAAUAACCAUUCUUAAUCAUUCAUCAAAAUUAACAAAAAACCAACAUGUGAAUUUGUAAAACAAUAUCUUACAUAUGACUUAAAAAUAAGAAUUCAAUUCAAAAUUCCAAAAACAUUAAAUAACUUACAUGCCAAUAAUCUCUAUCAAUAGUAAGCAACUUAGUAAUAGCAUAAGUCCCUGCAGCAAGAACAAUAACUGCAUUUAUAGCUCUAUCAAUCAACAUCUCAACAUCUUCUUCUUCAUUUCCAAUCACUUCUGAUACAACACUACCCGAAGAUGACGACGACGACGUCAAAGAAGAAGAAAACCCAUUAAUCUCUCCAGCUCCUUCAAAUAAAAAUCUUCCUUCAUUAGAAAAUCCACCAACUUGAUGAACACUUUGUUCUUCAUUUCUUUCUAUUUCAAUUCUAACCAAAACCCCUUCUUGUUGAUCUAUUAAAUCAUUACUUUGAACUGGAAUUACAUCAAAUUCUUCUUUAAUAGACCCAAUAAUCCAAUUUCUAUUGUUUGUUCUCAAAAAUGUUGAAUUCUUUGAGAUACCCUUUAAUGGAAAGUUGGAUUUGCUUAGUUUUGAUUCCUUGUUAAUGGGUUUUGAUGAAAGUGGAUGAAGAAAUCUUUGAGGUGUUAGACUAUUUACAGAAGCAGCCAUUGUUGGACUACUCUGAAGUUGAGGAGAACCAGUGGUUUCAGUGUCUGAUUGGCUUCAGAAAGUCAAAAGAGAAAUUUGUGAAGAGAAAGAAAGUUUUAAAUAGGUCAAUGCUGACUCAUUGACACGCUGGAAUUAGCAAAAAAAAAAAAAAUUAGAGAUUUUUUGGAUAUUUACCCCUAUUUGAACCUGGAAAUUUCAGAUACCCGUUUGAACUUUAAUUAGCCAUACCCCAAAUCGAGUCAAACUGGUCAACUCACUAUUGACCAAGUUUCUGAUAGGAGAAAUUCGACACUCGAAGCAUAAUGCUUAGUUGACAACUUGACAUGAAGUUUGAUAUUGUUAUAUUGACCACCAGAAAUUUGGUUAAUGGGGAGUUGAUCAUCUUGACUCUCCUAAUGAGGUUUAUUAAUUAAACAAGUUGUUAAAUCCGUGUUACGCAUUGGGAUUUGUGUCGGAUAAAUAAAUGAUUCUAUUAUUUUAUUAGAUCGUUGCAAUUGUCUGAUUGUCAGUUUUUAUAAUGAUUUUCUCAACCUAAAUUUGUAGAGAUUUAUAAUUAAUAUUUUUGUAUUUUAAUAUGGUUUUUAUAAAAGAUUUAAGGACUUUAAAUAGAAAAAGAAUUUAGUAGAAAAAAAAAAAUUUACAAGUUGGUGAGUUCUAAAGGAUUUUAAGGUUUUUAUAAAUCUUUGCUGACGUGCGAAGGUGGGUUCCCUUUUUAGAUUGGGCUCUCACCAAAUUUAAGUUUUAUUCUAAAGUCUCUAAAAAAACGUCGUGUUGCACUUGUUGUGUACGACUAUUAUAUAGUAUAAUAGAUUUUUAAAAUGGUGUAUCUCAAAUAUCCGAGUUCAGAUGGUAUGGGUGAGUCCGGAAAUCUCAAAAAUAUGAUUACUUGUUUAUGAUGGACAUGUGGGAUCCACAUGGACUAGUCACUAGUGUGAGUCAUCUUGCCGCGUCUUAAGUUUUGUGAUGGUUGAAUAUCCAUGUGGCAAAAGUGUUUAGCUGUGUGGAAAAUUUGGAGUGUGAGAAUAUUCAUCAAGAAGUUCAAGUAGGCUCCAUGACAUUGCCUUCUUGUGUAAUGGAAAUCCAAAAUCUUGUAUGUGGAGGAGGAACACUUUGUUUUGUAGAAAUAUUUGUUCCUGAUGUUUCUGGAUAAUACAUAUUUGAAAAAAAAAACUUGUAUGGUUGUCUCCAAUUUAUGUAGUCCAUUCAUACUUUGAUGUAAAAUUGGGUUGGAAGGUGGUGGAUCCCUCUGGAGUACUGUAUGAUUGUUGCAGCUGAAAAUUAGUAUAUUUUUUUUUCUGUCAAUUAUUGCCAUCGUUGGGCACUAGUCAGUAGUCUGCAAGCAGUCCAGCUAAAGACCCCUCUAGGACAUUAUUUAUAAAAACCAAGGAUUGUCGUUACAACCGCACCGCAAUUCGCUUUAUUGGAGCACAAAGAUUUCACAAUUCUUGUGGAAGUGUAAGGUGGAGUUUUUUUUUUAUCGAAGCUAUAAGCUACUAGUUAUAGAUUACAGGAUGGAGCGUAUAGUCACUGGGGGCAACUUUUCUCUAGCCAUUUUUCUACUAGAAAAUCUUAUAAGCUUCUAACUACCCGUAAAAACAAACAUCCUUUUGGGUUCUCUUGUAGCUUAUAAGCUGUCAGAACCUGAAGCUAGUAUAACCAAAAAACAAAUAACGAAACUUAAGUUUUAUUCGGGUUUGGUGAACUGAAUCAAAUGUGUUAACAGCUUCGACCGAGCCUGUUUGGUCAAGCUCUAUCCACACAACUUUUUGGCAUGUCAAUAAUCCAGAGGCACUAAACAAUAGAAACUUUAGAAUUUUGAUACUUUGACAUCAAGAAUCUGAACUCCAGUCAUUGUCACUCUGGAGUGUCCAAUAUUGUUUAGUAGUUUUCUGUCAAACACUCAAUCGACUCUACAAAGUCCUUGAGAAUUUUCCUAAACAGAAACAAUCAAGGUGCCGACAUGUCCUGAUUUGAAUAUGUUUUUUGGCAACCAUUGUGUGUUUACGCGCAACUACAAGCACCCAUGGCAUACAUACAUUCAAAAUUAUCAUGCAUGGCAUUCAGUCAUUGUUUGCCAAACACCUUUUCAAUUCCAAGUUGAAAGUUAUUGUACAUAUGUAGAAUCAAAAUAGCUAGAUAUCUAAUUUUCAGACAGGAGACUGUCCAAGACUUUAAUUACUUUCUUUCUUGAGGCAAAUUUACUUCAAUUCAUUCAGUUGUAUACAAAAAGAUUGACAAAAACAGAAUGCUACACCCUUUUGAAAAUGUCAUAUUUGUCAUGCCUUAAUGUCCCAUUCCCAUACCUUCAUCAACCUUUGGGUCUCAAAACUGUAACAAACGGUCGAUUUUGAGAAAUGAAUAUAAAUGAUUAGCAAAUCUUCAUUAAUUCCAAUAUGCUAGCUCAACAAAUGGACUAUAUAUUUCAGGGUGUUGAUCUUUCAAUGUCGCAAGCUCAAUGGUGUGUUUCAACUGCCAUUCUUGGCUAUUACUACUAUUUCGGUGGACACGUGUUAAGAUGAAGUUUGUCACCUUGGACGUACGUAAUUAUAAUACAAAGACCCUUCAGACUCCAACGAUAUAUCUUGAAAACUUUCUUCUUGAAUGAUGAGUCAGUUUUGUUUUCGCCUGGCAAUUAAGUUAACCUGAAAAAAUUAUUUGUAACAUGAUACAUCAACAUGUAAUCAUUUAACACCAAUAAAUCUUUUCGAUCUUUUCGGUAGAGGAGGCGGUAUAUGGUGCACGAUCGGUACCAUUGAACAUGUUGUACUUAUUGCAUAAGAUGGAGAAAUUGAGGAAUCUUGCUGUGUUUUUUUUUCCUUUCACUAGUAUCCGAUGAAAAGAUGUUGCAGUUCUCAGUAAUACUUUCCUUUUCUCUACAAAGAUUAAAAGAUACUACUAAAGCACGCAAAUUUUAUGUAUUUACACCUUAACAAUAUUCCGAUUCAAGGGGUAAAUAAACCUUGAGCUUCUGAUCGUAGAAGAAAUCCAUUUCAAUUAAAGUCGUACUUAGCCAAAAUUGUCCAUAUGUAUGAUCUGAUUAACUGCGUAAUUAAGGACUGUGGUAGGCUGGUAGCAACAAAACCAGGAAUGUAUACAUAGAACAGUUCAAUUUUAUUUUUGUUGGUGGAUCCACCUCCAUGUUUGAUUAGGACUGUGGGCCUAACUGUGUGUGCGGCCUGUGACCCAGUUGAGAGUGUGGCAACGUCCACUUCCGUGUGUUUGGUUAGGUAUGUACCUAGCAGUUUAUUCGGUAUUUCGGUUAAUUUACAUUGUGGUAGCCUCCCCAUACAAGUUCGAGCUUUUAGAGAAACUGGUUUACAACAAUUUUAUUAUUAUAUGUUUUAGUGAUCCGGCCGGGUUGGGGAUGAGUCAAUAUUUCUUCCCUGAUGAUGAACUGCUGACACCAGAAUUUACAUUAUCUAACUUCGUAGCUCAUCUACACAAUAAACCAACUAAGGUCCAGUUUCUCUGUUCUUCUUUCUUUACUACAAAAUAACACCUUGUCGAGCAACAUAUAUGGAAUGAGUGUUGCGCAUAUGACGUCAAUACGUUGAAUGUGUUGUCAGUGCAGAUCAUCUACUCACUCCAUCGAACUGCAAGUUAGUUUUUCCCGCUUGUCAAGUGUGUGUCUAUGUCUUUGUUUGAGAUUGUGUGCAUGAGCCAUGAGUAACAAGUUUAUUAGUCAUCCUGUCAUGUACCAUUGGUGUAUAUAUGACUAAUCUGUGUCAAAUUUAAGACCUCAAACAUGAAAAUACUCUGCUCCAAGUGAAGAAUAAACUUGUGGCAUUGGUAACUUUAAACUCCAAAACAACAUUUCAUUGGAUCUUCUAUCAUCCAAACAUUUCAAAUAAGAUAAGGUGAUAAGCCUACGUGGCAUUAAAUCACAUCACCUAGUUCCUUCCAUACAAAUGAACUAAUCUUCCCUCAUCUCAUUUUCUCUUUCACUCUUACAAAAAUAUGGCUUCUCCAACUCUCAUAACCCCAACAACUAAACCAAAAACUCUGGUUAUCACCAGUUUCAAAUCAACCUGCAGCAGCACUAGCACUACUACUAAUGCCGCGACAACAAUCCCACAACUGGCUCGACGACAAUUCAUGGCCUUAACAGCUGGAAUUUUGACCCCUACAUUGUUAGUUCCAGUCUACUCCGCAUUGGCUGCAUCGGAUGAAGAAUACAUUAAGGAAACAGAAGAAGUGAUCGGGAAAAUUAGAUCAACUAUUAACAUGGAUAAAAAAGAUCCUAAAGUAGCUGAGGCAGUUGCUGAACUAAGGGAGACAUCAAAUGCAUGGGUAGCUAAGUAUAGGAGGGAGAAGUCUUUACUGGGUCGAGCAUCUUUUCGCGAUAUGUAUUCUGCUUUGAAUGCUGUAUCAGGGCAUUAUAUUAGUUUUGGGCCAACUGCACCAAUUCCAGUUAAGCGUAAGCAAAGAAUCUUAGAAGAAAUGGAUACAGCUGAGAAGGCUUUAUUGAGGGGAAGAUAAAAAGCUGCAAUUUCAUGUGAAGUGUAACAUUUUUCUUUAACUCUUUGUGAAUUUUAAUUGUUGAAGUAUGAGAACACAUAAUAGUGAUCGAAUUACAUUUUGAAUUAUGAGGUUUGAGCUUUUGUUCAUGUAGUUCAAUGUUUUGUGUUGAAUUAUAUGAAAUUAGUUGUAUUUUUAUAUGGGAAUGGUAUAUAAAUUAGACCAUAGAACUGUUCUAGUAGAACAUCUCGCUAAAUCAGCAUAAAUAAUCCUCAAAAACAUGUCUAUGUCGCAUAAUUUUUUUUAUCAAGAUGAUCAAAUUACUGACACUGAAGUCUAGAAUCAGUCUUCUGGCCCCAUUGUGGUUGUUUUGAAACUGCCCUUUAAUGUAUAUCUUUAUCUUGCCUACAGUUUCUAUGGUAAUUGCCAUGCAUUUCAUGUAGCAUUUUCCAUUCAUACAUAUACCCAAUGAUCUCGUAUAGUAGUUUGCAUCAGUAGUCACAACCUGUCAUUCAAUAUUGCAGUUUCAAUACUCACCAUUGUAGAAGUAACACACUAACACUUGCACCAGAUGGGUCAUGGAUUUUGCCUGCUAGAAGAAUCAGUAUCCAUAAGCCAGACACUUACACUUUCUACACAGUUUCUGCAGCACUAGACCCCUGUGUUAAAGAUAGUGUUGUGGUGCAUAGGUACUUGAAACAAAACUGCAGUCUUAUUGGCAUUCGUUCAACUUGAUUGGGUCAUAAGCACAAAACUGUGAACUAUAAUUAACUUGAUGUGCACAUUGUAGUUACUGUUUAGGCUUGAAUGCUUGAUAUAUAAUUGUUUUCUAAGAUGAAACUCGGUUGGGCUAAGUCCUUGACCCAGCAGACCCUCAGUCGACAUGCAUUAUGGCUUAUUUCCAGACCUUAGAAAAUUUCAGGGAGGCCUCUCUAGUGCCCUGUGAGAUCUGAAACAAAAUGAAAAUCCCGGAUUAAGUUGUCCUAGACUCCCAGCUAUUGCUGAACAUGGAAUCUCAGAGAGCCAUCAGUAGUCUGUCUAACACGAAGACUUAGAACACCCACUAUAAUUCAUGUUUAAAUAUUGUUUUGAAGGCCUCAUCUAACAUGAACGCCAAAAGCACUCACAUUGCUUCAGUCUUCCGUAAUUACAAAAGUAAAUAUGUUAUAACGCAAUCGAGUGCUGAGAUCAGACUUGUGACCAUAAACCAGUGAGAGUACUGCACCGCGUCCUCCCAUUAAUUUGUUCUUAAUUAUCGUAUUAAAGCACAAACAUGGGGCUCACAUCACGAGAGCCAAAAGAGAUAAAUAUGGAAAUAGACAUGUAAGGAAGAAUAAUUCUAUUUAAGAAGGUUAGAACUGAUGACUAUCAAGGGAUUUUUAGACUUAACCCCCCUUUUAUGGUCACAAUUUGAGUAACCCCCCCCCCAUUUGUCCAAGUUUGGACUUUACCCCCUCUCCUUCUACUUUUGUCAAAUUUAAAGUCAAUUUUAUUUGUAACUCGGUGAUCCAUCCCAUCCAGAGGGCUAUUCNNNNNNNNNNNNNNNNNNNNNNNNNNNNNNNNNNNNNNNNNNNNNNNNNNNNNNNNNNNNNNNNNNNNNNNNNNNNNNNNNNNNNNNNNNNNNNNNNNNNUAUUGUGUUGAAUGUUCGACUAAGUACCUUAUUGCUUAUUUAUUCACUUGCAUUAUUGAGCUACCCACAGGUAGAUCAGGCAUAUGUUAGAUUGAAUAAAAUUAAGGGGUUGCACGUAUUUGUGAUUAAAUGAGUGUACGAUAUCCACAGAUACCAUGCUUAUUUUGAUCAUGUGAUAUGUCACCCAUUUAUAGUAUUACUAAAAAUCUUAGUCAUAUUGUUUAAUUAAUGUGUUGACUAAUGUUGUGAGCAUGUUUAUUUUUUCUCGUUCUAUUAUUCUUGUAUUUCGUAUAUUUUGUAUGUUUUAUCCUUAAUAAAACUAAUGAACUAGAAUGAAUAAGUCUAGUUGAUUUUAGUGGGAGUUCUAGAUCUUGGCAUAUAUUUCCUUAUUGUUGAAUCUACUGUUAUUUUAUAAAAGCAGUAAAAAGGAGAAAAUUAUGCAUUAUGCAUGAACUAGAUUGAACAUGCAAAUUAAACUCAAUAUUUAUGUGAAUAAUUGUUGAUGAAUAAUAUUAAGAAUCAUUUUCGCACUGCUAGCUGAAAAGUUAAUUGUUGAACUGAUUACUAUUCAUAGUACUCAUAGUAUGCAUGAUUGUAUCCUUGAGUUUCCCAAUUUAGUUGUUAAAUUAAAGAAUUUAGACAUGUUAGUGGAUGAUUACUUUGUCCUUCAAUUUGUUCUAAAUUUCUUGCCUACAUAGUAUGUUCAGUUUCACUAUUACACUAUUAAAGACACGUGGAAUGUUAAUUAAAUAGCGAGACUACUAGUUCAAGUAUAGGCAAGACUUAAACAACAUUAUAAUCAUGUCACUCAAGUUUAAUUCAUGUUUCAAGAAGUUGAAUGAACAAUUCUCUAAUUGUGUUUGGAUAUACACUAUGUGUGUGCCAAUGCCAUUUAUGUGAAUAUGGCGUUUGUUUGAUAUAAAAGGUAAGCUUUUGGUUUUAGUAUGGUUCGAUCAAACUUAAUUGGUAUUCCUAACCCUUAGUGAAUUGAUUAUGAUUAAUGUUUAUCUUUAUUAUGGCAUAAAAGACUGGAUUAUACAUCUAGAUGAAAAAUAGACUAGUAAAAGAAGGGGUUUUCCCGAACCUUAACUUUACUAAUUUUGGUGUGUGUGUGUGUGUGGAAUGCAUUAAGUCAAGCAAACCAAACACACUAAGAAGAGCCAUAGGAAGUACGCUUCUUGAAAUAAUUCAAAUAGACAUAUGUGGACUUUUGAUGUUCCAUCUUUUGGUGGAGAAAAAUAUUUCAUUACAUUUAUUGAUGAUUUUUUCCCGUUAUUGUAUCUAUCUAUAACAUAAUAAGUCUCAUAUGUAAAUGUUAUUGAAAUUUACAUAACUGAAGUUAAGAGACAAUUAAAUAGAAAGGUGGAAACUAUACAUUUUGAUAGAGGUAGUGAAUUUCUUGGAAAGUAUGAUCUAUGACACGGGACAACAUCCCGGUUGCCAAACUUCUAGAACGGUUAGGAAUUUGUGCCUAAUACACAAUGUCUGGUUUUCCAUGACAGAAUGGUGUAGCUCAAAGGCAUAAUCAAACCCUUAUGAAUAUGGUUUGAAGUAUGAUGUGUAAUUCUAAUUUACCCAUAUCAUUGUGGAUGUAUACUUUAUAAACCGAAGUGUAUAUAUUGAAUUGGGUUCCUAUUAAGGCAGUUACAAAAACACCUUUUGAAAUGUGGAAAAGAUGAAACCUAGUUUAAGACAUUUACACAUUUAGGGUUUAUCUAGAAAAGUCUAAAGGGUAUAGAUUUUACUAUCCUAACCAUACCACUAGAAUUAUUGAAACUGGAAAUUAUUGAUUCAUUAUGAAUGACAAAAUAAGUGGGAGUGAUCAUAUCAAAGAGGUAAUCAUUAAAGAAAUUAUGGUACCAAUUUUGUUACCUCAAUUUUGUAAUGAUAUUAUUGUUACUUCUGUUGUUCCUCAUGUUGUUGCACCGCUUAACAACAAUAAACAACAAGUUGAUCCUCAACCACUUAAUGAAAUUAAUGUCAUUGAACUGAAUGUAAACACACACAAGAAAUAGCAUUAAAAAGAUCUUAAAGAUCACGACCAGCUAUUUGGAUGACCACGUGUUGUAUUUACAAGAAUUUGAAUUUAAUGAUCUAGUUACAUUUUCACAAGCCAUUACUUAUAGUAAUUCUGAUAAAAAGAUUCAUGCCAUGAAUGAAGAGAUAAAUUAAGUGUGGAUUUUAACUAAGUCUGGGGUUAGUAGAAUUGACUCAAAAGGUUCUAUUGAAUGUCAUAAAGCAAGACUUGUAUCCAAACAGUUUACUCAAUAUGGUGGCAUUACUUUCUCGUGCGUGAAACCUUCACUUAUGUGUUAAAGAAGAAUUAUCUUAGAAUCAUUAUGGCAUUGGUGACUCAUUUCGAUUUAGAGUUACACCAAAUGAAUGUGAAAAUGAUAUUUUGAAUGAAAGUUUGGAUAAAGUCUACAUGGUUUAAUUAGCCACACAACUUCAUAAAGGAAGAACAAGAACACAUAAUCUAUUUGUUAAAGAAGUCAAUAUACAGACUUAAAACAAGCUUCUCGAAAAUGGUACCUAAUGAUUAAUAGUAUCAAACGUUUGGGUUUAAUGUACAUACCCAAAGUUCAGUGGGAGUAAGUUUAUUAUUUUGAUUAUGUAUGUUGAUGAUUUAUUGUUUCGCAGCAGUGAUUUUCGUUUAUGUAAACAUUUUUUCUGUCUAAACACUUUACAAUGAAAGUUAUGGUGAUGCGUCAUAUGUGAUAGAAAUAAAAAAAAAAAAAAAUAUUUCGGGAUUGAUCACAAUAAUUGUUGGAACGUCUUAGAAAGAUUUCAUUAAUAAAGUUUUGGAUAGAUUUAAUGUGUUAAGGCAUAAUUGUAAUGAUGUUCCAAUUCAGAGGGGGAAUAUUUGAAUUAAAUCAAGAUCCUAUGAAUGAAUUUGAACAAGAACGAAUGAAAGAGAAACCGUAUGCUCAUAUUUUAAGAGAUCUAAUCACCUUGAGGUGAUUGGUUUUACAAAUUCGGAAUUUAAUGGGUGUGUGGAUAGUUGAUAAAACAUUAUUGUUUCACCCACCAUAGAAGCCGAAUUUGUAGCAUGUUGUAAAAUAACUACAUGCAAUGUUGUAUAGUUGCAAAACUUUAUAUCAUGUCUUAGAGUUAUUAAUUUCUAAGUCGUUUGAAUUUUAUUGUAAUAAUGUUGCAACUAUAUGCCUUUGUAAGAAUGAUAGGUAUUCUAAUGUUUAGCACAUGAUAUAAAAUACCUAUCGAUUAUGGCUUAAGUUUAGAACAAGUGAGUGUCAAUGGAACACAUUAGUACACGUGUUAGUAAAUCCACUAACUUAAGAACUAGAAAUAAUGAUAUUCUAGAAUCAUGUUAACAAGUUGGGUUUUGAAUGUAACCCAUAACUUAAUGAUUUGUGGAUUACUUAGUGCUUAUUAUUUGACAUUAUUUUGAGCUCAUUAUUAUUGAUUAAGUUCUGAAUUUUCUGUUUUCCAUUGUUUAUGUACAUGUAUGUGAAUGGAUAAUUGUUGACAGAAAUAGUCUUUUACGAAGACAUUACUGGACCAUUAUUGUUACUUCCACUUAUAGACCUAGUUAAUUAAAUUGUUGAUAUCGUAGUACAUGGAAGGAACCAUGUCAUUUACGCGAUGUGGAACCGCCAUGACUCAUAUUAGUGGUUUAAUUAAUGACGGUAUUAUGAUAACCAUUUCGGAAACUAAUUUAGCUCUUAUUGCGCGCCUUAUGUAUUCUACGUUAAACUGUAUGUGAGAUUUUACUAUGGACCAAGUGGGAGACUGUUGGAAUUUCCACAUAUAAAGCCCAACCCAUAAUGUGGUCCAUGUACUUUUAACCUUGGUUUAAUAUAGAAAUAAGCUAAUUAGUAAUAGGUUAUGUGGAAGUCAUAUUUACCGUAGAUCUUAACUAUGAUGGACGGUCUAGAUCUAAUGGGCUUAAGUUUGUAGAUUUAGGUCCUCUCUCCACCUCUAUAAAUUGGUGUAUGAUUUCCAUCCUCAUACACUUACUAUUACAACACAUAUUAGGGUUUAAGAGGCAAGGAGAGUGAAACCUAGAUCUUGUGCAGCUUUUCGGAUCAUCAAUGGCUAUGGACAAGGUAUGUGUAUUUGUUAGUGAUUAAUUACAUGAUUCAUGAUCUUAUUGUUUAUUGAUAAUGUUAUUAUGCUUAUAUCGACAAAUAGUAACAAAAGGAUUUAUUUCCAAUGCUAAUUGAAUAAUUGAAAUUUGACCAUUUAUAAGUGAAAGGAUGGAAUCAAACUUUUUUUUUUUGUAAGAAUGAUCCUACAAAUAAUAGUCACAUUGUAAUCAUGGUUAGGAAAUUGUGAAGAUUUGCUACUUGAAACUGCAAAAGUAACAAAAGGAUUGAAGGAAUGAUUUUUAGAAACAAAAAACUAAAAAACAGAAAAUGAACUUAUUUCCAAUGCUAAUGGAAAAAUUGAAAUUUACCCAUUUGUGAGUGAAAAGAUGGAAGCUUCUUAACCAGCUCAAACUUAUGCUCUGGUAAGUGCUGCUGAUUGACUCCUGCAGUAUAACACUUCCCACACAAAUCAAAACUAAAGCCCUCCGCGGUGAUGAUAUGUUCACAGUCGUUGCAUUUGUAUUGCUUCCCAACGAUUGGAUUCAUCUGUAGGAAUCAUCCGUUAAAGUGGUUAGAGCAUGACUAAAUAAACGAUAAAGAGUUGAACCAUUGGGUGAGAACAAUGAAAUCGAUGGUAAUCUUGUUGAUGACAAUGAUAAAGUUAUGAAUGCAAUAGUUAUGAAAAUUAGUUAUCAAUCAUAAAUUUGAAAUAGUAAUUUAUUUCAAAUUUAUGAUUGAUAACUAAUUUUCAUAACUAUUGCAUUGAUUCAAAUUUCAUAUAAUCGAGAUACAUGAUUCAUGACUGCCCUUGCACUCAUGUAGUCAGAUUUGCAACUAGAUGAAACUUCAGAAGAAGCAAUUCAACAUUUCCAAUUGGAUCAAUUCUGAAUGGACCUAUCCAAAACAACAAGAGUGAAUCCACCUGCAUACCACCUAAAAACCAAAACUACAAGAUCAAGGUUAUAAUCUCAUUCACAGAUUUAGACUCCAGUAUUGCGACGGUUAUGUACUAAGAAUAUACAAUGUGGAAAUUUAUGUUGAAGGAAUGAAAUCUAGAUGCUUAGGGACCUCUAAAGAAGCUGAAUGCAGCCGAAGCAUUCUGGCUGCUGUUCAGUGUGCCUAAAAAAGGGAGCAAGUUCCCUAUAGUUUUACCAAAACUAAGUACCCAACUAGAAAAAUAAUAUUUCAUAUGACAAAAAUGUUACCUCACAAAAUUCACAAGAAAAUCCAAAAUGUGUAUACCCAAUAUUUUCUCCUGCACAAUAACCGAAUAGAUUGGGCCGGUAAAUAAUAGUAGCACAUUGUAAUACAAAAUAUUACAAAAGAAAAAUUUACACAAGUGUUACAAAAGAAAAAUUCCCAAGUUUUUCUGUUUAAGGGAUGAUUUACACAAGCAAAUCAAAGAGUUACAUAGCCUUGAAAUGAGAUUAAAACCUAAAUAUUUGUCCCUAUAUUUCCAAAUAAUGCAUUAGAUCAUCAUAUCAGUGUUUUAAAUAGCAGCUAGCACUCUUGAUAAUAAUGCUUCCUGGUGUCUUUUCAAAGAGAGGAGAUUAUUGAUUAUGAUGAUGAUAGUGAUGAAAUCAAUCAAGCUAGCCACAUCAAAAACUAAAACUAAUCGAAUUUAUCACAUGAAUAAAUUAUAGAAACCAAAAACUAAGAAAUCGGAUACCAAGAAAAACAAAAAAACUAAUAAAAAGAAAAGAAAACACACUGGGAAUUAUAUUAGGGUGUAUUUACUAGUGUCGAUUUCUAGUACCUGCUCGUUCUGACAUUAAACUGUCCUCACUAUCACACUGGGAAUUAAACUGGAACUCUCCUUUCCUUCUGACAUUAAACUGUCCUCACCAUCACAUUGGGAAUUCAAAUCUCCUGCACAUGAAAGAAUAGAUUGGAAUAGUUAAUGAAAGUAGAACAACGAAAAGUGUGAAAUUCAAAUCAUGGUGAAAACUUUGGAGUAAUAAUUCAUUCUACAUACCUUUUUCUUCUUCUGAUUCAUAUCUCUCUUUAAAAACGGGUUGAAGGAUAUUUUUGGGAUAGGCAGGAUCUCACUCCAGUGAAUCCCACCAUUUUCUGGUUCCUAAGAUUUCUUUCAGACAUGCUGGUGGUUGUAUCGAUUGAUCUUCUCCCUUAAAUUGAGGGAGCUUCUUUAAUUCAGAACAAUUGUAUACCCGAACAAUUUCAAGAGAGUCACAAAUCAUCACGCCUCUCCAAAUGCUCUUCAAUUUCGGUAGAUUAUCAAACACCAAUUUUUUAAACCUAGGGAAUUGAACUGCGAUGGGUGUUUCAACGAUUCUUGUAUUUUCUUCUCCUAUCAACUCCUCUAAUUCAUCACAUUCAUUCACCCAUAUAUCUUCAAGGUUUGGAAAAAGCUGCAGCAACCUAGAUGAUGAGAAGACAUUCUUCAGACUAUGACAAUAAUAGAUUUCCAGCACUUUCAAGCAGAAGGAAAGAACGCUAAUAGGAGCAGUUGGAAUCCCCUUAAAAAAUGUGUACAAUUUGGGGCAUCGAAAAAUAUUUAUCCUUUCCAGGGUUUGUAGCACUCAACUCUUCUGAUGAAAUAUUAUCGGCGGAAGCAAACAAUAAUAAGAACACCAAUUGAAGGUGUUUGUCCCUCUAUGGAGAAAAUCCAUUCUCAUCUUGGAAUAGAUAAUGAUCAACAUAACCACCAAACAAAUUACCAAUUACUUUUAUGGGACGGAAUUUGUGGGGAUGAUAAAAAUCAUCAAUUUGUCCGUCGGAAUCAAUGCAAUUCAUCGAUUCAUGGGAGUGAUGAGCGAAAUUUCGAGAACGUUCAUCCUCUUUACCAUUGUCAUGGACAACAACCAGGUUUCCUUGCUUGGGCAACAAAUAGAACUUCUUAUUUAUCUCCCUUGCAGAUUUUUCAAUCAAAUCUUCUACUUGAUCCACACAUGCAACUUCUAACUCAAGAAACACAAAACUAGAUGUAUCAUCACUAUCAUCACCAAAAACGGAAAAGAAAUCAACACGAUCGUAACUUUGUAAACCACCAAUUCGAGUACGAGUGACGUAUUUUUCUUCUUCAAACAUGUUGAGUAAGAAAUUAAUCUCCGCUUCUUUGUCAAGUCGUUUCUCUUCUUCAACAAAUUCUUCCUUAAAAGUCGCAAAUUGACUUUUUAAUUUAGUAAAACAAUUUAAAAGUUCCUUCAAAUUUUUUUGUAUGCUUGGUGACUUCAUGGAGGCAUCAUCCGGAUAAUGAGGCUGCUGCAGCAGUAAAAUCUGCUGGUUGUCGCUAUUAGAAACUUGUGAUGGGUGAACAACUGAGGUUGAUGUGUAGAGGUUUGACGGUGCAAGGGCUGCAACCAAACUCUUGUUAGUGGGGGCAUCACCAAACUCAAAUUCUGCACCAGUUUCAUCAUCAGAAUAUUCAACACACAAAGAAUCAUUAUCAUAGCAACUUUAAUUCCUCGUCAGAAAACUCAUCUUUUUCAUACUCAAUCAUGGACUCAUCCUUUUAGAAUCGAUUUCAAUUUCAAUAUAGUGUAGGUAUUCUCCAUACGAAGUAACCUUAGAAUUGCGACUACGAAGACCAUCGUGAUCAUAAGUCUUUGGACGAUUUCCAUGGGAAUAUUUAGCACCAUAAGCAACAUAUUGCUGCUGAAAACCACAUCGAGGAGGGUGCGUGUCCUGCUGGUGGUGGGAAUAAUAUCCAUCGUCAUAAUAACUAUGACGUCGCCUGUGUGGGGGAGAAGGGGAACGAGGGCAAGAUGGAGGUUCAUAUCUUUUGGAAAGAGAAAAACGGCGGCUAGGAUCAAAGUUGGGAGAUUUAUAUUCAGAAUCGGUAUAACGCUUCGAUUCUUGUAAACUCCAAAGAUCCGAUGGCGGUGAAAACUCUCUUUGACCUCUUUUACGAUAACCCAUCUUCAAAUCACCAACAUGAACGCGGCUUUUGUAAAAGAAAUCAGGUUUUUAUCUUUUAAACCCAGAAAAAAACAAGCUUUGAUACCAAUUUUGAUGUAAUAUUAUCGGCGGAAGCAAACAAUAAUAAGAACACCAAUUAAAUAAAUGGUUUGAACACCCAAAAACUAGGGUUCUUCACAAAAACGAAUUUAAUGUCUCAAGACAUAAACAAAUCUUCAAUCUAACCUACUUAAUAGGGUUUGCAAUCCCCUAUUUAUAAUAACCUAAACCUAAUCCUAACUACACUAGAAAGCUAAGUAAAUAGAAACUACUACUAGGGAUGUUCUAAUCCAUAUAGGAAUCUGCAGGAACUAUGAGGCAUGUGCCUUGCACAUGUUCUCUUUAUGCAUAUGCAUCAUCUUCUUCCUUUUCUUCUUCUUCUGAGGACCACGACCAUAUACACUCUAUUUUUUCACACUUAUUGAUUGCAAAUGCUCGCUUACAUCCUUCGUUAACCAACACAACUCAUUUAACUUUCUCAAAUUGUUGAACUGUUGCCCUGGGAGGACUACCUAGAAGGAGUGUAUAACGAUCGUAGCAAAAUCCAAUUGCUAUAUAAAAACAUUUUAACCCAAUAAAAUUUGAUGAUUGUACAUAGCUAGCAUAAUCAGACAAGUAAUGAAACCCGACAUUAAGAUUUUCCAACUCUUUCAAACUUGCCAAUUCAUUUGCAAAAGAUUCACCACUUCCAACAUCAUACACUUUAUCAAUGUGUAUGUAACCAAGGUACAACUCUUGCAGUGCAGACAACUUGGAUACUAAUCCCAUUGGAAUUUUCUCCCUCAAUUUUUUUAGGUGAUUGAGGUUAAGGCAUCUAAGGUUUACCAACAUUUCAAUCCCUUCAGGUAGUUUUUUAAUGGCAAUAUGAUCAAGUUCCAACCUUCUUAGUAAUACUAGUUUAGCUAGGGAAGGCACUUUCUUUAACCCCACACACCAACUUAAGCGUAGAUCACGAAGAUUCAACAGGUCAGAGAUGGAAUCAGGCAGAAAUUUUAAUUUAGAAUUUGGCAUUUCAAAGUCACAUCGCAAGUCAAGUAUCCUGAGGUAUUGCAUGUUGAUGAAGAAACCGUGUGUUAUACUACUUAAGAAAGGAUUGUUUCUAAGAAACAAGGUGGAGAGGUUAGGGCAACUUGGACUGAUUGAAACCUUUCCAACAACUUCUUCCCAUUCAUUUUCAUUUGGUAGUUCUCUCAAAUAUGCACCAGCUUUAACCAUGAAACACUUGUUUGUGAUACGAAGGGCCAUUUCCCUGACCGAAUCGUGCAUUCUUACUGCAUCGGAUGUUUCCUCGUAAUCUGUAUCAAAAAUAUCAGCAACACUUUCAAGCAAACACUGAUCUCUUAGUUUUCCCACUAUAGACCAGCCCUGAUGAAUGUCAGCUUCCCUAUUUUUUCUCUCAAUCAGACCCUCCGUGAUCCAAAACCCAAUUCUCUUGUUAGAAUUGGGUAAUCAUCAGGAUACAAUGCACAAUAUAUAUAAGAAACAGUUUCUUAGUUUCUCAUUUGGCAACUGCUCGUAACUGAAUUUCAAACAUUGAAAAACAUCAUCGUCUAUAUUUGUGGUUCGGUUACCAAAGUCUUUCAAGUCAUUCAUAGCAUUUUCCCAUUAGUGAAUGUCAGAAUGUCCUUUCAUUGCUGCACCUACUGUGAUAAUUGCAAGUGGCAAACCAUGGCAUUUCUUAGCAACCUGCUCCGCAGUUGACCUUACUUCUGGAGUGAGCCCAUGAUUAACUUUAUUCUUGAACAACUCCCAAGCUUAAUCUUCUGGAAGAUAUUCUACUUUAAUAAUACUAUCACCGUGACAUCCCAUUCGAUCUUCUGCACACAUCUAAUAACCUUGUACUAAAUAUUAGUUUGCAUCCAUUUUCUUGAGUAGGUUGAGGAAUACCUAUUUGGUCAAGAGAAAUUUCUUUCCACAUGUCGUCAAAGAAAAACCAAAACCCUCUUCCUCUUCUCCAAUGCUUGGAACAAGAAUCUUGACCUUCCGAGUACAUCAUCUUCAUUUGAUAAUUUUAAUUUAAGCUCUUUUGCAAUGUCGUUUUGUAGUUUGGUAAUAUUACCUCUUUGGAUACAGUUACCCAAAUAAUCUCAUAAAAACCAUUUGUUCCCGUGAGUUGAUUAUAAACAUGCUUCAAGAUAGUUGUUUUACCAACACCACCCAUCCCGUGGACACCAAUUAUAUCUGCUUUAUCCUUUGCUAUCCAUUGCAAAAUUAUCUCUUUGUAUUUUAGAGAGGUCUUUUUACCAACUAGAUUCGUUGGAGGUAGUUUCAUGCGCUUAUUUGGUGGCAAUAUGGCCAAAUCCUCAUCUCUGUCAAAAAGAAAAAAAAAGGUUGGUUUGAUUAGUCUUACAGUAGUGAAACUAAUAAAUUCCAUUCAUAUAUGAUAUAACUUUACCAAAAAAAUAAAAUAAAUUCAUAUAUGAUAAAAUGAGAGCCGGUAUCAAAACCCCACUGUUUAGUAAUUAGAUCCCAAAUAGUAAACACACCCCACCGAUGUUUGACAAGUUGGUAAAUAUGCCCCAUAUAGUAAUACACCAUAAUAUAAUUUAAACGGAUAUUUUAAUUACAACCUUGUUUUUCUAUUGAAAUGGAUUCUUUCAAAUCUAUCACUAAAACUCUUUUGAUUGGAUUUGUUUCUCUAUUUAAACUAUCUAGAAUCAUCAUAUAACGUCUUAACUCUUAAUGGAAACAAAAUAUGAUCAAAACUUACAAUUAAACGUAGUUUCAAGUUUUUGAAUAAAUAACAAAUAGUUAAACAAAACCGUCAAAGAUAAUAUCAAACAGUUUAAAGUGACCAUCAAAAUAAUUCAAAAAUGGUUUAUCUCUACUGUAUGGUAAAUAGUACAUGAAAUCGUAAAGUGGCAACAUAUUCGGUCAAGUCUAACCGUACGUAAGACUUUAAUUCGGCCAUCGUAUACCGCGUAGACUACAUAAAAAUGGUUUGCUUCAACCGUUUAAGUUAGGGCUCGUGAAAUAAAAAAAAUGUGUUAUAUUAGUCGUUUAGUAAGUAAAAGUGAACAUAAUAGUAAGAUAGAUUGUUAUUUUUAAUAGUUAAAGUUUGACAAUUUUUUAUAUCAAACAUUUUUAUCAAGUUUGGAUUGGGUAUUAUUUUUACAUUCCAACCAAAGUUUUUCUAAAAUAAUCUUCCAAAGAAAGUAAUUUGUUUUAUGUCUUUCAAUACACAAGAUGAUUAUAGUUUAUUAAAAAACAAAAUGAAAGGAAAGGAAAAAAUGCGUAAAGAGAAGAAAUGACAAAGAAAAAGAAUGUUUAUUUUAGUGUAUAUAAAAAUGUGUAUUUUAUGUGGGGGUGUAUCUACUAAUAUUGUUGGGAUAUAUUAGGUAUUAUUUAAUUUAUUUAGUGGUGGAUAAUUACUAAUUUAUGGGGCUUGGAUACCGGCUCUCUAUAAAAUUUACAAGUAGCUCAUUAUGUCUUAAAAAGGGGAGACGUAUUGUAUGGAAUAAAAGCACACGAGAAGCAGACACCUGUAUGUGCAACAAGGGCUAAAAUUCGGAGUGAGAUCUUGGCAUUUUACCCCCCCCCCCCCCCCAAUUUGAAAGUCCCCCAUAUAAAAAAAAUAUUAACAGUUACCCCCAACUGGCAGAAAACAGAGACAACGUUAUAAAAAUUAAUUUUUUUUAUUAAAUAAAAUAUUUUUAUAAUAUCAAAACUACCACUUCUUGAAUCUGAUGAUAAUUAGCAAUACCCUCCAACUGAAACAUACAUAAUUAGCAAAAUCCUACCAAAUCGAUUUACAAAAAAAUAAAAUGAUAGUGAAAAUAAAAUUUGAAAAAGGAAGAUAAAAUCUAAGGAAAAAAUACUAGAUACAUGUUUCCCUCGCUUACCUAUAAUCUUUCUUGUUCUUGUUUGCUUCAAUUGUAAAAAAAAAAUUUACUUGAAUAGUUGAAUAGAAAGUUACAUCUAGGUUUAUUGAAUAUGACCAAGUAGAUUGCUUACUUUGACAUAAAUCUAAAAGAUUAUUUUUUUGAAACAAGAUCAAGUUUAUUUUGAAACAUAAAUGCACCAAGUUUCAAAUUCAUGUUGAAACAAGAGAUCACUUAAACUAUUAUGUUAUGAAGGGUAGUAUGAAGGUUCUUCUUCAAAUUCAAACCGUUGGAUUAUAAUAUAAAUGGAUAAGAUGUUGACAUGUGUGGUAUUAUGAAAUUUUUUAAACUUAAAAAAAAAAAAAAAGAAUUUUGAUAAUCUUGUUGUUUUUUUCCAUUCAAUUGGGGGUAAGUGAUAUAUUUUUUCAAAUGGGGGAUAAUGCAAAUAUCGGCUUUCAAAUAUGAAAAAAAGAGACAUUAAAUUUGGGACAACUAAAAGUUGAAUAAGGUACUUGUAAUUUUGGACGGAGGGAGUACAGCAUGUUCACCUUUAUUUGAUAAACUCACAUUUUCUUGAAAAAAAUAAAAAAUAAAUAAAUUUAUCAAUAAAAUAUUUUCUCUAAAAGAAAAACGUUGUGGGCUGUGGAUCUAAAUUGGAUCCAAAGAACAUAUUUUGGCUUUUUUACUUGAUUUUAAAACCCAAACAAACAAACAAUCUUUCAACCACACUUCUAUUUGUUCAGUUGCAACCCUUUCGCUGGAAUCUCAAACACACACACUCAUUCACAGGUUUCUCUCUCUAAAAGUUUCUUCUUUCCACGAUCUUAUUUACAUAUUUCUAAAGAUCUUGAAUGUUAAAUAUUGGCCCCUACUACCAAAGGCCUUUAUUUUAAAUUAUAUGAAUUAAACUAGUUUAGUUUAAGUGGGUAAUUGAUUUAGUAAAUGAUUGAGGAGCUUAUUAAAAAACAGAUUGUCUUCUUUGUAAAAAGCCUAGGCGGUAAAACAUGAUUAAUGUUGAUUUAGGUUUACAGUACAAAAAUUAUCUCAUUCAAGUUAAAUUAGUUUGGUUGUAAAUAUAUGAUGAUUUAACAUCUAGGAGGCUUAUAGUUCAGUGGUAUCUCAAUUAGAGUUUUAAGUAUGGUACUAUGAUCCAAUGUGAUUUCAAGGCAAGACUAAUACAAAAACUAGUGUAAAUUCAACCAUGUGUGGCCCUUAAAAUAUAGAAAACUCACUUGGCCCAAAGCAGUUGCUGAACCUGCUUGUGCUCAGGGCCGGCCCUGUUAUUAUUAAUAACUCUUUUAAUUUGCAAGUAAAAUUUUUAAAAGAAACAAACAAAAUUUAAUGUAUGGAGUACUGGUGCACCAAAUAAAAUAAUAGAGAUAAACUCGUAAAAACACAAUUAUUCAAAAUAAUCUAAAAAUGUGUGGUGUAUGAGAGAUUUGUGUGGUUUGAGAUUUCCCUUUAUUUUUCUUCAAUUUAAAGAAGCUUACAAUAGAUUUGGAGACCGCUUUUUAGACACAUUUGACAUCAUGUGUGGCAGUGUGACUUUGCAAUCACCUCCUGGUCCAUUGUUUCCAUCAUCUACAAAUUCAGAUUGUAUGAUUUUGAGAAAUAAGAAAUUGCAUGAUAAUAUAAGGAACAAAAACUCAAAAUAAAUUGCAUAAUAAAUAAUUUGAAAAGAAAAAACAAAGUGAAUUUUGCCGACUAUAGUAACACCCUUACAAUGACUCAUAUCUGACUUUACAUCCUCCGCAUUAUCAAAAACACAUGUUCUUAUCUUACGAACUCAAACUAUAGAAGGAUAAAGUUGGAAUCAACUAAUCUUAUUUGUCGAACUCUUUCUUCUCGUACUACACAACAAAAUUCAAUAGCCAACUCUUUCUUCUCCGAAGACCAAACACUCCAGUAACUUUUCUCCAACAAGAACCGAGUCUAGACUUUUUUUUGUCUGACAAGUUAGGUUGAGGGACCUUACCCAUUUAAAUUAACAAUCAAUUGUUGACAUGUUUCGAACCCACGACCUCUCCACUGUGAAGGGGUGAUACCAUUGAACCACUGGCUCAUUCACUCUUUAUUAAUAAAUAGAAAAAUACACAUUCUCAAAAUUUCUGAUUGAACACAUUCAAACUAGGCGACCAACAAAAUAUGAAGAAAUCAAUGAGACAAUAAGUUAAAGGGGGGACCCAAACUGUGAUUAUGAAUAUAAUUUUUUCUUGUUUAUUGUUGAAAUGACUGUUGCAAAAAAAAAUCAAUUAGAUGUUCCGUAAUUUUCAACCAAUUCUUAAAUUAUAACUAUUGGACAGAAGUAGCUCUAAAUCCAUUAACGAUUGUGGCAAUAUGUUCUUGAAAUUUAAUCAUUUCAACUGAAGAACAUGAUUUUGUCUUCUGAGAUGGUUUGGGAAUUGGAUAUUUAUUUUUCCAGAAGAUUAAACUUUUAAGACUUUAAGAGAGAUAAAAUAGUUUUUCAUCUUAUUUUUAUAGAGAAGGUUGUGACGACGGUUUGAAUUUUUGAGAGAGUGCAUUGAACCAUGGUCCGUGGAGAAAUUGUGUAAGUUCACAAAGAAUGGAAGAAGAUACCCCCAAUGAAUAAUUGGGCACAGUUUGGUUCGGAUAAUGGAAGAUACAACCAAAUUGGAACUAAAUUGUGUAUAAUGAUAUAGGACCGUCAGAGGUGGGGGACCUACUACAGAAGAUAAGGACUUUGAGAGAGAUAGAGAACUAGAGUGUAGAAUUUAUUUUUCUGUUGAAAGUGGAAGGAUGGACACUGUUUUCUUGCUACUCGAACUCGAACUGGUCUCGAUUCGUUUUGGUUGGACGAACUGAAAAAUCUAUAUACUAUAUAAUAGUGGAGCCUAACAAGUGCCAUGUGGCGUGUUCUCAACAAUUUGAGAAUAGAACUAAAGUCCAACUUUAAGCCCAAUUAAAACCCAAUUAUAGUCAAAAAGGAAAUCCACCUUCUUUGUCAACAGAGAUUUAUAGAAAUCUUAACACCCUUUAAAACUUGAUUCUAAAUCUCCUUUUUCCUACUAAAUUCUUCUUCUAUUUAAAAUCCUUAAUUCAUAUAUAAAAACCAUACUAAAUACAAAAAAUAUUAAUUAUAAAUCUCUACAAAUUUAGCUUAAGAAUACAAAUUUAGGUUGAGAAGGGCAUUAAAAAAAGCUUGGUGAUUUUUUAUUUUAUUAAAUAACACAAAUCCCGGUGCGUAGCACGGGUUCAACAACUUGUAUAAAUUAAAAUUGGAUUAGACUGGACGUCUCGACCGAAUCAUUUUGGCUCAGUUUGGAUUUUGGUUUGGGCUUUAAUUUGGUCCUCUCUUUUGGGCCUCUUCAAUUUUCAUAUUAUUAUCAUCACCAUUUUUAUCAAAAAUCUCUUUUCUACUCUCAUCAACAGGAGAAUCAAAAUCCAAUCUUCUCACAACUUUAAUAACAUCUUCGUUGUAUACUCUAUUAUGAUGUUGAGGUGUUCGAGGAUAUAAUAUGAAGAUCAUAAUCUGAUCUGGACAUAAUCUUUCGGCGUUUGAGGAUUUAAUAUCAAGAUCAUUUAAAACAACAUCUUCUACUUCUGAAAAAUCUAAUGUUACAAAAACCAAUAAAUAAAUAACCUUGGAGAAAGAUAUAUUAUCUAAGCAAAGUUAUUCAUUUAUCGAACAUUAAUUUAGUACAAAAGCUGGAAUUGGGACUGAAAAAAUUUAGUACUUAAGCAAGGAUAUUCACUUAUUGGACAUUCAUUUAUCGAGGUUUAACUAUAAUUAAUAUUAAUGUUGAUUCAAUAACUUCAUUGUUUUUCUUUGGUUUAAUUCUAGCUCUAUUAAUUAUUUUUAAUGGUUUAGAAUUAGCCUCCAAGAAGGAAGCUUUUGAUGAUUAACAACAAUAUCGUCAAUGUAUUCUUGACUCUUCUUUGAAUUCUUAGAGGAAAUUUCAAAUUCCACUAUAAAUAAUUUGAGAGAGGGGUAUGAAGUAGAAGAAGAAGAAGAGAGAAAGAGAGAGACAAACCCUAGUUUUCUCUAUAAAUAACAAAAGGUAAACUUACUUUUUGUUUUCAAUCACCCCCUUAGAUAUAUUGGCUGUCUUUGGUUCGAAUGAAUUCAGUUUCCCCAGAAGGUAGCAAAAGUCAUACGAAAAUAACUGAUAUUUGAGAAAAAUUAGGAAAGUAGAUUCCGGCUAAAGAGUAACUCGAUGGAAUUUGGUUUCCUUACUUAUAAAAUAUGGAAACCAAUUUCCAAAACUGACUAGACAUAUGAGUCCAGAGUCUGAGUUCGAUCAGAAUUUCUUCCAACUCACAAUCAUUCUCCAUCUUAUCUGCGCACAAUAUAUCUCUGUACUGUUCUUUCUUACACUAUCACCCUCUGUUUUCCUGGAAUUCGGAUUCCGUGAACCAAACACAACCAUUGAUUAUAUUUUUUAUUUUAUUUUAUAAAGGACUAUUAUAUUAUUAUUUUAAAAUUGAUUAAAAUAAUAAUAACACAUAUAUAAAAUAUCUUCUCGAUAUAUCUAGUUUUGUUCGGUUACAAUUUUGUUUUAACCAGUUUUAGGUUAACUCGGUUUUGACAAAAAAAAAUUUGAUUUUUUCAAUUUAGGUUUGUUUGGAAACCUAGAAUUGAGGCUGGAAUUGAAAAUCAUUUUCCAAAACAUGCAACAUUGUGCAUUUGGAAGGACUUUACUCCAUGAAUUUAAAACGAAAAUCCUUAAAUUCAAUGAAUCACACAUUUCUUAUAGGGGUAAACUCUUGAUUCUAGGCUUGAUUGAAAAUUUAUUUUUAAUAUAAGGAAACUUUAAUACUGCCAUCUAUAUUAUUUUUCUAUUAUAUCACUUCUUUAAUUUCUUUUCUUCUUUCAAUCGAUGUAUCCAAAAUAGUAAAAAUUAACAUUAAAAAUGUUAGUUCUCUAAAAUCAUAAGUUUUGGACUAAUAAACUCAAUUCCAAUUCCCAGAAAAUUUUUCAAAUAGACCUUUGGUUUUUUAGUUUUCAGUUAUUUUGGCCAUCGCUACUUAUUGUUACUUACAUUCCAAGUAUUGUCAGCUCUUGUAUUUGGAUAUGCUAAGAUGAAGGGUUUGGAAUUGGACUCUAGUUGAGUCAACGUAAAGGGGUCACUAUAGCGCAGAGAAUUUUGUAUGUGUAGCCUACUUACAUGUGGGUGUGUACGCCCGAUCACAAAACGUCAUGUAAAAAUUAUAAUAUAACCUAUGUAUGGGUUUAGUUAACCCUAGUGGGCUUAUCAGUUACCCAACCACUUUAUAAACAUGUUGAGCCUUAUAAUUGGAUGUACACACCCACAUACAAGUAGGCCACACAUGUAAAUUUUUUGGACCAUAGCGGAUGUUCGUGUAACUUAUAUAAAUAUAUUUUCUUUUUUUCAGGAAAACUUAUAUAAAUAGUUCAGAUAAAUUAUUCUACGAACCUGCUAGUGAUGCAUAGAUAUUUUGGGGAAAGGUAGGAACAAGAUCCGAUUGAUUCGAGGAUUCUCUGUUUCCAACAAAUUAAAAUAAAGAUUUCCAUUAAUUUUGAUCCACAUAUCAAUGUAUCAUAAAAACUAGUAGGAUCCAAAGCUUAAUAAUGCAUCGACUUCAAAGUAUUUAUUUUAACAUCAGACAUGCAUUAAUGUGAUAUUACCUUUUAUUGUCUGGAUAAUAGUCCUCUGGAUCGACCUGUGGAGUGGAGACCUUCCAGUGCGGAAAUAAUGGGUAGGGAGGAUCCUCAAUUAGUUUUUUCCCCUCUAGCAUUAACACCACAUCUUUCAUGGAAGGUUUUUGUUCUGGUGUACACUGAACACACCAUAGUGCGACCUUGGAUAAUAUAAUUGCCUUAUCUUUGUCCUUCUCUGUAAUGCCACAAUCUUUUAUAAGUUGUUCAAAUUUUCCACUAUUAAAGUGGUUCCAAACUAUUCCUGGAAAACAAUUUUUUCCUACGCCAUUGCUUCUUUUCCGCAAAAUUUCAAAUAACAUCAUGCCAAAGCUGUAAACAUCACAUCUCCAAGUUACUUGUGAAUCUCCAAGCUGUAACAUCCAUGAUGUCUCGGAGGCCAUAUAACCUACGGUUCCUUUCUCUCUUGACAAGGGUGAGAACCCAAUAUAUGUGCAAUAUAACAAUAGUAAAGCAAACAAUAAAGCAAUAAGCAAAUAAAGAACACACGAUAUUUUUAACGUGGUAAAACCCAAUAUGGGAAACGUCCACGGUUGUCCUCUCGACAACAAAUAAAUCCACUAGAUGAAAAGAGAUGUACAAACCUAUCAACUACCUGCAAUCCCUGCGAGUUGACACUCGAGGUUAUCUCUAACACCUUGACUUCACCAGAGCACCUUGAUGUACGCACAAGACACUCGACUUCUUGAUGAACACACAAGAAGACUCGAAGCCGAACUAUGAAACAAGCUUACACCAGAGUUCCUUGAUGAACACACAAGGAUACUCGACUUCUUGAUGAACACACAAGAAGACUCGAAGCUAAAUCAAUAUAUAAACAAUAAUGAAGAAGACGAUGAAUGGGGAAGAAGAAGAUGAGUUCAAUCACCAAAACAACCUAAAACCAAAACCUAAACAAACUCCAAGACUAGAGAUGAAUUGGACGGCCAAAGAACUCACUUGUUCUUUGGAAGAGAAACCCUAUUUAUACUUAGGGUUGGAAACCAAGGAAAAUGGGCCGAAAUAGAGAAAAUCCAUAUUGGACGUACGUACGUCGAUAUGACGUUCGUACGUCCCCAUACGAUAAACACUUGCUGACUGCUUGGACGUACGAACGUUCUAACUAGGUACGUACGUCCUGACCAAAACAAGUUUACUGCCUACCAUUACGUACGUACGCCCUAACUAGGUACGUACGUCCUAAAUCCAAAACUUACUUUUGACACAUGGACGCGAGGACACAGACUCGGGACGAUGUGCGCACAACUUGGUUUUCCUAACAAUGAACUCAAGGCGAGAUAACCAUGGACACUUUGUCACAAAAUUGAUGUCAAACCACUUCGUGCCGGUUUCAAAGGGAACACGACUUACAUUCCUGUUAAUAGACUUUGCUAAUCCAAAAUCUGCAAUUUUAGCUGAAAAGUUCUGGUCGAGGAGAACAUUACUAGGUUUAAUGUCAUGGUGAAUUAUCUGCUCUACCAAACCAUCAUGCAAAUAAUUGAGCCCAUUUGCUAUCUCAAUUGCAAUACCAUACAACUUCACCCACUCUAUACUACUGUGGUGGUUCUCAUUCAAAAUUUUAUCUAAUGAUCCAUUCUCCAUAUAUUCAAACACAAGUGCUUUCAUGUUGACCUCAAAGCAAUAGCCAUGGAGUUUAACAAGGUUACGAUGGUUAGCCUUUCCCACUGUGCGGACCUCCGACAAAAAUGUGUCUUCCUUGACAUCCUUAUUUUUCAGUAGCUUAACAGCGACAAGAACACCACUAGGGAACUGACCUUUGUACACCUCUGCAAACCCACCAACGCCUAUUUUAUUUGAUUCUGAGAAAUUUGAUGUAUAGCUUCUAAGUUCGACACUUGAAUAUGGCUUUGGUCCUAGUUCAUCUUUUAACUGCAGUUUAACUAAGCCUAAGCGUAUUUCUUCAAGUCUGCUAGGCUCAGUCAUAUCCAUGCUAUCAGUAAUUAGCUGUGCACAAGGCGGACGACAGUGUGAUGAUUUAGGAUAACUUGAUCAUGUCUGUAAUGAAAAGAAAAAAGUCAACAUGGGUUCCAAUCAAUAAUAGAAUGAAAAGCAAAGAUAGCAUUUAAUAAUCGACUUUCUAUCAAUAAUAGAAUAUACUAUAUUUAGUAAUUGAUGUCCAAUCAAUAAUAGAAUCUAUUAUAUUAUAUGGUUUAUCUGAUUGGGUUAUCAGCAAUUUUAAUUUCAUUCAAUUUGUGUAACACCACCAUUAUAAUUUGUUGGCAAGGAAAAUUGUUCGUUUAGAAACCUCAAGCUGGUGCGAAAAUAGAGAAGACCCAGCUAGCAAAUAAACGUUUAAAGAUCGGAAUGACUCACUGGUUUCAUGAGAGUAUCAAUAAUAUGUACUUUAGUCCCAACAAAGGAUGGGGAUAUAAUACCAGAACGAACCUUCGCUCUCAAGAAAUGCACAUUGACAUCUGCGUGCUUAGUCUUCUUAUAAAAGACAGAAUCUGAAGCUAAGUAAAUGGCAGAUUUAUUAUCAUAGUGAAAAGCAAAGGAUCCAAUCCAUGUAAAACCCAAUGCUAAAACACGAACCGUAGUGACCGUUAAUAUGAUAAGAUUAAUUGUUUCUUCCUCUUCCAUGUGAUAAUACGAUUUCCACGAAAAGCAUAGAAGCCAGUAGUAGAAUGACCGUCAAUGGAGCGACCAUAACUGGAGUCAGUGUAACACUCUUGGGGACCCUGCGGUCCUGAUAGAUAAAACAAACCUAACCCAGAGAACAAUUUUAGGUACAUGAGAAUGUUAUCAACCACAUCCAUGUGAGACUGACAAGGUGCAUGCAUAAACCGACUGACUCUACUCACGACAAAGACUAUGUUUGGUCUGUUAUAUUAAACAAGUAGAUAAAGCGUCCAACAAUACGUUGGUGGAUUGAUGGAUCUGGUAAUGGCGCUCCUGUAUUGGCAACUAACCUGUUGUCGGGAACUAGAGGAGUAGAAGCUGACCGACAACCCAACAUCUUAGUGUCAUUCAAGAGAUCUAGAACACACUUCCGCUGAGAUAAAAAAAAAAAACCCUUACAGGACCUCAUUAGCCAAGAAACACCGUAGCGGAUUUAGGUUUUUAACUUAAAUGAUUUAAUUUCCCUAAGGAUUCCUUUAAGUUCUAUAAUCUCUAAAAUGUCAUCUCUUGUGAGAAUAAUGUCAUCCACAUACACAAGAAAUAUAUAUGACUACCUGAAUUAUUCCUGACAAAUAUCGUAUGAUCAGAAUGACACUUGAUAAAUCCAUGCUAAAGGACAACCACAAAAAAUCAACAAAACAGGGCAUGUGGUGACUAUUUAAGCCCAUAUAAAGAUAUGCGAAGGUGACAACCCUUCCCAAAUACUCCCCAACAGAACAUAAACUUGGAGGAGGAUCCAUAUAAAUAACCUCAACCUCAUCAAGAUUUCCAUUAAGGAAAACAAUCUUCAUAGCUAACUAAUGAAGGGGUCAAGGAAAUAAUGAAUCGAACGGAGUUCAACUUUGCUACAAGGGCAAAUGUAAUGCCAUAGUCAAGAAAAAAAACCUUUGGCAACAAGGCGUUCUUUAUAUCGUUCAACUGUACCAUCGGCUAAGAGCUUAACAUUAAAGACCCAUUUACACCCAACGGUACGUGUGGUCCUUCGAAGGUAAAGGAACCAAAUCCCAAAUCUAAUUAUGCUCAAGUGCAACCAACUCAACGUACAUAUAUAGUUUUUAUCCAAUGAAUAGGAUCCUCCAUAACCUCACCUACAAUUCUAGGAAUCCGGAUCGAUGAAGUAGAAGUACCAUAUGUCUUAUUACUAGCAGACAAGCUCUGAUAAAAAACACACUGGGCGAGGAUGGUUAGUAGAAAAACCAAACCUAUCUAGAGAAUUUCUGACCUUCGGAGGAUAACGGGGUUCCAGAUCACAGGAGUUCUUGGGGGACAUAACAUCGAUCAAUAUUAUCAGGGAACAACAGGGAAAAUCAAAAGAAAUAACAUAAGUAACAUUGAAAGCGGUAUCACUAUUAGGAUGUGGAAUACAACCUGAAGCGAGUGGCAAGGUGUGAGGAUGAGCGUGUAAGCGACGAGUAUAAACCAGCUAGAAGGGUUUGGAAAAUAGGGACCACCGGAGGAGUAUGAAAAACUGGUAUAGAGGGAACAGAGAAAUACCCCUCCUCUGAUGGUAAAAAGUUUUCCUGCAAAGACAUAGAAUCUUCAAAAAAAAAAAAAAAAAAAAAAAACAAAACAUGCUCGACAAAAGUAAAGUACAAGGUAUGAUAACACACAAUGACUAUAGGGAUUAUAUCAUCACUUUCCCUUAGAAAGGGGAGAGUACCCCCCCAAAAAAACAUACACCAGAUGGACUCUUAUCAUUAACAUAACAAACACACCCAACAUCAUGGGAAUAAUUGAAAAAAUAGCACGACUAGGGUAGACAAGCUGGUGAGGGGUUUGACAAUGGAGAAUCUUACUAGUAGUGCGAUUUAAAAUAUACGCAAUGGUAAGAUCAAUAAAAUGCCAAUAUGACUGAGGGACAUGAAUUCCCCUCAACAUGCAAAAACGACACCCAUGAGACUCAUAUUUUUUCUCUCAACAACAUUGUUCUAUUAAGGUCUGUAAGGACAAGUGAGUUACUGAAGGAUACCCUACUGGUUCAGACGUCUGACGAAUUCAUUAGACACAUACUCCUUAGCAUUGUCUGAGCAAAGAGCUUUAACCACUACAUUAAAUUGAGUUUGGAUGAGUUGGAGAACCUAGGUAAACAAGGGAAAAACAUCUGACUUUUGGCAAAGUAAAUAGACUGCCGGGCAAACACUUUCUUGAGAAGCUUGUGUUGACCCCCGUUAACGGGCUCAAGCCCAAGUCAAUUACAAGUCAAAGCCAAAUACCUUAAUCAAUAAGAGCCUAAGCCUAAUUAAAUUAGUAAUAUGGCUUAGGCCCUUUUUACAUUCAAUAUCAAUCAUGGGCUCUAUCUAUUUAAGUUUAUUAUAUGCAAUAAGGGUAAGAUGGUAAUUCUAUAUUUUUAUAGAGAUUUUCUUAACCUAAUCCAACUACAACUCUAAUAUCUCUACAACUCCUAAUCCAAUUACAAUUUCAAUAUCUCUAUAACUCGUGUCUUCAAGAUAAUAGGACAUGAGGUACAUUAUCUUGUCAAUAUAUGGUCUAAAUACAUGAGACUAGAACAUUACAAUAUAUUAGGGAUCAUUGGAUCACAUCCUAAUCCUAAUCAAACUCUACAAUUGAAUUACGUUAUAAAAGGCUUGAUUUCAUCUCUCGUAUGGAUAUGUAGCUUAGGCAACUAAGAAGCGACUUAGUGCAACCAUUAUUAAUCAUCAAAACCCUAUUCCUUCAUCUUCUCCAAUACCUAGAUCAUAACAUUAGGGGUUUCCUCUUGAUUAAACUCACUUCCAUUUUCUCUUUAAAACUUUCAAUCUUCGCCCUUAUUUUAUAUUACUAGAUCCUCGAACUACGUACUCUGACUCUAAUAUCACCCUCUAAACAUUUAGCUUAAACAUAUGAUGACACAGCUAGGGAUCUUUGAGAUUCCUCUUUAAGAUUGUAGAGUAUUUGAAGGAAAAAGUAAGUGAGAAAUGGCAGUCUUGCAAGACGACUCUACAAAGAACAAAACCAAACACUUCACCAAAACUUCCAAUUAUAAUCGCAUCCAAUACCACCCAAUUGCUGCGACUCCACUGAGUACGCCUUCUUGCUAGACACCCAAAAGCAAUUACAAGAAGAUCCAACUUGCAUACUCGAAGAACUUGAAGCUGUUAAUUUGGGCACCACCACAUAAGUUUGAAAUGUGUUAACUUGCAUACUUCUUUAGUUUUGAAAACGUAGAUUUUGAGUUUUCUCUCAGUACCUACUCUACAUAUCUAGGAAUUCCUAUCAAGUACGAAGCUUAUCAAAGUUCUAUUCUUAAACUCUAUUAUUUGGUGAGGGCAAAUCAGGAACAAAGAAUAAUGAAAGUUUAAAAACCGAUUCUAGCCAAAUGUUUGUGCGACAUGGAAGCAUCUUAUGUGGGGUGGAAAGCGUGGUGAGCAAAAAUAGGGGUGAGCAAAAAAUUUCUCUAAGAACAGAUGGCAACAACUUUGUUACUGCGGUCUCCCCUCUUUAAAGAGUAGUUUAGACCAGUGAACUACAUGUGCAAAAGUUUAGAAAUGGAAUUGGAUCGAAAUUACAUAACUAGUACAAAUUCCAUUCCAAUUAUUUUCACGAAAACAAAAAUCAGAAAUAAUAGGAAUUUGGAUAUUUUGUUCCAAAAUCCAGCAAAAAAGAUCACCCCUAAAUAUGAUAUGAGGGUUUUUUAUUUUUGUGACAAAGAGUAAUCCUUGUUUAAGCCUUGAAGGAGUUGAUUGAGGGAGGGUAAAAAAAAUCAUGUCCUAUACAAAUGAUCCAUAAUAAAGUAUAUAUGGACAAGACAACUACUAUCAACCAUACGAAGUAGAACGACUUUGUUAUUCAUGGUCUAUCUAGCCUACUUGUUUCUAUCAAGAUAUUGAGAGAAGUUGUUUUUGACGCAAAAGUUCCACAUGAUGUUGGGCCACUGAUCUUGUUGUUAUGUAGAUUUAAACAAUUCAAUGUUCAAUACCUUUAUUUAUUAAUUUCAAAUAUUUAGGGCGAAUCUGUCAAAACCCAAGGAAAGAUGGCCGAAUUUGCAGAUAACGGAGACUUUCUACUUUUCUUUUACGCUAGGAUGACAUGUACAUUAACUAAAAUAUCUUUCUGAUGUGAAAACAAAUUUCACCAAGAAUCUUUUUGUGCCGAAGAUCUAAACUCACAAUAAUCGGGAAUUUCCUCCUCCCAAAAAAACACGCAAAAAAUCAGGAAAAGACCCAUCGAAGACUUGAAGUGAUUUGAAGAUAAAUCAAGUUGAUUUAAUGAUUUAAUGAAUUGAACCAUGCGAGAGUUAUGCGCGACAAAGAGAGAUUUAAAGAGACGAGAAAAGAAUGAGUUUAGUAAAAGAUGUAUAAGUGCUGAAGAAUGUAUAUUAGGAAGGAAGAUUUGAGUAGCUUGUGUAAGCCCCAAACAAGUGUAAUUCAACACUAACCAACCAACAAACAAAAACAAUAUAGAAUAAUAGAGAUACGAGAUUUAAUGUGGUAAAACCCAAUCACUGGGAAACAUCCACGACCAUCCUCGUGACGAUAAAUAAUCCAUUAUAUCAAUAAAAGUAUUACACACACAGUUACAAACUUUGGUUAAAUAAAUCCUGGAUAUUAACACCUACAACUGCACUAUAGGUAGUGUUCUACUUGAUAUAACUGUAGUAAACACUUCGUAAAUUCACUCUGGAAGCAACAUCAAUUAUCUGUUAUUGUUGUUGAUGAUGACAUGGGAUGAUGAAGAAUAAUAGAAGAAAGAAGAUGAAUGAUUCUCACACAGAGAAACAAUCUCUCUAAUGGUGAGAGGCUAGAGAGAUGGUGAAUCCUUAAGGUUUUCUGUUGAAGAGAAGACCCUCAUAUAUUCCACAUUGGGCCUCAUAUCCACUAUUCUCGCUUGUGUUUGAAUGAACUUCGUUCCUUAGAGCGGCAACGGCUCCAUUUUGAUGUGUGGUAAAAGGAUCACCACAAUUAAAAGAUUUGAUUUUUAACUUGAAGUUCCUUCUUGUGCCUAUAUAAAUUGAAGAUCAAAGUAGAGAAGUACAACAAGCAAGGGUCGUACCCACCUCAGAGGGGGAGAUCUUAGCUCAAACACAAUUGACAAUAAUAAUUAAUAAACACCAAGGGAAUCAAUAAUAAUAUGGAUGAUUGAUUCUACAUCCUAUAAACAAUAAAUAAUAGUAAAUCCUAACUUAAGAAUAUUGAAGAUAUGAAAAGAUGAUAUAUGAUGACAUAGGGGGAAUAAUUGGUAUCCACAAACUAGAUCAUGCAAUCAUAUCAUAUUGUUCCUUCAUAUUCAAUCUAUAAUAAUAAAUUAGUAACCUCUCAGCUAAUCCAAUUAAUCAUUAAUGCCUAUAAUAAUCAAGUAGUCACCUCUCAGCUAUUCUACCUAAUUAAAACGGGAUUCUCUUAUGCAUGCUAUUGAAUAUGUCUUAUUAAUCAAACCGUCACCUCUCAGCUAUUCAAUCUAAUUAACUUAACAUAUUAUUGAAUAAAUAAGUAAUUCACAAAACAUCAUAAUGGAAUAAUGGAUUGAUAUUGAAUAUGAGUUAAAUACAAUGAAGAAGAAGAUCAACUCUUCUUCAAUGAAAGUUGAUCUUAAAGUGGAUGUUAAAAGAUAAGCUAAAAGAUAAAUAAACACUAGUUACAACUUCUCUUAAUACAAAAUAUAAUACUUCCAUGAAAAAACUUUCAAACUUGGUGAAAGUCGUGGCUGUUGUUGUUGGUCUCCUAGCGGGAUUAAGAAUUCUAAACUCACGAAAUUUUAAAAAACCAUAAAUCCUUCUUCUUCUAAAUCCUGAUCUCUUCUCUGUUAGAUCUCUCCUGCUUCCACAACGAUCAAGAUAUAUUCCUUUAAGAUAUACCAGAUGAUUUUUUAUUACCAAUACGAACAAGUCGAAGAACCAAUGAAGAAACAUAGCACGAGAGAGAGAAAAUACGAUGGAGGAAGAAGAAGAAACAAGAAGAACAACAUCAAUAGAAACAAAAGUAGCUAUUCGAUCUUCAACCUGAUUUCAAACCCAACACAUAACAGAUGAUCAACUUAACAACAACUUCAAGGUACCCCUAUUCGUUCCCAUUGUAUCAAUUUUUUCUUUUCUCUAUUACUCACAACAAAGUAAAAAAUUGAUGUUGAAAGCUACAAUUAAGAUUGCUAGGAUUGAUUUUGAUGGUUUUUUUUUAGUUGGAUUGUUGUUUUUUGUGCAAAUUAUGUCGAUUCUAUGGAGUUUUAGGAUUGGAUGGAUUGAAAAAACUGCAAUUGAGCUUUCGGUUCAAGUAGUUCUUUGGGGGAUGAUUGAAAAUUUUAAUUAUUGUUUCCUUAAACCAAGAUGAUUGAAUAACUUUUAUGCAGUUAUGCUAGCUUAACAACCGAUUGAUAUUAGAAACACAGAGCCGCAGACACGCAUAUAUUAAUAUAGUGAUACAUAGAUAAUGUUUUCUUAAGGUUGAAACUUGAGAGUCGAGAGCAUAAUUCUAAGAUCGUAACACAACUACAUCUUCCUAACUAAGCAUUAGGUACAUGGUGACUGUACUUAACUCUAUAAGCAAAGGUUAUUUAAUCCGUGUAAUAUAGUUUGGAUGUGCUCUAAUUCAAGCAAUAAUGUGAAAUCUUCUUCCAAAUUUUUACAAUCUUUUAAGCCAAAAAAACGCAUUAGAAAUCUUAAGCAAAGCUUAUUUUAAAAUCUUAAUUAUUGUACAAGGUGGGCAAUUCUACAAUCUCUUAAGCCAAAGCAAUGCAUUAGAAAUCUUCUUCCAUUCAUUGCGAUCACAGUAUUUCAACUUUACUGUAAGUAUGCAUUGGCUAUUCUUAGCAACAACUCUGGAAUUCAAUAGAGGUAUCGUCUGCAAUACAAAAGGAUUAUCGAAAAAAUUCACAACAAUAUUUUUGUAGAUCGAAAUCUCACUCAUAUUCCAUAAGGGAGAUUAAUAUUUACUAAUAUUUGUAGAUCGUUCCCACUAUUAACAGAAGACCAAAGGCUAAAACUCUUCGAUAGCCUAAAACGCUAAAACCUUAAUUAAGUGAAAGACUUCUCUUUGGAUCAAAUCAAACACAGAGGUAACUUCUCUUCUUCCACCUUCGUUUUCUACUACUUGGUAAUCCGAAUUUUGUUCUCUUUAUGUUGUUUACACAAUAAAGUUUAUUUUCCUAAUUGUUUUAUUGUUUGUUAAAUUAGGAUGUCCCAGCUUCUCUUGCCAACCAUCUUUCAGUAUUGAAAGGUAUGAUUUUUAAAUUGUUCAUUGACAUCCAUGAUACAGUGACAAACCAUCUUCCUCUAAAUACAUAUUCUCAUAUGUCAAUUGAUACUAACGUAAUUUCGUAGAAUAGAAGAUAUGAAAUUAUUCAGCCUAUGUGAGAUUAUAGAACAUGUAAAUUGAACUUACAGUGAUUUUCUAAUAUCGUACAGAUGCAUUAAUGGGUAUAUCACAUUGAAAUAAGCGAAGAAAUUUUAUAUAUAUUUUUCUGCACUAUUCUUAGUUUAUAUUUUCUUAGUACUUAAUUUUGCUUCUUCUUUAUGCAUAUUUGUCUUUCUUCGGUUGUUGCAUAUUAUAGACUCACUGUAGGUGUUUAAAGCGACAAAUCAACAAAGUUUGAUACCGUGAAUAAAAUCAAUUGGUCCUAUAAAGGUUUGCAUAUCUUCAUGUUUAUUGCUUUUAACUCAGUUAUUCAACAGUUUGAUCUGGAUGAUUGAUGUUAUUUGUAACCAUUUUUCUUAAGCUUUGUCUAGAUAAACAUUUCUCCUAUUGACUCUUCAGUGCUAGAGAUGAUGUUCUGGCAACUAGAUACUGGACACUAUUAAUUUUUCUUUUUUGAUAGUUACAAUUAUUUCACCUAAAUCCCCAUUAACCCAUGAAGCUUUUUUUUUUUUUUUGGUAAGGUAUAAAUUUUAUUAAAACACCAAUCAUUAAAGGUUACAACUCCUGAUCAGCAGGUGUUAGCCACCCCGUCAGAUCUCAUUAGACAGAACCUAACAUAAAAGGGACACUACAUUAGUAAUAAGAGACAUGCCCUGUGAUAUGUCCCUGCCCCUAUCCAUGCCCAUCAAUCAGAACAUGUUUUGCCAGUUUUGUAGCAGUUCAGGGAACUUGUGGUCCUUUCGAAACUGCAGAUUUUCCUGGCUCACUUCCAACCACUUUCAAAUUGUCAUCUUGGUUCGUUGAACUGCUCCUCAGACAGUAAAUUUUCACUGCUGGAAAUUUCAGCAUUGCAUGUGUCCCAGAUGAUCCAGAUGGCCGCAUACGGCAAGAUUGACCAUAUGCCCUUGCUGAAGCCAUCUCUACUGAGCUUUGGGCAGUUCCUAAACAAUUGUGUGAUAGUGUUCUAUGCCUGCAGCAAGUUCCAGACCUGAGCAUAGGUUCCCACCAGCACUUUCCAUAUUUCUGAGGUCUUAAGGCACUUGAGAAAGAGAUGGGUCAUGUCUUCCUCACUUUCCUUUCACAGUGUACACCUAUUUGGAAGGGUUAUACACUUAUACCUCGCCUUUGUAAGACAUCCACGGUUAGGAUUUCACCCCAUCAACCCAUGAAGCUAGGUGGGACUUGAUCCCAAGACCUUGGGCUUAACCUCUCAAGCCCAAAUUUGAAGGUAACUCUUCUUCCGGAUCACCAACCAUUUCCCACAGUAGCUAAUAACAACAUUUUGCAUGUCCUCUAUAGACUAUAUGGUAGUGGCAGAACGUUUUCUUCUUGCUCCUUUGGUUGGUUUUGUAGAUAAAGUAUUCUUCCUACAAUAACUAACAAUCAAUAAUGAGUGUUUAAUGCUCUAAGACCAUCUCCAAUGGUAAUAGUGAAAAAAAACUCAAAUACCUAUAAUAUUCCGUAGGACCCAGUGAAUAGUGUAUACAUAUGGUGGUGUUAUCUCCAAUGGUUUAUACCUAUAUUUUGAUGUAAAACUAUUAAAAGUAAUAAUUAAUAACAUAUACAAUGAUUAAUUAUUAUUAUUUUAUCUUAUAUGUAUUGUACAAUUCCAUUUGUGCCCUUCAACCAUUAAAAUAGGUCAUUUAGGUAUGCAUAUAUUUUUUUUCGGUUAAGUAUGUUGUAUAUAAUUCUACAUUCAAAUUCAAAAUUAUAUUAAUUAAACUUUUAAUUAAAAUUUCAUUUGAAAAUAAACAUUUCAUAAGAUAAUUGCAAUAAAAAACAUAACCAAAUACUCGCGUACAUAAUUAAUUACAUGUCCAUUUCAUUCCUCUCCUUGACCAUGCCAAUUCCACAAAUGUUGAACUAAUCUGUUUCUGAGUUCAAAGUGUUCACCUCUAUUCUCCGAACGUCGAUAAUUCUGAAGAAAGUUGGCAAAAGUUUGAUUUUCAUGAUCUCUUCUUAGAUACUGUAUCUACAGUUGACGGACUAUCAUAUACAGGAAGGAUCGGUGGUGGUUCAUUAAAAACAAAAUGAUUUAUAUAUGAAGCUCUUCUUCUUCCACAAUCAUGUUAUGCAUGAUAAUGCACGCUGCCAUGAUAUCAUGUAGUGUAUCUUUACCCCAAAAUCGUGCAACACCUCUUACGAUAGCGAAACGAGCCUGAAGUACCCCAAAUGCGCAUUCAACAUCUUUACGGUACGAUUCUUGUUUUUUUGUAAAAAAACGUUCUUUUGCAUCCUUCGGAGUUUUAAUUGCCCUAACCAAAGUUGACCACUUCGGAUAUAUUCCAUCAGCUAAAUAAUAACCAAUAUCAUAAGUUCUACCACAUACUAAGUAGUUUGCAGGUGGUGAUAUACCUCUAUGUAGGUCAUAAAAUAGGUUUGAUCGAUUAAGUACGUUCACAUCAUUAUUUGAACCUGGAAUGCCAAAGAAGGCAUGCCAGAUCCAAGUAUCGUAUGAUGCAACAGCCUCAAGUAUAAUUGUGCACUUUUUUGUUCGACUCCGAUACAUACCUGCCCAUUGUGUUGGACAAUUCUUCCACUGCCAAUGCAUGCAAUCUACACUCCCUAACAUUCCUGGCAUUACGCGAGCCUCUGCAACCUGUAGCAAUUGAUUAAUAUCAUGUUUGUUUGGAUCCCUUAAGUAUUCUGCACCAAAUACCUCAACAAUAUCUCGACAAAAUUUUUUAGUACAAGCCAAAACUGUUGACUCUCCCAUUCGAAAGUAUUGAUCUUGUGCAUUACCAGCACAACCGUAUCCUAAUAAUUGUAUAGAUGCUGCCAUUUUCUGAUAUGAGGAUGCUCCUACUUUGCGAGUAACAUCUACCUUUUUUGCCCAGAAAGUAUUGUGGUUCUUUAAGGAUCUUCUAAUGCGAAGGAAUAAAAGACGACUCAUUCUAAAGCGUCUACGAAAGUAUUCUUCUGGAAAUAUUGGAUUGAGCCCAAAAUAAUCACUUUUUAAUUGAAUGUUACCGUUGAGUCUUCCCCGAUUAAUGACGUUGUGUCCUGGUAAUGAUCCACCCCAUUGGACCGAAUUGUUCCUUUGUAUCAUUAGGUAUUGCCGCAUUUGUAUCUCGUCUUGGUCCAUAAUGAAAUUGUUUUGCACAAUUUGUCGAUUUCGCAUUUCAUCUUCAUAGUUAGCUUCCUCAGAAUCGAAAGAGUUUCCAUUCAAAGCUGUUGAAUGUGAAGAACUUGCAUAAUAUGGGUUUGGGUGAUAAUUCAUAGCAAUUAAAGGUUUGCAAUUGUAGGAUAUUUCACGUAUAUCAAACUUCUUUUAAUAAGUUUGUCAAAGAUAAGAUAACACCCAAAAAUCCAUAGUUGAUAAGAUUUCUCAAUUAUUUGGAUUGAAUGAUAGACAAAGUGACAUCACAAGUUUGGAUUUUUAGAUAGACAAAGUGACAUCACAAAUGUUUACAUCAUGUGAAAUCAUUUUUAUGGCAAUUUUCAUUUGUCUUGUUCAAUUCUUUUCACCCAAUACGAUAAAAAUGAGAAUCUUGAUAAUUAACUUUCAUUUGUCUUAUUCAUAUUUUUUUUCGCACAAUAAGAUAAAAAUGAAAAUCUUGAUAAGAUUUUUACAAAGAUAACAAAGAUGUGGAUGCGGUGGCAAAGUGACAUCACAAAUGCUUACAUCAUAUCAUCAUAUGGGUUACUUUUGUGAUAAUUUUCAUUUGUCUUGUUCAAUUUUUUUCAUCCAAUAUGAUAAAAAUGAGAAUCUUGAUAAUUAACUUCCAUUUGUCUUAUUCAGAUUUUUUUUCACAUAAUAAGAUAAAAAUGAGAAUCUUGAUAAGAUUUUUACAAAGAUAACAAAGCUAUUGAUGUGGUGGCAAAGUGACAUCACAAGUAGUUACACCAUCAUACCCACGUCUCUGCUCCAGAACAAAUUAAAUGCCUAUAAAAUCUAAAUUUCAAUACACCAAAACCAUCAUACCCACAAUUCCGACUAAAAAUAACCUAAAUAAUCAUGCCAAGAAACAACUCUCAACCACGAGCUUCUUCAGCGCGAGGAGCUAGUUUUUCCCAUGCUGAAGAUAUAAUUCUUGUGAAUUCAUACUUGGAACAUUCCCAAGAUGGUGAAAUAGGUGCAUUUCAAACAAAAGAUCUAAUGUGGUCCAAGAUAGAGUGCACUUAUAAUGGCCAAGCAGCUGACCAACAUAAUUACGCCCAACGAACAAUUGUUUCACUACGCGGUCGUUGGGUAAUCCUUAAUACAGCAUGUCUCAAGUUUGGAGGAUGUAUUAAACAAGUUUUGAGCUUUAAUGAAAGUGGUAGCUCUGAAAUGGACAUUGUAAGUAAAAUAUCUGUCAUUUUAAAUUGUUUGUUUUAUUGAUUAUUUGUUGCUAUUGAAAAAAAAAACUAAAUAUUGUUUCAUAUCAUUUUUUUUCCUUCUAACAGAUAGAAAAAGCAAAACAAUGUUAUGCUAAUUCACAUGAAAAGAACAAGUUAUUCACAUAUGAGCAUGCUAGGAAUAUCUUAAAAUACCAUGACAAAUGGUCUCUUAGCACCGAAGAAAGUUCUCCCAUGGGUAAUAACUCUCCUGGAAUUAAUCACUCUCCUGGGAUCACCCAAAUUGAAGAAGAAGGGAAUGAUAUUCGACAAACAUGAGAAGCUUAUUCAGGAAGGCCACAACAUGGACGAAAUGCAACAAAAAGUAAACGUAGAGUUGUUGACGAUAACGAUCCAAUGUGGGUUGAAUUGCGAGAAAACUCUCGAAUGAACAGAGAGUUCAUGGAGAAACAACAUAUGGACACACUGCAAAUUGCCGAAGCCAGGGAUACCCGCGCGAAAGAGAGGAAUGAGUUAGAAAGGCAACGAUUGGCUAUGUUGCAAGACGAUAAGGAUACUAUGAUCAUGAACACUGAUAUGAGCAAUUUCACUCCUGGGAAGAAAAUGUUUUAUUCUAAUUUACGGUUGGACAUCCUAACUAGGCAAUGCCAAAAGACUGCUGCAAGAAAUCUGUUUUCCGGUGGUGAAGGAAGCUCUAGUCAACAAGAUCAAUCUAACGAUGAUGUUUAUGACCAGUACAACAACAAUGAAGAAACUGGAUAUCGGUACAAUCAUGAUUGAUAAGCUUUAAUUUAAUUUUAUUGCAUGUAUUGUAUUUUUUUUUUGUAUUGUGGGUGUGAUGGUGUUUUUAUGUUAUUUGUAUUGUAUUUCUUAUUUUGUAUUGUAUUUCAUCUUUUGUAUUGUUGUUGUAUUUCCUUCUUAUAUUAAGUUAAUUUUAGCCCUUUUUAAUUAGUGCACAUUUUUCAUUAUUUAUUUUAUAAUUUUAAUUAUUGUUUUAUUUAAUUUUAAUUAUUAUUUAGUUUAGUUAAUUUAAUUUUAAUUUUAAUUAUUGGUUAAUUUAAUUUUAAUUGUUUUUUUUUUAAUUAGUGCACAUUUUAAUUUAAUUAGCCCAAUACGAAUAUCGGCCCUUUCUUUGGGCUUGGGCUUGAGUUAAUAAUGAUUCUGUGGAAAAACAAAUAAUUGAUGAGGCCAAUAUGGGAAAGUUAUUUUUUGAAUGUGGGGUUAGGUAGGUCCCAAAGUUUGAUUACACAUGAGAUAAAAAAUACUUAAAACUCAAAUAUUUACUUAUAUAUAAGUAAAUAUAUGAGUAUUUGAGUAUUUGAGUUUUGAGUUUUGAGUUUUGAGUAUGGGUUGGAGAUGAAUUUUGGUGAAUAGUACCAAAUUUAUAAGUUUUAGCUUUACCAUUGGAGAUGGUCUAAGGUUUGAUCCCCAUUUCUUCUUCUUCUUCUUCUUCUUCUGUUUCUUAAUAUCUUUUUUAUUCAUUACUUCAUCUAUUUACUAUACGUUGAUGUGUUGUUAAUUGUGGGCAAGGCACUCUUUAUUUGUAUGUUUAAAAACUUGGCAUUAUAAUUCACAUCAAGCCAAAUUAGUUAAUAGAUGAACUAAUCUGCUUAUGAAUUAAUGAAAAUAUUAAACACUAAUGAUGUAAGUUUUUCAUUCUAUUGUAUUGGUGUAUUUUCAACAAUAGGACCUGUUGCAUAACUCUUUAAUAAUAGGGAAUUUCUUACAGUAUCCACAUGUAUAUAGUAUGAAACAACAUACUAUUCAAAAUAUUGGACUGAGACAUCUAGAGUAUAACAGAUUGACAAUAAUUAUUAGAGUAGAAUUAUGACUAUGAUAAUAUAAUAAUAUCUUUUCUGCUUCUUAAAUCAUAUGCUGUAAUUCUUUCUUUGAACUCUAUGGACAACAAAAGGGUAUCUUUCAUCUUCUCUGCUCCCAGUUACAAUACUAUCCCAAACAUAGACAAGAAGGUGUGUUUGCUACUUCUACUCUGCUUUAUGGUUUUGUGUUUAGAUCAAAAUUAUUUUAUGUUGGUAGUAACAUGUUUACUAUUUUUUACUUAAUUCCACUCCAGGAUUUCGUCCUCGCUCAUCCCGGUGCGUCGAGCACCAUACCGCUCGCUAAUGUCAAUAUUGUCCCCCUUUAGUCACUGCGGAUAUCCAGCAGUAGAGGGUUUUGAAUCAAGGCCCACCCAUGUGGCUUACCCCAAAAGGCCUUGACAUUAGUUAGAGUAUGGUUAAGCUCUAUAUACUACCAAUACAACCACUUCCUUGGCAAUGUGGGACUAACACCAACUCAUGGGUGUUACAAUCUCACCACCUUAGAAAUAGAGCCGUCCUCGGCUCUGCAGUACACUCAGUACAGUCCCAAAAUCUCCGACGUUCCCUGCCAAGUGAGACAGGUACCUGGCGCUCCCUAGGCCUUUCCAGCGUACUUCCCACCUGCAACAGGCGACCCGUCGUCGGCUUUGAUACCAUCUGUAACGCCCCGGGAUUUCGUCCUCGCUCAUCCCGGUGCGUCGAGCACCAUACCGCUCGCUAAUGUCAAUAUUGUCCCCCUUUAGUCACUGCGGAUAUCCAACAGUAGAGGGUUUUGGAUCAAGGCCCACCCAUGUGGCUUACCUCAAAAGGCCUUGACAUUAGUUAGAGUAUGGUUAAGCUCUAUAUACUACCAAUACAACCACUUCCUUGGCAAUGUGGGACUAACACCAACUCAUGGGUGUUACACUCCCACUCUGAUAAUUGGCCUCCUUACUAUCUCUUAUUAGUUUUUUGUUAGGUGUGUGGUUAAUGUUAGGGAAAUCAGGAACCUGUCUCAUCAAGAAAAGGGAAAAAAGUAAUGUUUGGAAGAGAUGAAACACAAGAGAAAAAAAAAAAUAGGUGCCAAUCUCAACUAUUUACUUUAUUAGCAUGGGACAAUGAUACCUAUACCUUUAAGAAAAUCUCCAAAGACAAGUAGCCUGAGAAGUGUAUAAAACAAGCAAUCAGUCACUAAGAGAGUCUUUUUGAUUGUCACAAGUAAUUUUCUGUAUUAUUUAUUUCUCAAGAAAACAUUUGAUUCUCUAUGUAUCUCACAUUUUAGUCUUAGAUCCAUACUCAUACAAUCAUAUUCUUUGUGUAUAAGUCCUUAAUCGUGUACUUUUGGGUUUAUAAUACGUUGUUCCAAAUUUAUGUAUGUCCUCUCUUUUGGUCUUCAUCAAAAGUUUUGGUGGGUGGGGUCAUAUUUUUUUUUUGGGUAAACGGUUAGGGUCAUAUCAGUAGCUUAGAUUUAAGUUAUUGUUUCCUUUGGUUCCUCACAAUACUUAGAUGGCUCACAGGUAGACAAUGUUGUACCUUUUGUUCUUAUAGCCAAUUUUUUAAACUGAAUCAACAAUGUUUCAUGCUGCACUUUUUCUAAUACCUAGAUAUUUAAGUUGUUUUUAUUAUGUCUUUACACCUUUAGAUUCAAUUUUGAAAAGUCUAAUGUCGAAAUCACUUAUACCAUGAACUACAAAGCAUGCACUAAGAUUCUUGGAUACAGAAUGAUGUGCACAUGUAUGCAAUUAGAAUCUAGGUGCACCCCUUCUUUAUUUUCAUUGCAAAAGCGCAGCAGUCUGCCAAGAUUAUGUAAAAUUGUUGCCAUAAGAAUGGACAAGGAAACUCCAGAGCAUUCCCUUUCGUUGUAGGUAGUAAUUGGUCUUGAAACAAGUCUGUUGUAAAAGAAAGUUGUAUAAAUUUAUGUUGCGAAGAAAACAAUCAACUACAUAGCAACGUCGUUCUGAAUAAGUAUCCUCUUUUUUCUACGACAGUCCUCCUUGCCACUUAUGAGUUGUUCGGUGUGAAAGAGUUCACGACUAUUCCAAUUCUUAGUUCAUCAAAGACAAUGGGCUCAACAUCAACAAGGAUAGGACUCAUACUUCCAGCACCAGUUUCACUAAAAAAAUGUGUUGAGUAACAACCACAUCAAGGAAUAGCUCAUUCUUUUUCCGUGUUAAUUAUGUUUUGUUCUGUGAUAAGUCAUUCAUGCAUCCUACUUAUAAUCAGUUUUGUUCAGCUGCAGUAUAGAUUCAUCAAUAUAAGACAAACAAACUUUAUGAGAUAUGGUUUUAAACUCCUAUUUAUUGAGGUUUCUACUACAUUAAAUAUAUAUUCAAUCUUAGAUCCAUUGCAUCUACUUGCUACUAUCACAUCAUAUUGUUGUAGAUAAAUUAGUGUAAACCUUAAAUUGUAGCUUUUCAUUGUUGUUAUAACUAUGAUUAAUUAGAGAAGUAUAAUUAAUUUGAGAAGGCAAUACCGUACUUUGCAUCUUCUGCAGAUCUCAUCUCAGACCAUAUACUGUAUACAUCUACUUUGCAUUUUUUGUAGUUGUCAAAAUUCUUCCCAUAUAGUUCCACACAAAUCCUGGUGCGUAGCACGGGUUCAACAACUAGUCCAUAGAUAUAAUACAAUAAUAUAAGCUAAGUGCUAGACAAACAAGGUGUUAUUCGGGGGAUAAAUAUACACUUUUGAGGUCCGAUCAAAUACCCCCAAACAACACUUUGCUUGUCCUCAAACAAAGAUGAGAAGAAAGAAUAAGAAACUCAAAAGAGAAGUAUAACUAAGGUGAUUGCAUUAACCAUAUGCAUCAAGGUUUUUAACCACAAUGGUUUCCUAGGUGGAGGAGUUAUAGUCUCCUGAGGGUUUUCCAGAUAAGAUACCCACAAACUUACUACAAUGAUUAAUUCAAGAAUUGAAUUUUCUACCAUGUACCUCAGAAAUGGUCAUAUCAAGGAUAAAGAUAAGUAUUGUAAAACCGUUCAUAUGAGAUAAUAUAUUACCAAUGCAUGAAUAAAAUAUGAAAUAUAAACUAAGCAUAACGGUCUCAAAUGCAUUGAAUACAGGCAUGUCCCAUACUACCACGGGUCUUAAGUCACCUUUGGAAAUGUCGUUUUGACUUAUGCCUCACAGACAUAUAUACACUCAGAAAUAAAGUCACUCAGAGAUGGUGUUUAUCAUUUUACCUCUAUGUGAGGAAAGAAGAUGGACAAUCAUCUCACAUAUACCAAUAAGAACGGACUGGUGUAAUGGAAUGAACUUAGUCUCAAAGAAUGGAAAAAUUAGCCUUGCUUGAGAUGUCGGAUUUUUCACCUCAGCACCUUCUCACUUACUUGCCACAUCCUACCAUAUCAGCUUAAAUCUACAAAAAACUAUAAUGGGUUGUAACUUGGCUUAGGACUGGGCUAGAAAUGGCAAAGGCUUUUGUGAAACAUUUUAGGAAAUUCGGGCCUUCAAUACUUGUGAUUUGUAAUAAUAGCACAUGGAGAAAUUUUUGGAAUUUUUCUUUUGGAAGAAGUAUUUCUCAUCUUGUUUUGGGAAAAUUUCAAUGAAGCGAUUUGGGAAUCUUCCUUUCUUUUUGGAUUUGGAAUGGUUUGGAAGAUUCUGGCUUUUUCUGGAAUUUCUUCAAACUUUUUGAUUUUCAAUAUUUGGUUCGUCUCACUAGUUUGAAGAUUUCUUUGUAUUUCUCCUUUCUUCUUGUAACCACAUAAACAACCAUCCUCAUGUUCCAAAAACAUGGGUAAAAGGACCUAAAACAUUCUAAGGGUAUUUACUCCUACAAUGGAGUUGGGUAAGGAUAAUGGGCUCAAGAAAAAGGCUAAGUAACAAGAAAAGGCUCAGAAUGGUUAAUCUAAGGGAUACAGUAACAUCAGGGUAAGCUAACGUAAGCAAGGUUUAUCUAAAUGUCUUUGUAUCAUUUCUAAGUACUGAUAUGGUGAUCAUAUGUUGAAUAAGCUACAAGACCCAAGUUUAUAUUACACCCACUUGAUGUCAUCUCAAGGCUAACUAUAAAAAUGAAUAUGAGACUAAAAACAAACAAAACUGAGAGGUUGAGUCUUUUGACUCCAGAUGUACAUAAUAACUCUCCAAGAAAAGGACGGGGGCUCAAAAGCUUACUGGGUUAAGUCUCUACACCUAUUCCUCAAGUUUUUCAAGGUGUAGUUGUAUUUGCACAUUUAAUCAAUAAUAAAUGCAGAUGAAUGUCAUGUUUAUUCUCAUGCAAAUGUAGUAUAAGACUCAACUACUUGGUGAAGCAAUAAAUGUCCUUAAACUUGAAAAGGAAAGAAUUCAACCAUUAUGUUCAUCAUUGAUGGUGUACUUAUCAUAUUUUUGAAAAAAUAUUUAUAAGAAAGAGUUUUGUUGAUUUUUCUCAAAUUUUUUGAAUUUUUACACAAGUAUGGAUAAAGAAGUUUGAAAAUCCUUUGCUAAAAUGAUUGAAAUACUUUCCCACCCCCAAACAAAGAGAUUGCCUUAUCCUCAAGGCUCAUACUAAGCAUAGGAAAGACAGAGAGAAAGAUAUUAAAAUGAGUCUGCUAAAAAUUCAAACCGCUUUAUAGAUUCUUGUCAAACAAAAUUAUCUCCAUAUAGAGAUUAAAAGGGAUUCCAUACUAUGACACAACUGAAAUAAAAUAUACUGAAAUAAAGGACUGGCUUAACAGAAAGGGAAAUCCUAACUUAAAAUAAUGCAUUUUGUAACCGCAAUAAUUAUCAACCGGCAAAUAGAGAGUGGGUGGGCCGGCCGCCCCCACCCCCAAACAGAAUUGAGCACAGAUGGUAGAACAUGCGGUUUAACAGCCAAAAUGCAACUAAACUUGACAACAAAAAGAAGCAAUAAAGCACGAUCAGGGUUUAGAAGAUACACAAGGCUGUCUCCCAAUAGCGCUAAGUUUAACUUCUUUAGCCAGAUAGGAGGACAAACAUUAAAUUCACUUCCUAGAUAAACGCUAGUCAAAACAAAUAUACAGGAGAGAUAAAACACUAGAGUGGAAUGCACGAGAUCUUGAUGUCUAAGAUACAACAAAGAGUCAGAUACUCGAGACUUAAUAGAAGAUGGGAAAUAACUUCCCCACCCCCAAACAGAGCGAGAAAGAUGUUUGUUUGGUGGUGACACUCAAGAGACAAGCGUGCACUGGAUCAAUUAUACUCAGCCAGUAAGAGUUCAUGGACUAAUGGUCCCGGCACUUUCAACCACACCUCUCAACAGACAAAGAGAGGGUCCAGAUACCAGCAGCUCAAAGGUCAAUCUACAUAGGUAGGAUCCUCUAAGAGAGUUUCAGGAGGCCUUAACUCAUGAAAAUGCUUAAGACAUUGACCAUUGACGUGAAAUUCAGAACCGUCUACAAGAUUAACAAAUGUAAUAACAUUAUAAGGAUUUACUGCAGACACAACAAAGGGGCCUGACCAACAAGACAUAAGUUUGACAAAAAAUAAAUGCAAACGAGGAUUAUAAAGCAAAACUUUAUCUCCAAUUUGAAAAUAAAGCUGAUUUUUCUGUUCGAUCGUAAGAGAUGAAGAGAUGAUAACAGGAUGACUAUCGUUUGACGCUAAUUGGGCACAUUUCAGCUCGGGAGGAAGAGGAUCAGGAGAUAAAGGGAUGGUCUCGACUUGGAACUCAAAAUCAAUGCAACAAACCGAAUCAAGGGCCUCAAGGUCUUUGGGGUUAAACAUAGGCACGGAAUCAAGAAGAGUAUUGGUUUGGGCAAUACAUUGGUCGAUGUUGAAGUUAACAUUAUGCAUGGUAGGGCAAUUAACAAUCGGAUCUUUAGGGUAACAACUAGGUACUAUCUCAUAAGGUAGAGAAUCGAGAAGGCACAUAUCAUUAGAUAAAGAAAGAUCAGGGGGUUGUUGGCCAAGAUUAAAGAUAUUAACUUUAACGGUCAUAAAUCCAAAAGUGAGAACUAUAGAGCCAUUUCGACAGUUUAUGAGAGCAUUAGAGGUUGCUAGAAAUGGACGACGAAAGGAUGAUAGGAACCGUGUCAUCGGCAGUAGGCUCAGUAUCCAACACCACAAAAUCAACAUGAUAGUAAAAGUCGGACACCUUGACUAAUAGAUUCUCAACUAUUCCUCUAGGUAUUUUUAAUGAUUUGUCGGCCAGUUGUAAAGACAUGUUCGUGGGUUUCAUGUAUUUUAGACCCAGGCUGAGGUACAAGGAAUAAGGCAAGAGAUUAACACUCGCUCUUAAGUCUACCAAAGCUCUACCCAUGAACGUAUCACCAAGCUUGCAGAGUAUGGUCGGUUUUCCAGGGUCCUUAUAUUUUACCACACCGUUAAGUUAGACAAGUGCAGCGAAUUCUUCAGCCACAAACGCGUUAUUAGACACAUUUGUGUUUCUUUUGGCGGUGCACAAGUCCUUCAAAACCUUAGCAUAGGAAGGUAUCUUCUUAGUAGCUUUGAGGAAAGGUAUGUUAAUAUUUAUAUGUUUAAGCACAUCAAGUACCUCCUCAGUUUGUACUUCCUGUAGAGACCUUGUGAGUCUCUGGGGGUAAGGUACAGGCAGGUUGUAAGUUUGUGGAGGAUCCACAAUCUCACGGGCAGUCUUCUUCGACUUAGAGGUGGUCACCUCGUUAGCCGGAGGUUUGGGUGGGGCAACAGGUGCAGAGGUAACCAGGGUCUCAAUGUGAGGACUCAGUGUAUCACUAAUUUGAUUAUCAACUUGUUUACGUGACCUAAGGGUGGAGAGCGAGUUAAACCCUAAAUCUACUAAAGGCACCCCACGGUCAACUCUGGUCAACCCUGUUAAAAUGACUUUUCGACCAAUUUUGAAUUAGGGUUGACUUUUUGGUCAACUGUUGACUUCUGAUGACUUUGGGUCAAUUCUGUUGACUUGUGGACCGGACUUCCUAUUUUGGGUCUUGAUCUUAUAAAGGCUCUACAGGAAGAACCAGAAGUCCGAUUUGGGUCCAUGAGCUAUCAAACUGAAGGUCUUGGCCCAAGCUACAAUUCCAGCCCAAGACAAUUAGGUUUUACUCAUUGCUUAAUCCUGUAGGAGACUAACAGCAGCAGCCACGAAUUUCACCAAGUUUGGAAGUCUUUGCAUGCAAGUAUUCCAUUAUGUAAUGUCUAUAUAUGAGAAGUUGUAACUAGGGUUUACUAUCUUUUAGCCUUUUAGCCUCCACUUUAAGAUCAACUUUCAUUGAAGAAGAGUUGAUCUUCUUCUUCAUUUUAUUCAAUAUUCAAUAUCAAUCCAUUAAAUUCCAUUAUGAUGUUUUAUGAUUUAUUUAUUUAUUCCUUUGAUAUGAGUAGCUAAAUCUUCAUGGGGGGAUGGUGGAAGCUUUCUACGUGAUGUAAAAGUAUUAUGUUUGUUUCUCUUGUUCAUUGUGAUUUAAAUGUCUUCAUGCUUAUUUACUUCUAUCUGCAGUAUGAGGUAAGUAUGAUUAUUUGUAUGCUAUUGUUAUCCAUGGAAUUAAAAUAUUAUUGUUAGGGUUUAGGGAGACCUAGCUUUUAAUGGUACUAUUUAUAUUUAUUGUAGAUGUGUAGUGAAAUAACUGAGAGAUGAUUAUUACAUGUUUAUAAUAUUUAUCUUUUAUUGGAACUCUUUUAUGAUUAAAUCAAAUAGCUGAGAGGUGAUGAUUUAGUUAUGAAUAAUAUGUUGAGUUAAUUAGAUUCAAUAGCUGAGAGGUGAGGGUUUAAUUAAUGAAACAUAUUCAAUAGUAUGCAUAAGAAAAUCCCGUUUUAAUUAGGUGGAAUAGCUAAGAAGUAACUACUUGGUUAUUAUAGGUAUUAAUAACUAGUUGGAAUAACUCAGAGGUGACUUAUUAGUUAUUAUAGAUUGAACAAGAAGAACAACAUGAUAUGAUUGCAUGAUUUAGUUUGUGAAAGCCAAUUAUUCCCUCUAUAUCAUCAUAUAUCUUCUUUUCCAUAUCUUCCAUAUUCUUAAGUUAGGAUUUAUUAUUUUUUAUUGUAUGUACGAAGUAGAAUCAAUCAUCCAAUUUAUUGCUGAUUCCUUUGGUGUUUCUUAAUUAUUAUUCUUAAUUGGGUUUGAGUUAAGAUCUCCCCCUUUGAGGUGGGUAAGACCCUUGCUUGUUACUUGUCUACUUUGAUCUUCAAUUUAUACAGGCACAAGAAGUAACUUCAACAUAAAAAUCUAAUCUUUUGAUAGAAGGUGAGACAAAAUUGCCUAUAUCAGGGCUCGGGAUGGACUGUCCCGAAAAUUUGCCAUUUUCAUCAAGUUUUUGUUCAAUCCUUUGGAUGGCUUGGGUAUUUGAUUCAAUAGACGCUUGCGUCUGUUGAAUGAAACAUGCAAACACAUCCUCAAGGGAGGUCUUAAGAAGGGCAGAUUGAUUGGUAGACACCUGGUCCCUGGAACUACUCAUGAAAUGAGCAUUGUUCGAAUAAGGGAGGACAGUUACCCUGUUCUGAUUUUCAUUAUUACCAACAUACGUCGCAUUGCUACUUUGCCCAUUAAAACAAGGUGGAGCCGCAUAAUGAUUAUUUGAGUAAGACAGAUUAGAGCGGUCCAUGUAUGGGUAUGUGGCAUUGCCCUUAGUAAAGUUGGUUUGCCUGGUGUAGCUGAAUACACGGGCUUCCUCAGUUUCUAAUGAAUUAUAAAGGAGAGGGCAAAACUUGGCAGUAUGGGUCUGUUCAUGACAAACAUCACAUUUGAGAGUGGAGGCACUCAUAACAUGUGAUGUGGGCUUUAAGGACACCUCAAGUGCUUCCACCUUUUUUUACUAAACCAUGGAGUAAAGUUUUAAGCUCGAGGUCGGGUUUGACCUCAUAUAUGCUUCUAGGUUUAUCAUAUGAGUCCAGGGUAGUGUUUCUCAGGGUUGGUCCAGGUAAGUCCCAAUUUUGGCUAUUAUUAGCUGAUUUUUCAAAGAAUGCAAUAGCCUUGGCGGUGGACAUAUCAAGAAAUUCUCCACUGCUCAUGCUUUUAACCAUGUUUCUAGUUGUGCAAUUAAGGCCUCUAUAUAUGAUCCUAACUUUUUCGGUGUCAUUAACUCUGUGGUGUGGACACUGAAGAAAUAGGUCUUGAUACCUCUCCCAUGCAUCAAAGAAUUCCUCACCCUCUUUCUGCCAGAAAUUCCUUAUGGCAUCAACUAUGUCAUUAGUUCUAGUAAUAGGAAAGAAUUUGGUCAAAAACUUUUUACUUAGUUGAGCACAAGUGGUAAUAGAAUUGGAAGGAAGGCCCUGUAGCCAAUGAGAUGCUCUAUCCUCAAAAGAGAAAAGGGGAACAAUCUCAAGCUAACUUCCUCCUCAGAUAAAUCCUUCUCCCUAAAAGUAUGGAGAACAGUCAGAAACUUAUUGAGGUGUUGAUAUGGAUCUUCCUGUGGAAGUCCAUGGAACUUAGGCAACAUGCCCAAAAUCUGUGGGAGAAUGCCAUAGCUAUCUGCAUGUGUCUCUGGUAAGACAAUGCAAGUAGGUGGCCCAGUGGCCAAAGGUGAAAAGUAAUCUCGAAGGGUAGCUUCUUGAGCCAUAAGUGCAGGAUGUACUUCAGGAAGUGAAGUUGAGUCGUUGAACUCUUCUUCGGAAGGUAUGGAGGUUGAGUUGUGAAACUCUUCCUCAGGGGGAGUAUAAAGGUCUGUGAUUGUGCUCUUUGUGUAGAUUAUAGGUUUGGACAAGAUUUUACCUGAUCUAAGAUGCAUGCAACAUGCGCAUUACAUAUGCCACAGAAGUCCUAACCAUUCAAAAGCAUCUAACAAGGGGCUUAAAAACUGACUCAAUUUUGUGUUCACCCAAGUCAAUGAGUUCUUUCCAAGCUUCGUGAGUGAAUUUUUCCUAUAUUUCGAGAGUCAAGCAGCGAAUAACCAAUGUGGGAGGUUAACCGUGCCUAAACACGUUCCUUAAUUAAAUAACCACACUGAUUCUACAGAUGAAUCCUUAGGGGUUCCAGAUCCAAUUCCUAACUUGUGCUCCAAUAAAAAACAAAUCAAACAGUACUAGUUGAAUAUCUGAUUCUACAGAUGUGGGAGGUUAACCGUGCCUAAAUACGUUCCUUAAUUAAAUAACCACACUGAUUCUACAGAUGAAUCCUUAGGGGUUCCAGACCCAAUUCCUAACUUGUGCUCCAAUAAAAAAAAAAUGAAGCAGUACUCGUUGAAUAUCUGCUCAAGGUCUCAAAUGAACAUCGUGAUAGCUUGGUUUUAGUUGAUUCAAUUUUAAGGCUUAGGAUAUUGCAAUCAAUCGUAAUUAGGUUUCACUUAUGGGCCAGGUCCGCCUUGCAGUCCCGGUUUAACAAGUAAAAAAAGAAAUUAAAAUCAAGCAACAAUCAAGGUCAUGUUAAUCAAUACAGAAACUCCUCUUGCAAGGGUUUCAAGGAGAGUUAGGAGAAUGCCUACCUCCCACUUUGUGCUAAAAAGUAAAAAUUGCCAAACAAGCGCACAAAAGUUAGGAGAAGACAAGUAGAAAUCGACUAAGGGGAAAUCGCUCCUUUGGUUUCAAUCGUCCUUAGGAGUCGUUUGGUAGUAGACUCAAGGCUAGCUCCACAACCUCGCUCUACUAUCCUCCUCGAACACACAAUAAAAUAAAUCCUAACAACACCUACUUUAAAAAUAUUAUAACCGCGACCUCUUCGUGGAUCGAAUAAUUAAAUAACUUACAAGUCCUUAAAAAUGCUGAAAAAAUAGGCUACUUAGUUCACCUCACGAUCUCUCAGUUCCUUAAAUAGCUAAAUUGGAGUUCUAGAACGUCCUGGAAAAAUCACGCAAAACGAGCAAAUUCCCUGCCUGGAACUGUCGAAUCAGUAAUUUUCUGGAAAAUCCCGAUCUUUGAUCGAAUAAUUAGGAGUGUAGAUCACCCCAAACUCUCUCAACAGUAGAAAAUUCAGCUCAAAAGGAGUCCGGAUCACCCUGGAAAAAUCACGCAAAAACGAGAAAAUUCCCUGCCUAGAACUCGACUCGAGAUUGCUACAAGCCAAACUGAACUCUACUCGAGGUCGGGCCUAAUUCGAACCAGUAACCUUCAAGAAAUUUUCCUGAAUGCGCAUUUUUCUUAAAACCUUGAUAUUGACUCCGUUUUUCAAGCUUUUAACAGUCUGUCUUCGCUGCAAGAUCAAUAAGAGGACUAAGUAACAAGACACUUAAAAAUACUAAUUAAAAGAAAUAACAAUUGAAGGAUGGGAGGGAUACAAGUGGGAUGAUGUCCCGAAACAACUAGUCUCGCUUGUGUUUGAAUGAACUUCGUUCCUUAGAGCGGCAACGGCUCCAUUUUGAUGUGUGCUAAAAGGAUCACCACAAUCAAAAGAUUUGAUUUUUAACUUGAAGUUCCUUCUUGUGCCUCUAUAAAUUGAAAAUCAAAGUAGACAAGUAACAAGCAAGGGUCGUACCCACCUUAGAGGGGGAGAUCUUAGCUCAAACACAAUUGAAAAUAAUAAUUAAGAAACACCAAGGGAAUCAAUAAUAAGAUGGAUGACUGAUUCUACUUCCUACAAGCAAUAAAAAAUAGUAAAUCUUAACUUAAGAAUAUGGAAGAUAUGAAAAGAAGAUAUAUGAUGACAUCGGGGGAAUAAUUGGUAUCCACAAACUAGAUCAUGCAAUCAUAUCAUAUUGUUCCUUCAUGUUCAAUCUAUAAUAAUUAAUUAGUCACCUCUCAGCUAUUCCAAUUAAUCAUUAAUGCCUAUAAUAAUCAAGUAGUCACCUCUCAGCUAUUCCACCUAAUUACAACAGGAUUCUCUUUUGCAUGCUAUUGAAUAUGUCUUAUUAAUUAAACUGUCACCUCUCAGCUAUUCAAUCUAAUUAAUUUAAUAUAUUAUUCAUAACUAAAUCAUCACCUCUCAGUUAUUUGAUUUAAUUUGAAAAGGGUUCCAAUAAAAGAUUUAAACUGUAGAUAUAUAAUAAUCACCUCUCAGCUAUUUUACUACACAUCUUCAAUUAAUAUAAAUUAAACCAUUAAAGUUAGGUCUCCGCAAACCCAAACAAUAGUAUUUUAAUAACAUGGAUAACAAUAACAUGCAAAUAAUCAUACUUUGAAUCACAAUGAACAUGAAGAACAAACAUGAUACUUUUACGUCACCCAGAAAGCUUCCACCAUCCCCUCAUGGAGAUUUAGCUACUCAUCCUCAAGGAAUAAAUAAGUAAUUCACAAAACAUCAUAAUAGAAUAAUGGAUUGAUAUUGAAUAUGAGUUGAAUACAAUGAAGAAGAAGAUCAACUCUUCGUCAAUGAAAGUUGAUCUUAAAGUGGAUGCUAAAAGAUAAGCUAAAAGAUAAAUAAACCCUAAUUACAACUUCUCUUAGGGUCUGUUUGAUUGGAGUCCGGGAAAUAGAUUUUUCGGGAAAUUUCAAUUACCCAUGUUUGAUUAAAUGGAAAAUAAGCGGUAAAUAUUUAAAACGACACGAUAAGUUAAAACGUUGGGACAAAUUGGAGCAUUUGGAGCUCAAUUUUGGCGAACUCUCACUACAAACAUAUUUAAAUGAUUUUCCACAAAAUUCAUGAUCAAUGUAGCAUUAUAACUAUUUUAUUAAAAUUUUAUUUCCCGAAUAUUUGCACAUGGUAAAUCUAUUUCCCGGUAAACUCUUUUCCCGCCCGAAUCAAACAGACCCCAAGGUGAAAUUUGUGGCUGUUGCUGUUGGUCUCGUAGCGGGAUCAGGCAAUCAGCAAAACCUAAUUCUUUUGGGCUUGAAUUGUAUCUUGGGCCAAGACCUUCAGUUUGAUAGCUCAUGGACCCAAAUCAAACUUCUGGAUCUUCUUGUGGAGCCUUUUUAAGUUUAAGGCCCAAAAUAGAAAGUCAGGUUAACAAAAGUCAACAGAGUUGACCGAAGUCAGCAGAGUUCAACAGUUGACCGAACUCAAAAGAAGUCAACAGUUGACCGAAGUCAACAAAAGUCAACAGUUGACCGAAGUCAAUAAAAGUCAACAGUUGAUCGUGGGUGUAAAUAUCCAUUUUUUCCCUUGUGCCAAUAACACCCUUUUGCUUGUUUUUCUUGACUUUUCACAGGCUUUUACACAAUAUUCGCAUUUCGACUCCUAAAACUUACAUAAAAGACAAGAAAAUACUAAUCAAGGUGUUAUUCGGGGGAUAAAUAUACACUUUUGAGGUCCGAUCAGGCUUGUAGCUUCAGCCUCAGUCCACGAAUUGUCAACCUGGUAACCUUGGGGGGGUUACAAUCUCUCCCUAAAUCAGUAUCCCAAACUCAAGGAAUAAAAUAUUUGGGUCAUAAAGCCAUUACAUACACACAUAUUCUCAUCUAAACACAUUUGAAGACAUACACACAUACUCUCAUUUAAAAACAUUUGAAGAACCUGAAGAACACAACAGAAGCCAAUGCAGUAAAGUCUUCAAGAAGAACUCCACCUCAAUUAUUGACUUGUAAAAUCCUCGAAUUUUUUCUCUUCCCCAAUUGUUGCAUACGUGAAACCAUAAACAACAAAGAAAGAACACUUAGAGAAAAAAAUUGGAUUCAUAUAUACAUCUCCCACUUUUUGUCACAAAUGGACAACGGUAGGAACCAACACCGAAGAUAGAGAGUGAAAGAGAUAACGCACAGUGAACAAAAAGAUAAUAAUAAUCAUCAAGAAUACUAUAUAAGAGAAGCAUGAGAUGUUAUCAUUAAACUUAAAACAACCUAAAAGAUAACAAACAUACAAAAAAAAAUAUCUUAAUUUGUAACCACAGAGACAACUGACUAAGUAAGAAAGUAGAACACACAGUAUACUUCUUCCAUCAAUAAUGACCAAACAAUGCUAACACCAAAAGAUGAGCAUAACCAAAGCUCAAGAACUCUUCCAGCUAUUCACCAACAAUCAUGUACUCACUAAAGCCAAACCAAACAUGAACCAAGAGGAUCAUCAUAAGUGUAUCAAAGAUACGGUGUCCCUACAAUACAAAACCUCGACAUUUGUAUAAAUACAAGUUGCAAAGAACUCAUUGAAGCCAAGAAAUUGGACAUGACCAAGAUGAGGAUGUAACGCCCCAAGAUUUCGUCCUCGCUCAUCCCGGAGUGUCGAGAUCCACACCGCUGGUUAAUUUCAAUAUUGUCUUAGUCACUGCGGAUAUCCAGCAGUUGGGGGUUUUGGAUCAGGGUCCACUCAUCUGGGUUUUUCCCCAAAAGGCCUUGACAUUAGUUAGAGUAUAUUUAAACUCUAUAUACUACCAAUAUAACCACUUCUUUGGAAAGGACUAACACCAACUCAUGGGGUGUUACAAUCUCACCACCUUAGAAUAGAGCCGUCCUCGGAUUUGCAAUACACUCAGUACAGUCCUAAAAUCUUUGACGUUCCCUGCCAAGUGAGACAAUACUUGGUGUUCCCUGGGCCUUUCCAACGUACUUCCCACAUGCAAUAGGCGACCCGUCGUUAGCUCUGAUACCAACUGUAAUGCCCCGAGAUUUUAUCUUCGCUCAUCCCAGUGCGUCGAGCACCAUACCGCCCAUUAAUAUCAAUAUUGUCCCCCUUUAGUCACUGCGGAUAUAAUCCCACAACCACUUCUUUUCACACAGAAAAGAAAUGUGUACUUACACUCGCACGCUAAAUCAUAAUGGCACUGAGCGAAAGGUGCCUGGGCAUAAUAACACACAUGGAGCACACACAGUUUCUCAUAAUAUUUGCCACAUAGACAUUCCAUAGUCAAAUAUUUAUCACACAGACAUAUCCAUAAUUAACUUGUAUCACACAGAUACUCAGCCCAAAACGGAACUCAAAUCCAAAAUCGGAAUUGUGUGGCAACUACGGAUUUUCUAAUUUAUUUACCAUUUUAUCUCAUCGGCACACAUCCAUAACCCUAUCGUUUUAUCAUGUCAGCACACAACUAUUACAUUAGCUUUUUAAUUCACCGGCACACAUCAAUGAAUUAAUUAAUAUCAAAGAAACAAUGCAAACGAAGAGUUCAUCAAAAGAACCAAAUCCAAUAUAAACAUGUUGCAUAACCCUCCCAUUUAAUACCACUUUCAUUAUUCCAAUUAAUAUAAACAAAAUCGUGUUGAACUAUAUGUAGUGAUUAAGUAAAUCCUAACAACGCCAACAACCCGCAACCUAGAUAUUCGUGAGAACACCUCCUUUGCAAUACAUGAUCCGUUUUGUCAAUGAAGUCAAAGAUUACCAAACAAUAAACAAUAGUUUAAGAAGAGCAAAAUAAUAAAGAACAAUAAUACUAAGAUAUACGUGGUUCGGCAAUGCCUACCUCCACGGGGAACAAUGAGAAGAUUUCAUUAUAAGAAAAGAAACACCGAUUACAAUAAUCUCCCUAGUAUCUUUCUCAAGAUCUUAAUCUCUCACCUUAAACCCAAUACACCCUUGGCUCCCAAAGUUCUCUCUCACUUACUCUAUCUAUCUCUAUGUUUCUAUUGUUUUCUACUCUCUUGUCUUCUCUUGUUUUCUUGUCUUACAAAUACCAAGUUACUUGGAUAUUUAUAGGCCAUGGGUAGAAAUCAAAUCCAUAUAGAAUUACUAAUUCAAACUAGAGAUAAAUAGGAAACCGAGUCCAAAUAGAACUCCUGCACAUAUAUGGUUUCCUUAACCAAUAUAAGAAACUGAUCCUAUGGAUCACACCUCUUAUAAGGUAUGAUCCUGUGCACUCAACUUAUGGCGAGCCAAUAUACAACAAUCUCCACCUUGGCGAGCCAUCGACCAAAAAACAAGAUCAUUGCAGCUUGAAUUUCUUCAAGCACUGUCACAUUGGCAAGAAUCCUCUUGCCUCAACGCACCUCAAGUGAGAAGGUGCUCCACCCAAUCUUUAGCAUGUAGAAAGAUUGAGCAAGUUCAAACAAUGUCUGAACUUCUCAACUGAAACCGGCUUAGUAAGACAAUCUGAAGCAUUCUCAUCUGUGUGAACCUUCUUAACUAUAAUUUCACCUGAGUCCAACCAAUCCCGAAUCCGAUGAUAGCGAAUAUCAAUAUGUUUCGUUCUUGCAUGAAACAUUUGAUUCUUCGCAAGGCAAAUAGCACUCUGACUGUCACAUCUUAUCAUCAUAGAAUUUUGAUCUAACCCGAAUGUGCUUACUAAUCCCUUCAGCCAAACAGCUUCCUUGCAAGCUUCUGUUAUUGCCAUAUACUCCGCCUCAGUAGUGGAUAAAGCAGUAACCGUUUGGAGCAUUGAUCUCCAACUAACCGGUCCUCCACCAUAAGUGAAGACGUACCCUGUGGUGGAUCUUCGCUUAUCUAAAUCUCCUGCAUAAUCAACAUCCACAUAACCCGAAACACAUGCUUUCCCUUGUUGUCUUUCAAACAAGAUACCCAACGUCUUGGUGCCCUUCAGAUACUUGAGAAUCCAUGUCACAGCUUUCCAGUGUGGCUUUCCUGGAUUCGCCAUGUAUCUCGAUACUAUACUUAGUGUUUGAGCUAAAUCAGGUCUUGUGCAUACCAUUGAGUACAUGAGACACCCUACUGCGCUUGCAUACGGCUUCUUCUUCAUCUCUUCCACUUCAGCAUCUGUGGAAGGACAUUGACUUUUGUUUAAAACAAAACUGUUGUUCAAAGGAGUUGACACAGGAUCUGCAUCAAUCAUAUUGAAGCGCUCAAGUACCUUUUGAAUGUACUUGACUUGUGACAGCCAUAUCUUUCCAGCUUUCCUGUCUCUCCUUAUCUCCAUACCUAGGAUCUUCUAUGCAGGACCAAGAUCCUUCAUGUCGAAUUCUUUGCUUAACAACGUCUUCAGCUCCUUAAUUCUAGACAUAUCCCGACAAGCAAUAAGCAUGUCAUCUACAUAAAGUAGCAAUAAGAUCACCAUCCCAUCAUCAAACACAUGAGUGUACACACAACAAUCAUAGUCACAUCUUCUAUACCCAAUGUUCAGCAUAUAAGAGUCGAAACGUUUGUACCACUGUCUUGAAGAUUGCUUGAGCCCGUAAAGAGACUUCUUCAACCUACAAACCAGAUUUUCCUUACCAGCUUCAACAAAACCCUGAGGCUGAGCCAUGUAGAUGACUUCCUCUAAUUCACCAUGGAGAAAACCAGUUUUGACAUCUAACUGCUCAAGCUCCAUAUCCUGCUGAGCAACCAGUGAUAGUAACACUCUAAUAGAAGUAUGUUUCACUACCGGAGAGAAAAUUUCAUCAUAAUCAACUCCUUCCUUCUGUGAGUACCCCUUCGCCACCAAACGUGCUUUGAACUUUGGUGGUUCUUUCUCAUGCAUUCCUUCCUUCUUCCUGUAAACCCACUUACAGCCAACAAUUUUUCUUUCUGCAGGUUUAGGAACCAACUCCCAAACGGAGUUCUUGUAUAGAGAUUCCAUCUCUUCAGCCAUAGCUUCAAUCCACUCUUCUCUUUCGUUACUUUCAACUGCUUCACGAUAAGAAGUAGGAUCACCUUCACUAAUGCUUAAAGCAUAAUGAACUUCUUCCUCGAACCCAAGUCUAAUAGGUGGUUUGACUUGUCUUUGGCCCCGGUUCUUUGCUAUGCUGUAAGGUUGUUGCUUAUCUUUAUUAGAUUCAACCUCCUUUUCACACUGUUGUUGUUCUGGCCCAUCCUCUUCAACCUCUGCAUCUGACUCCUCCACCUGAAUAGGAGUCUUCCCGUUGGAUACCUUGGUAAGAGGAGAUAUCUCUGUAGUUGCUUUCUUAACAAUAGUGUUUUUCUCACCAUUCUUCAUGUCUUGAUUCAUAGGCAUAGUUUUCUCAUCAAACACAACAUCUCUACUAAGGAUUUUCUUUCGUUUCACUGGAUCCCAUAACUUAUAACCCUUCACUCCCUUCUCGAAGCCGAUGAAAAUGCAUUCAUGAGAUUUGGGUUUAAGUUUAGUUCUCUCAUCACUAGGAAUAAGAGCAUAUGCGCUACAUCCAAAUACCUUCAAAGUAGAGUAGUCUACCGGUUUACCUGACCAUACCUCUUCUGCACAUCUGAAAUCAAGCAUCUUGGAUGGUGAACGAUUAACCAAGUGACAAGCAUGGUUAAGUGACUCUGCCCAAAACAUCUCUGGCAGACCUGCAUGAAACCUCAUGCACCUCUCUUUAUUCAUAAGAGUUCUAUUCAUCCUUUCUGCAGCUCCAUUCUGUUAGGGAUUCUUCUUCACAGUAAAAUGCCUGGCAAUACCUUCAUCUUUGCAGUACUGUAGAAACUUCCUAUCCUUAUAUUCACCGCCAUUGUCAGUUCUUAGGUACUUGAUUUUUCUGCCUGUUUGAUUCUCUACCUCUGCCUUCCACUCCUUGAAUUUAGUGAAAACUUUGGAUUUCUCCUUCAUGAAGUAGACCCAAACUUUCCUUGAAAAAUCAUCCAUGAAAGUGAUAAAGUAGCGAGCUCCACCUUUUGAUUGAGUAGGUGAAGGCCCCCACACAUCUGAGUGAAUAUAGUUAAGUACUUCUGUACUUCUGUUCUUUGUAUCUGCAGCUUCGAAGUGUACUUUAGUUUGUUUUCCCAUAAUACAAUACUUGCAGAACUCAAGUUUACACUCUCCUACACCCUUCAACAAUUGUCGCUUGUGUAGUUCUUCCAUGGCUCUUUCACUCAUAUGCCCUAGCCUCAAGUGCCAAAGCUGAGUGUGAUCUUCUUGUGUAAAAACUGCAGCUCCACCAAUUACUGUAUUUCCUACAAGCUUGUAUAAAUUGUUAGAAAUUCUUACUCCUCUCAUAACCACAAGUGAACCCUUUGAGACUAUGAGAUUCCCAUCUUUGGAUUUGUAUGUGUACCCAUUCUUAUCCAAAUAACCCAGGGAAAUAAGAUUCUUCCUUAGUGCAGGAACGUAUUUCACGUUACCUAGAGUCCUAACAAUUCCAUCAUGCAUCUUCAACUUUACUGUACCGAUUCCACAAACUUUACAACUAGAAUUAUUCCCCAUAAAAACUACGUCGCCUUUUCUUUUCUCAAACGUGUCAAACCAGUCUUCGUUUGAACACAUAUGAUAAGAAGCGCCACAAUCUAAAAUCCAAGGCGAAGAAAUAUCAUUACCUGAAGAAGUCGCCAAAAUUUCUCCGUCGCUAUCAUCUGUAACAACGCUGGCUGAAUUUGAAUUUUCGGCCUUCUUCUUCUUUUCCUUAUAUUUCUUACAAUCUUGUUUCCAGUGGUCUGUCGCACCACAUUCAAAGCAACCUUCUUUAUCCCUGGAUUUAGAUCUGCCCCUGCCUUUUGAUUUGCUACUUCUCUUAUUUGUUCGGCCCCUCUCAUUAGAAUUCCUGACAUAUAGUCCUUCUGCUUGAGAGUCUUCACCUGUGUUCUUAUUCAUCUUCACAUGAGAGAUUAUAUCUUGAACAACUUCAUCAUACUUUAAAGUAUCCUUGCCGAACAUCAAUGUGGUCCUGAAGUGCUUGAAAGAUGGAGGCAAAGAUCUGAGCAGGUACAGAGACUUGUCUUCAUCGUCAUACUUCACAUCCACCCGUAACAAAUUUGUGAUGCACUUAUUGAACACGCUUAGAUGUUCCAUAAGAUCACCACCUUCUUCCAUCCGAAGAUUCAAGAGUUCAUCUUUCAAGAAAAGUUUAUUUGAUAAAGACUUACCCAUAUACAACUUCUCGAGCUUUUCCCAUGUUCCUUUGGCACAAGUUUCCUCCAUCACAUUAAACAUCACCUCGUCCGAGAUAUGUAGUUCGAUGGAACUCAUGGCUUUGAGAUCUGCUUUGUUCCACUCGUCAUCUGACAUGUCCUUUGGCUUCUUGUCUUUCCCGUCAAGAACCACAUGAAGAUCUUGUUGGAUCAAAACGUUUCUCAUCUUCCUUUGCCAUAGUGUAAAGUUAUCUCUACCGUCAAACGGUUUAAUCUCAACUUUUACACCGCCGCCAAGAGUAGUAACCGAUGGUUUCUUACCGUCACUAUUUGCAGGAACACCUGUAGUCUCCGUCAUCUUUGACAAAACCUUAAAUCCAACCUAAGCUCUUGAUACCACUUGUUGAACUAUAUGCAGUAAUUAAGUAAAUCCUACCAACGCCAACAACCCGCAACCUAGAUAUUCGUGAGAACAUCUCCUUUGCAAUACAGGAUCCGUUUUGUCAAUGAAGUCAAAGAUUACCAAACAAUAAACAAUAGUAUAAGAAGAACAAAAUAAUAAAGAACAAUAAUACCAAGAUAUACGUGGUUCGGCAAUGCCUACCUCCACGGGGAACAAUGAGAAGAUUUCACUAUAAGAAAAGAAACACCGAUUACAAUAAUCUCCCUAGUAUCUUUCUCAAGAUCUUAAUCUCUCAUCUUAAACCCAAUACACCCUUGGCUCCCAAAGUUCUCUCUCACUUACUCUAUCUAUCUCUAUGUUUCUAUUGUUUUCUACUCUCUUGUCUUCUCUUGUUUUCUUGUCUUACAAAUACCAAGUUACUUGGGUAUUUAUAGGCCAUGGGUAGAAAUCAAAUCCAUAUAGAAUUACUAAUUCAAACUAGAGAUAAAUAGGAAACCGAGUCCAAAUAGAACUCCUGCACAUAUAUGGUUUCCUUAACCAAUAUAAGAAACUGAUCCUAUGGAUCACACCUCUUAUAAGGUAUAAUCCUGUGCACCCAACUUAUGGCGAGCCAAAAUACAACAAAUCGAGACCACAACUGUGUAUACACAAUACAUUUAAACUUAUGUAUUUUAAAAUCCAAUUAAUCAUAACUACAUGUAUCCAACAAAAUAUUAGAUAUCAUUUAAUGAAUUUAUACAUUUCAAUUUCAUAUGAGACAAGAACCAACAAAUUUGUGAUCUAAGAAAGAAUAGCAGAACCUACACAAUGUGUUUCAACCGGAUUUCACACCAAUGUGACGUAAGAUCAAGAAAAAACCCCUAAUGUUAUGAUCCAAAGUAUUGGAGAAGAUGAAGAUGAAGGAAUAGGGUUUGAUUGAUAAUGGUUGCACUAAGUUGCUUCUUAUUUGCCUACGUAUCCAUAAGAGAGAUGGAAUCAGGCCUUUUAUAACGUAAUUCAAAUGUAAAGUUUGAUUGGGAUUAGGAUAUGAUCCCAUGAUCCCUAAUGUAUUGUAGUAUUGUAGUCCCAUGUAUUUAAACCAUAUAAUAACAUAAUAAUGUACCUCAUGUCCUAUUGGGAACAUGAGUUGUAAAGAUAUUGAAAUUGUUAUUGAAUUAAGAGUUGUAAAGAUAUUAGUUGUAGUUGGAUUAGGCAAAGAAAAUCUCUACAAAGAUGUAGAAUUACCAUACCCUCAGACCGGAGUCCUUAGCUGUUAAAUGAGUUAGUCCUUUUUGUUAGGAGGCUUGAGAUGUUACCCCUUGGAGAUUUAAGUCAGAACAUGCUCGCACAUACGUCUUUAAGUUUUGAAGCAUACAAGAUGAAAAGAGAGUCGUUUGGUAAUCUUAAAAAAUCGGUGUUAAAACAGUUGCUUUUUCAAACCAAAAAAAGCCGGAAGUCCAAGUCCGAGUAGCAGUCCCGGUUGAUUCACUUGAUGAUUAAGCGAUUGAUCCAUAUAGAUUUUCUUUAGGAAACCUCAGAUUCAUACUAGACCACGAUGAUUGAAUAAAGCCCCCAUCCGAGCUCAAAGAUUCUCUGAGUAAGAACCCUUUGACUUAGGUCGGAAGCCAUCCCAGCCCGGGCGAAUUGGGUCUUUGCAUUAACUCAAAAGGAGAACUUAACCUUAUUGAAUAUAAUGGACUUAAAUAGAUAAACCCCAUGAUUGAUAUUGAAUGUAGUAACGGGCCUAAGCCUUAUUACUAAUUGAAUUGGGCUUAGGCCCUUAUUGAUUAAAGUCUGGGCUUUGACUUGUAAAAUUGGGCUUGGACCCGUUAAAGGAGGUCAACACACAGUACAUACACAUGUAAAUCUAAUAAUGCCCAAGGUCGUAUGAUAAAUAAGUUUUUAUGAAUAAAACAAUUAAUAGUAUAUUGUUCAUUGUUGUAUCUUUUAUUAAUUACAUCUUGUCGAAUAAAAACAAUUCCAAUUAUUGUCCCACCAAAAGCAAAUCGAAAGCAAUUACUACCUCUACUGUACCAUUACAAUAUAGAGUACCUAAAGAAGGAAAAAAAUAUUACUCCCUACGUCCCGCUUUUCCACAAUUUACUUUCAAGUUAUUUAAAUUUCAACUUUUACUUAUUGCAACUCCUUUUCAGUAUUUCAAUUCCUUGUUAUUUUAAUUCUUACAUUAAGUUUAUUUUAGCUUCCGCUGCAUCAAUUGGUGUUGAACCCCACCAUUAAUUGGCAGGUGGAUUCGUCCGGAGGACUGUGCUGGCUCCCCAUUGAAUCCAUAGAUAGGAAUCUCAUCAGAUUCGAUGAGACCCAUAGAUAGCUCCAUAGCUUUAUAGGUGCAUGUGAACAUGACGCUGGAGGUUCUGCCGGCGUCGACCAUGACUUGCCAGACCCGGUAAACACCAAUCCAUGCUGUGAUGACCACAGCAUCAUUGUGUGGAUAAUGCACGCACCUUUCGUCUUCCUCUGUGAAUGUCAAACCUCCAGGGACAAUGGACUCAGUGUUAGUAACUUCCUUGAAGUUGAGCUAUCCAACCUCAUGGACAUGCCCUAUCCACCACCUCCAAAUUUGUUUUCAACCAUGGCCAUUAGUGAUGAGACUAAAACUUUCUUCAAGGACAUUUUAAACAAGUUAUUUGUUGACCAAGAUGCAAAAUUUGAAGACAAAUUCAAUGCUAAAUUCGCUCAAGACAACCCUUGUUAUUCAUGAAGCAUCAACCAACAAGAAAAUUGAUGAUCUUAAGGUUUCUACGGAGGCGCGCAUGGAUAGCAAAAUAAAUAAGGUCGAGACACAAGUAAAAACCCUUCCUAAGGAGUUCAAUGAUUAUGCGAAAAUCCAAGGUAAACGUCCUAUCGAAGAACCAAUCACCACAUUUUCUACCAACUCACCACCACUCAUAUUUCCUAAUUCCACCUCUUCAUCUUUUAGUUUUCCACCACCUUCAUCCCAACCGUCUUUUACUCUACUGUGUGUACCCUAGGUAAAAAACCCGACAUAUGUAACCGAUGGUUGUAUAAGAAGUUAGACCGAGAGCACCUGACCAUUAGCCAGCCAAGCCUAGGCUAUCGGGUAGGCCAGGCCACACCCAGUUUUGCGGGAUCUACAUACGCUCUGUGGACCUUAACUCACCGGAUAGUCCACGAUCAAUGGGUGGAGCCCCGGUUACUGUAUAAGAAGUUGAACCAUGGGCUCCAAUAAUAUAUCGACUAGGCCCACCACAGUCAAGUAGGCCAGGUCUGGCCUAGUAAAUUCCAGCAACGACAGAGGCUCAUCCAAAGGUUUAACACAGAAGUCCAGAGGACCUGGCCAGUGUGUAUGCAAUGAAGAUUCGGCCUCAAGUCAGAGGAGUCAAGCCCAAGUCUUUGCUUUCAGGCUUGGUCAAUCCAUGUCCCAACAACCUGGAUAAGUCCAGCUAGAUUCCAGGCUAAAAGAACCCAUGGUUCUAGCCCGUUGGGGAAGAUAAAGGAAAACCCAGGUUGAACCAAGAUCUUUCAGAGGAUGCCACGUGGCAGUCAUCCUGGUCAAAGGGAAUUUAAACCGAGGAGAUAACCACUCGGCAGCAUGCAAGUUAUCCACUACUAGAGAAAUGAUAUUUCUUGACAUUUUUUAAAAUAAAAGCUUGAUGGUUCUUUUAAAAAAUGUCAAAGGAUGUAAUUUUUUGAAGAAUUAUGACGGUUUUUGUAAAUACUAUCAAAGGGUUUCUAUUUAAAAAUAAUAUAUUGUGGGUUUUUAUAAAACUGUCAUAAUAUUAUAAAAACUUAAUGGCGGUUUUAAAGUAAUUGUCAACGGGUGUAGAUUUAACUCUUGAUAGCUAUAAUUAAAACUGUCAAAGGGUGUAAGAGCAUGAUAGUUCUUUAGAACCGUCAUUACAUUUAAUUAAACUCUUGAUGGUUUUAUAAGGGUGUGUCAUUGUAGUAAAAGACCAUGACGUUUUUUGUAUUCUUGGAGAAAAAAUUUGAGUUAUUUAAAAACCGUCAUCAAGUAAAACCCCAAAAUAUACCAAACCUUAAUAAAAAUACCCGUGUUUCGAUUUUCUUUUCCCUUUCAAACUCUACUACUGGCCGAGAAAAGAGGCAAAAAACCGUCUCUCCCCUCUACUUGUAUUCUCUCUCUUCGCUUUUCUCUCUCUCACUAAAAACUUGAAAUCGCAGCAGCAACAUUAGAGUUUUAAGCUCUCUUCGUUUCAAGCAUCAAUUUUUGAGCACAACACCUUUUUUCUCCUUUUCUCAGAGCAGCAAGGUUAGAUUUUUAAGCUUUAAUUUUCUCCUUUUCUCACUCUAUCUUUUGUUUGUAUUGUGAUUGUUUGAUUUUUUCUUUUUUCUUUUUUGUCAUCUUUAACACGACCCUAGUUAACUAGAUAAUCCCAAAUUCUACCUAUACGUACAUAGCGAUUUAAUUACUUCAAUUGUUGAAUUCAACGAUAAUCUAUUGGGAAUUUUGUCAAACAUUUGAUGGUGAUACAUAAUUUUAGUAAUCAUCGACUUAAAGGGGAUGAUAUUAAUCCAUAGUUUGAAGAGAUGUCAAUUCAGAGAUGGGAAUAGAUGUUCCCCAAUAAGUACUAGAUGGUGUGUUUUCUGGAAAAAAAGAACAAAAAACUCACAACAAUUUUGAGAACACUUGUACACAUAGAUUGAAUCUGAUUGACAAACUUAAGUACGUGAACUCUCCUGAAUCCAUCAAUAAACUCUUUCUUAUAAAAUUAGGGGUUUCAAUAAAUUAGUUGUAUUGUAGUUGUGUUUGUGCUACCUCACGGCUCACGUACCUCAGAUCAAAGCCUAAUGGCAGACACAUCAAAGCCCAUACUAGUUGAACAAUUAAGAUGUAAGAACAUACAUUCUCGGCUCCAUCCUGCUAACUAAGGCUCAGAUUACUUCCAACCAUCACAAUACUUCUAAUAUCUUUAUUUACAAGUCAUUGCACUACAGCCAAAUCCAUUGAAGCCUAAUUAACAAUCGCAUAUUCCCAACACCCCCACAGAUUGCUAAAUGAACAUCAGCAAAUUAAAGGAUAUGGAUAAUCUGUUUGCAUUGUCAUUGAACCAUAGUGGGUGAUCAUCACUCGUACAUGUACUUGCAUGCCACUUUAUUUUUAAUCUUGUAUUCAUUAACCCAUUGUUCCCAUAUCUUUUGAUGGUUUAUUGAUUCUGAUGGUGUCAUACUUAUGGAUCUGCUGUCCUGGAGCUUGAAGAUACAAGUAUCUUCAAGGUUCUUCUACCAUUUAACUAUAGUUAAUAGAGUAAAUUAUUUGCAUCAUAGUGCCUAGUUUACAAAGUCAAUAUUACCCUGACAAAAUUCCUAGCUUCCUUAUUAACUUGUUAGUAGUCCAACUGAUCCAAGUAUGGAAGCAUGUAAUUUUUUUUAUAUAACUCUGUCUCAUUCUUUUAUAUCUUAUGGUUAGUUUAUCAAAAUGUUAGUUUUUGUUUUGUUUUUUAUUUUUUUUAUCGGAAGAUGAUAUUUCUAUUUUAAUCAGAGUACGUAGCAAAAUACAUACUUUAUCCCUUAGUAUACCCACAAGAUAUGUUAUCUACCGAUCCUCGCUAUUUCCCUGUAGCGAUCUCUUGGCUAACAUGUCUGCCACCUGAUUGGCCUUUUAUAGCAUGAGUGAACUGCACUAUUAUUUCAUGACAGUCACAAGAUGUGUCUAUAUUAGAUAGCUUUUUUUUCUGAGAUUUCCUAGUAGGUGUUUUGUUUUGUAGUAAAGACCACCAAUAUUUAUAACUACUUGUCAUGAAAAUGGUUGAGAUUAUUAUAUUAAUUAUUGUUUGGUUAGAUUUAAUUUAUGGUACUAAGGCUAAUUGUUACUAAGGCUCAAGAAUGUAGCUUGGUUUUGGGUGAUAAAGGUAACAUUGUGGCUAAAGAAACUGUAUUUGAGAGGAUGGGAGCAGACAAUAAACUUCACUCUGUUCCUUUGGAAGAAGCAAAUGUAUGUGUAUCGAUUCAUUCCAUUGUUGAAAAAAAACAUAAAAAGCGUCUUCCAAUACCUGUUAAUGAGGUUAUCAUGACAAUUGCAAGUGUUAUUGAUGCAUUUGUUGCUUGGCAGGAGUGGGUGAUAAUAGGAUAUAAGAACUUGAAUAUUUGCGAAAAGAAUGAGGUAAAUUACUAUCUUUAAUGAGUUAAUAUUACCAAAUUUACAAGUAUUGAUUUAGUAUUACCUUAUUAUUGUUUUAGGUAGUUGAUGUUGGAGAAAAUGCAAGGGCUGAAACUUCUGAAACUGAAUUGAAUGAUUUUGGUGAAAUGAUAGAUGAUAUUAUGUAUGAUCCUAUGCAUCAAGAACAGAUGCUUUCAAUGGAUAGAGGUGUUUUUGAGCGUGAAGUUGAUUUUUAUAUUGCACUGGAUGAAAUAAAGGAUGUAUGCAAGAAUGACAAGUUAAAUUGCCAUGUUAUAGUUGCAUAUAUGAGGUUAGAAAUUGCUUUUGAUAGCCGAUUUGUUACUUAUGUGAAAUGUUAUUUAUCAUAACUAUUUCUUUUGUGUAAUUUGUUUUAGAUAUUUGUACGAAACAUAUGAGAGCUCUCGAGAAAGGUAUGGUUUUUGCUAUCCUGGUGAUGUGAAACAGUUUGAUGAUGCAAACAUUAUUAGUAGUCAGAUGCAUCAUACUAUUGCGGAUAGACUGAAGGCUCGUCAAGGGAACCAAAUUAUUUUACUUCCUUACUCCAAAGGGUAAGUGUGUUGGUUAAUAUAUAUAUUCACAAACAUUUAAUUUUUAAUUUUAUAAUAAUUUACUUUGAUUUAAAAAUGCAGGUUUCAUUGGUCUUUGAUUAUGAUUGAUAUAAAUUCAAAAGAUGUUUAUUAUCUAGAUUCUUCACAUCGUGGACCUAGUGGGGGGAACAAGGGCACUUGUGAACACGUAAGUUCAUAAAUGUGUUUCUAAGUGUGUGUGUGUGUUUUGUAAAGUUUUAUGACUUGAUUAUUUUUUAUGAAGAGGGAUUACAUCACAUCUUAUGGUGAAUGGAGGAAAAAAAAUUCAACUUACAUGGCAUUACCCUAAGGUAAAUAAAUAAUUCUUAACAACUUCCUAUUAAUACUAUUAGUAUUGGUGAAUGUGUAUGAUAUUUUGGCAUUUUUGUAUGUAGGGCCCGAAACAAGCUGGGGAGUUUGAAUGUGGAUAUUUUGUAAUGCGGUUCAUGCGACAUUUCAUGAAAGAUCCUUCUAAAUCCCUAGAGGAGAAGGUGAUUAAUAUUUUCUCAUUUUUUUUGUUCCAUAUAUUUCUAGGUUUAAAUUAAACUAUUGUUCAUUUUCUUUCCCAUUGACCUGUUUAGAUGACGGAGCUAAAAAUGAAGGCAACAUACACCAAAGCUGAACUGAAUGAAGUUCGUCUUGAGUUUAUCGGUUACGUUGAACGAUUUCUAUAAUGUUAAAGGUAUGUUGAUUAAUAUUACGUAUACAUUAUACCAAUAACAUCAUCACUUAUAAUGUUGAGGAGUACUACUUAUUGACCAAUGUGUAACCAAUGAAAGCUUUACUUUGCUGAUUAGUAGAAUAUAAUUUUUUUGUAUAAAAUCAAUUUGUUUCAUUACUCUAUCAAAUUGUUUGUUUGAGCUGAGCAAUUACAAAGUUUCCUCCCUAAAAUUGCCUCCUUGCUCAUCUUAUUUCAGCGGUUUUAGAGAGUAAAAACACAACCAAAAGAAAACCCAUAUACAAGUUGUAGUACCCUUACAGUGUGAAACUAUGGAUCUGCUGUCCUGGAGCUUUUAGGACCAACACCACACCAUACAAUUAAUAUCAAUCUAAUAGAGCCCUAACUAGCUAACAACAGUAUAUCACUGCACAAAGAUUACCUGAGCAGUCUGACAGCCCCUGUGCAAGAUCAAAAAUAUUCUAGUACUGUUUCAACUGUGCACCAUUGGAAGUAAUAUCCAGUCUUGACCAGAUCAAAACCCAAAUUUCUUGUGACCAGUAGAAUAUAAUUAAUACUUGGGAUAUAUAUGAUUAGAUACUAAUUAAAUGGGUUAGUAUUGGUUUUUGGAUCAUUACUAUGUUGUUAUUCCAUUUUGAAACAAGGUUGAGAUGGUCUAUGUUGUAUUUUCAGGUUUUUUCUUAGCUGCACAAAUAAAGUAAAUUAUGCUAAAAAUAUUACUAACUUUUUCCUUGGAUUGCGUGUAAUAUAUUUGUGUUUGAUGUGUGUCAUCUCCUUGUCUGCCAAAAACAUUAUAUGUCGAACUAUGAAUUGUGUGUGUACUAAUCCAUAUGUUUAGAUACUCUAAAAAAUAUUGCUAUAUUAUAUCUUAAUUAUUCUUUUAUUCUGAUUUUCUUACAGAUAACAUCUUGUUGAGAUAUGGAGUAUUCUUACGGAGGUGUUGUUAGGCUCAUUAUGGUUACAUGGAUGACAUUACAUAACAUUGUUUUUCACAAGGAUGAGAUGAUAUUUUUUGCAUAAUUUCUUCAAUGUUGUUAUGAUGAGAUAUUGGUGAUCGAACGAUUGGCAAUUAUAUGGAAUCUUUUUUUUUAUUUUUUCGGGGGGGGGGGGGGGGGGGGAAUAGUUGUUUAGUGAUGAAUGAUUGUCACUUGAUGUAAUCUUUUGGAAGAUUUUCGUUUGAAAUAUUGCAUUUGUUUUUGUAAUAUUUCAUUUAUUGAUUAAUUUUUUAAAAACAAAAUUUUUUAUUUAGCUUGACAGUUUUAACCUGUCAUAAUACAUAAAUUUUGACGGUUUUAGAUUCAUCAGAUGACGGUUUUAUAACAUUAGAUGACAAUUUUAGAUUGAUCAGAUGACGGUUUUAGAUUGAUCAGAUGACGGUUUUAGAUUAAUCAGAUCACGGUUUUAUAACCUCUUAUGACGGUUUUAGAUUGAUCAGAUGACGGUUUUUAAUUAAACCGUCGUCCAUAAUGAUAAAAUUAUGACGGUUUUUGUCACUAAAAUGAUGGUUUUUCUUGCUUAAACUGUCAAGAGUACUUGGUAACUCUUGACAUUUAUUGUUAUAACUGUCAAGAGUACUUAGUAACUCUUGACAGUUUUUUGAAAAUUUCUUGACAGUACAUAUCUUGACGGUUUUUGAAAAACUUGAAAACCGUCAUAAUCAACGUUUUAUGACAGUUUUUAACCAUCAUAAAAUUGUUUUUUUCUAGUAGUGAUCUCUACGGGAAACAUCUUCACAGUUGAACUACCUGAGUUCAUGGAGUCAAAACCGAAGGGGCGGUUCAUCCAGCCUUCUCCGACCUACUACAAAUAUAGGAGUUCUGAACCUCCUGAACUACAAGUCUUUCACUGAGCAACUCCAUUAGAGCUUAGUGGAAGCAGAGACUUGAUUCCAAGUUCAUCUUCUUGGAUACGUAGGUAGCCUGAUCCUGAUCAGGUCCAGUCUCAUUGUAUACCCCCAUCUCAUCCUUGUCUAUACAAGGCUUUCAUUGUAACUGUUCGAUCAAAGUUUUGCACCCACACUCUUUGGCACUCACCGUGGGGCUGAAUCUCCCUUCAGUUCCAGAGCCUUGCAAGGAAUCUCAAUCCAGUCAUACCGAAGUUGCUACAACAAUGGCUAGAAGUAAGAGACGCCCGACUCGUUCCAACAAUGGAAUGAGCCAAGUUACUGAAUGCCAGAUAGAUAACCUUUCUCCUUUGUCUUCGGUUCUUUAAGCAACUAAACCGGUGAAUCAAGAAUCAGUUCUCGGGAGUGAGGGCCAUGAUCAGGGCUCACAACACUCUGAAAGUGGGCAGCCGGAGUCAGAAAACUUAGUGGUACAAAUCACUAAUGAUCCUGGUAAUCCUAACGCAGUUAGCCGGACCGUCAGGAUACCAACUUCACAAGAUCCUUAACCCUCCAGGGUAGCCGCUGCAAGAAGAGACCAGAGAACCUCUCCUCUGACAACGGGAGGAGGUUAUACUGAGCAACAAAAGGGGAAAGGACCAGGGGUGGAUCGAGUCUCCAACUGCAAUCAUCAAGCGGCAGAUCAAAGAGAAUGCAGAACUGAGAAGAAGGAAGAGAACCAGGACAGGGGAUAACUAGUCAUCUUUAGCCCCAUCCUCAAGUCCAUCUUCUCAGAAGAAGAUAAGGUAGUGACCAAAGUCUUACCCCUCAUGGUCGGGUAGUGACCAAAGUCUUACCCCUCAUAGCCAUGGGACCCGUCCUGAUUGGGAUAGACUAACACCAGGGAGAGAUAGGAUGUCUAUCUCCCCAGUUCAAAAACAUCGUCGCGGACGUGCAAGAACCCCUGGGCUAUAUCAUGGUCGUAGGGUUACCCGCAAUAGGUCCGUCGAAGAAGUCACUCCACCAGAAGGACUGCGCCGGAGGAGGCACCAGAGCACUCCCCUAGCACACCAUGGUCAGAGAGCAAGGAACCCUUAAGGGGCCCACACUAAUUAGGUACAACCGGAGCUGAAUGUAGAACAAAUCGAUGAAUCAACUCAAGCUGCAAGAGAUUAUCAACUUGGCUAUUUCCAACAAAGCCAACCAGGACGAACGAAUUAGGAAACUUACUCUCUCAAGGUUAGCCGUAUCAUCUUUGGCCGAAGAGGUCAGGAGUCAUAUAGUCCCGGCCAGUUUCAAGCAGCUACCCUUCGAACAAUAUGAUGAGACAAGCGGUUGUCCGGUUCAACACGUUAUGAACUAGAAAAACACCAUGGCCAUCUAGGACUAUGAUGACAAGUGACUUGAAAAAAUGUUUGUUGCUUCACUCAAAGGCAAAACACAAAUGUGGUAUCACAAUCUGCCGCUUGCAUCCAUCCACACAUUCCUACAACUGGUUGAGAUGUUCGAAGAAAAAUACCGGUUCAAUGUGAAGACUAAGAAGGGAGGUGAAGCCUUAUUCUCCCUGCAGAUGGACUGGAGUGAAACACUCAAGAAUUUCGCCCGAAGAUUUCAAACCUUAAUGUCAGAAGUGCAGGACGCCUCUGAUAGCUCAUCAUUCAAGCCUUCAAGUAUGUUUUGAACAGGAACCAUGAAGAAUUGUACCGAUCACUAGCAAGAAAGCCUCUUUGUUUCAGCCUUGCUUGAGAAAGUAGAAACAUAUGCUCAGGAGGAGGACAACCUGAAAGCCAGGAGAAAGAGACUUGUCGGAGGCCAAACCUCUGAGAUGCCGUAAAAGGAAAAGGAAGAAAGCUCCGACAGGGAUCAGACAGGGGAAAAGGCCCCUGUCAGAAACAAAGACAGGAAGAGGAAAAAAAGUCUGCUCGCCAGCCUGACCACCGGGGGCGAACGCAAAGAAAGGGAAUUCACUCCCCUGAGGUUCCCGAUCGAGGAAGUCUUUAAGAAGAUCAAGAACAAAGGGCUACUCAACAAACCUGCCCCUCUUCCGACAGACGCGGAAAGGCAUGAGAGAUAAGUCCAAGAAGUGUGAUCAUCACAAUGAUUACGGUCACGAACUGAAAAACUGCAGGUCAUUGAAGUAUGAAAUGUAGCUCCUAGUCGAUGUCGGCCUCAUCCCUGACAUGGUGCAGACCGGAGCACUCGAACAAGAAAAAACCAGAGCUCGAAUUGUAUACGUUUGUCAUGUGCAAGCACCCUCCAAGACAGAAAGGAAGAAUUGCGCCCGGGAAAAGCUCUGGUAGAUAGGACAUGUCCAUGAAGUUGGACAGCUCAACUUCAACGAAGGGACGAACACCGAGUCUAUUGUCCUUGGAGGGUUGACAUUCACAGAAGAAGACGAAAUGGGCGUGCCUUACCCACAUAAUGACACCCUGGUCAUCAUAGCAUGGAUUGGUGUCUAUCGGGUCGGGCGACUCAUGGUCGACGCCGGUAGCACCUCCAGUGUCAUGUUCUUAUGCGCCUACAAAACUAUGGAGCUAUCUAAGGGUCUAAUCGAAUCUGAUGAAACUCCUAUCUAUGGAUUUAACGGGGAGCCAACACAGUCCUUCGGGCGAGUCCACCUACCAAUUACGGUGGGAUUCGACACCGUCAGGAUAGACUUUAUGAUAGUCGACUCCCCCUCCUGCUACAACGUUAUUCUGGGAAGGGACUGGAUUUAUCAGAUGAAAGCUAUAAUUUUCACCUUCCACCAGAUCCUCAAAAUCUCAACUCUGAAUGGAAUUUGCAGGGUCAAAGGAGACCAAGGGAUGGCAUUCAAGUACCAUCUCAAAGCUGUCAAAGGGAAGUCCAUCUCCGAGACCAAGAGGAACAUUGUCUUCCUGACAGACUCUCAUCAAUAGCAACCAGUUCUCGGCAAGUAUGUCUAGGGGAAACCAUACAUGAGUGCCGAGAUAUCACCAACGGUCGAUGAGCUGGAAGAAGUUAUAGUGGGACCGGAGUCCCACAAGACAACUUACAUCUCUUCCGGUCUACCGGAGGUAGAGAAGGAUUUCAUGAUCACUCUGCUCCGGCAGAAUCACCACGUCUUCGCGUGGAGUGUCAAUGAGAUGGCAGGAAUAGACCCUGCGAUCGCCUGCCAUAAGCUGGACAUUGAUCCUCAGUUCAAGCCGGUCAACCAGCCAAGGCGAAUGGCACCGGAUCGAAAGCUGGCGAUCAAUGAAGAAGUCGAUCGGCUACUUUCAUUCAACUUCAUCAAACCAGUUAUCUACCCUACCUGGGUUUCCAACAUCGUGGUUGUCCCAAAGAAAAAUGGUAAGAUUCGAGUUUGCAUCGAUUUUACUAACCUUAAUAAAGCAUGUCCAGUACACCCAUAUCCACUCCUCAGGAUCACAGACAUGGUGGACGUCACCGCUGGAUAUCAAAGAUUGUCCUUCAUGGACGCCUACUCCGGGUACAAUCAGAUUCCACUUAACAAAUAAGAUCAGGAACAUACCGCAUUCAUCACCGACCAGGGGCUUUACUGCUACCGGGUGAUGCCAUUUGGUCGGAAGAAUGUCGGAGCAACAUACCUGAAGCUGGUCAAUACUAUCUUCAACGAACUCAUAGGCCGGACCAUGGAAGUCUACAUAAACGACAUGGUGGUUAAGACCAAGGAGAAAGACAAUCAUUUGCGACAUCUGCAGCAGACAUUAGACAUCGUGACACGGUACAAGAUGAAGUUGAAUCCAGCCAAAUGUUCUUUUGGUCUCUCUUCCAGCAAGUUCCUUGGGUUUAUCAUGACCAACCGGGGCAUAAAAGCCAACCCAGAUCAGAUCCGAGCAGUCCUGGAGAUGCUCGCCCAAAAGAUAGUGAAGGAGCUCCAAAGACUAACCUGGAGGUUAGCUGCUCUCAACAAGUUCAUCUCCCGGUACUCAGACUGAUGCAAGUCAUUCUUCAACGCAAUCAAAGCUAAUGCAGAAUGGAAUCCUACUUGUCAGCAAGCCUUUGAUGAGAUCAAAGCAUAUCUCACUCAACCUCCGGUUCUUACAACACCACAAAUCGGGCAACCAGUCGGCAUCUAUCUGGUUGCAUCUGAUAGCCGUUAGUGCGAUUAUAUUUGUGAAAGAAUCGGAGGAGAAGCCAGUUUACUUCAUCAGCAAAGUGUUACAGAGAGCUGAGACAAGAUAUUCAAAAAUCGAAAAGAUAGCUUUAGCUUUGGUACAUGCAGCCAGGAGGCUAAAGUCGUAUUUUUAAGGGAGAACAGUCAAAGUCAAUACAGAGUUCCCGCUUAGAAAAGCUUUUGGAAAGCAACAAGAGUCUAAUCGGCUAAUCGAAUGGUCUAGUUACCUCAGCACAUACCACAUCUGGUAUGACCCCAGAACCGCGGAGAAAGGGUGUAACGCCCAAAACCAUAUAACGAAUCCCCAUGACUCAAUGUCAGAUCUCGAGGCAUUAGAAUAACCUAACCCAUGUUAAAUAUAUAAUAAUACCAGAUUUUGAAUGAUAUUCAUAUAUAUAAUUGGCUUUAAAAAUACACAACUUAACAUAAUACAUAAUAAUACAAAGUUCUUUAAUCACUUCUAUACAAAAGAAACUAAGUACAUCUACCGCACGGACACUUAUAACAAUACCCUCUGUAACCUCCGCACAACCAUAUAUGCCGAAUCGAUCUAUCCUCGAGCAACUGUUUAACUAAAAAGGGGUUAAUGAUAGGGUGAGCAUUUCUACUUGCUCACUAGUGACUCACAUUUUCAAAAUACUAUCUAAUCAUGCAUGACGAUUAACCAUACGAAACAAUUGAAAUAAUGCAGGUUUUAACUUUAAUAAUAAAAUACAUAAGUAAUUUGAUUAGUAAAUAUUUUUAAACCAAAACUUUUACCUUUUAUAGUAAUCAUACUAACCAUGAAUCCAUACAAAAGUCGGGUAGCUGCAUCCUAUUAGAAUGAUGAGGUACGACCGCUAUACCGCCCUGGUCGCAGACAAUCUCUUGGUUCAGUACUUACCAAUGUGAACCUACAUCGUUAUUUCCUGAUUUUCGGUAGGGUGGGUGACUGUAUUACCGUUGUUGUGUUCCCAGAACACUAAACCUGUCCACUUAGGCUCAGGUGUCAGUACAAGAAAACAUGAAUUUUGGCACGAUUAAGAACCGUGGCAAAUUAAAGAGGUUUGCCACGGACCCGGACCGUGGCAAACAAUUUAGCUACCCCUUAAACCACCACGGUCAUGCCACGGAUUUGGACAGUGGCUAAUCACGUUUUGCCAUCGUUCCGGUCCAUGGCGAAUUUACAGUAUUCUUGUAGUGUGGGCCUUUGACCACGAUUCCUGAUAUAAGGAAUCCCUGAAUUACUGUGGUCAACUGUUCGACGACUGCAGACUGCACAGGAUCCUGACACACGUCCAGGAGUGGACUAACUCUCACACCUUGCGUCUAAACCUCAUCGAAGUAACAUGUAGCCUCAUCUGAACUAAUAGAUCAACAACGUACCACUACAUGAAUGAUGGUCUGGAAUGGAGAAAAGGAAUUCCCGGAUACAUCUCUAAUGUAUCUCUCUAGAAGACGGCCCAUUCGCCUUCUAAAGGUGAACACCAUAGAUGUCAUCCUAGAAUGAACAGCCAUCUCCGGAAUAUGACAACAACUCAUUCUUUAUAGGAAUUCAUAGGUCCCUCUCCAAACGACUUCAUUAUAUAAAUAUAUAUAAUUUCUUUUUAUUUUAAUUAACUAUAUAUACCAUAUAUUUAAAUUUGUGGUGAGUCCCCAGAUUUAAACAAUAUCUAUGGCUACCCUAACCGGGCCACAGCCAUAAUCGUGACAACAUACCAGAUCAAUAUUUCCAUCAAUCUAGGGACCCCACACAUCCCAGUUAUACAUUACAAUCGGGUUUCCUUGCCCCACAUUAUAAAACCAAAUCAUUCCACCAUUGGAAAGAGAUUGAUCGAGAAAUAUACAUAUACUGCUUUAAUAACUCCAGUUUAAAACAUGAUAUGUAUAACUAAUCACUUUAAUAAAACCAACCAUGCAUCUUUGUCAUCAAUAAUAUAUCAAUUAAUUUGCAACAUUAAAAUAUGACACACGAAAAGACAGUAUAAAAGAAAUGUAAGUCCCUACCUCUUGGCUUUUGCUCGCUAGCUCCUUAACUUCCUUUUUAAGUUUGAAGCACUCAAUUAGAAACACUGAUAUCCGAGAGCAUCUAUCAUUUCGCACUAAUAGGUGGCUACCAACUUAAUUAAUCAAUCCACAUGCUAAACAUUUCACCGGCCAAUUGUCGAGAUUCAUAAGCUCAUUUCACCCCAUCUUUGUGUUGAAACAAUAUUCAAUUGCAUAUCCCAAAUAAACCUUGACCCAGUUCACCCUAGUUUUGUCCCCUUGGAAGUUCCUACAGACUGUACACAGUUCACCCUAGCUGAAGCUGCUCAAGUGGGCUUCAACCUGCCAAUCUUUAACACUGGCACUCAAAUGCAAUUACAGGAAGAAUUCCAUCUCCUCAAGACUGACUCUCAAGAAGAUCACAAGAUUUGGCCUCACCCUAGCAAGGUUCUGAACUGGGCUCACCUAUUCUUAGGAAGAUAUGGCAACCAUUCAUUCCCACCAAGAUUUCUUUCUUCAUGUGGAAGUUACUUCAUGGUGUAAUACCUGUAGAUGCUGCAAUUGCUAGAUGUCAUAUCCCAAUGGUAUCUAAAUGCAUAUGUUGCACCAAUGCUAAAGAGGAAUCCAACAUGCAUCUGUUUCUACAGAAUGAUCUGGCAGGUCCAGUCUGGGCACAUUUCAAUGUUAUUUUUGGUCUCCAUAUGCCUAGGUUCUUCAACCUAGGGGUUAUUCUAUGGGAAUGGUUCAAAGUGGGAAAGAUGGGAUCAAUGGAACAACUAUGUCAUUGCCUCACUCCUAUGGCAAUCUUGUGGGAAGUAUGGAAAGAGAGGUGUGCUAGAAGAUAUGAUGAUAAACAUCAUUGGAACUACAACCAAUGCAGUUUACUCAUCCUCAAAGUUGGGUACUGGCUGGUUAAACUCUAUCAACAUUUUGUCCCAAAAUGUAGGUCCAACAAUGGUUUUGGUCAGAUAGCCUUGCAAUUGGGGGUAACUGCCAAAAACCCACCUCUUAAGCCCCCUGUCAUUGUUUUCUGGACUAGGUCUCCAGAGGGAUUUGUGGCCCUUAAUACAGAUGGUGCUGCAUGUAAUGGGACUGCAGCUGGUGGAGGGGUUAUUAGAGAUGUUGCAGGACAUCAUGUUUCUAACUUCUACUCCUACUAUGGGCCAGGUACCAACAAUGUUGCAGAGACAAAGGCUACUCUAGAUGGCAUUGCCCUUUGUUCUAUUUUGUGCUUCAAUAGGGUGCAAAUUCAAACAGACUCCAUGAUGGCAGCCAGGUGGUAUAACUCAGAGAUUCCAAUUCCUUGGCAUCUAAGGGUUUGGUGGAACCAUAUUAAGGGACGACCAAAAACAUGCAAGUGAUGGUUACUCAUGUGUACAGGGAAGGAAAUAGUUUGACGGAUUACCUAUCUAAACAAGGUACGAAACAUAGAAGCAUGGGAGCAAUCAACAACAAUGUGGAUAUUAAAUUCAAGCAAAUUCAAGCAGGAGACAUAACAGGAAUUCCAUAUAUCAGACAUGCAAACUAACAAGUCUACAAAAGCCCACUUCAAGCAAGUCACUAGCAAGUGGUUCUGGGAAGUCUCCACAUUACAGAAAAUGAAAACUCACAUUUCAAUUCUAGGCUUUUUGGCCUUGCUGGCUACUUCCUCUCCAUCAGAUUCAGAAGGUCCAGAGUCAUCAAUCUCCACUGCUGGUUCAUCAGGUGCAUGAACUUGGUCCUCUUCUGCAGCUAUAUGAUCUUCACCAACAUUAUCAUCUUCAGCAACUUCCUCUUCAUCAUCACUGAGAACUAUAAUAACCCCUGCAUUGGGGUACGGUCAUUCACAAGGACGGCUUGCUCAUUGCCAUUAACAUCACCAGGCAGAGGUUCAUCAUCCCAGCCAAGGUUAGAAGAUUUCACCCUGCAAGUAUCGCAAGUUCUAAUGGUAAACCUACCGUAAAAGCUCCAAUCAGAACACAUAUCUUGGAGGGAUUUUCCUCCUGCACUAAGCCAAGUAUCAAAAUGAAUUCAGUCAUCUCUCCUAACCUUCUCUGGAGGGUGGGGGAAAAAGUUAGAAAGAUGAUCUUGAUUAAGAUCCAGAGCAUUCACUGCAGUCAUGCAAACAAUCCUCAAGUUGUUGUGGAAGGAUUCAAAUCCGGAGAAAUGAAGAAGGCACAUGGAUCUACGUACAGAGAGGUAAAUCUGAUCAUACAUUGUAGCAGCAUCUUGACGACGAUUGACAGAAGAAUCAGAACUAGAAGAAGGAGAGGGAGAGGCAGCCAUGGUUUCUCGAGAAAACCUCUGAACAACAGAAGGGUAUUGAAUGAAAAGGUAGCUCCUUUUGGCGCUUCAUGUUCCAAGCAACUGACCUUGUACUGGGCCUCUUUAGGGCUUUUCCUUUGUGUAUUAUUUUUCUUGGGCUUGGAUCACUAUUCUGUAUUGAGGAAGGCCUAUAUCCCCCUCCUUGGUAUCAUUUACUAUCUCUAUUUACAGGUAGGGGUCCAGCCAAACCCCAUUUUAUAACAAAUAAAAAUAAAAAAAAAAAAAAAAAAAACCUUGACAUACAUCCUAUUCAUUUAGGUUGAUCCAUAUCACCUUAUAAACUGACUAGGUAUGACCCGUCCCUUCGGGACGCUUAUUCUUAAUUAUAUUUAAAUUACUAAUUUUUAUAUUUGGACACAAAUCUAAAAUCUAAAUGAUUAAAAUAGGCAAUUGAUAGUUAACUUGAUUAAAAUAGUUAAUUUGAAUUUAUUUUAUACUUGUAUUGAGUAACUCAAUGAUAAUAAACGUCAAAAAAUUGUGAUUGCUCUAAUAUAAUUUGUGAAGUCCUCUAUAUGUAAAUUAUAGAGAUAAUUAAACAUUUUUAUUACUAAAAAAUAAAUCGUAUACUAUUAUUUGUUGUAUACAGAAAUAAAUUUAACAGAGAUAAAUAAAGAAUAUAUUAAAUUUUCAUAGCUUUAUUUUCACGACUUCUGAAUUGAUAUUUUCAGUUGUAGUUGCACGAAUCUUUUCUAUUAGUUUCACAUAUUCCAUUCUUUCUUGAAAAUAGUUGUUAGACCAUUUUUGGGCUUCAUUUUUUGUCAAGAAAAUCCCUGAGAAACCAUAGCAUAGGAUAUAUGUGGAUCACCUUCUUUUGAUGAUGUACCUACCUUUACACCAUUUGCAACGUCUUUAUUGUGAUGUUUGCAUAGUUAUUCCAUUUCUUGGAUGCAUUUUGAAGUUAAUUUUCUAUGCCAUAAUUAAUGAAGGAAUGUGUAGAUGUUAUCUUCUUUGAAAAAUCUGAAAAAUAUGCCUCCAAGUAUGGCUUGUACAACUGUUUGAUAGAAUAAUCUUUAUGUCAUAUUGCAUAUAUGAAGGUUCAUUAACUUGCAACCCUCAUCACAUUGUACGAUAGAAUAGUCCUCAUAUCGUGGUUUAAUGAUCUAAAAGUUCGAAUAAGAAGAAUAGUGGAUAUCAUUCUUUGCAAGGUGUCAGCUACCCUGUUGGAUUCUCUGUAUAUUUUUUAGUCCCACCUUUUGUAAUUUCCUAAACCAUGGCUAGAAGCCUAACUGAAAUGAUUGAGUUUCCCAUAAACUAUCUUCACAUUGCACAACAAAAUUAAAAUUGGUAUUUGUCAUUCUGACGAAGUUGAAUUCAAGGUUCUAAUGCCAUGUUUCUAUUAUUCCAAAUCUCCAUCAUAAUUUCCAUUAGAUGUGAGAUAUUUAGUACCUACUUGCUUUGGUUGCUCGGUUAGGUUAUUCUCUUGCUUUAUCUAUUAUUGUACAUGUAGGCAUUCAACACAUACAGUCUUAGACUGCUACUUUGUCUACUUUUAGGCUUGCUCUGAAUCAUCAUAAUACCAUUGUAUCAUAAACCCAUGAAGUACGGAUUUAACUUACUCUUACAAAUUUUGUGCUAAAGAAGUUUACUGUCACUUAUAUUAAGGAGCAUAAUCAUAUCUCUACAAACUCAGAAGCACCUAUCUAUAAUUAUCAUCAGUCUCAACUUUACAUUAAUGGUAUGUAUAACAUUAAUUUCAUCAAAGCAUGAUGUAGUUCUUGGUCAGCAUGGUUGACGCACCAUCAAGUAUGACCCAAUGACUGCAAAAUACAAAGGAAAAUAACAACCGUAAACCAACUUUAGUAAACUAUUUACGUUUUGCCCGCCCUAUUAUUCGUUCUUCCCUAUAAUACAAUUUGCUCUACGGUAUUAUUUCUAUAUCGGAUCUAUCUGUAGAAUAUACUUUUACCACCUAAUCAUUUUGAAAGAUACAAUCAUUCUGUCAUAAUUUAGUAUGCAUCCCUUAAACCAGUAUAUUUUCAGAGCCUAUGAACUUUCAGAACAAUGCCACACAAUUCCUUGGAUUUGUUUGACAGUACGUCAAUACCACCCACCCCUUGCUACAUACGCUGGAAUAUAAUAUUUGAUUAAAUAACAAAUUGAUAGUAAUCAAGCCAAAUGGCCGGUAAUUCUGGGACUUAUAGUAAAGGGAUAGUAAAAUGGAGGUGUUCUUUGAUUAAAUUGUAUAAACAACAAAGUAAAAUUUGUAGACACUAAAUUCAAAAUCAAUCUCAGUUAGCUAGUUCCUUUGGUUGAUCCUCGUAUUCCCAAAGGAUAAAAUAAAUACUUUUGCAAUUGACUACUGGUUCCUAUGAGAGAAUAAUUUUGGUGCAUCCAAAUUCAAGAAAUUGCAAUUCUAGAAAUAUAUAUAUAUAUAUAUAUAUAUAUAUAUAGAAAGAGAGAACUUGAAUGAUGGAGGGUCAUGUCAAAGACUGGAACUCGAAAGUUUUUGAUGUUUGAUAGUAAUAUAAAAAACUACAUGGUAACCUGAUAGAUUUAAUGUCACUUACAAAAUAAUAAAUUCAAAAAAUUGAAACUAAUAAUUAUGCAGUUAAGAUGAACAACCAGUGAGGCCUUUAAUCAGAUACAAUGUUCUAGUGAAAUUCUUGCUUAUUAAAUGUACACAUAUUGGCCCUAAAAUUAGUUUAAUAGAAGUUAUCACGCACAAUUAACCUUGGGCAAGAAUUAUGUGUUAUUGUUGGGGAUAAAAUAGGCUGGUAAGAUGCAGUAGAUUAAUUCAGGAAUGUAUCCAAGGCCCAACAUACAAAUUUAAGUGUAACCAAACAUUGCCUGAACCAUAGAUCACCAAACACGGUGACGAAAAUUGUGUUUUCUCAUGAAUUUUUUUUUCCAGAAGAUCAGUUUGAAUAUUAAUGAUAGACCUUGCAGACAUCGCACAACCUAAGAAUGGAAAUGUGUCUCGCGUGCAAAAAUUUGUCAACCAACCCUUUGCAUGAAUUCUUUAUCCUAUAAGAACGUAUUUACAUGUAGACCCAACCAACCUGUGACACUGAAAGUAUUCAAUUAAUCAUAUUCUGAUAAAACUUUGUAGAGGUUGUGAAAGACUAUUUAUACUAUGGGCAAAAGUGAACUGGCUGACGUUUGUGCUUCAUUAUUUAUUAGAUUCAUAGCUAUAGUCAGAAAUUUCCAAGGUCGCUUUCAAAGAGCUUGAAAGAUUCCUUGGUAAAUCUGAUGGUUCAUUUAUCAUUUAGAAUAGUUGUUCUGCUGAUCUCAUAAACUCCUUUGAAUUCCUAAAUAUCAGUUUUAUUACUUCCUGAUUUUGUGUGGCUGCAACAAAGAAGUUACGACAUUCAUUCAACCAUUUGUAUAUAAAGAAAAAAUAUAUUUAAGUAAUCAAUCAACAUUUACCACUGGUGAAGACAUGAUUUUCAAAUUGAAACUUGGCUUUGUUAGGUGAUAAUCCAUAGUAGUUUUUCUUCGAUGGAAACACCCAGUUCCACAAUAGAUUUGUCCUUGAAUUUCCAGCAAUUCAACACAAAAAAUAUUGUUGAAAAGUAAGUACUUACAUUAGUGAUAGUCCUUGUUAUCACCUCAACACACCAUUAUAUCUAUAAAACAAAAUUUUUGUUUGCGAAAAUUUUGAUUUUUCUAGAAAUGUAUAAAUGAAGUUAAAACUAUUCAUUUAUAAAUAAAAUUUGAAGCAUUGACAUGAAAGCAACAACGAUAGUAUUAGGUUGAAAUCACUAAAAGAAUCGUUAGUCAAAUAUCAAAUUAAAAAUAGAAAUAUUAAUUAAUUGUAUAAAGCUCAUAUAGUCCAGGUUUAAGGAUGAGUUGUAUGUAUUAUUUGUAUAAUUGACUUUGGCUAUAGAUACUGAAAAUUAAAAUAAAAUUAAACACAAAAAAACUUGAAUUUCAAAUUUUUCUUUAUUGAAAAGGAGAGAAAAAAAUAAAGUGUCCAUUGAUGAAAAUAUGAGAGUAAAGAGGUGAUAGAGGUUUGAUGAUAACCUAGAACUGAUUGAUAACAUGGAGAGACGUAUGAAACAGAUAGAGUUGUAUGAUAGAAUCUAUACUCUCUAUUAAAGUUAGGCAUGCCCUUAAGCAAGCAAUAGUUAAUUAGUAAGUAUAUUUAAGUAAUUUCACACCAAAUUAAAUAUUUAACGUUAACCAAUAUAAGAUAAACACUAAUUUGUAAACAUCAAAAGUUGAUCCAUAUGAAAAAAUUGAUGCUUUAAUUGAAGAGAAUUUUGUUAAACCAAAAUUAAAAAUUUAUUAAAAUCACAUAACUAAAAUUUAUCCAAAAUAUGUUCAAAAAUCAAAAGAAAUAAACAUUAUAACUUGGUUAAAUCAAUAUGUUUACAAAUCAAAUCAAUUGAACAUCUUAUCCAAAAUAUUGGUAUUUUGUCAAAAGUUAAAAUUAAAUCUUUUGUUAAAAAAAAUAAAAAUAUAGUAACAUAAGCAAGUUAAUGUCAAGAAUUUGGAUUGUGAGCUUGGAGAUGUAAUUUACAAUCCAAAUUAAAAACUUCAAUCAUAUAAUUUAAAUUGCUAAGAAAAUUAUAUAAGUAAACAAAUACAAUAAAUAAAUCCUCAAAAAACAUUAUAAAAUAAUAAUAAUUUAUUAAUAUUAAUAUUAAUAUUAUUAUUAUUAUUAUUAUUAUUAUUAUUAUUUCAUAUUACAUCUUCGAUAACUACACAAAAAAUGAGAAUACAAUUAAAAUUAAUUUGAUCUAAAACUUAAAAAUAAAACCUUUAAAUCAAGAUACAACAAUAAUGUUAUGGAGGAAUUAGAAAAUAAAUAUACACAUACGUAAUAAAAUUCUACUUUCAAUCAAUUUCAUUAGCAAAAAUCAAAACCAAAAUCAAAUUAUAACAUGUAAAACUUACAUAUAAAAUAACACCUGUGUAUUGCACGGGUUAAAUAACUCAAUCUCUAUAAUCUCAUUAAAACCCAAUCUCUAUAAUCUCAUGUGCAAAUCUUGACCGUCCUUUGUCUCUUUAGCAAGUUUUAUAAGUGCCGGUUAUAAUAUAGAUUUCACAUUUUUGUACCCGAAUUACCAAAUCACCAACCGUAGCCAAUGAUAUCACAUUACGACGUCGCACUCGAUCAAGAGUUUCUCAACCCACACGGUAAAAACACAAAGUUAAUUAAGUGGGUAAUCCAAUUUCAUUCAAUGAUCCAAGGAAUUGGUGGUUCUCUUUACUGCAAAAUAUGGAAAUGAAAUUACCUUUUCUCUAAGAAAUCAAUGAACAUGGCAUACAUAUCUUUCUCCUCGCCACUGUCACCACCUCCCUUCUUCUACUCAUUCCUUUUUCAACCAUGGAACUACUACCAAGCUCAUAAAUAAACCAGCCCCUUCCACUUCCUCUUAUUCUUUUUUUUUCUCAGACAUUAAUAUGACCACUUUAGUGAAUUAGUCAGUAGUAAUCUUCCCUAACUCCCUUCCUUAUUCUAUUUAGGGGUAUUUUGUAUUUGGUCCCUCUAGAAUAUAUGGGUAAUUAGCAUUUGGUUCAAUUUUUAUCGUUUAUUAGCAAAUAGUCCCUUUUUCGUCACUUGAGUGCUAGUCAACCCAGUUGACCAGAGUCAAGGCAUCCAUAUUUUUUAAUGACCAAACUACCCUUUCACGUGAGUACAAAACACAAUUUAGUUGUUUGUAAACAUACAAAAUUAGUUUAUGGUCAUUCUUUUUCAUAUUUCGUUUCAAAUAUAGUCCCUGUAAAAAAUAAUGGAAAUAGCCAUGGAAGUCAUUUUACCUUAGUUAGAGUGAAGUAAAACAUGUAACCACCACCCAUGGAACCUCUAGAACUUUAUUCUCCUGUGUUUACAAAUGAAGAUGACAAUCAAGUGAAGGAAAAUUCUAGACAUUCCAUGGGUCGUGGUUACAUAUUCAAGUUCAAUCCGGUAAGAUAACUUUCAUGGAUAUUUCUAUUACUGUUUACAGGGACUAUAUAUAAAACGAAAUAUGAAAAAAGGGGACUAUAAACUAAUUUUGCAUGUUUACAAACAACUAAAUUGUGUUUUUUGAGUUUUGAAUUUUGCCACGUGCUAGUCACGUGAAAGGGUAGUUUGGUCAUUAAGAAAAUAUAGAUGACUUGACUCUGGUCAACUGGGUUGACUGACAGUCAACUGACGAAAAAAGAAUCAUUUACUAAUAAACAAUAAAGAUUUGACCAAAUACUAAUUACCCAUCUCUAAAGGUGAAACCGGCACGAAGUGGUUUGACAUCAAUUUUGUGACAAAGUGUCUUUGGUUAUCUCGCCUUGAAUUCAUUGUUAGGAAAAUCAAGAUGUACGCAUGGUCGUCUCGUGUCCUUGUGUCUCUUAGGUCUGUCUAGGGAAAGUUAUUGGGUUCUGGACGUACGUACCGAGUUAGGACGUACGUACGUUCACUGAAGCAGCAAACUUCUUUUGGUCAGGACGUACGUACUUGUUUAGGACGUUCGUACGUCCAGGUAGUCAGCAGACAUGUUUUCGUAUGGAGACGUACGUACCUGUUUAGAGCGUUCGUACGUCAUGUUAGGCAGCAGGCUUAUUUUUGUGUGGCGACGUUCGAACGUCAUAUCGACGUACGAACGUCCAAAGUCGGUUUGCACAGUUUCGGCCCAUUUUCCUAGGUUUUCAACCCUAAGUAUAAAUAGGGUUUCUCUUCUACAGAACAAGACAGUUCUUUGGCCGUCCAUCCUUCUUCUUGUUCAUGUGUUUUGGUUAGGUUUUUGAUAUUAAACUUGUUUGUGGCUAUUGAACUCAAUUCCCUUUCUUCCCCCUUUUCCCAAUUCAUAUCUUUGUGAUCUUCAAAUGUUAUUGUGAAUUCGGCUUCGAGUCUUCUUGUGUGUUCAUCAAGAAGUCGAGUGUCUUGUGCGUACUUCAAGGUGCUCUGGUGAAGUCAAGGUGUUAGAGAUAACCAGGAGUAUCAACUCGCAGUGAGUGCAGGUAGUUGAUAGGUUUGUACAUCUCUUUUCAUCUAGUGGAUUAUUUUGUUGUCGCGAGGACAACCGUGGACGUUUCCCUGUUUGGGUUUUACCACGUUAAAAAUCUCUGUGUGUUAUUUACUUUCUGCGUAUUGUUUGUUUGCUUGUUUGAAUUCACAUUUGUUAUACUAGCACUAUUUGUAGUUUCUCAAUUGGUAUCAGUCGCUGGGGGCUGGUUAAGGAGCGUAAAGGCUCACGCUAACGAUCAAUAGUGCUUUAUGGAAUCUCACAAGUCUGCUACUUCAAGUCUCCCUCCACAAUUCAGUGGAAAGGACUUUGGUCAUUGGAAAGUACGAAUGCGAGCUUAUCUCCAAGCAUUAGGAGAAGAAGUCUGGCUUUCUGUUGUCACAGGGUGGAAAGAACCUCUGACUACUACAGGUACUGAUGAUACUGCUGUUACAUCACUGACGCCACGUGAAAAGUGGACGCCUGAACAGAAGUUGUUGGCAAAUUAUAACAACAAGGCACUCAAUGCUAUUUUCAUGGCAUUAAAUGCUAGUGAGUUUCGUAGGGUGCAGGGCUGUGAAGAGGCUAAAGAUGCAUGGAACAGGCUUAUCUGUACACAUGAAGGUGACGAAACAGUCAAAGAAAGUAAGCUGGAACUGUUAACAUCUCAGUUUGAGAAUCUACGGAUGGAUAAUUCUGAGACCUUUGAUGAUUUCUUUAUUCGUCUCCAAGACAUCAUCAACUGCAGUGCAGCUAUUGGUCAGGCAUAUACUGACACACAGGUGGUACGCAAGAUAUUGCGUGCUUUGCCUCCUCGGUUUCGUUCACGAAAGGAUGCCAUCACUGAAAGUAAUGUAAUUAAGAACAUGUCCAUCGAGACACUUGCUGGCAAACUAAGGACAUGUGAGAUGGAACAGGCUUUGGAAGAACCUUUGAAGAACAAAUCUGUUGCAUUCAGAGCUACAUCGUCUAAAGAACCUUCCACAGGACAUUCUGAUGAUGAAGAACAGGAUGUAGAUGAUAACUAUGCGUUUCUGUCACGUAGCUUUCAGAAGAUUCUGAAAUAUCAACAGAAUCGAGAUCCUCGAAAGCGAUUUCCUGAUUCCUCAAAUGCUCCUAGAAGUCGUGGUUUUGAGCGGUUCUCUGUGGAUGGGAGGAGAGCUCGGGUUGACCGUAAAGAUGUCCAAUGUUACAAGUGUCGUGAGUAUGGACACUUUGCAAAUGAAUGUGAUAAGAAGGUUGAUCGCAAACCUGGUGAUAAUUCCAAAGCGAAUCUCACAGUCACAUGGGAUGAUUCAGAUGAAGAUGAUGAUGGGAAUCUCUCGAAUGUUGUCUCUAAUUAUGUGGUCUUCAGUGCAUCCCUGGAUGAACAUCCAGGAGGUAUUGUAUCCUCUUCUACUGAUAUUAAUGUUUCUGAUUCUGGUGUUCAUGCUACUACUAGUGAAUUAUGUGACAUGUAUAAGUUUUCUAUGCAACAAGUAAAGUUGCUUGAAAAAACUAACACCGUCUUGCAGGAUCAGGUAGAGAGUCUUGGACAGGAUAUAUGCAACCUUACAGGUGAUUCCAACAUGUUGAAGGAAGAAUUUGUGAAGGAAAAGGAGGACUUCCAAGUGCGUAUUGUCACUCUGGAAAAACUGAAUAAUGAUCUUGAAACACGGUAUCGAUCCCUUGUACUGGAGCAUGAGAGAGUAAAGGCCGAGUUGUUUGCUGCUAACAAACAAUUGGUUGGGUUUGGUAAAGCAAGUACUAAUCUAAACUCUCUGUUGGGAAUCGGUAAAUCCCAUUCAGAUAAAUCUGGUUUAGGUUAUGACACCUCUGUUCCCCUUGCUACUGCUAGCACUUCCCGCACUACCUUUGUGCGACCAACAAGUGUCACUAUUCCUGCUCCUGUGCAGGUGUCUAGUGUGGUAUCACCACCCAAGGUUACUCAUGUGAAGCAAGUUCGGAAAAAGAACUCAAGACACAAAGGCUUUAAAUGUCUAACAUGUGGUCGCAUGGGUCACACUUCUGCCUUUUGUUGGAAUAAUUUGUAUCCUGCUCAUCAUCCUUCUUUUGCAGGUAACUCAUAUUGGAACAAGUCUUCCACCUUCUCCAUGCAGGCUCCAUACAUGUGGAAUGGCUAUGCUCCGUGGGGUUUACCCAGAACUUCUCCCUAUGGAAACCGUGCUCAAGCAACACCCAUGCCUACUCCACCACCACAUUUCUGGGAUAGGAGUAUGGAUGCAUCCAGGAAAAUGGUGUCUCACAUGGCUCGUUUGGUUGAACCAUUGCCUUCAUCAUGGUAUCUUGACAGCGGUUGUUCGCGUCAUAUGACAGGUGAUAAGACUCUGAUUGAUAACCUGACUCUUGGUUAUGGAGGUAAGGUUAGGUUUGGUAAUGGUAAAUUGCUUCCGGUUGAAGGAAAAGGUAUCUUUUCUGAGGUUGAAUCGCUCAAUAGUCAUGAGCUUCUUUUUGUUAAGGGUCUUAGGUCAAAUCUAUUGAGUAUUAGUCAGUUAUGUGAUGCUAAAUUUAAGGUUGUGUUUGAGGAUGAUAGGUGUGAUGUUUUUGAUUCCAAUAAUAUCUUGGUGUUAUCUGGUAGUCGCUCAUCUGAUAACUGCUUCAUUGUUACUACACCUCUUCUGCAUUCAUAUGUCUAAUGUGUUCCUUGGAACUGUCUGUGUUUAGGAUGUUUAGGGUUGGUCAUUUAUUGUUGUUAUUGGUAUUGAGAACAUACUACAUUCUCUAUUGUGUGGAUUUCAUUUUACAAAUGUUUCUAGUUUGGCGUUCUCAACUGUCUUUGUGUCAUGCAUAGGUGUAGGGUUACAUUAUACUCUCUUCGUAUUGGUAGUUUCUUGCAUGAUGCAUUUCAAUGUGGUGGGCUUGACAUUUUCAAUACAUGUUUAACUCCAGUCUUCCAUGGGUGAUUUUUCAUGAUCGUUGUUUCUUUUUAUUUUUUUUUUUUUUCUCACCUCUUGUAAGUGGUCAAUGACUCACAAAAUCCCCAGCCAUUUGAAUGUCUUGAGAGCAUACUCAUUUGGCUAAGAACCCGUUGGGGCUGUGAGGGUCAUGCUCUGACGGUUGCACUCAAGAGAUGUUAGUUCUUGUGUUGCACAUUAUCAUGGUAUUGCACUUCUUGAGUGUGUUUUGCCGAAAAGAUGUAGGCUACACCCUACCCUCGUGUUCUGGUAAAAGAUGGAGAUAUUUCAUACUCCCACACGGGAAUGGCAUCUGUUUCAGUGGUUUACAAAAAAAAAAAAAAAAAAAAAAAAAAAAACUGAAUGAAUAGUGGCUUUCGCAUUUGUCUAGUUGAAGGACUAGAAGAAAAACAAUAGUGUGUGUUUUUGGGCUAGUUGCAAGUGACCUUCAAUAUUCUCUAUGAUCAUGUCUUUAGUUUGUUUUUCGGAGGUUGGUAUUGGUCUAUCAGGUUCUUCUACAUACUUGCAUCAUUCUAGUAACUACCAUGUCAUGGUGUAUGAUGUCGUUCUUCGAUUUUGCAUUCUCUUGUAGUUGAGGUUUGUUUAAACUAUAUUCGGUUGUAAUUGGAAUUCGUAUGAUACGUAGAAGUGUUUUCUUGUGAUGUCUCUCAAUAUAUGUUUCUUUUUCGGGUUAUGUGGUUUAUUUUCAAAAAAAAAAAAAAAAAAAAAAAAAAAAAAAUGUGUGGUCGUACGAACGCUGUUAUGACGUUCGAACGUUGAGGUGGGCAGAUCUUUUUCCAACGCACGAACGUUUUCAGAACGUACGAACGUAGGGUCUGACAGAUGUUUUUUUUGGGUCCCGACGUACGAACGUUAUUAGAACGUACGAACGUCCCUGAAACAGUCCGGCCCAUUUGCUGUUUAAAAAACCAAAUUUUUUUUUAAACACAAAGCCUACUGUUAUAUAAAUCGUGUUUCCCUCCUUGUUACACUACAAGCUGUUAGUUUUUGGUCGUUUCUCCUCAUUGUCUUAGGUGAUUCUCUUCUCUCUCAACUUGUUUGCAAUUUGUUCAUCUUCUCUUCUCCUUGUUUUGGUCCGGUGUGUUGGUCGGGAGAUUUGUUCGUCAUUCUCACUCACAAUCACUUGUAAGUUUUCUUUUGUUCCUUCUUCUCUUCUCUAUUGUCAUGUUCUUGUUGAUAUUUUGGGUUUGCUUUAUCAUAUAUUGUUAGUUAAGGUUGUAUGCUUGUUUGUUGUCUUCAUGGGACUUGGUGUUUCUAUACUCGCUCUUGCCGCCAUUUUAGUUGGUAAUGACCUUGGGAAGUGGUUUGUUCUUGGUCUCUAUUGUGUCUUUCUGUUUUGCUAUGUGUUUUGGGUGCUUGCGAUUCUUUCAUUGUUGUCGAUAGCACAUGCUUAGGUUUCUGCACACCAAGUGUUUGAUGAAAUGCCUCUAUGGGCUUGAAUUUGGUUAUUUUGUCCAUUUUCUUACAUUUUUGGUUUGUGUACUGGUGUGUUUGUGUAGGAAAUGUCUUCAAAGCGUGCACGCACCUCCACGGCAUCCGCAUCUAAGGGUGCAUCUUCUUCUCGCGCUCCGAGGAGUCGUGGUUCCACUCCGGGUUUGUCUCAUCCAUCAUCCCUUGGCGCUCAUCCUCGAGCCAAGGCCAUUGUUCCCGAGCGGUUCUUCGACUUGGGAGACAUUGCUGCCACCCCUCUAGGGGCAUCUCAACUUGGCAAUAUCGCAUUGUUCUUUGAGACUCGGAAUUGGCUAAGGGUGGCUCAACCAAUCACCAAGUACUCGGUUGAGCAUACGAUAGCUUUCUAUGAGACAAAGACACCCUCGCAAAAUCGAUCGAGUUUUUCGGUUUUGAUUGAAGGUCGGCGAUACACCAUUUCUCCUAAGGUGAUACGCGAGGCGUUGGGUAUUGAUGGUGACUUUAUUCCUGAGGAUGCUGUCUCUGUUAGAUGGCCCGUUCCGGAGACAAUUCAAAUUGACUUUGUCAAUCAAGUUCAGCAGAUGUUUAUUGAUGGUGUCACGGAAAGGUAUCAUGCCAAGCACUACAGCGCCAUCCUCCUGCACAUGGUUGCUCACUCCAACAUCUACCCCACCAAGGGCAACAAGAUAAUUAUGACCGACGACAUGGUCAAAUUGGUGGUUUGUAUGUCGGUGCACCAUAUUCAUCUCUCUGAGGUCAUCUACAAUCGGAUGCUUCAAAUUGAUGCAGCUAAGGGUACUCUUCCUUUCCCUAGCUUUAUUAUGACAAUUCUCAGGCACUUGGGUUUUCAGGGACAGUAUUUGGGGGUGAGCCCCCCAAAGUUUGUUGGCCACGACUGGGUCAACGCUAUUAAAAAGGGCUGUCAGUCUCGAAAGUUGGCUUUCGAGUCCGUGGGUGCGCGUCUGACGCACCACCUCAUUUGGGGAGGCAGGGCACUUGUGCGUAAUGAUGAUUUCGAUCGGGCCUUGACCACUGGACGCCCCAUCCCUGCUUCUGCUAGGGGAAAUCGGGCUGUUGCAGCCAUUGAUGCUCGGGUUUCCUCUCUCCGACGUCAUCAGGACCAUAUGGAUGCUCGGUUGGAUCGUUUUGGGGUCAUUCUCUCUCGUCAUGAUGUCAUGAUCAGUGAUAUUCAUGCGAUGACCGUUGCUCAGAUGCAUCAUCUACAGCUGGACUUCACUCCCACAGACUUGCCUCCGUUUCCGGAAGAGGUGCCUCCAGCUCAAGGUGCGAGUGAUGGUGAUGACUCAGAGAGUGAGGACGAGGGUGAUGGUGAACCGAGUGAUGGUGACUCGGACUCCGAGUAGUUGUUUUUUUCUGGUUUACUCUUCACAUUUUUGUACUUAUUUUGUUUUUGCUAUAUCGGUUUAUUUCUAUUCUUUUAGUAUUGUACAUGUUCUUGGAUAUUGCUAUUUUCAUAUUAGUUCAAGUUGGUUUCCUUGUUUUGCAGUAAAUUUUUCUGAGGUAAUGGACCUUUCUUUUGGGUCCAUGAUAUGUUUACUCCUAUUUUUCUUAUAAAUAGGGAGUCUUCUUCUCUUUCACUCCUAUUGUGUCUUUUUCCCUCUUGCUAAUUCUCUCUUUGUUCUUCAGAAUUCUCUAUGGCAGAAUAUGAACUUCAUGGAAUUUUUGUUCCGAAUGUUGGUUAUGUGUCGUUCAUGGUAAUGGAGUACAAGAACAAUGCUAAGGUUUGUCGUUUGUGUCGCGUUCCCCAUGGAUAUGACUAUAUUCAUCGUCCUUUCCUUAAUCCUUGUUUGGUUCGUGUCAAUCAUUGGGAGAGAUUACCGGGACAUCUUCAAAAUCACAUCUUGGAGUUAGUUGGUUAUCCGAAGGUUCCAGGACUUGCUGCUCCACUUACCGACUGUGGCUUGGACAGCAGAAUUGAGGAGUUGUUUUGUACGAGUGAAUGGUUGGAGGAUUAUGAUGAUCAUGUGAUUGCUCGGUGGAAUCGACCUUCGGCUCGUGCGGAAGCUUACUUCUCCAAGCUUCCUCUAGGUCAUUGGGAACGGGUUUUUCGAAUUCGUUAACUCAGGCCUUAUGUUUUUGUCGUUUUUGUUUUUCUAUUUAUGGAUUUCUCUAUUUGGUCAUUAGUUGACUUUCUGAACUUUUAAUAGUUGGAUUAGUUUUAUAUUUUUAUCUGUUUUGUAUUCUUUGUUUGGUACUUUUUGGUUAUUGGCUUCUUAUUGUUCUUUUCCUUUGUUGGUUGGUUAUUUUGUUCACUUGUUGUGACAAAAAGGGGGAGAUUUAUGACUCUAUUUACUAACAAUCGUCUUCUUGUUGUUAGGUUAUUUUUGGGUCAUGUUUCAGGUAUGCUACACGUAUGGGGGAGUUGCUCAUGAAGUUUGGAGCUCAUGAAGUAUAGGGGAGUCGCUCAUGAAGUUUGGAGCUCAUGAAGUAUGGGGGAGUUGCUCGAAGGAACUUCUCUUCCUAAAACUGGAUAACAAGAAUUGGUGACUUGUUAUGUGGUUCUAUUUUGAGUGUUUUUGUAGGCAUGUUUUAUAAAUGCCAUGGUUUGGGAUUGUAAGCACGUUUUAUAAGUGCUAUUAGAGUCAUAGGUUUUUUUCACAAAAUCAAUGUCAAAGGGGGAGAUUGAAACCGGCACGAAGUGGUUUGACAUCAAUUUUGUGACAAAGUGUCUUUGGUUAUCUCGCCUUGAAUUCAUUGUUAGGAAAAUCAAGAUGUACGCAUGGUCGUCUCGUGUCCUUGUGUCUCUUAGGUCUGUCUAGGGAAAGUUAUUGGGUUCUGGACGUACGUACCGAGUUAGGACGUACGUACGUUCACUGAAGCAGCGAACUUCUUUUGGUCAGGACGUACGUACUUGUUUAGGACGUUCGUACGUCCAGGUAGUCAGCAGACAUGUUUUCGUAUGGAGACGUACGUACCUGUUUAGAGCGUUCGUACGUCAUGUUAGGCAGCAGGCUUAUUUUUGUGUGGCGACGUUCGAACGUCAUAUCGACGUACGAACGUCCAAAGUCGGUUUGCACAGUUUCGGCCCAUUUUCCUAGGUUUUCAACCCUAAGUAUAAAUAGGGUUUCUCUUCUACAGAACAAGACAGUUCUUUGGCCGUCCAUCCUUCUUCUUGUUCAUGUGUUUUGGUUAGGUUUUUGAUAUUAAACUUGUUUGUGGCUAUUGAACUCAAUUCCCUUUCUUCCCCCUUUUCCCAAUUCAUAUCUUUGUGAUCUUCAAAUGUUAUUGUGAAUUCGGCUUCGAGUCUUCUUGUGUGUUCAUCAAGAAGUCGAGUGUCUUGUGCGUACAUCAAGGUGCUCUGGUGAAGUCAAGGUGUUAGAGAUAACCAGGAGUAUCAACUCGCAGUGAGUGCAGGUAGUUGAUAGGUUUGUACAUCUCUUUUCAUCUAGUGGAUUAUUUUGUUGUCGCGAGGACAACCGUGGACGUUUCCCUGUUUGGGUUUUACCACGUUAAAAAUCUCUGUGUGUUAUUUACUUUCUGCGUAUUGUUUGUUUGCUUGUUUGAAUUCACAUUUGUUAUACUAGCACUAUUUGUAGUUUCUCAAAAGGGACCAAAUACAAAAUAACCCUUCUAUUUAUUUGGUUAAGAUGAGUUAUUGAAAACCAAUUAACAUCAUCUGGUUUAUAUCUAUCUUCUUCUACUUAAUACAAUUAGUGAACCCAAGAGAUCACCAUACUGCCGUUUGUUAUUAAGAGAGAACAUUUGCAAUGCUAAUUAUCGUUGCAAUAAUAUAUUUAUCUAAAAAUAGGUUAUUAACUAAUCUUAUUAUUUAUUUGCAACGUGGGUUGUCGUUGCUAUUACUUUUUCAUUAGCAAGGUUAUGUCGUUUUAAUUAAUUAGGGACUUUUUGCAACGUUCCAAACGUUGCAACAAUACUUUUAUUAAAAAAAUAUUUUCAAAUAACAUUAAAACUUAGUCGGCUCGUAUUCCUUCGUUGCAAUUAUUAUAGAAUUUGCAACGUUGGAUGUCGUUACAAUUGAGUAAGAAUUAUUAGCAACGCUAACUUAAUGUUGCAACUUGGGUAGUAGGCUAGUAGCAACCGAAAGUUAAUCAUAACUUGGGUAGUAGCAACGCUAGAAAAAAGUUGCAACUAGUGAGAGUAUUAGCAACUAGUGAGAGUAUUAGCAACAGUAAUUGUAGUAGACUGCAGCUUUUCAAAACAAGUACUUCAAAGGAUUCAUUUUUGCCAAGAGCUUGUCGUACCGAAGCCUUUGUGCGGCCCAAGCUACUGUCGGGCUCCUUUUUCUCCCAAGCUACCACUCAAAUCAUUGAUUUAAAUGUUUAAGUUCAGAUUAAAAUCUUAUUUCAUCUUUUGAACCUAUUGUUGGCUUAAUGAAAUGAAUAUACUUAGACUUGAUUGUUUAAGUUGAAAGUAAAUAAAAAUAUAAAUUACUGACAUUUUUUUAACCGAAUUUACUUUAAAAUUGAUCCACCGCUAACUUGAUGACCACUUUGACUUGUUUAUAAUAAUGUUCAAGUAACAGAUCAAUUUCAAUUUCGAUUUACCAUGUUCAAAAAAAUUUCCAAGUUAGUCCAAGUAUAUAUUCUUAUAUAAGUUAGUCCAAGUAACAGAUCAAAGUAGCGGCUAAGAUCAUCAAUAAUUUGAGUCAUAAUUGAUUCAGUGUCUCCUGCUGAGUCAUAACCGAUUAACGAUCUUUUGGCUAGAUUUGAUGGAUUUCUGGCGUAUCUUUACUUUGUGAUUUGAGUUUAGAUGUUCUGAGUGAUUUCUUACCUCGAUUGUGCUCAUUUUUCUUGUCUUUUUUCGUUAGAUUAGGAGUUGUUUAGGGUCUGUUUGAUUCGAGCGGGAAAAGAGUUUACCGGGAAUAGAUUUACCAUGUGCAAGUAUUCGAAAAAUAAAAUUUUGAUAAAAUAGUUAUAAUGUUACAUUGAUCAUAGAUUCACAGCUUCAGAAGGUUUUAAAAAUGACUUGGAAACUGAACCUACCAUACAAAGUGAAAUUCUUUAUGUGGCAGUGUUUAGAUGGUGUCGUCCCGGCUUCGGAUUUAUUGGCAUCACAUCAUUUUCAUGUCAAUCAUUUAUGUUUUUUCUGCAACUCUGUUGAAGACUCCCAAAAGCAUAUUUUCUUUGAAUGUGGUUUUGGUCGAGCUCUUUGGCUCAACAUGGGGUGCCACCAGUUCAUCACAUACCUCCUGCGACAAGACUUAUCUUUUGCCAAUAUUUAUACGGAGCUACUACUCUUAUUUCAAACCCUCUAGCAGAAUUACUUGAACAGAUUUGUGUGACUCUCUAGUUUGUAUGGUUAACAAGAAACGAGGCAUGUUUUAAUCACAUUGUCCCAAAACCGAAAGUUUGUAUCUUAAUCAAAGCUUAAGAAAUGGACCGAGUUAUGAAUCUCUUCGAAAAGGAUGUCAGGACGCCAAGCUCUGAAAUUAUUAUGGUUAAAUGGGUACCUCCUUCUCCACCUUGGGUCAAGCUCAACAAUAAUGAAUCGUCACUGGGGAAUGCAGGACCAGCUGGUGCAGGCUGUCUUCUGAGAAUUGUUGAUGCUUGCUUCAUUUUUUGCCUUGCCUCACCUAUUCCUCAUGCUACAAACAAUGCUGCCGAGCUCUUUGGUCUUCUCCUUGGAAUUCAAGUUUGUGUUGAACUGAAAUUAUCACAUGUCAUGGUGGAAACUGACUCCCAGUUACUCCAUAAUACAGUGACUAAGAGAAAUUUGGAUGUCCACUGGACUCUAAAAAACAUGUUCAUUUGAAAAGGUUCAAGAAUUGAAAAUAGCUUGGAUUUAGAGCAUUCACAAUGGUAGGUUUUAAAAUACUUUUAGAAACUUUUAGUAAAAAAGUCUUGUCAAUGGUGGGUUUUAACACACUUUUCAAGCAAAACACUUUGCCAAGGAGUUAAAAGUGCCACAUAGGAUCACUUAACUUAAUUUUAAAUUAAAUUUUAUGAUAUUUUAUACAUAAAACCUUCUCCCUCUCUCCUACGUGGCAUCCCUAAAACCCUUUUACCAUUGGGAAUGCUCUUAUAGAGAAGCAAAUGCUUGUGCUGAUGCUCUAGCAUGUUUUGCUUCUUCUAAGGCAACACAGACUGAUUGGGAGAGAGGGCAGUGUUCUGGAAAUCACAACUAGCCUCAAACCUUGGAUGACUUUCUAAAACCCUCUGCUUCUAUGCAUGGUUUUAAGAAUCGGUCGAGUCAAGUUUGACUCGCCAGGUUGGAAUUGGAUCGGUGGUAUCCGACUCAAAAAUUCAUUGUUGACUCGGAUCAUCAUAGACUCGGUUUUAAAACCGUUGAAUAGGCUGAUUCUACAUGUAAAACCGGAAAUUUUUAUAUAAUUUUGUUUUUUUGAUUUUUUAACUAAAACUUGAAAAUUAAUUUCUUUUAUAAUAAUAAGUAAAUUUACAAAUAAACCAUAAAAUUUGGUAGAAACUUACAAAAAGUCUCAAACUUAAUAGUAAAAUAAUAGAUAUUUAUUUAUAAUAAUAAAUAUUAAAUAGAAAAUAUUAACAAAGAAUCGGCCGAGUUAAACUUGAAUCAGUGGUUGAAACCGGGAUCGGCAUACCCCUAUUCACUCUAAGAGCAAUCCCAAUGAGAGGGCAUUUGAGAAGGGCGGUAGUAUGAAAUGCCCUCUUGGUUAAAAUUCGUUCCCCAAUGGGAGAGUGGGUCAAAAGAUUCAACGGUGGAUAGAAAUUCCAAUGGCAUUUCAGAGGGGAGUAGAAUGCCAUCCAAAAUGCCAUGUUAAUUGUAUAAGACGGAACACCGUGUUCCGGUUUAACACUUUUUCAGAACACACAAUUCGGUCUUAUACACUUUAAAUGUGAUAUGGAACUUGAAGUUCCGUCUUAUAACCAACAUUUAAGGAACUUGAAGUUCCGUCUUAUAGAAAUAAUAAAGGAACUCGGAGUUCCGUCUUAUAUAACUAAAAGAACUCGAAGUUCCGUUUUAUAUACUACCAAGUUCCGUCUUAUACCAAAUAAAGGAAUACAGAGUUCCGUCUUAUUUCACUCAUAAUCGGAAUUCCAUGUCCCGUCUUAUAGAAAAUUAAGACGGAAUACCAAGUUCCGUUUUAUGCACAAAUUUUGUAACUGUGUUAUAACCCAUUUUAUUUUUGUAAACUGACAUUUAAAAAUUUACCCAUUGGCACCACUUCGCAGGGGGUUUUGAUUACCCUGAACAGAAUGUGAUUUUGAAGGUGUGGCACCUAUGUGGAGGGCACCAAACUGCCCUCCGAUUGGGAUUGCUUUAAAGAACCGGUUCUUAGAACUAUGUUUCCAUGUGGUGGUGGAUUACACCACCUCUUUUUCUUUGUAAUAAUCUAAGAAGUGACAGUAAUGGUGUAAGUUUUCCUAGAACAAUUAAGAAAUAAAAAGGGAUUGUAUAAAAAAAGGAUCUGCUUCUCUCUCUCACUCCCAAAUGGAUCUAGGGCUUCAAUCUGUUAGCAAUCAACCUAGGGUGUGACGACCCUAAUUUCCAAAAAUUGGCAAAAAGAGAGAAUUUACAAAAUUACCCUCAAGAUGCCAAUAAAAGGAAAAAGGAUCAAGACAGUAAUCUAAAUAAACAUUUGCACAAGGUAAAAAUCCAUAACCAUUAAAGCCAAAUACUUCCAUAGAAAAAUUGAACUCCAAUAAGUUUCCAUAAAUAAUCUGAAAACUCCAAAUACUGAAUUAAACAACUCCAACUGAGGUACUAUAUGCCCCAAUCAACAAUAAUCCAAUUAAUGAAAUAAACUAGAAUAAUCCAUUGACCAACAAAUCAAAGAACUCAACCUACUAUGAACUAUAACUUCUACGAUCUCAAACUCCUUCCUGAACAACUGGAUCUACACGAGCCUCCUGGUGUUGCUCCCGAUCGUACUCAACUUGCUGCUCUCCUCCGCCUACGCUCCAUAAGGAUACGUACCCACGUGCAAAACAAGCAACAUGGGUCAGCAAAUUAUGCUGGUAUGAGUGGACAAGGGUAGGGAACUCCAUUCCCAAAAACAAUAAAAUAACAGACUCCGCGGUCUUUAUACAUUUAUCUCGUUUACUAAAUAAAUAUUAUAUAUUAUAAUAAUACAUUACCUGAGCUGCACCUCCUAUUAGGAUAGGUCAAGCCCUGCAAGAAAUGUUAGUUGACCUAUCCUCCUGCAAAACUGUGUUAGUACAAUAAUAUAUAAUUUAUGGCAUCUCAAGUCUCGACACUAUAUCUCAAUCACUACAAAUCAAUCAUUACACCCCAAACAACAUUUCACAACCUAUACUCAAUCACUAGUACACCUCCCACAGGAUGCACUCCACACAUUUGCCAUACCCACACUGCACCAGUGUGCCUUGACCAUGGUUAAGACCCUCUACGCGGAAACCAAAACCCAAGUGGGUGCUCACCUGCAAGCUUUGGCUAGCCUCGACGUAUGCCUAACUCAUGGCCUCUACUAGCUCCCUUGAGCUUUCUAAAGUGGCGCCCAGACCAACCCCGAAGGCUAUGAAGGUCUGUAGGGUCAGUUCCGCAGGCUAAGCCGUCUAGGAAAUACCCAACAAAAAUAUAUCCAAGUGUCAACCCGCAGGCUAAGCCGUCUAGGGUGAUAUCUAAUUUUCCUUAAUCCUAAUUCCAUAGGUGUGGCAAAUGUACUAAUGCUUGGGCGACUACAACAAUUCAAACUAACAGGCAACACUCGCCAAAACAGUUAGACACGUCAACUUUACAUUCCAAAUUAAAUGUCUACCGACCAUAGUGUCGAGCCAUUCUAAGGCAUUUAUGAUAACUUAAAUUCUCAAGUGCAGAAUCAACAUGAAUUUCAUUCCUUACAUCUUAAAUAUACCAUCUUACGGCAUAAUUUAAAAACAUGUUAAAUCCUCUUGGUGACACAAGGAAAAAGGUUGAAUAUAUACGCUGCCCCAAAACAUUAUUAUCCAAACCAAUAUAUGAAGAAUCAUGCAUUAACACAGACCAAUCACAGAUAAUACACUUACUGUAUGCUAUUUAGUACAAAUUACAAGUUUGGCAAGACGGCACAUAGUAUACCCUGUACUCUACUAUCACUUUCUCAUUACAUAUGUAAUUCAUAUAUAUACUUACCUUACAGUACAUGAACAUCAAAGCUAGCAGGUGCACAGUAAUCCGAUUUUGCAACCAUUACUAGAACCUUAAUUAAUAAAAAAAAUGCUUUCCAAUUAAGAGAACUAUAUAUCUAUGUAUAUAUACACGUCAACUGAUAUAUUCUGGUCAAUUACACAUUUACCUAACAUGUUAUUCAAAGGCUAUUAAACUACCAAACAGUUUAAAUUAAAGUUUGUCAUGUUUUCCUUGAACACUACAUAUACUCAGGCAAAUCAACCUACCAAUUCUAUAUAUCUAUAUAAGAUUUCUUAAUCAAUAUAUUAUAAACAAUAUUAGUUCUCCACUCACCUGCUAUACUACUGUUGUUCGUCCUCUUCCUCUCUCACUCUGCAACUUCUCCUUCUUCUUCACUGAUGACUGGUCUGCAACUCGCAGAAAACCCGACACCACAAAUAUUCUUCUUCUUCACUCUUCUAAACUCAGAAUUCCAGCCACUGUACUUCUUCUCCUUCAACUUUGAUCACUCUAGUCGCAGCGCCGCCCACUCUCCCUUUCUCUCUUUUUUUUUUUUUUGCAAAAACCUUCUAAUCAAAUAUAUAUAACACUAAUAAUCUAACCUAAGAUGGUUCAUCCAACGAACCUGAUCGAUUUGAGAUUGUGAUCCCACUAUGGUCGUGAUUCUGAACUACAAGCAACCAGAUCUGUUCGUGGGUGUUUUCUCCAAGUUUGGGUUAUUUAAACCAUAAUCCACUACUUUAUAGUAAUUAUGCUUAAACCCUUGGUCCAGGGACUUGUACCCAAUUAUUCUUAAUCUCAAAUUAACUUAAAUAAAAUUUCCAUAAUCAUUAAAAUAGGGGGGGUUUACAUAGGGCAUAUCGGAUGGUGAAUUGCAAGAUUGUGGUUACUUGCACUCGUUACAACUCGAGCAAGUGAACCAGUCGGAUCUUUCCAGAUUUGUUCAAAUCUGCCAUUAUUGACAGGAUCUUUCUUUUAGCUUCUCAUUAACCUUGCGUUGGUUAAAUUUUUUUAGCUAAUGUAGUGUUUGAUUAUAAAGACAUUUCUGGUUUUCAUAAGCUUUCAAUAAUAUAGAAAGGAUUUUUUUAUAGAAAGGAUAUAGUUUUUAUUGUUUGGAUUGAUGCAUUUAAUAUGCCCUGGUGCAAUGCAGGGAUCUCCUAAGCUUGUUUGUCUGUGAAAAGUGUGCUGCCCAAGCAUCUCGCUUUAUUCUGCAGAUGAUGCAAUCCCCUCUCUACUAGAAAGAAACUCACAUGGAGGACAGAAGUGGAAGCAGAGACUCGCAAGAAAGUGCUGAUAGUUCUGGGCAAUUAUCAAGUGGCUUUGAUCAUGGGUAGGAAACGCUUGCUAGUCACAUUGCCACAGAGGUUUGUCUUAAUCCUUUAUCAACAUGUGUUGUAGUCCUCAACAGCAUUCCUUAAUUUCAGUUUUGCAUAGAAACAUAGAACCCGACUCUUUGUAUGAACUUUUUAUGAAGUUACUCUGACGAAGAAGUUAUUGAUAGAACUGCAUUGACUUUAUUAGGUGCGUAUUCCUUGGAUCUAUAGUUCACCUUCCAGUAAGAAGAUUGUUUUGAUGAUGUAUAAGUGAUGCUAAAUUAAUUCCUUGGUUCUAUAUUAAGGUGGGAAGACAGUUGCUGGGAAGGCAUACAUGUCAGGACUCUGCAAAAUAGCCGUUCUGCUUCAUUUCCGUUCAUCAGAGCAGACAUAAAUUAAGUUUAUGAGAGGACUUCUGAACCACAUCAUAGAAUCUGUUUCGGCAGAGAGAAGUUAUGAGAGAUUUAAAUUGUGUGGCUGCCCUCUAGAUCAACGUCCAGAAUCUGGACUCCAGAUCAGGCUCUGUAAAAAGAUCAAGCUGACCAUAUUAUUUCUUGGUAGUGUCUUUUGUUCUCAUAGUUAACUGAUCAAACUCAACCGAACUAUUCCGUAGUAUAAUCUUAAAACAUUUUUCUAUAUGACUAUAUUUUUCUUGCUAAAAGUAUGAGUUGUAUUUAUAGUAAAGGGUGGCUACAUAUCGACAAAUGGACUAUGGAAGUAAAGGCUGUAAGGGAGAGCUCUUGCUUUUCAAAGUUGGCUGCAAAUUGUCAGUCUGUUAUGGCUGAAUUUUGACUUUGUGAGACAGCUUUUUCAGUGCAGGGAAUGGUUUGCAGAGUUUGUUUGGUGACCAUUUGCAGCUGAAGCCUGUAGGCCUAAUUAUAUCUGAAUGCAUUACAGCAGUAGGAAGCUAGCAAUUUGUAAGGGUUGUUGGGUGAUGACUUUAUCUUUGUACAGGGCAGCAAUAAUGGGACAAGCAGUGUACAAGGCAAUACACACAGUAGUAGAGAAUGGUAGAAGAUUAGUUUUCAAUAAUCUGGACACUCUAUUAAUACAGUUAUUUUAUACUAUAAUUGCUUGGUAUAAAGUUACAUUGUAGUAUUCAUAUUUUCUAGGAGUAGUUUUAUUUGGUGGACAUUGGAAUCAAUUAGUUAGGUGCUGUUUGUUUUUUCAAGUUCUAAUAGCUAGUAGCUUUUUUUUUUAAUAAUCAAUAGCUAGUAGCUUAUUAUAAUCCACAAAGGAUACAUAAAAUAGACAAAUUAGAGUUAUAAGUAACGAUUCAGAUUAUCUCGAGUUCGAAAUUGUGAUUAGAUCUGCGGUUGUGAUUGGAUUAGAGACAAACUGGUUUAUUAGUCAUUGAGUAGAUUGGGUCCAAACUUAAGUUGUGAUGGAUGGUUCGGAUCACAUCAGGAAACCUAACUCUAUCGUUGCUCUAUUGAAACAAUAAUGUACUUUCUUUUUUUUUUUGGUUGGCAAGCGAGGUUGUGGGGACCCCUACCCCUUUUAAAUUACGUGUGGAAACUUAUAUCAACAAUCCGCUGUUGACGUGUUUCGAACCCACGACCUCUCCACUUUGUGAGAGGGGUGCUACCAUUGAGCCACGGGCUCAUUCGCAACAAUAAUGUACUUAUCCUUCUCCUUCUAUUUUUUUUCACAUGUUCAUCUUCAUCAUUAAACCAAUAUCUCUGUUUCUCCUUCUCUCUAAUUCAAUCUUUGCACUCUUCAGUACUCUUUUUUUUUUUCUACUUUGAUUAAGUUCUCUUUCUUUUCUAAGAAAAAUCGAUUUUUUGGGGGGUGAUUUGAUUGUAUUGACUAUUGACACCUUCGACAGCACUAGCAAGCUUUUACACCUUCGACAGCACUAGCAAGCUUUUACACCUUCAAUCAGCAGCAAUAGCAAUAGCAAGCUUCUUGAUCAUUAAGGUGAACUAUAUUCUCAAUCAUUAACUGUAAUUGGAGUAAUUAGGUAUAAUGAACUUUAUAGGUUCCCAAUUGUGUAGCGAGCAUUUAAAACUCACACGAAAUUCAGUUAAAAGCAUAUCGAAUAGAUUCAAAACCAUAGGAUUAUUGUCUCUAUCUAUUUCAAAAGUUAAAAUGUUUUAUCUGAUGUUCAUUUUCUACAAUUUGAUGCCUCACACAAGGAAAGCUAUUUCAUUUUAAUUUCCUCAACUUAUAAUACACCUUAAAAAUCGAAAAGCUUCUUCAGAUUCCCAACACAUUGGUAUGAUUGAAAGCUUUUACCUGAGAUUCAAGUUCACUUUUUAAUUCAAGUUCAUUUUUUUUGUUUAAUUUAUUGCUUCAUUCAACUAUCCUUGAAAAUAUCGAAUCUGUUUAUAUUGCUUCUACCUGUUGUUUUAAUCUCUGCACACUGUUGUUUGAUUGUGGGUUUUUUUAUUAAACAACCUCCAAAUUCUGUUCUAUAUGUUUCAUUUGGGACAACGACAUCACUAUCUGAUGAUCAGAUUGCCGAGCUAGCUAUUGGAUUAGAACGCAGUGAACAAAUAUUUAUUUGGGUAUUUAGAGAUGCAAAUCGUGGCUAUAUAUAUACAGAGGAAGGGAGGAAACCCCAAUUGCCAGAUGGUUUUGAGGAGAGGUAUGUACUAAAUCUAUACUCUAUUUCUUUCCUAUCCCAAUCAUCAUCUAAAAUCCAUUUGAUAUGGAUCUCUCUCAAAUGUUAUCAAUAACAUAGUAAACCUAACAAUUGCAUGAUAUAGUAGAAUUCUAGAAAUUUUUGAGGAAUCGUAACAUGUUCCGCAUCUUUCCAUGAUAUAAGUUAAUAAACCUCUCUUACUACUUUUUCAAUCAAUUAAACCUAACAAUUGCAGCUCGAAAUUAAAGAGUCAUAACUUAAAUAAAAAAAAAAAGGUCAGAAGUAAAACCCUUUUGAUUAUAGGAACUACUACUUUAAAGUUGUUGCUCGGAAAGAUCCCAAACAAUCAUAAAGUACGUUAAUUGAGUGGGUGGUUUAUGGUAGAGGUUCUUUACUCAACAGUUAUCAUGAAAUUUUCCGAGUAUGAAUAUUAUCAGUGCCAUGGGUAUAAUCAACAUCUUUUCGAGUCGCAACAAUUAAAUUUUCUGUAGCUACGAAGAGAACCCCAAGAUAAACAGGUUUUAGACUAACAGUCUGCAGUAUUAGAAAUUACUGCAAUGCCUAUUGACUAUGAAUGUGGUUUACUAGACCUCCCUGAAUUUGAAAUGUGAAGUUCAUCGUUUUAAUCUAAUUUUCAUCUUCCACUAUUAAUGGUCAAAUUCGAUGAUUUUCCAGAGUUUUAGUUUUACUCCUCUCCUAAAAGAGACAUGACAUUGUGUUUGUCUAAUCUUUCUUUUCCUGUUGUAUUUCUAUUUCUUUGUUUUCAUACAAUAACUUGCAUAUGACAGAGUCAAAGAUACUGCGAGAGUUGCGACAAUUAUCAAGGAGGCUAUAAAAGAUUACACAAAGGCAGGGUUUAUAAGCGUUAAAGCUAAUUCAGUGUUAAAGGUAUUUGGAUUUUAAUUUAGUCAAGUUUAUUUUUUCCUGUUAAAUCUCCGACUAGGGUUGCGGCAAUUAUCAAGGAGGCUAUAAAGGAAUACAUAAAGGCAGGGUUUAGAAGCGUUAAAGCUAAUUCAGUGUUAAAGGUAUUUCGAUUUUUAAUUUAGUCAAGUUUAUUUUUUCACGUUAAAUCUUCGACUAUGUUGAUGUAGCUUUAGAAUUUUUCCCUAAGCCAAGCCAUGUUGGUUUCCACCUCCUUGAUUUUAUUAUGCUAAUUCACAUCUCAGCCUUUCUCCGAUUUCCAUCUUCAAUAUUGAUUGUUUGAUUAAUUAAGUUUUAGUAUCUGCAAACUAAUUUUUAAAGUUCUUAAUUAUACAUAGGUCAUAUUAUGGUAUAUUCUGAUUUAUAGAAACUCUGGUUUGCUUAAAUUUGAUUGUUUGUUCUAUAUAUGUACAACUUCACCUCUUCCUUGGUAGUAUACUAGCCAUAGCUUUCCUGAUUUUGCUUUCUCCUUAUUUUCGAGACUCCAUGUGAAAUGCGCAUUGCCUAAUAACAAUGAUGCCUUCUUAAAACAAUAAUCUAGGCUGACACGGGUAUAGGCUUCUUCUACAGACAAAAUGAAGUGAUGAGGGAAUUUUAAGUUAAUUAAAUGCGAGUACAGGACUAGAAACUAAUCUAAUGUAUUUUUAAAAAAAAACAAUGAUGCAUGAAAAAUUAAAAAUGAAUAGAUCAGAAUUAAAUAAUAUCAAGCUAAAUUAAUCAAAUAGACAAAGGAAGGUUUGCUGAAAGUGUAUCUAGAGCCGGUCAUAAUCUGAAGAGGGUGGACUUCGGCUCUGACGUUAGCCUUACGUCGGUGACCCAAAAUAUAAUAGCAGACAAGUUUUGGAAACCAGAAGAACGAGCUAAAAUCCAGUGUAGACAAUAAUUAACACCUCAAUGAAUUUUUUAAGAAAUAUUCAAUUUGAUUAAAUACUUUAACUAAUAUUGCAUAUGCUUGGAAUUUAAAUUUUAAACAAUGUCAAAUGGAGCCUAAAAAGUAAAUGGGAUUUGGAUUUAUACAUACUAUCUCCUUCAUUCCUUCGAAUGUUUUCGUAGUUGAGUAUCCUUCUGGAUACUAUGUUGAGGUUAAUACCUUUAUUUUCACUUUUUAGCAUACAAUUUUGAUCUAUAUUAUCAUACAAACACAAAAAAAUUGUUUGAGUCUUUGUUUAAGACCCUACUAAGAAACUAGCAGUUUUGUUUUGUUUCCCUGUUUUACUAACUAAGAAAGUUUUAUUUCAACUACUGUUAAAAUCCUAAAACGUUAGCUUGACACUUUCCCCAUUGUUUUAUCCUUCCCCCACUGAAAGUAUUCCACUUAUAAUGCUCCCUCGAGCCCAUUGUUUUGCCCUUCCCCCACUGAAAGUAUUCCACUUAUAAUGCUCCCCCGAGCUAACUUCUUUUAUAUCUACACUGUCUGACACAGAAGGAACAAUGGGUACAAAAGCCUUCUUCUGAUGAGUCUGUCAUGUGUAACAACUACACCCAGAAAUGCCUAGGCUGAUUUGAUACUGAAGCUUCCAUCUAGACUAAGAGCCCAUAUGAUUUUGUCUUUGUCGAGCUAAGAAUUUAUAUCAAUGCAAAAGAUUUUAUUUUUGUUCCAAAACAAAAACUUUUAUGGGUAAAGGAAACCCCUCACCCUAGAUAUCUCUGGCUCCCAUAGUAACUAAGUCGCCCAAACCUUAAAACUAAGGUAGGAAAUAAUUAUUAUGAAAACUGUUGGAAGUUAUUGUAAUAGUAGUGACUUGUCUAACACACUACUAGUAGUAGUGACUUGUCUAACACACUUCUUUCAUUAUAUAUACAAGUUAUGUCUCACAUUGAGAUAUAUAACUUUUCACCCUAAUAUUCUACUUCUACUUGGUAUCAGAGGCUUGUAGAAACAAAACCCAGCCAUCAUCAAAACCAAAACCCAAGCCGUCACCACCACCACCACCACUCCCAUCACCAUUACCACCUUGCCUUCGGGCUUCUUUCUUCUAUGAGCAGCUGGUAAUCCCUGCUCUUCCUUCACCGUGUCUGCAGUAGGACAUCCCUGCAGACGGCUUCCUUUGUUGGUAGUCAUCCUUGUUGCUAAGGGUAUCAACUGGUGUUCGUCUCCCACCGUCACUACCUCCACUGUUUCUUCCGUCUUCUGCUGAGUUGCCAUCCACUAAGGCUAUGGAAACUGACUCUGGUUUACCCAACAUUCAGUCUACUCAGAAGAUUACAACCAUUCUUCUAAAUGGGCGUAAUUUUUCAUCGUGGUCACGUUCUGUUCGUUUGUUCUUGGGUGCUAGAAAUAAGAUUGAUUGGUUGGUUCCAGGGAAGAUACCUUGUCCAUCUGAGGCUGAUUCAACUUAUUCUACUUGGUUUAUGACCAAUUGCAUGAUUCUUGGUUGGUUUUUUAACUCUAUGGAACCUGACAUAUACGAGUUAUUCACAUUCUAUGAUUCUGUUGAGAGUUUGUGGGCUGCUUUAUCUGAGAUGUAUGCUACCACGAACAAUGAGGUUCGGGUAUAUGAGUUGUACCGUGAAUUAGGCCAAGUUUCUCAGGGUUCAAUGUCUGUUACUACCUACUUUGGGUAUUUGAAGAAACGUUGGGAAGAGCUUGCUAUCUAUACCGCUUUGUCUAGCAUUUUAGGUAUGACUUCAACUAUCGCUGCUGCUAUCCACAAACGGGAAGAAAAACAAAGAGUUCAUCAGUUUCUCAUUGGUCUUCAUCCUGACUUUGAAGCCAUUCGUACUCAAGUCCUUAACACUACACCUCUUCCAACUCUUGGGGAGGCCUAUGUAGUGAUUGAGAAACAUGAGCGUCGUACACGGAUCACAGUUCCUUUGGUAGUUUCUGACACACCAUCUUCAGCUGAUCAGAUGGCCUUUGUAGCCAAAUAUCAUCCUCCAACACCUCAGUAUUCUCAGGGCCUGCCAGGAGCCCCUAGUGCUAAUGCACAAUCUGGUUGCACUACUGGUCGUAAUCGACCAUACUGUGAUCACUGCCGGGCUGAUGGCCAUUUUCGACAAACGUGCUAUCAACUACAUCCAGAACUUAGGCCAAAGAAGGGGUCUGGAAAAUCAGGUGGUGGUAAACCUCGUACUGCUGCCAUUUCUGAGGUUCCUAGCAGUUCUGCUUCAGGGGGAGUUCCUACUGAUUCAGGUUCUUUGAGUCAGCGAUUAGAUGAGGUUCUUUUUUUCCUCCGGGAGGGAAAACCAGGGUCUACUACCAUGCCUACAGCUACAGGUAUACCUUCUGCUUUCCAUGUUAGUUCUGGCUCUACACCUCCUGCUUGGAUCCUUGAUUCAGGGGCCAAUGAGCAUAUGACUGGUAAGUAUAGUUUAUUGACUAAGCAUACCCCUUUUUCUCAUCAUGUUCGCAUUGCUGAUGGCUCGUAUAACUCUAUUACUCGUAAGGGCACUGUUCAUUUAUCUCCUCAAAUUACUUUAGAGUCUGUAUUGCAUGUUCCCCGUUUUGCUCUAAAUCUUUUAUCAGUUAGUCGCCUUGCUAAAGCUCUUCAUUGUGCUGUUGUAUUCUUACCUGAUUCUUGUUAUCUUCAGGACCUGAGUACGAAGCGGAUUUUUGGCAGGGGGUAUGAGCGCGAUGGGUUGUACUAUUUUGGUGAUCCCCCACCGGUUCCACCUUCUACUGUUUCGAGUCUGCAUGUUAACGUCUUGCCCGAGUCAGGACAUUAUGUGUUUAGUUUGGAGUCUGUGAAAACCUGGCAUGCCCGAUUAGGUCAUGUUAACUUCCAGUAUUUGUGUAGUCUUUUUCCGGAAUUAAUGAAAGCAUGCAAAAAUUCUACUUUUCAUUGUGAAACUUGUUCCUUAUCGAAGCAUGUUAGAAAUUCUUAUAUUCCACGAAUGCAUCGAUCACCUGCUAUGUUUGAUUUAAUUCACUCUGAUGUUUGGGGUCCUUCACCUGUUACUGCAUUAUCAGGCCAUAGGUAUUAUGUUACGUUUAUUGAUGAUUACACUAGGUGUACUUGGGUUUAUUUACUUCGCCAAAAGUCAGAUGUUCUUCCCUUGUUUACACAGUUUCUCCAACUCAUCAAAACUCAGUUUAAUGUGGUGGUUAAGGCUCUUCGCUCAGACAAUGCUAAGGAGUAUGUGUCUAAUGAGUUUGUCAGUCGUCUUAGCCAACAAGGUAUCCUUCAGCAACUCACUUGUCCUUAUACACCCGAACAAAAUGGUGUUGCUGAGAGGAAAAAUAGGAGUCUCAUGGGUGUCGUUCGUUGCUUGUUGAGAGGAAUGCAUGUCCCUCAGUCCUAUUGGCAUUUUGCUGUUCUUACUGCUGCCUAUCUUUUAAAUCGCACUCCUAGUAGGAUUCUCCAUGGUCAAACCCCUCACCAGCUUGUCCACCCUAGUCGUGUUCUUUUCCCAAUUAUUCCCAGGGUGUUUGGAUGUGUUUGUUAUGUUCAUGAUAAAAGUCCAUCCCGCACUAAACUUGAUGACAAGUCCAUUCGGUGUAUUUUUGUUGGUUACUCUCCCCUUUCUAAGGGAUAUCGAUGUUAUAAUCCCUCUAGUCGUCGUGUUUAUCAUACCUUGGAUGUUACUUUUGCCGAACAUGUUUCCUUUUUUGGAUCUUCUAUCUCUUUGCAGGAAAACUUGUUACCAUCGGAGGAGGAGUCUUCUACUGUUUGCUCUGAUACCAUUCUUUUUUUUUUUUUUUUUUUUGUAUUUCAAGCUGAAAUUCAGAGUCUGAAUGUUCAGCUUGAGGGGGAGUGUUGGAAGUUAUUGUAAUAGUAGUGACUUGUCUAACACACUACUAGUAGUAGUGACUUGUCUAACACACUUCUUUCAUUAUAUAUACAAGUUAUGUCUCACAUUGAGAUAUAUAACUUUUCACCCUAAUAUUCUACUUCUACUAAAACAAACCUUAGUUCAAUUUUGAAUUAGAACACUAACCCUUGCCAGAUUCCUCCUCGACAAGUCGGUAGCUUGGUACUUCUUGAUUGACCAAACUGAAUUUUUCGAACUUUCACAAUAGUGUACUGAGACUCGAUUUAAAUUAUAUUGUGUCUUCCUCAAACCAUAAACUAAUAAAAGGUAUCCCGUUCCUUCUCUGUAUGAUAUCAAUUGCAUUUGUUUCUUACUUUUUUUUCUUUGCAUUUGUAAGAGAGCACCCAAUACCCAGCAAUUUCAGACUGCAACACCCAAUGCCCAACAUGUUACUAAUGGAUUAUGCUCUACAAAGGGUUUGAUAAUAAAUACAGGAAAAAUACCACUACAUUUAAGUCUAUUUUCUUAUAGUUUUUACUUAAUCUUAGAUUCUUAUAUUGUCCGAUUAUUAUUUUGAAGAUAGAAUGAAUCACCAAGUUACUUGAUCACAACCAUCAAUAUACUGUAUUGGAUUAAUUUAGUGCAGGAUCAAAUCCUUCAUUUUGGCCAAGUAAAUCCCUUCAACCAACCCUCCUAUACAUAACCACAAUCAACUGUUUGCAUACUUGCAAUCUGCCAAAGAAAGGUUUUGUUGUGGAGUGUUGAGGUUUUUAUCUUUUAACUGUUUGAAAAAUAUAUCUCUGUUACAUCACUAAACUGUUUCAUACUAAAAUAGUUGGAUCUUCCGUCAAGCAGCAUAAGUAGUUUCAUGCAAUAUUGUUACUAUAUUUUUUCGUUUUAGUAUGAAACAAUUAUAGUCUUAUUGUGGUCUUAGAUUCUUAUAUUAUUUGUAGCAGUAUUGUCCGAUAUAUCAGUAAAUUUUCUUUUAAUAUAUAAAAAUUCCGGUAAGUCGUAUGUCGGAGUAAUGGGUGAGUCGUUUGAAAAAGUUGGAUCGGUUAUGUUGCAAGUUUGCGUCAUGGUAUUGGUAACUACUAUUGGCAGCUUGAUUAUCUAUCUCAUUAUAAUUGGUAAGUACAUAUGUUCAAUUGUACUGCUCUUUAAUUAGUUCUGGCUUUUGAAAUUGCGCGCUUUCAAAGAUUUAAGUUUGGAUUAUACAUGUUAAGAUCUAAUUAUAGAGUACUUGAGGAGCUGGUGAUAGUCCAUUGUAGUUGUAGGCAUUCUGGAACUUUGUUGGCUAAGUACAUAGCACAAAAUAUCGCGACAAUUAUAGUGUGACAAGUUCGACCAUUUUUUAGAAACUAUAAUUUUGUUUAGAAUGAACUUAGUCAAUAUUACUUGAAUGGGAACAAAAUUAGCCCAUUUUAAUUUGGGUACUUAGAAACACUGAAACAGAACACAAACUUGACAUAUUGAUGAAUUAGCUCGAUUUUUCUGGAAGGAACAUUAAUUAGCAUGGGCACUCCAUAUAACUAGGAAAUAUUAUGUGAGUGAGAAAGCAAAAGGAUAAAUUACCAUAUAUAAUCUAUUUAUGUUUUUAUACAGUAAAUGCAGAGAUAAUAUUAAUUGAUACCUGCAUUAAUAAGGAAGAAAAUGCAAAAGGAUAAUGUUCAGAAGAAUAAUGUUAUCAUAUUCCUUGGUAUGAUAAAUAUGGAUUAAGAAUAGAAAUUUUUUGAAGCCAAAUAUGCAUGUUUCACACCCUGCCAACUAGCUUAUAAAAAUAUGGGGGAUUUAGAGAUACCCCCCAAAAUAAUAGGAACUCUUUGAGAUACCCCCCAGAUUUAAAAAUCAUUAGAGAUACCCCCCAGAUUUUCAUUUCAAGCCGGUCAACCGAGCGAUUGACCUAUGUUUGACCCAUCUUUAUGUUCUUUAGACAAAAAUACCCUUCUUUUAUUUGAACCUUAAUCCUAGUCAUCUACUUGUAUGCCAUAUCAGCAAAACCUUUAACAUAAACAAAUUUUACUCACAUCCAACACCCAUACCCCAUUAAAUCAUAACCGUCCAUCUCAUGUAAUUUAAACCCAUUGAUCCUAACCACACCCAUACCCCAUUAAUCCAAGAACUUUAAUAGUGGUGGUGGAGAAAUUAGUGGACUUAGUAGUGGUGGUGGAGAAAUUGGUGGUUUUUGUAGUUGUGUUGGGUGAUUUACGAGUACAAAAGAAGAGAAAAAAAUUGUUUGUGUGAGAAAAAAAGGAGAAAGAAGAUUUAGUAGUGGUGGUGGAGGUAUUGGUGGUUGUGGGGUGAUUUAUGAGAAAAAGAGAGAGAAGAUUUUUUUUUGUGAGAAAAAGAUUAGAGAGAAUAUUUAGUAGUGGGGGUGGAGAAACUGGUAGUUUAUUAGUGGUGGUGGUGGAGGAAUUGGUGGUUGUGGUUGUAUGGGGAGAUUUAUUAGUAGAAGAGGAGAGAGAAAAUCUAGUAGUUUGGUGGAGGAAUUGGUGGUUUUAAUAGUGGUGGUGGAGGAAUUGGUGGUUGUGGUGGUGGUUGUGGUGGUGGUGGUGGUGGUAUGGGGUGAUUUAUGAGUAGAGGAGGAGAGAGAAGAUUUAGUAGUUUGGUGGAGGAAUUGGUGGUUUUAAUAGUGGUGGUGGAGGAAUUGGUGGUUGAGAAGAAGGAAGAAGAGUUGGAGAAAAAAAAAUUGGUUUCUAACCAUAGGAUUAGAUUUGAGGGUUUUAUCUUAUUGAAUAGUUAGGAUUAGAUCUAAGUUUACAUGAUAUGGCAUACAUGGUAUUUAGGUUGGAUGACUAGGAUAUAACUUCAAUCGAGAAGGGUAUUUUUGUCAAUAUAAAAGUUAUAUUGGUCAAUGGCUUGGUUGACCGGCUUAAAAUGAAAAUCUGGGGGGUAUCUCUAAUGAUUUUUAAAUCUGGGGGGUAUCUCAAAGAGUUCCUAUUAUUUUGGGGGUAUCUCUAAAUCCCCCUAAAAAUAUUGAAAUAAUUAAAGAUUUUUUGCAUGCAAUUUGAUUAGCAAGGACAAGUGAGUGUUACGCUUUUUACAAUAACAAAUCUGAAGACCCCUUCUGUCACGACCCUAAUAUCCAAAAAUUGGCAAAAAGAGAGAAUUUACAAAAUUACCCUCGAUAAGCCAAUAAAAGGACAAAGGAUCGGGACAGUAAUCUAAAUAAACAUUUUGCACAAGGUAAAAUCCAUAACCAUUAAAGACAAAUACUUCAACACAAAUAAAUUGAACUCCCAAUAAUUUUCAUAUAUAAUCCAAAAACUCCAAAUAUCGAAUUACACAACUCCAAUAAUAAAAUUCAACAUCUUCUACGGAGGUAUUGUCUUCCCCAAUCAAUAAUAAUCCAAUAAAUGAAAUAAACUUGAGUAAUCAACUAACAACGAAUCAAAGAACUAAACCUACUGUGAAGGAUAACUCCUGUAAAUCUCAAACUCCCGCUCGAUCAACUGGAUCAGCCCGAGCCUCCUGAUGUUGCUCCUGAUCGUACCCAACUUGCUGCUCUCCUCCGCCUACGCUCCAUAAGGAUACGUACCCACGUGCAAAACAAGCAACAUGGGUCAGCAAAUUAUGCUGGUAUGAGUGGACAAGGGUAGGGAACUCCAAUCCCAAAAACAAUAAAAAUUACAGACUCCGCGGUCUUUAUACGUUUAUCUCGUUUACAAGUAAAUACUAUAUAUUAUAUUAAUACAUUACCUGAGCUGCACCUCCUAUCAGGAUAGGUCGAGCCCUGCAAGAAAUGUUAAUUGACCUAUCCUCCUGCAAAACUGUGUUAGUACAAUAACAUAUAAUACAUGGCAUCUCAAGUCUUCACAUUAUAUCUCAAUCACUACAAACAAUCAUUCGUAACCACACAACACUUCACAACCUAUGCCCAAUCACUAGUACACCUCCCAUAGGAUGCACUCCACACAUUUGCCAUACCCACACUGCACCAGUGUGCCUUGACCAUGGUUAAGACCCUCUACGCGGAAACCAAAACCCAAGUGGGUGCUCACCUGCAAGCUUUGGCUAGCCUUGACGUAUGCCUAACUCAUGGCCUCUACUAGCUCCCUUGAGCUUUCUAAUGUGGCGCCCAGACCAACCCCGAAGGCUAUGAAGGUCUGUAGGGUCAGUUCCGCAGGCUAAGCCGUCUAGGAAAUACCCAAUAAAAAUAUAUUCCAAGUGUCAACCCGCAGGCUAAGCAGUCUAGGGUGAUAUCUAAAUUCCUUAAUCCUAAUUCCACAGGUGUGGCAAAUGUACAAAUGCUUGGGCAACUACUAAGAAAUCUAAACUAUCAAUCAAUCAAACAACACUCGACAAUGAGAUUACACAUCAACUUCACAUUCCAAAUCCAUUUUUGUAUUUUAUUUCCAUUAUCCAAAUUGAUCAAAUACCGUCCAUGGUAUGGGCCAUUAUAAGGCAUUUAUCAACUAUAUCCCAAUGUUCAAAAAUAAUCUCUUUUAUAAGCCUUUAAAUUCCAUAGCAUCCAUAGCCAUAAAGAAAACAAAUUUCCAUGUCAUUUACCAUUAAUUUCGAUACACCAUAGCAGUAUGAAAUCCUUAUUAAUAGAACUUAAUUCAUGCUAUAAAACUGUUUUAAUCACUGUACACCGGCUCGACAUUUGCUAUAUAUAUGCAACUGCCACAUGCAACAUAUUAUCUGAGUUUGUGAAUGCUACUGCCACAUGCCAACUUUCAGGAAGUUGAUCUGUUGAAACUUAAAAUAAAGCUAAUAUACAUACAAUUUCACUAUCAUCAUGACAUAUGUAUAGGAUAUUAAAACCAACAGUAACCAUAUUCUAAUGUACAUGACCAAGGCACAUCAAAAUCACAUUAAAAAUAAUUUAUCCAAAUUAGAGUCCACUCACCUGCUACACUGUUCUUCUUCUUCCUCUCAACUGGUGGCUCAACAGGUUGCACGCCUCUCUCUCCCUCUCUCUCUCUCUCUCUCUCUCUCUCGAUCGAUCGAUCGAUCGAUGAUCGAUUGAGUUGUCGUCGCCACUCCCGAUCUCUCUCUCUCUCUCGCUCGAUCGAUCGAUUGAGUUGUCGCCGCCACUCUCGAUCUCUCUCUCUCUCGCUGUUUAUCGCAAACUUUUUUUUUUUUUUUUUAAAACUAAGCAAACAAAACCCUUGAUUAAAUCUCUAUAUAGGGAAAUUAGUCGGCUGAUCUAACGGUUCAUGCUUAAUUCGAUUUCGAUCGUGUUGACGUGUUUCCGAACUACAAACAACCAGAUCUGUUCGUUGGUGUUUUCUCCAAGUUUGGGUUAUUUAAACCAUAGUCCACCACUUUAUAGUAAUUAUGCUUACACCCUUGGUCCAGGGACUUAUACCCCAUUACUCUUAAUCUCAAAUUAAACUUAAAUAAAAUUUUCCAUUAACAUUAAAAAUAGGGGGGUUUACACCUUCAAUAAAAAUAUAAUAGCUUAAAUACCAAUCGAAUAAUACGUCUUCCAAUUAUUUGGCAGGUAAUGUACUUUCCAGAUGUGAGGCUAAUGGAACUGUGCACUUGAGAAUCCUCUAAGAAUGGUUUGGAAUACAUUGGUGGAACUCCCGAGCUUUCACUUUGUUCUGCACUAUCAUAUUUAUGAUGCUUUUGAGAUUAUUUGAGAUUAUGGUACAAAAACUUUUUUCUUCUUUCUAAUAUUUAUAGUUGUGGUUUUUUCUUAAUGGUUAUGAGUAGUACAAAACGUUAUUGAGAGAAUGUUAUUGAGAGGGCUUUGAUAGUAACCCUGGGCUCAUUAGUUUUGAUGUUUUAGGUUUUAAGGCCCAUGUUUCUCAUUGUACCGAGGUAAGGCAACAUGUCCCCCUCUUGAUAUAAUUUUUUCGAUCAUAAUAUACUGGUAGGGGUCUGCCAAACCCCACCCCCUAUUGGGGUCUUUUUUUAAAAAAAUAAAUAAAUAAAUAAAAAAUGGUGGAGUAAAUCUCUCUUUGGAUUAAUCCAUAACAAUCAAAAGCGGCUAUUGGAGGAAGACCAGUCAAAUCAGCACGUUCGUUUUAAGCAAUUAAAAUCCUAUGGCAAAACAAUUUCGAAAAAAAAAAAAAAAUUUUUUUUUUUUUUUCAAGAGACCCAAAGUGCCCAAAGACCCUGCCCGAUCAUAGAUAGAUCAAAGAAAAUAUAUAUUUUCAAUGUAUUAGGAUGGAUUUGAAUCCCACACCUCAUGUGGGGGGUCCACACUCAUUAGCACUAGGCCAUACUCCAAACCAUGUCAAUAUCAAGGAAUUUUUAAUUAUAACCUCAAAAACCAACAAUUUGCCUUGGGAGUAUUUGAGACUAGCAGGAAGACCAAAGAAGGCUAGAAGAAAGGAUCCAAAUGAAGCUUAGAGAAGAAUGAAAUGUAGUACUUGUGGAUUUUAUGAUCACAACAAGGCUACUUGUAAGGGUCUAAGUAGGGCUGAAGUUAGAGCCUUUCAAAGAGUCCAACAGAUACAGGUGUAUCCUAUUAGGAGCUUAGUGAUCAUCGAGAUUGGUGUCUUGAGGAUAGACAUUUGCCACCCUAUGACUUGGUCGUCGCGAAGCGACGACGCUGCGGGUCCAGGGCGCAGCGCCUGGCUGGGGUCGUCCAAGGUUUCCUUAUUCCGGGUGAAUAGGAAAUAGGUUUCCUUGUAUGAUUCGAAGUCGUCCAAGGUCUAUAAAAAGGUGUUUUGGCCAAGGCCAAAACAUAAGAGAGGCAACUAGGGCUUAGCUUGUGGACCUUGUGAGAGGAAACACAUAAUUGCUUAGUAGUUUAUACGACCCCAUUUUAAGAUAAGCUUGCCGAACCUCAUCGCAUUUAUUAACGGGAUAUUUCCAUAUAGAAGUACGUAUUCCUGGAUCACGUUCAAAAGAAGUUGCGAGGUCAACUUCUUCAAGUGUAAUACUUGGAGCAUUAGGUGUAAGUUUUGGAGCUUCAACUCCAAAUCUUGGAGUUUUAGCCGAACGAUCCUCAUUCUUAUCACAUGUAGGUUCAACUUCGGAUAUGGAAACUACAUCACCUUUAACACCAUCUUUGGGUUUAAAGAAUGAAUCGAUAGUCUUUCUUGGCUUGGUUAACUUAUGUGUUUGAUGAGGAUUUGACAUUGUCCAAGAAAUAUGCCUGACUUGUUAAAUUAAUUUAUUCCAUCUAUUGGCCGACUACAAGAAAAAAUGUCAUGGCAUUAAUGUAAUAUAUUACUUCACGAGAUUAGAUAGCAACAUACCACUACUAUUAAUCCAACAACUCAAGAAUCAAUUUCUAUAUGAAUAAAAAAGAACUAAUAAUAUUUUUGUAAUGUAACUAUGUAAGUCAGGAGUUUGGACUCUUGGAGCUAUAUCCUACCAAAUUCUAAAUUGAAAUAAAUAAUCAAAUUUUCUAUAGAAGUAUAAAAUAUAAACUAGAUUAAUCAAAUUCAUAAACAUUUUGCACUCAACACUUAAAUGAGUUUUUAGAACUAAAAUAAAAAUUUUAUUUUAACAAAAUAAAUCAAAUAUCGAUACACCGUUCACCUACAAUUUUUAAUUUAAAAUUGGUUAGGGAUUUUGAAAACUAAAGUUUAUGUUAUUGAUUUAUUGUUUAAAAUAGGAAGUAAUUGUAAUUUGUAAAGUAAAAUAGAAGGUAUAAAGUUUUUACCUUUAAACCUAGCUUUGAAGCUUUCAAUUCUACUCAAAUUGAAUUCAAUAAUCAAAUGUUACCACUCAAGUCAAGAAUAAAAGAAUAAUGAAUGAUGUAGAGAGACAAAUGGAGGAUCACCAAGAAUUGAAAACUGAAGCAGCAAAAUCUCGUCUUCUUUUUCUAUAUGUUGAUUCUCUCUCUCUCUCUACUGAGUAUCUCAAUUUCUCGUUCUUAACUUUCUAAUCAGUUUUUUUGUCUUAGUGGAUAUGUAAUGGACUAUGGACUCUGUAGUGGACUUUUAAUGGACACACAAACGUGGGGAGACAAACAUAACUAGACACACAAACAUGGGGAGACCAACAUAACCAGACAAAGAGAAUAUGGGCUUAAGUUGUGGGCUUAAGUUGUUAGGUCUCAAUGGGUAUUAAUGUUCAAAUGGGUAUAAAAGAUCCAGGUUCACAAUGGGCUUAAGUAGGCCUGUAGAAAUGGCCCUUUGACCCUAAACUCGGCCCGGCCCGCCCGGCCCAUUCAACGAAAAAAGCCCUUAAAACUUGAACCUUAUGAUUUUUAGGGUAGGGUCGGCCCGACCCUCUCCUUUUAAGGGUCGGCCCGACCCUCUCCUUUUAAGGGUCGGGUUAGGGUUUAGCUUUGAAAAUCUUAGACCCUACCCUUAGCCCGACCCUAAUUAACCGUCUCAAAGCCCUCUUACGGCCCUCAUAAAUAUAUGUAUAAUUUUUAAUAUAUUUCUUUAUAUAUCAAAAUUUGAACAUUUUUUUAGAGUUUUAAUCGUAAAGAUUUUUUCAAUUAGACAUAGAUGUCACUUUUGUUUAAGUUAAAAAACUAUUAUAUAACUAAAAGAAAUUGAUUCUCAAUAGAAUAUAUUUUUUAUUAACCAUCUAUUUCAUUAUUGAGCAUGCAAUAAACGGUAAUUAGAUUAUUAUUUUAAAUGUGUAUUUUAUACUUAUCAUGUUAGAAUUUUAUAAAUUUAGGAUUAAAUUUCUAAAGUUUGAAAUUUUAGUAAUAAAAUAACAUCUAACUACGAGUUCUUUGUAUUUAUUAAUUGUAAUGCUCUUGGAUAAAAUAAUAUCAUAUACUAUAACAAAUUUUAUGGUGAAAAAAAUAUAUUUGUACAUUUAAGAAUUGAAACAUAUUAUACGUAUUUUCAAAAAUAUUAAAAUGAUAUUAAUAAAAACAUGAUCGCAUAUUUUUUUUCAAGUAAAACAUAAUUCUAUGUAUCGACCCUAUCAACCGGGCCCGUUAGCCCGGCCCUCAAUCCUUUAAAAUAAAGGGCUAAGGGUCGGGUGAGAUUUUCACAAUUUUUGUGUUGGCCCGCCCUAACCCGACCCUCAUCAUCUUUUAGGGUAGGGUUGGCUCGACCCUAAAGUGUGAGGGCUCGAGGGUUCAAGGGUCGGGUUAGCCCUACCCGGCCCAUUUACAGGCCUAGGCUUAAGUGGUUAAGUCUCAAAUGGGUAAAAAAAGGUCCAGGUCCACAAGAGAGACCGGGAUUGUAUCUACUGUGAAACACGUUACUGUAAGUGGUAUACGUGGUAGCUUUUAAGAACAAAACUCAAGUAAUCAAAAUUUGAACUUUUUCAAGUGGCGUGGCAGGAACUUUUUUGAAAGUGGAUGUUCGACAAAUUUAGAUCAGCAAACUUAAGAAAAAAAAUAGAGGGUUUUAAGUUGAACCUAUAGUUUGUAUGUUGAUUUAGUAUUUUAUUUAUGUUUUUUUUUUUGAGAUUUUUGGACAUACCCCCCAUUUGAAAGUCGUAAUUUGAGAUACCCCCCAUUUGAAAAAAAAUUUGAGAUACCCCCCAAUUCAAGAUGUGGUGUUAUCUUAGCCGUCCAUCAUAAUCCAUCAUAAAACUCACCUACGGCUGUAAAGCUCUUCUGUCUUGAAUUGGGGGGUAUCUCAAAUUUUUUUUCAAAUGGGGGUAUCUCAAAUUUCGACUUUCAAAUGGGGGGUAUGUCCAAAAAUCUCUUUUUUUUUUUGCUAAAUACGUUGUAUUUUAUUCAAACUUAGAGAUAAGCUUACAAAAACCUAAGCCUAUAGGUCCAGAUAGUUUUAUCAUCCUCUUCCUGUUUAAUAGUUUUACUUUCUCAAGCUUAUUAUAAUUUGUUUGUUAUGUUUUUCUUUUUUUAUGUUGAGUAGCAUUAUUGCCUUUAUGUGUUAAUCUAAUAUGUUUGAAAACUUUUAAUUUAUUUAUUUAUUUAUUUGGUAUUAAUCAAAGCUAUUUUGGAUAUGUUCAUUGAACCAAGUUUUCAUUUGAUCGGAAUUUUACACUUUAGGCAACAACAACAACAACAAUAUCGUGUAGCAUUAAUUCACCACUAAUAAUUUCCCACGAGCAUUAGUUCAACACUUGAACCACUAUACAUAAUUGUAACGACUUGUAUUCAUUUUAGGGGUAUUUUAGUAAUUUUAUUUAUAAUCUACUAUUAGGAUAAAAUAAUUAUAACUUUGGUGGAUUGCUUUUAGAAAAUGGAGUAUUUUGAAAUAGGAAGAAUAUUUAAAUUAGAAUAAAUAAGAAAUGAAUCUCAAAACACAUUUCAGAAUAUUUCCGCAAACCUGACGCGUACAAAUAUAACAGUUAAUUUUGAUGUUUAAUAAGGACUACCCUCGGCACUAAUACCAACUCAUAGGUGAUCGAGCGCGCGUCCAAAUGUAUAAAAAAAAGUUGAAGUGGACACAAAUAUAUUACCUAAUCGAGAUUUUGAUUAAAGUGGGUAACUUAUUAAGUAGCUCACAAGAUCACUAGAAUGACUUGCUUUGUAUUGAUUUAGAUUACAGAGAGCUUGACACCUAUUACUAUGACUAAUCAAGUACUAAAGAGAUGGGGAUCCAGGAGCAACCAGUUCUCACUAGCAACUAAAAGAAAGAAAGAAAAUUUGAAUGAGAACCCCAAAGCUUUUCUAGCUAUUCACCGAUCUAAUUAAGUGAACACAAUCCAAUUUCCAAUGGAUUUUUCUUCUCUGGUUGUUGAAGUAUACAUCUCUGAAUUUAAGAUAAAGAUUAUGAUCAUGCUUGGAGGCAGUUCACACACAAGAAACCAAAACCCAUCCUCAUUACAUGUUAAUUGUAUUCAAGUUUUGGCGGUGCUUGGUGGCUAAAAUAAAGAAUUAGUUAGAGAUUAAUCUGUGAUGUUUAUUGAUCAGAAAUUAUGAGCUCUUUAAGUUGGACGACUGUGAAUUCGUUUGCUUCAUAUGGUGAUAUGGUAACCUACAACUGACUGGUUAGAAUUUGAUUCUAAGGUGGCGUGAAUUAACUACAUAUCCAUGAUUCAUUUGGUGUUAAAUAUAGGUGUUUGUAAGUUUUAUUUGGGACAUGUAAUUGAUGCAUCCCAAUUUCCAAGUACAAAUCUUAAGAAAGUAGAUGGAACAUAGAUGGGUGUGAGCUUAUGAACCUUGGCAAAUGCUCGGUGAGAUGUUUAGUGUGGAUUGAUUAAUUAAGUUGGUAGCCAGCUGCUACACUAGUGCGGAGCCGCUAAACACUUCACCUGAACUUGUAAAAUGGUCUUAAUUUGGAUGCACAAUAUUAAUUCAUAUAGAUUUACUUGCAUACAACUGCGGUCUUAGGAUAUCAACAUACCUAAAUGAGUAUUUCAAACUUAGAAGGAAGUUAAGGAACUAACGAGCAAGAGGUAGGGACUUACAUUUCUUUUAUAUUGUCUUUUCAUGUGUCAUAUUUUAAUGUUGCAAAAUUAUUUGAUAUAUUAUUGAUGAUAAAAAUGCAUUCAUGGUUUUGUUUGGUAUAUAUAGAUUACUCGUGGUUUAUCGAUUAUAGUUUUUAUUAAAGUGAUUAGUUACAAAUAUCAUGUUUUAAACUGGAGUUAUUAAAGCAGUAUAUGUAUAUUGAAAUGGUUUUAUAAAUGGAUUUCUCGAUAAAUCUCUUUCCAAUGGUGGAAAAGAUUUGGUUUUGUAAUGCAGGGCAAGGAAACCCGAUUGUAAUGUAUAACUGGGAUGUGUGAGGUCCCUAGAUUGAUGGAAAUAUUGAUCUGGUAUGCUGUCACGAUUAUGGCUGUGGCCCGGUUAGGGUAGCCAACUGUACGGAUCAUAUUUGAUUAUGGUUGUGGCCCGGUUAGGGUAGCCAUGGAUAUUGUUUAAAUCUGGGGACUCACCACACAUUUAAAUAUAUGGUAUAUAUAGUUAAUAAAUAAUGAGGUCGUUUGGAGAGGGACCUGAGAAUUCCUAUAAUGAAUGAGUUGUUGUCAUAUUCCGGAGACGGCAGUUCAUUCUAGGAUGACAUCUAUGGUGUUCACCUUUAGAAGGUGAAUGGGGCGCCUUCUAGAGAGAUACAUUAGAGAUGUAUCCGGGAAUUCCUUUUCACCAUUCCAGACCACCAUUCAUGUAGUGGUACGUUGUUGAUAUAUUAGUUCAGAUGAGGCUACAUGUUACCUCGAUGAGGUUUAGACGCAAGGGGUGAGAGUUAGUCCACUCCUGGACGUGUGUCAGGAUCCUGUGCAGUUUGCAGUCGUCGAACGGUUGACCACCAUAAUUCAGGGAUUCCUCGUAUCAGGAAUCAUGGUCAAAGGCCCACCUGAGCCUAAAUGAACGGGUUUAGUGUUCUAGGAACACAACAACGGUAAUACAGUCACCCCACCGGAAAUGAGGAAAUAACGGUGUAGGUUCACACUGGUAAGUACUGAACCAAGAGAUUACCUGGGACCGGGGCGGUAUAGCGGUCGUACCUCAUCAUUCUAAUAGGAUGCAGCUACCCGACUUAUUGUAUGGAUGCAUGGUUAGUAUGAUUACUAUAAAAGGUAAAAAGUUUGGUUAAAAAGUAUUUAUUUAUUAAAUUGCUUAUAUUAUUUAUUAUGACAGUUAAAACCUGCAUUAUUUCAACUGUUUCGUAUGGUUAAUCGUCAUGCAUGACUAGAUAGUAUUUUGGAAAUGUGAGUCACUACUGAGCAAGUGGAAAUGCUUACCCUAUCAUUAACCCCUUUUCAGUUAAACAGUUGUUCGAGGAUAGAUCGAUUCGGCAGAUAUGGUUGUGCGGAGGUUACAGAGAGUAUUGUUAUAAGUGUUCGUGCGAUAGAUGUACUUAGUUUCUUUUGUAUAGAAAUAAUUAAAGAAUUUUGUAUUAUUAUGUAUUGUGUUAAGUUAUGUAUUUUUAAAGUCAAUUAUAUAUAUGAAUAUCAUUCAGAAUCUUGUAUUAUAAUAUUAUUAUCAUGGGUUGGGUUGUUCUAAUGCCUUAAGAUCUGACAUUGAGUCAUGGGGAUUCGUGUUAUGGUUUUGGGGCGUUACAAUAAUAUAUAUUUUUUAAACCUAUGUAAGCAAAUGUAGCAGUCCCCUUCUAUCCACGAAAGGAAUGAUUAGGUUCUAGACAUGAUUGGAUUCUUGACACGUUUUGAUUCUUCUGCUUUUGAUUUUAUUCAUGACAUUACUACUGAAUGUGGAGUUGAUUUUGAUGAGGUGUGAUUGAAUUACCCCUGCAAUCAUAUAUAUGGCUCUUGGAAUUCAAUAUAUAUUCAGUAAAAUAAAAUUGAUUUUAAGAACAUUGUAGUACAUUGCGACACCUAUUGCAAGAAGAAAGAUCCAUGAACUAAUCAUUGGUCAAAAAAAUAUAAAAAUCCACUACAUCAGUCAUGCCAGUGAUUUUGGAUAGUCAAUAAUAUCAAAUGUUAUUCCCAUAUAUAUAUAUAUAUAUAUAUAUAUUAAAGUAUCUCAACAACAUAUGUUGUGACACUGAGGCACGAGCUUUGCCUUUAAUAUAGAUAAACAUUUUGACCGAUAUAAAACCUCAAUGUUGCCCACAUGUAACACUAGGUAAAGCAGGAGUGUGCUCUCUGACCCUCAGUAGUCUCAGUAAGGAUGACAACAUUGAAAUCGAUAAUAGCCUUUGAAUGUGAUCAAACCGUGUUACCAAAGGACCAACAACUCCGUUUUCCCUCGCCUGAAAGGCAUGAACUAAAGACACAGUCGUUUUUAUGGAAAGAAUUUGUAACGAUGGAGUUUUUCCUCCUAAAUGAUUGUAACAAUGUGAUCUAUAAGACUAUAACUGCCAUUACAGCAGGGGAAAUUAAUUUAAAAUGCAACACGUGAGAUCAACAUUCAAUUCUUUUCCACAAGCAAUUUCCAUUACAAUCGUUACGCAAUUAAACUGUAACUCCCCUAGCUCUUUCUAAAUAUAUUUUGCCAAUCAAUACAACAUCGAUACAAGUGGUCUAAUUACAUUUUCUCUCCUAAACAUCAGAAUCAUUGUCAACCAUUCUCAAUACCUAAUUCGCAACUGAAGUCUUAACCAACAUUGGUAAAACCUCCCCAAUUAUAGGUAACCAAGUUCGGCAACAAUUUGUCUUACCCUUUCUUUAUCGGUAGCCAAAUUAGCUAAUGCAAUUGUUGUUUCCACUGUAUAUAAAAUAUAGUAAGGAAAAUAUUAAAAUGGUUUCUCACAAAGGAUUAAUAUGAAGGAGAACAAUGUACAUAUAUAUAUAUAUUUUGCCUGAUUGAAAGUGAAACACAUGUUUAAAGUAAUCGAAAAGUAAGAUAACAUUUCUGUCAUUUCGGGGAACAGAGCUACUGAAAGGCACACAAGAAAAUUAUGAAUCCAAAAGGUCUAUGCAAAAUCAAACGAUAGGUGCAUACAAUAAAUAAAGUUUUUAUUACACAUGAGAUCAAUAUUUUCUAUAAAACAACAUUCCCCAACAAAACCUUAAUAAAGGGUUGAAGUAUAUUAUUUAUAAGAUCAUGCAUGGGCCUAAGCCCCAAACAAGACUUGAGAUUUAUUAAGACGAAAAAACUUAUCCAUAAACAACACUCAAUAUAACAAGAAAAACUAUAUACUUAAUGUUGUUCUCUUUGGCAAGCCUUAAGCAGUUUCUAAAACCAAAAUAUGUGAAUGCCUAUUAAAAUGUAAGAAAAAAAAGUUAUGAAAUAAUGACCAAUAAACAACAACAAUAUCAAAAAACUACAUGUAUGAAGUUCUUAACAACACUUCUAAAUAAUCAUGGUCAUCAUAGAUUGGACCAACAAUGUGAAUUACUUGAGAUAUAUAUAACUUGAAUGUUCUCCACAUUGUCAAUAAAGUUGAAGCAUUUAAAAUAAAGUUAUAAUGGAUGUUUAAUACCAAGCCCAAUAUAGCUAAAAAGAAAACAUAAAAAUUAUAGAAUUAUCUUUAAUCACUGGCUGGACAACGAUCACCAACACGGACCUUCGGAACACUACGACAUGCUGCCUGUAGUUCUCCACCAACAACUAUAUGAAUGAUUGUCAGAAAUAAUUAUAACAUUAUAAAAAUUAUUAAGCAAAAAAUCUCUUAAUAAUUUAUUAAAUAAAUAAAAUUAACAAAUGAUGAAAUGUGACAAAAACCUAUUGUAAAGAGGAGCUUUUUUAAUCCAAAGGUCCAUUACCCUUUUCAGACAUAUGGAAUCACUUUAUUACCAUGCCCAACUAUACAUAUGUACAAAUCUCCAAAGAGUAUUACAACACAAGUGCCCCUCAAACAUUACCAAAAUUGUGACCAAAACCAUGACUUGAUGAGCUGACAACAUUAAUAAAAUUAUUUGGAAAACAUCCUUAUUAAGCCUGCCUAAACACUACAACAUUAAAAAACAACCGAAAAUUCCAUUGAGGUCAACCCACCGUACAUACGUAUACUGCUAAUUAUGGAGUUCGUGGAUGAAUAGAAAUAUUUAAUUAUGAUGAGAAUUUUUGGGUUCAUAUAGGCUGAAAACUGAUGAGAAUUUUGUGUUCAUCCUGGAUUUUGUGGAUGAAUAGAAAUAUUCAAUUAUUAUUUCAUUAGCAUAUUUUUAAUUAUACAUAUUUUAUUUUUUAACUAUAAAUGUUUGAAACACAACAUUUUUAGAAAUACAACCUCAUGUAACUGUAAGAAAAAAAAUUGAAUGUAAAACAAAUAAGAUCUUUUUCGAUGCAUGGAAAAGGAUUAUUUGUACUGUUACUUGCAACUAGAAUCCAAGACAUGAACUGAUAUACUAACUAUUUUGCAUUGGAUUUCAAAUUUACUAUAUUAUUAUUUAGUUAGAGUUAAAAAGAGUGUAUGAUGAUCAUCAUAAAUGUAUAAUGUUUAAAAUUUUAGCAUACCAAAUAGAUGAAACUAGCGUGGCAAAGCCACGGGUAUAACUAAAUAUUAACCCGGAUUCUAGCAAAGCUGACAAUUUCUCCUAGAGCUUAAAAUCUUAAAAGAGACACGCCAUCAUCAGAUAGAUAACAAGCAAGCUUUUCGACUGGAUAAUCAACACCAAGGAUCGAUAGAAUUGUAUUUAGAAUAACAAAAGGAGACCAUUUCUCUAGGUCUCCUAUUAAAACAAAGACGUCAAUCCCGGAAGAUCUAGCCUUCCUUUGGGAUUAGAAAGAUUACAUGACUCAUAUCGAUCUUUCAAAACAGACAUACCAGUUACUUUUUUAUAGAACAUAACUUAGAAAGUUGAUUAAGAUCCCACAAAAAGGCAAACCAAACAUCACAGACAAUUGACAUUCCCCAUAACCACAUUGCAUCAAUAUUAAGUAGUCAAAUUCCUGAAGUUAGGAAAAAACAAGUGCCACCAAAAGAAUAACCAUAAGCAAUCUAUAUAAGAUAAGAAAAACAACCAACUCGACAACUCCUAUUCAUUAUUGUUGUUUUCACGCCAUAAUAUUGUUUUGUAACUUCUUAUAAUAUCAAUAAGCUAUUGUCUGCUGCUAUAGCAUCCUAAAAGUUGCCUACCAACAACUACAAAAGUGGUAGACUACACCCUAUGUAUCAACGACACAAAAUACCACGGUAAGUACAACUGUUCCCAUAUACAUGUACUCUCCUUGAAAAAACAAGAUUGAGAAGUUUUGUUUUUUUUUUUUUUUUUUUUUUGAUAAGUAAAAUUUUAUUGAUUUCGAUCGAAAGAAUACACAAUCCUGAGCAGCAUUCAAAUUAUGCCAUCAGAUUGACCCUCGCAAACCAUACAGAUACAAGAGAUGAGAAGAUAUACUAUCUCCCCAUCACCCAUUAACCCUUGACUAAUACCAGAUGAUACUACCUUGUGUAUCUUCCUGCCACUAUGUCUCCCCAAUUCUCUAGCAUCUCCUGGUAUGUAAACUGUUGUCUCCCCGCCCAGAUUCCCAACCAGUACCACACUGUCGCCUUGGUUUCACUGAUAAUCCGAUCAACGGAGACUUCCUUGUUUCUGAAAAUCCUUGCAUUUCGGUUUUUCCAUAAGCACCAAACAGCCGCAUACGGCAGCAAAGUCCAUACCAUUCGAGGGAAAGCUUGACCUGUUCUUUUUGGCCACGCCACAAGCCAUUCCUGCAAUGAUUCUCUGAUGAAGAGUGACGUGUAGAUCCCUUGGUCAGUUAGAAGCAGACCAUACCAUACCUGCAGCGCCACAGAACAGUGAAGGAAGAGAUGGGUGAUUGAUUCAUUCAGCUGCCCACACAUCAUACAGAGAGGGGAUAAGUUUUGCCCUCUUUGUACUAAGUUGUCCACAGUUAGGGUCCUGUUCAUUAAGGCAGCCCAGAAGAACAACUUAAUUUUAACUGGCAGUUGAACUUUCCAGACUAACUUAACUGGGAAAGGAAAGGUUUCCCUUGUGAUGUCUUGUCCAGCCACCAGCAGUCUGUCAUACAUUGAUUUAACCGUGUACUCGCCUGACUUGUCCCAAAUCCAUUGCCAAGAAUCCUCAUCGUCUUCACACUCUACACUGUUUAGAAUAUUUUGGAGUGCCUCCACUUGUUGUUGUUCUUCGACAUUUCCAAUUCUGACUAAGAAUAAGUUCCAUGCCGUGUAAGUUUCAGUUUGCAGCCUGAACUCAUACACCAAUCCCCUUUUUCUUCUUGACAUUCUAUAGACCAUGGGAAAUUGCUUAAACAAUGGCCCGUUGCCCACCCAAGUGUCUUUCCAAAACUGGAUCUUGAGCCCGUUCCCUAGUUUGCAAUGUAUUCCUUCCUUAAACUGUGAGACUUUGGCCAAAAUUCCUCUCCAUAAGCUGCAACCAUAGGAUUGGGUUACCUUCUUUGGCCACAAACUGAUACCUUCACCAUACUUAGCGGUUAUAACUCUUCGCCACAGUGCUCCUCCUUCCUUAUUGUAUCUCCAAACCCAUUUUAGUAAGAAUGCCGAGUUCAUGUGCUUCAAUCGCCGAAGACCCAAACCUCCUUGCUGUUUAGGGGAACAUACUACUUCCCAAUUGAUCAAAUGAUAUUUUCUCUUGUCAUCUGUAGAGCCCCAGAGGAAUGCUCUCAUCUUCGCCUCUAUCCUGUCACAAAUACUCAAGGGAAUCGUGAAUAGUGACAUUUGAUAAAUGGGGAGAUUAGAUAGAACAUUCUGCAAUAGUACCAAUCGACCUCCUUGCGAUAGGAGUCUGCAUUGCCAUCCGCCAAUUCGAUUCUGGAUUCUUUCAACAAUUGAGUCCCAUACCACCUUACUUUUAUAACCAGCGCCGAGUGGCAUACCGAGAUAUGUGCAAGGUAAUGUCGCGAUUCCACACCCAAGAAUAUCAGCAUAGAUUUGGAUAUUAUCGACCUCACCUACUGCCAUUACCUUCGUCUUGUUCAUAUUCGCUUGAAGUCCCGACACAGCCUCGAAAAUAAGAAACAGAGAUUUCACUACCAUCACUUGGCUGAUAUUUGCGUCACAUAGAACCAAUGUAUCAUUUGCAAAUUGUAGCAGAGCCACUUCGGGUGCAGAUUGGUUAACUUUAAACCCCCUCAAAAGCCCUUCAUCCAUUGCUUUUGAGACUAAUUUGUUCAAUGCCUCCAUAACAAUAUUAAAUAGAAACGGGGAGAUCGGAUCCCCUUGCCUCAAGCCCCGCUUACUUUUGAAAUGCCCCCUUAGGACUUCCAUUAAUGAGAAUCGAAAAAGAAGCUGUUGAAACACAAAUUGAGAUCCACUUCCUCCAUUUGUCUUUAAACCCCAUCCUCUUUAAUAAGUAAUUGAGAACCUCCAGCAAAACACAGUCAUAAGCUUUUGCUACAUCAACCUUAAUGAGGAUUCCAUUUUCACCUUUUCUUUUCUUCGAAUCCAUACACUCAUUCGCGAUGAGGAUUCCAUCAGUAAUCUGGCGUUGUCCCACAAACGCGCUUUGCUCAUGCGAGAUAAGAUUUGGUAGGCAAAUUCUCAAUCGAUUCGCAAGAACUUUGGAUACCACCUUGUAUGCCCCUCCUAUCAGGCUUAUCGGCCGAAAGUCUGUAAUGGUAACUGCUCCUUGCUUUUUGGGGAUCAGAGUUAAGAAAGUUGUGUUCAAUCCCCAGUCGAGAAAAGGGUGUGUUUCCAAACUCUUGAAGAUUGCCAUCAUAUCUGUUUUGAACGUGGACCAACACUUUACAAAGACCUCCAUUUGAAAUCCAUCUGGGCCUGGAGCCCGAUCCCCACUAAACCCUUUGAUUGCAUUUAAGACUUCUUCCUCUGAGAAGCCCACCUCUAGAGUAUCUGCUUCCUCUGGGCUUAAUUCUGCAAAAUCGAGUCCAUCCAACACUGGUCUCGACAGGUUUUCCUCUUCAUAUAGAUUCUCAUAAAAGUCUACAAUAUGUUCUUCAAUCUGCUCCUCCUCUGUUAUUGUUCCUCCAUCGAUCUGUAGCAAAUUUAUGCCAUUUGCUCGGUAUCGCAUACUAGCAUAGCGAUGGUAGUAUGUCGUAUUACAUUCCCCUUCCACUCUCCAUUUGAUUCUCGCCUUUUGUCGCCAAGAGAUGUCAGCCUUUUUGAGCAAAUUACUAAGCUCCUCUUUCAGUAGAGCUCUAUACCCCUCUUCCUCAUUGGACAAAGCGACAGUCUCCUCCUUCUUGUCGAAUUCAUCCACCUCUUUCAGUUUCUCCUCGAUCAGUCGAUCAACUCUGUCGAAUGAAACCCGGUUCCAUUCCCUGAGCUUAGCCUUUAAGCUUUUCAUCUUUUUCCACCAAUUAUAGCUUGGGUUGCCUUCAUUUGGGAAGGAAGACCACCACUCAUUAAUAAGCUGAAUCAAAUCUGUGCUUUCGAACCACAUGAGUUCGAAACGAAACGGCGAUGGAUCCUUUGGUUUCUUGUUACAUUCGAGCAUAAUCACCCUAUGGUCAGAUUCAAAUUUCUCAAGAGCGAAUUCAUUUGCUUGAGAGAACUCUUCAUCCCAAUCUAAAGACGAAAGGAAGCGAUCAAUUCGGCUAGCACUUCUCGAAUUCGACCAUGUAAAUAAAGCCCCUUUUAACGGAUAGUCAAUUAAACUAUUUCGAUCAACAAAGUCUUCAAACUCUUUCAUGUAUCUAUCCAUUCGACAUCCACCCUUUCUUUCAAAGGUGAAGCGAGGAAUAUUGAAGUCACCUCCCAAUACCCAUGGCCAGUUCGACCACUCUCUGAUUUGCUGCAGUUCCUCAAGAAACUGAGAUCGAUUACUAUCAAUACAAGGCCCAUAGGCAGUUGAGACGAUACACUCAAACCCACUGCUCUUCACAGUACACUUUAUAGAUAAAGUGUAAUCACCUGCCCUCGUCUCUUCAACCUCGAUUGAAUCUGAAUUCCAACCCAUAGCUAUACCCCCAGAUACCAUUGGAAGGAACAUACAAAUUUCCAAGGGUGCCUCCAUAACCACCUCAUAAGUAGGCUUUGCUGCAUUACUUAACUUCGUCUCUUGUAUCAUAAUAAUAUUUGGUUUCCUCGUCUGCAUCAAACUUCUCACACUAGCACAAGUAGCAUUAUUCCCCAAACCACGAGCAUUCCAUGAAAUAAGAUUAAUCGACAUGAUUAACCUCUUCAUCCCUGAUGUUAAUUUCCUCAUCUUCUGAUUGCUCAUCCUGGUUUUGUGUUAUGAUUGUUUUGCCUUUAUUUAAUUCGGUGAAUAGCUUCACCAAUCCUCUAUUGUCCAAUGGUGAUGUCAUCCCAAACUUCUUAGCUAGAGGUACCACUACCCACUUUAUGAGGUUCUCUGUAUCCCCAUUUUGUCUGCAUCUGAUUAAGAUCUCCGCAAUCUCUUCAUUUGAUAGCCUUGACUCUCUUUCAGUGAAAUUUGCGCCAGAUAUAGGCGAAUUUGGUACUAUACUGGGUUGGGAUUCUUCGUCUUCUCGACUAAGCAAUGGAAAAAAAGGAAUAGCUUCUUCCGAUUGAGUUUGACCAUUCAUUCUGACUCUGGGCCUGCUUAGCCCGUUUCUUCUUCGUGGGCCUCUAGAUGCACUUCUUCCUCUAGCUGUGGCCUUUAUCCACAAUUUGUUGUGAAACAACGUGUUACCCAGUGAGGCUUGUCUUCGUUGUGGGCCUUUGUUUCUGUUCUGUCUUCUGGGCUUGUUUAUAGGAGUCACAAACUCUUCAUCCGCUUGAGUUUCAGAUGGACCGCCCUUAUAAGCACCCUCUUCUUCUUGGGCUUGGGCUUGGGCAGAGCAAUCCCCAGAUUCCGUAGUAAGACCUCCUGACUGAUCGUCUUGUAUUGCUAAUAAAGUAAAAGGGUUUCUACUCACGAAGUUAUCUCCACAACCAAGACUGGUCUCAGCCGCAUUCACACACUGAAUCUCCCUUCUUUCUAUUUGGCAUCUAUUCUCAACAAAACCAGGUGGUUGUGAGACUGAGUAUGACAUGUCCCUAUCACUGACAUUUCUAUCAUACACCUCUUCCAGCUGACCGACAGGUUGUACACUCGGAUGUUGAAUCACGUGAUCAACAGAGGUAGCUGUACGAAUGUAGCUUUUUGAAAAACAGUCAACGACUUCAACUACUACCGGUGAUCGGAUUCCCCUUUCCGUUAAGAAGAUCAAUCUCGGAAUUUUAGAAUAUUCCGCUCCCUUCAUUGACACCGAGCAGAAUCCAUUUGUUGGGGUGAGAGUAUCUUCAUCCACCUUUGCAUUGUUACCGCACACUUUUGCCAAGUCCUCAACAAUAGAUCGGACUCUCAGGUGGUAGGGGAUACCAUAGAAUCUGAUAAUAAUCUCUUUACACCAGCAACUCAUCUCUUCAUGUGUGAUGCUUCCCGACUCCGGCGUCCAUUUAGAAAAGAUGAACGAUCCUUCCCAAUUAACCAAUGGUGGCAUAGCAAGCAGUCUAAGUGAUUCUUCCUCCGACUGAAAUCCCACUAUAGCUUCCCUUUCUUUUGUAAUUUUGAUUUCAGCCAUCGGAUACACCUCUUUCACUUUAGACUCAAACCAUUGCCAAUCAGGAAUGAUACAAUUAGUCUUGCAUAGAACAAUUGAUUUCCACCAUGAGUCAUUAGCCUUUCCUCUUCCUGCACUUAUCAAAACCUCUUUCACCGUCAUGUUAUUUUCAUUCCCUGGUCUCUGUCUUACAGAUUCACAUGCUAUUGGGUAGGAUGAAGUUGUAUUCGUGUUCACUGGCCUUUGUGCAUCUCUUGUUGGUGAGAUGACAUUAUCGUCCAGAAAACUCCUUAUUGAUGCACCCAAAUUGCCCCACCCCUUUGUCUGAUCUCCUGCUGGGAAUCGAAGAGAGGAAAAUUUUCUCUUUGCAUUCCGUUUAAAGACUGUAACUUACAGAAACUGACCUCUUGCAUUUUGCUUCAAGAUUGCCAGCAUAUGACCAUUGGGUUCCAAUUGCUUGAAAGAUGACCCCAGAUCUGUAUUCCCCUUUGAGAUUUGGGAGAGAAGCUUCCCCAACCAUCUCCCUGCCUCCAGCGAACAAGACGCCGUGAAUGUUCCUUUCCUUGUUGUCUUCUCCUUCAGCCCAACUACCCAGUCUACAGAUGUUGAUUCAUUUCUGGUAAACGUGAAGUUCUUUCCUUCAACUCUCACAUUAAUACUCCCUUGAUUUCUCUGUGGAUCAUUACCCAUUCUACCAAUAACAAAGCCGUAGCAAACACCUCACCAGAGCACGACAGAAUUCAUCUGAGAUUGAGAUCUAGGUACAGUGGUAGAGAAUAUCCGGGCUUCCCUCUCCCACCUCCUUCCAUACUUACCACAGCCUCCAAACGGACACUCACCGGAAAGUUGUGUAUUCACCCAAAUUUGGAGAACAUGGUACAGAUGAUAGUGUAUCCCGGGAUUCCCUCUCCCUCGGUACCUCAGCUAUCACUGUAUUGUUCCACCGAUCUCCAAGCUCGGACUACUAGUGUAAUUGAAGUUAAGACAAGAAAUCGCCUCUUCCAAAUUGUAAAUAGUGGCCCAAAAUUCAAUUUAUCAAUUCAAGCCCAGAAGUUUUGUUCUGUGGAAAAACCGUCCUUUCUCACGAAGAUAGUGUAGGACAAUAUAUCAAAAAUUCGGUAAAACAAAAUUGAUUUUAAGAACAUUGUAGUACAAUGCAACACCAGUAAAAAAAACCAAUGAAAGUUUUGUAGGAAGGAAGACCCAUGAAAUAAUCACUGGUCAAACAAGAUAAAAAACCACUACACCAGAUAUGCUAGUGAUUUUGGAUAGUCGGUAAUAUCAAAUGUUAUUACUGAUAUUUAUUAAUGCACUAAACACCAAUGAAAGUUGCAGCCACUUAUUUUUUUGUUGAUGCUACUGAAAACGAAUGGAUGAUCUCCUUCAUGAUAGAGGUUAAGCUGGUAAAUGGCCUUCAGAAUCAAGUAUCUCAACAACAUAUGAUGUGACACUGAAGCACAAGCUUUCCCAUCAAUAGUAGAUAAACCUUUUGACCGAUCUAAAACUUAAAUAUUUGCCCACAUGUAAUGCUAGGUAGCGAAGUAGAAUGAACUUAUGCAACUGAGCGUUCUCUCUUAUCCUUAGUAGUCUCAGUAAGGAUGACACACCACUGAAAUCGAUAAUAGUUGUUGAAUGUUGUACACGCAAAAAAAUGCUCUGGGAAAACAAAUUUUUCCGAUGCAAUGAUAGCUUCUGUAGCCACAUCAAAAUUCAUGUGAUCAAGUUGUGUCACUAAAGGACCAACAAAUCCGAUUUCCCUCGCCUAAAAGUCAUGACCUAAUGACCCAUUCGCCUUUAUGGUAGGAAUUUGGAACUAGGGAGUUUCUUCCUUUUGAAUGAUCCAAACAAUCUGAUCUACAACUGCCUUUGUAGCAGGGGAAAUUAAUCUUAAAUGCAACACGUCUGAGAUCAACAUUCAAUUUUGUUGCACCAGCAAUUUCCAUGACAUUCAUUACGCAAUUAAACUGCAAAUCCCCUAGCUCUUUCUCAAUAUAUUCUGCAAAUCAAUGCAACAACGACACAAGUGGUCUAAUUACAUUCUCCUUAGCUAGCAAACUCCUAUUGAAUUCAGAAUUUUCAACUGAAGUCUUAACCAACAUUGGUAAAUCUCAAAGAACCUCCACAAUUAUUGGUAACUAAGUUCGACAACAAUUUGUCUUACCCUUUCUUGGUCAAUAGCCAAAUUAGCCAAUGCAAUUGUUGCUUGUACUACAUAUAUAUAAAAUAUGGUAAGGAAAUAUUAAAAUGGUUUCUCACAAAGGAUUAAUAUGAAGCGGAACAAUGUGCAUAUAAAAUGUAUAGUUUUGUUGCUCGAUUGGAAGUGAAAAACAGGUUUAAGAUAAUCAACAAGUAAGUUAACAUUUCUUUCAUUUUGGAGACAAAGCUACCAAAAGACACACAAGAAAACAUGAAUUUAAAAGGUCUAUGCAAAAUCAAACGAUAAGUACAUACAAUAGAUAAGUUUUUUGUUACACAUGAGGUUAAUAUUUUCCAUCAAACAACAUUCCCCAGUAAAACCUUAGUAAAGGGUUGAACUUCAUUAUUUACAAGAUCUUGCAUGGGCUUAAGCCCAAAACAAAACUUAAUGAUUUGUUAAAACGAAAAAAACAUACUCAUAAAUAUUGCACAAUAUAAGAUAAAAAUCGAUAGACUCAAUGUUGUUUUCUUUGGCAAGCCUUCAACAGUUUCUAAAACCAAUAUGUGUGAAUGCUUAUUAAGAAAUGUAAGAAAUAACGAACAAAAAAUAAAAAGAUAUACAAAACUAUCUGUAUGAAGAUCUUAACAAGACUUUUGGAUACAUGGUCGUCAUAGAUUGGACCAACAAUAUGAAUUAGAUGAGAAACAAAUAACUUGAAUGCUCUAUACAUUGUCAAUUAGGUGGUUGGAACAUUUAAAAUAAAAUUAUAAUAUAUGUUCAAUAUCAAGCACAAUAUAACUACAAAAAGUAUGAAAAUUGCAAAAUUAUCUUUACUUCACGGGUGGGACAGCGAACACCAGAAAGGACCUUCGGAACACUGCGACAUGCUGCAUGAAGUUCUCCACCAGCAACUAUAUGAAUGACUGUCACAAACAAUCAUAACAUUAUAGAACUAUUAAGGAAAAAAUCACUUACUAAAAUAUUAAAUAAAUAAAAUUAACAAAUGAUGAAGUGGGAGAAAAACCCUGUUGAAGAGAUGAGCUUUCUCAAUCCGAAGAUCCAUUUACCUUUUUUGAACAUAUGAAAUCAAUUCAUUACCAUGCCCAAUGACACAACUCCAUAGAACGUUCCAACACAAGUUCCCCACAAACAUCACCAUAACCGUUAUUUCAUUGGCUUAUUUUUAAUUAUACGUAUUUUAUUUUUUAACUAUAAAUGUUUGGAACACAAUAUUUUCAUGAAUACAACCUCACGUAACUGUAAGUAAAAACAAUUGAAUGCAAAACAAAUAAGACCUUUUUUGCUGCAGGGAAUAGAUUAUUUGUAUGGUUACUUGCAACUAGAAUCCAAGACAUGAACUGAUGCACUAACUAUUUUGCACUGAAUUUCAAAUUUACUAUAAUAUUAUUAGUUGGAGUUAAAAAAGGCAUAUGAUCAUCAUAAAUGUUUAAUGUUUAAAAUUUUAGUUUAUCAUAUGGAUGAAAUUAGCGUGGCGAAGCCAUGGGUACAAUUAGUAUAUAUAUAUAUAUAAUGGACUUAUUUUAUGGACUGUAUAGUAGUACUAGUAACUUUUUAAAAUUUUACGGUCAAACCAACUAAUACAUCCGUCGCUGGCUUUAUAUCUCUGAACCUAAAUUAUAUCAUGGAAAUGAUAAAAUCUAGCUUUGCAUCGUCUAAACCUAAAUGCGACCUGCAUUAUUUUCACAUAAAAGUGGUUACGCGAAAAUACCACCUCAAUUAUGAGUAAAGUUUUGCCCUAGCUGGUUGGGGACACCCAAAAUAUUCUUGCUGAUGUAAUUAGCACAUGAACAUCUUGUGAGAGUAUAACACGAACGAGGUUGUACGGAUACUAAAUACAAAAGCCAAUCACGCCAUGACAUGUGGCACAUCAAUAUUAUCAAACAAGUCGCACUUAUUACGUUCUGACGCGAUCUAACUAGAGCAGCUCGCAUACAUGACCGUUGGUGACCUCCGUUCAGACACGUGCGCUAAAUCAAUGCUCAGAAGAUAUUCGGUCCGUUACACAUUGCUUACCAAAUAUCCCGUAAUCAAUGGACUUCGGAGAAUCUUCAUGAUCCCAUGAUCUGCGCCUUUCCACCUUCUAUAAAAUCGACAAAACUACGAUGGCUUAAUCUCUAAGUUCCACUCCUUCGAGAGCUAGAGUACGUAGGCAAUCUCGACCUUACGAGAUGGAGCCACACCCGAUCUCAAACUCCCAUCUUGGUUAGCCUCCUUGCGACCUGACCCUGACUAAUGGAUUAAUCUGGAAACAGGUUAAUACAUUUGGUACCAACUUAAAAGAUUCAGUUGUAUCAAAAAACCAACCCUCCCAAAACUCCAAAUCCUAGGCAACUCUCCACUUAUCCAAUGGCUAAUCAAGAACCGAGAUCUAAGGAACCAACUUUCUCGUUUACAUCACAACUUAAAGCUAGUACCACCGACUCUAACAACGGUCAGACCAGAGUCGUUGCCACAGAUAGCAACAACCGCAAGUACGAAGAACUCAGGCAACAACUUGUUGAAUUCAAGGCCUCCCAGGCCGCAAGCCAACUUGGACGAGGUUGGACAACAGAUGAACAACUCGCAAUCCAGUCUCUACAACACUUUCAAGAAUCACCAUUCACAAAGAAGAUACUGGAGCACGACCUGCCAACCAAACUCAAUGCACCAAAGUUAGACCAAUACUCCGGAGUAGGUGAUCCAACAGAUCACGUCAAAAGCUUCUGAAAAUUGCUCCCACUAAUCAAAGAGGAUCAUCUGCUAUGCCUACUGUUCCAAUCCAAUCUCUAGACCAGCGCUCGACUGGUUUCACCACCUCAAACCAGGAUCAAUCGAGUCUUUCAGCGAACUCGAGAAACAGUCCGCCAUCUUCUACAUACACAACAAGAAGCGUCCAAUUACUAUCGACGCGAUGUUUAAAGUAAAUCAGAAAGAACGAGAGUUGUUGAGUGAUUUUUUCACUCGAUUUAAAACUGAGGUACAUUUAGUUCAAGACUUUGCAAAAAACCACCAGCCUUUUGCCACAAUAGCUUUCUUACACGAUCUGAUCCCUGGAUCCGACCUCCACAAGUCAUUGGCUGUAAAGCGGCAAACAUCUCUCGACAAGCUGUAUGUGUUGGUACGUUAUAUCAAACUUAAAGAAGCCCUGGUCGAAAAGGUUAAGAGCCACGUUAUAGGAAAUGUACAAGGGGGCUCCACCAAAGGCUCUCGAUCAGAAAAGAACAGAAGGUUCAAAGCCAAGCCACUGCCUACAGAGCAGCGGGAAUAUCACAGAUUUACACGACUUGCAUCAUAUAUCUACGAGAGAAUCAAACACCAUCACUGGUGCAAGAUUUCAGAUUUCACUUCACUCGAGGAGACAACUGGUCGUCCUUACUGCAAGGUCCACAAGGUGAGAUGCCACCAAACAAAUGAUUGCUGCAUACUGAAGCGAACUCUUCAAACAUGGGCAGAUGAAAAGAGGCCGAACAACAUGCAAGAUGAGCCCGCUGAAAAGAAGAACAAAAAGAGGUCCAAAACUCCGCCACGUUCUGAUCAACGAUCUCAAAGCAAGACCAGAGUUGUUUCUCCAAGUCAUUCAUGUAGUAGAGGGCGUAGCCUCUCCAGAAGAUUAGCUCCCACUGGCGACCAACGUGAUCAAAUCAACAAGCAGGACGCAAAUAGGAUAGAAGAAUAUAGUGAGAUAGAGAGUCAUGUCAUUUACAUGAUCUACGAGUCUAAUUCCACACCAGUUCCAAGGGAGAAGAAAAGACGUGUCGAAUAUCUUCACCACGUCUACUCGAUCACAGGGCGAACAACACGAACCAAUGUGCCUGCUCAAUAGGAUACACACCUAUGUAGCACAGAAGACGAUCUCAACAAGUUCGUAGUUCCACACAAUGACACUUUGGUCGUUGAGUUGCGAAUAACUAACUAUACUGUGAAGAGGUCCUAAUCGACCCUUGGUGCGUUCUGUAACAUCUUGAUGUACAAGACCUUUAAGGAUAUGAGUCUCCCUGAUUCAGUUCUUAUCCCUAACUUCACUCGGAUCCUUGGAUUCAACAGUUCAAGGGAAAACCCAAAGGGGAAGAAAUUGCUGCCCGUUACCAUUGGCAGAAAAGAAGACAAAGUUACUCUCACCGCUAAGUACACUGCAAUACUUGGCUGCAAAUGGAUCCUCUCCAUGGGAAGAUCCUAUCCACCUACCAUUAAGUCUUCCGUUAUCGUGGUCCCAAUGGGAUAAUGGAACUCAGAGGAAACCAGAACGUACUCGGCACAGGGAUGUCAUGGCAUCAUAGAAGCUGUGACAAGCGAGAAGCCAUCGACUUCAGUGAUAGAAUAGUUUUGGCUACUAUAAACAAAAGAUUAUAUUUUUAACUUGAAGUUUCUUCUUGUGCCUGUAUAAAUUGGAUAUCAAAAUAGACAAGUAACAAGCAAGGGUCGUACACACCUCAGAGGGAGAGAUCUUAGCUCAAACACAAUAGAAAAUAAUGGUUAAGAAACACCAAGGGAAUCAAUAAUAAGAUUGGAUAUUGAUUCUACUUCCUACAGGCAAUAAUAAUAAGUAAACCCUAACUUAAGAAUAUGGUAGAGAUGUAAAGAAGAUAUAUGAUGACAUAGGGAGAAUAGUUGGUAUCCACAAAGUAAAUCAUGCAAACAUAACAUGUUGUUCCUUCAUGUUCAAUCUAUAACAAUCAAUUAGUCACCUCUCGGUUAUUCCAACUAAUUAUUAAUACCUAUAAUAAUCAAGUAGUCACCUCUCAGCUAUUCCACCUAAUUAAAACGGGACUCUCUUAUGCAUGCUAUUGAAUAUGUCUUAUUAAUUAAACCGCCACCUCUCAGCAAUUCAAUAUAAUGAACUUAACAUAUUGAUUCACCUCUCAGCUAUUUGAUUUAAUUACAAACGGUUCCAAUAAAAGAUAUCAACUGCAGAUAUGUAAUAAUCACUUCUCAACUAUUUCACUACACAUCUUUGAUCAAUAUAAAUAAAACCAUUAAAGCUAGGUCUCCCUAAACCAUAACAAUAAUAUUUUAACAACAUGGAUAAUCAAUAACAUACAAAUAAUCAUACUUACCUUAUAUCGCGAAUUAGAAGUAAAUAAGCAUUAAGUAUUUCGAAUCACAAAGAACAAUAAAAACAAACAUUGUGCAUCAUCUAGAGUGCUUCAACCAUCCCCCUAAGGAGAUUUAGCUACUCAUCCUUGAUGAUGACACCAUGGAAUAAAUAAAUAAAUAACAAAACAUCAUAAUGGAAAAAAUAAUGGAAUAAAUAUUGAAUAUUGAGUUUGAUACAAAAGAAGAAGAAGAAGAUGAACUUUUCUCUUCAAUCUUCAAUUCAUAAAAAGCUACCUAAACCAUAACUACUACUUCUCUUAUAUAGAAAAUACAAAGUAGAAUACUUGCAUGCAAAGACUUCGAAAUUAGGUCAAAUUCGUGGCUGCUGCUGUUCUUCUAGAGACAUUAGGUUUUCAGGAAAACCUAAUUCUCUUGGGCUUAAGUUGUAGCUUGGGCCAAGACCUUCAACUUGGUAGCUCAUGGGCCCAAAUCAGACUUCUGGAUCUCCUUGUAGAGCAUUUUUAAGUUUGGACUUAAAACAAGGCCUAAAAUAGAAAUUCUGACUUGUGGGCUCCAGUAGGACCCGGUUUGGGCUGAGAAUUGGACCGCCCCACUUUGACAUAAAGUCAAGUCAACUGGACUGACCGUGGGGUGCCCUCAGAAGAUCUGUGGGUGCAAAUAUCAAUUAUCCUUCCCUUGUGCAAAUAACACCUUUUUGCUUGCUUUUCUUGACUUUUGGCGGGCUUUAACAUAAUAUUCGCAUUUCGGCUAAUGAAACCUACACAAUAGACAAGAAAACUCUAAUCAAUAGAUAUAACACAAUAAUAUAAGCUAAGUGUUACAAACAAGGUGCUAUUCGGGGGAUAGAUAUACACUUUUCAGGACUUAUCACUCAACCAAUAAGGAAGUCACAACUCCAACAAAUGAUGCUGCCAAAGGAAAAGCCGAGGCCACGGAUACAGCCAAAUAACAAUAACAAAAGGAGCAAACGAGCUCCCCUCAACUCUCUCUUAGAAGCACAGAUCUUGGCGUACAAGUGAACCUGGGGUCGGAGGACGACCCCAAGUACGUGUAUGUGGGCUCAGAGUUAGAAACAGAUAAGUACAAUGAAUUUGUAAUUUUUCUUUCUCAUAAUAAAGAUAUUUUUGCUUGGUCGUAUAUCGAUAUGCCUGGUAUAGAUCCUUUGAUUGCAUGUCAUAAGUUACGGGUAGACCCUAAUUAUCAACAUGUUAAGGAAAAGCUAAGGCGACUUGCACCUAAAUUUCAUUAGGCCGUUAAUGAUGAAAUAAACAGACUCAAACAGGUUGGAUUCAUUAAAGAGGUCAACACACCAGAUUGGCUAGCCAACAUAAUUCCAGUCUUGAAAAAGAAUGGGAAGAUGAGAAUUUGUAUUGACUUCACAACCUUUAACAAAGUUUGUCCUAAAGAUUCAUUUCCACUCCCACGAAUCGAUAGGCUAGUCAAUCAAAUCUACGGUAUCGAGCUUCUUUCAUGGACACGUAUCCAGGAUAUAACCAGAUCCCAAUUUAUGAGCCCGAUGAAAUCAAGAACUCAUUCACCACAGAAAUAGGAAUCUUUUGCUACAAAGUCAUGCCAUUCAGCCUCAGAAACGUAACAGCAACCUACCAAAGGCUAGUUCCAAGAUGUUCAACGACCUUCUAGGUCGAACAAUGGAAACUACAUAGACGACAUGCUCGUUAAAAGCGGCCAAGAUCAAAGCCACCUCGCAAAUCUCGAUCAGACAUUUUAAAGACUGCGAUAAUACAAGAUGAGACUCGAUCAAGAGAAAUGUUUAUUUGGGGUCGCAUCAGAGAAAUUUCUCGGUUACCUGGUCACCUGAAGAGGAAUCGAGGCAAACCCCUAUCAGAUCAGAGCCCUGGUUGAUAUACCUAGCUCGAGAACAAAGAAGCAAAUUAAAAAGUUGAAUGGCAUGGUAUCAGCUCUCAAUAGAUUCAUUUCUAAAGCAUCCGAUAAAUGCCGACCAAUGCUUUAAAUUCUAAUGAAGGGGGUUGCAUAUCAAUGGACCGAAGAAUGUGAACAAACUUUUGUCGACCUCAAGGCAUAUUUAUCUACUCCACCAGUUCUCACCCACCCUAAUUAUGGAGAUGUGCUCGGAAUCUACCUUGCCACUUCUGAUUUUGCGAUCAGUGCGGUACUAUUCAAAGCGGAAAAUCAGGUCGAAAGACCUACCUACUUCACAAGCAAGGUAUUACAACAAGAAAAAAUAAAGUACACACUAUUAGAAAAGCUAGCAUUAGCUCUUUUAUACGUCCCAUGCAAGUUGCGACGCAUCCUAGAAAAAAAAAAAAACAGGUUGGAUGGCUCGAUGGGCCGUUGAGCUCGGUAACUACACCUUUGAAUUCAUACCCCGCCAGGCCGUCAAGGGCCAGGUCGUAGCUGAUUUCUUAGCAGAUUACCCUGCUGAAGAUUCAAACUUGGAACCAGAACCAGAUACCAGACCAGCCCAAGUCGAUCCCCCAAACACUUGGCAACUAUAUGUUGAUGGUUCACACCACACAAAUGGCAGUGGCAUCGGGGUCAUACUCAUCUCACCUAAGUAGGGGUGCAAUGCGAGCCGCUCAAGCCGAGCUAAGGUUGAGAAACUACAAAUAGUGCUAGUAUAACAAAUGUGAAUUCAAACAAACAAACAAAUAAUAUGCAGAAAGUAAAUAACACACAGAGAUUUUUAACGUGGUAAAACCCAAACAGGGAAACGUCCACGGUUGUCCUCGCGACAACAAAAUAAUCCACUAGAUGAAAAGAGAUGUACAAACCUAUCAACUACCUGCACUCACUGCGAGUUGAUACUCCUGGUUAUCUCUAACACCUUGACUUCACCAGAGCACCUUGAUGUACGCACAAGACACUCGACUUCUUGAUGAACACACAAGAAGACUCGAAGCCGAAUUCACAAUAACACUUGAAGAUCACAAAGAUAUGAAUUGGGAAAAGGGGGAAGAAAGGGAAUUGAGUUCAAUAGCCACAAACAAGUUUAAUACCAAAAACCUAACCAAAACACAUGAACAAGAAGAAGGAUGGACGGCCAAAGAACUGUCUUGUUCUGUAGAAGAGAAACCCUAUUUAUACUUAGGGUUGAAAACCUAGGAAAAUGGGCCGAAACUGAGCAAACCGACUUUGGACGUUCGUACGUCGAUAUGACGUUCGAACGUCGCCACACAAAAAUAAGCCUGCUGCCUAACAUGACGUACGAACGCUCUAAACACGUACGUACGUCUCCAUACGAAAACAUGUCUGCUGACUACCUGGACGUACGAACGUCCUAACUGAGUACGUACGUCCUGACCAAAAUAUGUUCGCUGCUUCAGUGAACGUACGUACGUCCUAACUCGGUACGUACGUCCAGAACCCAAUAACUUUCCCUAGACUGACCUAAGAGACACAAGGACACGAGACGACCAUGCGUACAUCUUGGUUUUCCUAACAAUGAAUUCAAGGCGAGAUAACCAAAGACACUUUGUCACAAAAUUGAUGUCAAACCACUUCGUGCCGGUUUCAAUCUCCCCCUUUGACAUUGAUUUUGUGACAAAAACCUAUGACUCUAAUAGCACUUAUAAAACGUGCUUACAAUCCCAAACCAUAGCAUUUAUAAAACAUGCCUACAAAAACACUCAAAAUAGAAACAUAUAACAAGUCACCAAUUCUUGUUAUCCAGCUUUAGGAAGAUGCUUUAACCAUCAGAGAUCGAACGGAAGCAAUCAAAGAUUCAACAGAAGUUCCUUCGAGCAACUCCCCCAUACUUCAUGAGCUCCAAAAUUCAUGAGCAACUCCCCCAUACUUCAUGAGCUCCAAACUUCAUGAGCAACUCCCCCAUACGUGCAGCAUACCUGAAACAUGACCCAAAAAUAACCUAACAACAAGAAGACGAUUGUUAGUAAUUAGAGUCAUAAAUCUCCCCCUUUUUGUCACAACAAGUGAACAAAAUAACCAACCAAUCAAAGGAAAAGAAUAACAAUAAACCAAUAAUCAAGAAGAAGAAAUCAAUACCAAACAAAGAAUACAGAACAGAUAAAAAUAUAAACCGAACCCAACUAUUAAAAGUUCAGAAAAUCAACUAAUAACCAAACAGAGAAAUCCAUAAACAGAAAAAACCAAAACGACAAAAAUAGAAAGCUCGAAUUAACGAAUUCGAAAGACCCUUUCCCAAUGACCUAGAGGAAGCUUGGAGAAGUAAGCUUCAGCACGAGCCGAAGGUCGAUUCCACCGAGCAAUCACAUGAUCAUCAUAAUCCUCCAACCAUUCACUCGUACAAAACAACUCUUCAAUUCUGCUGUCCAAGCCACAGUCGGUAAGUGGAGCAGCAAGUCCUGGAACCUUCGGAUAACCAACCAACUCCAAGAUGUGAUUUUGAAGAUGUCCCGGUAAUCUCUCCCAAUGAUUGACACGAACCAAACAAGGAUUAAGAAAAGGACGAUGAAUAUAGUCAUAUCCAUGGGGAACACGACACAAACGACAAACCUUAGCAUUGUUCUUGUACUCCAUUACCAUGAACGACACAUAACCAACAGUCGGAACAAAAAUUCCAUGAAGUUCAUAUUCUGCCAUAGAGAAUUCUGAAGAACAAAGAGAGAAUUAGCAAGAGGUAAGAAGACACAAUAUGAGUGAAAGAGAAAAGACUCCCUAUUUAUAAGAAGAAUAGGAGUAAACAUAUCAUGGACCCAAAAAGAAAGGUCCAUUACCUCAGAAAAAUUUACUGCAAAACAAGGAAACCAACUUGAACUAAUAUGAAAAUAGCAAUAUCCAAGAACAUGUACAAUACUAAAAAAUAGAAACAAACCGAUAUAGCAAAAAAAAAUUUAAGUACAAAAAUGUGGAGAGUAAACCAGAAAAACCACUACUCGGAGUCCGAGUCACCAUCACUCGGUUCACCAUCACCCUCGUCCUCACUCUCUGAGUCAUCACCAUCACUCGCACCUUGAACUGGAGGCACCUCUUCCGGAAACGGAGGCAAGUUUGUGGGAGUGAAGUCCAGCUGCAGAUGCCGCAUCUGAGCAACAUUCAUCGCAUGAAUAUCACUGAUCAUGACAUCAUGACGAGAGAGAAUGGCCCCGAAACGAUCCAACCGAGCAUCCAUAUGGUCCUGAUGACGGCGGAGAGAGGAAACCCGAGCAUCAAUGGCUGCAACAGCCCGAUUUCCCCUAGCAGAAGCAGGGAUGGGGCGUCCAGUGGUCAAGGCCCGAUCGAAAUCAUCAUUACGCACAAGUGCCCUGCCUCCCCAAAUGAGGUGGUGCGUCAGACGCGCACCCACGGACUCGAAAGCCAACUUUCGAGACUGACAGCCCUUUUUAAUAGCAUUGACCCAGUCGUGGCCAACAAACUUUGGAGGGCUCACCCCCAAAUACUGUCCCUGAAAACCCAAGUGCCUGAGAAUUGUCAUAAUAAAGCUAGGGAAAGGAAGAGUACCCUUAGCCGCAUCAAUUUGAAGCAUCCGAUUGUAGAUGACCUCAGAGAGAUGAAUAUGGUGCACCGACAUACAAACCACCAAUUUGACCAUGUCGUCGGUCAUAAUUAUCUUGUUGCCCUUGGUGGGGUAGAUGUUGGAGUGAGCAACCAUGUGCAGGAGGAUGGCGCUGUAGUGCUUGGCAUGGUACCUUUCCGUGACACCAUCAAUAAACAUCUGCUGAACUUGAUUGACAAAGUCAAUUUGAAUUGACUCCGGAACGGGCCAUCUGACAGAGACAGCAUCCUCAGGAACAAAGUCACCAUCAAUACCCAACGCCUCGCGUAUCACCUUAGGAGAAAUGGUGUAUCGCCGGCCUUCAAUCAAAACCGAAAAACUCGAUCGAUUUUGCGAGGGUGUCUUUGUCUCAUAGAAAGCUAUCGUAUGCUCAACCGAGUACUUGGUGAUUGGUUGAGCCACCCUUAGCCAAUUCCGAGUCUCAAAGAACAAUGCGAUAUUGCCAAGUUGAGAUGCCCCUAGAGGGGUGGCAGCAAUGUCUCCCAAGUCGAAGAACCGCUCGGGAACAAUGGCCUUGGCUCGAGGAUGAGCGCCAAGGGAUAAUGGAUGAGACAAACCCGGAGUGGAACCACGACCUCUCGGAGCGCGAGAAGAAGAUGCACCCUUAGAUGUGGAUGCCGUGGAGGUGCGUGCACGCUUUGAAGACAUUUCCUACACAAACACACCAGUACACAAACCAAAAAUGUAAGAAAAUUGACAAAAUAACCAAAUUCAAACCCAUAGAGGCAUUUCAUCAAACACUUGAUGUGCAGAAUUCUAAGUAUAUGCUAUCGACAACAAUGAAGGAAUCGCAAGCACCCAAACACUUAACAAAACAUAAAGAAACAAUAGAGACCAAGAACAAACCACCUCCCAAGGUCAUUACCAACUAAACUGGCGGCAAGAGCUAGUAUAGAAACACCAAGGCCCAUGAAGGCAACAAACAAGCAUACAACCUUAACUUAACAAAAUAUGAUCAAGCAAACCCAAAUUAUCAACAAGAGCAUGACAAUAGAGAAGAGAAGAAGGAACAAAAGAAAACUUACAAGUGAUUGUGAGUGAGAAGGAAAAUCAACAACUUUGCCGACUAACGCACCGGAACAAAAAGUGACAAGGAAACGACAAACCAAAUGCAAGGAAAGGGAAGAGUAGAAGAAGAUCUCCUAAUAUGAGCAAUGAAAACCAAUAUGGUAACUGCUUGUAGUGUGCCAAAGAGGAGGGAACACGAUUUAUAUAACAGUUGGCCUAUGGUUUAAAAACAAGACUUGAAUUUAAACAGCAAAUGGGCCGGACUGUUUCAGGGACGUUCGUACGUCCUAAGUACGUUCGAACGUCGGGACCCAAAAAAAAAACAUCUGUCAAACAACACGUUCGUACGUCCUAGGAACGUUCGUACGUUGCAAAAAGAUCUGUCCCCCUCCACGUACGAACGUCUUGAAAGCGUACGUACUAACCUAACCUUUUUUUUUUUUUUUUUUUUUUUUUUUUUAUUAAAAUAAACUACAUAACCCGAAAAACAGAUAUUGAGAGACAUCACAAGAAAACACGUCUACGUAUCAUACGAAUUCCAAUUACAACCGAUUAUAGUUUAAACAAUCCUCAACCACAAGAUAAUGCAAAAACGAAGAACGACAUCAUACACCAUGACAUGGUAGUUACUAGAAUGAUGCAAGUAUGUAGAAGAACCUGAUAGACCAAUACCAACCUCCGAAGAACAAACUAAAGACAUGAUCAUAGAGAAUAUUGAAAACCCACACUAUUGUUUUUCUUCUUGUCCUUCAACUAGACAAAUGCGAAAGCCACUAUUCAUUCAUUUUUUUUUUUUUUUUUUUUUUUUUUUUUUGUUAUUUUGUAAACCAUUGAAACAGAUGCCAUUCCCGUGUGGGAGUAUGAAAUAUCUCCAUCUUUUACCAGAACACGAGGGUAGGGUGUAGCCUACAUCUUUUCGGCAAAACACACUCAAGAAGUGCAAUACCAUGAUAACGUGCAACACAAGAACUAACAUCUCUUGAGUGCAACCGUCAGAGCAUGACCCUCACAGCCCCAACGGGUUCUUAGCCAAAUGAGUAUGCUCUCAAGACAUUCAAAUGGCUGGGGAUUUUGUGAGUCAUUGACCACUUACAAGAGGUGAGAGAAUAAAUAAAACAACAAACAACGAUCAUGAAAAAUCAACCAUGGAAGACUGGAGUUAAACAUGUAUUGAAAAUGUCAAGCCAACUACAUUGAAGUGCAUCAUGCAAGAAACUACCAAUACGAAGAGAGUAUAAUGUAACCCUACACCUAUGCAUGACACAAAGACAGUUGAGAACGCCAAACUAGAAACAUUUGUAAAAUGAAAUCCACACAAUAGAGAAUGUAGUAUGUCCUCAAUACCAAUAACAACAAUAAAUGACCAACCCUAAACAUCCUAAACACAGACAGUUCCAAUGAACACAUUAGACAUAUGAAUGCAGAAGAGGUGUAGUAACAAUGAAGCAAUUAUCAGAUGAGCGACUGCCAGAUAACACCAAGAUAUUAUUGGAAUCAAAAACAUCACACCUAUUAUCCUCAAACACAACCUUAAAUUUAGCAUCACAUAACUGACUAAUACUCAAUAGAUUUGACCUAAGACCCUUAACAAAAAGAAGCUCAUGACUAUUGAGCGAUUCAACCUCAGAAAAGUUACCUUUACCUUCAACCGGAAGCAAUUUACCAUUACCAAACCUAACCUUACCUCCAUAACCAAGAGUCAGGUUAUCAAUCAGAGUCUUAUCACCUGUCAUAUGACGCGAACAACCGCUGUCAAGAUACCAUGAUGAAGGCAAUGGUUCAACCAAACGAGCCAUGUGAGACACCAUUUUCCUGGAUGCAUCCAUACUCCUAUCCCAGAAAUGUGGUGGUGGAGUAGGCAUGGGUGUUGCUUGAGCACGGUUUCCAUAGGGAGAAGUUCUGGGUAAACCCCACGGAGCAUAGCCAUUCCACAUGUAUGGAGCCUGCAUGGAGAAGGUGGAAGACUUGUUCCAAUAUGAGUUACCUGCAAAAGAAGGAUGAUGAGCAGGAUACAAAUUAUUCCAACAAAAGGCAGAAGUGUGACCCAUGCGACCACAUGUUAGACAUUUAAAGCCUUUGUGUCUUGAGUUCUUUUUCCGAACUUGCUUCACAUGAGUAACCUUGGGUGGCGAUACCACACUAGACACCUGCACAGGAGCAGGAAUAGUGACACUUGUUGGUCGCACAAAUGUAGUGCGGGAAGUGCUAGCAGUAGCAAGGGGAACAGAGGUGUCAUAACCUAAACCAGAUUUAUCUGAAUGGGAUUUACCGAUUCCCAACAGAGAGUUUAGAUUAGCACUUGCUUUACCAAACCCAACCAAUUGUUUGUUGGCAGCAAACAACUCGGCCUUUACUCUCUCAUGCUCCAGUACAAGGGAUCGAUACCGUGUUUCAAGAUCAUUAUUUAGUUUUUCCAGAGUGACAAUACGCACUUGGAAAUCCUCCUUUUCCUUCACAAAUUCUUCCUUUAACAUGUUGGAAUCACCUGUAAGAUUGCAUAUAUCCUGUCCAAGACUCUCUACCUGAUCCUGCAAGACGGUGUUAGAUUUUUCAAGCAACUUUACUUGUUGCAUAGAAAACUUAUACAUGUCACAUAAUUCACCAGUAGUAGCAUGAACACCAGAAUCAGAAACAUUAAUAUCAGUAGAAGAGGAUACAAUACCUCCUGGAUGUUCAUCCAGGGAUGCACUGAAGACCACAUAAUUAGAGACAACAUUCGAGAGAUUCCCAUCAUCAUCUUCAUCUGAAUCAUCCCAUGUGACUGUGAGAUUCGCUUUGGAAUUAUCACCAGGUUUGCGAUCGACCUUCUUAUCACAUUCAUUUGCAAAGUGUCCAUAAUCACGACACUUGUAACAUUGGACAUCUUUACGGUCAACCCGAGCUCUCCUCCCAUCCACAGAGAACCGCUCAAAACCACGACUUCUAGGAGCAUUUGAGGAAUCAGGAAAUCGCUUUCGAGGAUCUCGAUUCUGUUGAUAUUUCAGAAUCUUGUGAAAGCUACGUGACAGAAACGCAUAGUUAUCAUCCACAUCCUGUUCUUCAUCAUCAGAAUGUCCUGUGGAAGGUUCUUUAGACGAUGUAGCUUUGAAUGCAACAGAUUUGUUCUUCAAAGGUUCUUCCAAAGCCUGUUCCAUCUCACAUGUCCUUAGUUUGCCAGCAAGUGUCUCGAUGGACAUGUUCUUAAUCACAUUACUUUCAGUGAUGGCAUCCUUUCGUGAACGAAACCGAGGAGGCAAAGCACGCAAUAUCUUGCGUACCACCUGUGUGUCAGUAUAUGCCUGACCAAUAGCUGCACUGCAGUUGAUGAUGUCUUGGAGACGAAUAAAGAAAUCAUCAAAGGUCUCAGAAUUAUCCAUCCUUAGAUUCUCAAACUGAGAUGUUAACAGUUCCAGCUUACUUUCUUUAACUGUUUCGUCACCUUCAUGUGUACAGAUAAGCCUGUUCCAUGCAUCUUUAGCCUCUUCACAGCCCUGCACCCUACGAAACUCACUAGCAUUUAAUGCCAUGAAAAUAGCAUUGAGUGCCUUGUUGUUAUAAUUUGCCAACAACUUCUGUUCAGGCGUCCACUUUUCACGUGGCGUCAGUGAUGUAACAGCAGUAUCAUCAGUACCUGUAGUAGUCAGAGGUUCUUUCCACCCUGUGACAACAGAAAGCCAGACUUCUUCUCCUAAUGCUUGGAGAUAAGCUCGCAUACGUACUUUCCAAUGACCAAAGUCCUUUCCACUGAAUUGUGGAGGAAGACUUGAAGUAGCAGACUUGUGAGAUUCCAUAAAGCACUAUUGAUCGUUAGCGUGAGCCUUUACGCUCCUUAACCAGCCCCCAGCCUCUGAUACCAAUUGAGAAACUACAAAUAGUGCUAGUAUAACAAAUGUGAAUUCAAACAAACAAACAAAUAAUAUGCAGAAAGUAAAUAACACACAGAGAUUUUUAACGUGGUAAAACCCAAACAGGGAAACGUCCACGGUUGUCCUCGCGACAACAAAAUAAUCCACUAGAUGAAAAGAGAUGUACAAACCUAUCAACUACCUGCACUCACUGCGAGUUGAUACUCCUGGUUAUCUCUAACACCUUGACUUCACCAGAGCACCUUGAUGUACGCACAAGACACUCGACUUCUUGAUGAACACACAAGAAGACUCGAAGCCGAAUUCACAAUAACACUUGAAGAUCACAAAGAUAUGAAUUGGGAAAAGGGGGAAGAAAGGGAAUUGAGUUCAAUAGCCACAAACAAGUUUAAUACCAAAAACCUAACCAAAACACAUGAACAAGAAGAAGGAUGGACGGCCAAAGAACUGUCUUGUUCUGUAGAAGAGAAACCCUAUUUAUACUUAGGGUUGAAAACCUAGGAAAAUGGGCCGAAACUGAGCAAACCGACUUUGGACGUUCGUACGUCGAUAUGACGUUCGAACGUCGCCACACAAAAAUAAGCCUGCUGCCUAACAUGACGUACGAACGCUCUAAACACGUACGUACGUCUCCAUACGAAAACAUGUCUGCUGACUACCUGGACGUACGAACGUCCUAACUGAGUACGUACGUCCUGACCAAAAUAUGUUCGCUGCUUCAGUGAACGUACGUACGUCCUAACUCGGUACGUACGUCCAGAACCCAAUAACUUUCCCUAGACUGACCUAAGAGACACAAGGACACGAGACGACCAUGCGUACAUCUUGGUUUUCCUAACAAUGAAUUCAAGGCGAGAUAACCAAAGACACUUUGUCACAAAAUUGAUGUCAAACCACUUCGUGCCGGUUUCAAAGGUAUGCUCGAACUCGGCUCGUUACUAACCGAGCCGAGCUCGAGCCGAGCUCAAAAUUAAGAUCGAGCUGAACUAUGAGCUCGAGCUCGGCUCGCGAGCCAACAGUAAAACUCGAGCUCGGCUCGCUGGCUCGUUGGCUCGUUUGGCUCAUUUGGCUCGCUGGCUCGUUUGGCUCGUUCGGCUCGUUCGGCUUGUUUGGCUCGUUCAGCUCGUUUGGCUCGUUCAGCUCGUUUGGCUCGUUAUAAUACUAAUUCACUGAUUUGAUCAAAUGAACCAAUUGCAUGUAAAAGAUAUGUAUUAAUGUGUGUGUAUGUAUAAUAGCUGCUGUGAUGGGAUAUGUUCCUGAUUGGAAUUAAGGAUUUUUUUUAGUGUAAUAGCUAUUAUACUAGCAACUCAUGCUUUAACCACAUAAAUUGGCUUUUCUAACAAUCCACACCAAUAAGGAAAGGAAUUAUUUUUGAUUCUUUUUCUCUCCAGAUCUUUUCUUUAACCAAGUGUUGUUUAACUUUCUCCAUACAAACAUUUUCCCUGCAAAAAAGCUUCUUACUUGAUAGAUAACUUUCUUUCUCUCUCUCUCUCUCUUUACUGAUCUCUUCGUUAUCUCCGACCAUCUUAUGCAGUAGUAAGCUCUCUUUCUCUCUCUGUUCUUCUUAUUGAUUUCGUUAUAUAAGUUAAAAUCUUCAAUUCUGUUGUGGAAGAACUAAAAUUCAGCAAACCAAUUGACUCACCUUGAGCAGACGCGACGCCGAGAAAAGAAAAGAAAAAAAAAACUAGAUCUUCGAUUGAUACAAUGAUACUUAUGUUGUACUGUUGUUGUUGUGAUUGAAGUUGAGAUCCAUUCAAUAAACAACUUGAUGGAGAUAUAAGCCCAACUGCCCAAGCCCAUAGUUACUGAUGGAGAUAUAAGCCCAACUGCCCAAGCCCAUAGUUAACGAGCUGCUCGGCUCGGCUCGUUUAGAGCUCGAGCUCGGCUCGGGCUCGUGACUAGCUCAAAAACCGGCUCGAACUCGACUCGUUUAGAUAAAUGAGCGAGCCGAGCCGCUCGGCUCAGAUUGCAGCCCUACACCUAAGGGCUCACAACAUGAAAGGUCGACAUGAUUAGACUUCUCGACCUCCAACAACGAGGCCGAAUAUGAAGCCCUAAUACAAGGCCGGCCUACUCAUGGCCAUCAACCACACAGUAGAUCGAAUCACAGUUUUCAGCUACUCAUAGCUCAUAAUGAACCAGAUCACGAGCAACUACCAAAUCCAUAGAGUCAAUUUGAUAAUAUAUGCAAGCAAGGCAAAAUAGCUCAUCAACAAGUUCAGUUUCUUCACCAUAGAUCACAUCCCCAGAAACGACAACAAACAUACUGACUCACUCGUAUUCCUUGGGUCUAAGGUCGAAUCAGCUCGACCUCGAGCUUUGACAAUAGCAGUAAACACGCUACCUGUGUAUUUGCAAAGAGAAUAAAAAGUCAAUCAGAUCAGCGACCUCCUCAAUACGACCUUCUAAGACAUCAAGAGAACAUGGAUGAGACCUUUUAUCAACUUCUUACAAACUGGCGAGUUGCCUCCAAGAAAGAAAGAAGUUUAACCAGUAUUACACAAAGUCACCAUGUACAAGCUAUAUGAGGGCAAACUAUUCCAAAAAUCGGCCGCUGGGUUAUUCUUAAGGUGCUUAAUUUCAAAGAAAGGACAAAUAAUCUUCCAAGAAAUCCAUGAAGGAGAAUGUGGAAACCACUCUAGAGGUCGCAACCUAGCACACAAAGCGAUCUCCCAAGGAUAAUUUUGGCCGCGAAUGAAAGAAGAUGCAAGAAAGUUCGUACUGAAGUGAAAAGAGUGUCAACAUUUUGCCGACCACACCCAUCAGCAUCCCAAUGACCUUAUCAACGUCACAACCCCUUGGCCAUUCCAUAUGUGGGGGCUCGAUAUCAUGGGUCCCUUAAUUAAAGAGGAGAAAUCGGAGAAGAGAUUCGUCCUGGUCGCAAUAGACUACUUUACCAAAUGGGUAGAGGCUAUUGCUCUCAUAACAAACGUAACUCAAGCAGAUGUGAGAAGGUUUUUGUGGGAAAACAUCAUAACUAGAUUCGACCUGCCCAAAAGAUUAGUUACUGACAACCAACGAACCUCAGUUCGUUGGGAAGAAUAUUAAAGCUUUAUACGAACUCUGGAAAAUCGAGCACGCCAAUCAGCUCCUCGAUAUCCACAAAGCAACGGACAGGUCGAAGCAGCGAACAGACAAAUCCUAUCUAACUUGAAGAAAAAGCUUGAGGAACAAGAAGAUCAAUGGCCACAGCAACUCGAAAACUUCCUAUGGGCCUACAGAACUACUCCACGAUCAUCAACAGGAAUCCUACCAUUCAGUUAUGUUAUGGAGUAGAAGCAGUUAUUCCGACUGAACUGACAUUUGGUACGACCAAAUAACUUUUGGUCAAUACCGAGCUCAACAAUCAAGUCUGGUCGUUCGGUAUAGAUCUGGUCGAAGAAAGGUGAAACCAUGCAUCGAUUAAGCUCGAACAAUACCAACAAAGGUUAAAACGAGCUUACAACAAAGGAAUACGACCUUGAACCUUUCAACACCGAUAGCUCGUACUGAGAAGAAUGUUCUACCACAAAAGAAAAACAAACAUUGGGAAGUUUAAUCCUAACUGGGAAGGACCUUACAUCAUUACAAAGGUCCAAAACAACGGCUUCUACCAUCUACAAACUCCAAACGGCGAAGAAGUCAAGAAACCAUGGAAUGCUUAGCAUUUCAAGAAAUUUUACCAAUAAUGUAAGCAUGCAUUCACUGAAUUUAUCAAUAAAAUGAGCUCGUAUUUGCCUUCAUCUCAAUUCACACAUGAAUGGCUAGAACUGGUCGAAAGCAAUCGCGGUGGACGUUCAAUUAUCAAUAACUCCAGUCUGCUUGAUAAUUGCACAUGUGUUUAGUUGACAUCAAUUAUCCAACUAGCACCACCUUUACCUAAGGUCAGAUCAAUCCCAUGACCUAGGUAACGCAUAAUCAAGCUCACCAUUAAUCGACAUCAUUUGAUUUUAGGUAGAAAAUUCAACACUUAAUCAAAUUUCUUUGCUUCAUGUAAACUACCUUUUCAGAGCAAGCAAUAACAAAAGAAAAUGCGAACAAGGUAAAAAAAAAAAAAUGUAAUUAUUUUAUUGCUUUAGAUUCAACCUAACUAUUACAGGAAAGGCGAUCUGAUCGCUGACUAACAUUAAUCAAGUCCUAUACUACUUGGGGUCUGCGUCAACAUCCUCAGAAACUACAACUAGCAAAAUACAGACAUGCACAGAAAAAUAGAAACAAACGAGCAAGAGCACAAUACAAGAAAUGCAACAACCAAAUUUAUUCAAAGCAUACAAGAAGAAAUGUUUCAGUCCGCCCUACUUGCAGCCAUUAUCUCGUCUACCUACCUUCUGAACGAGCUACCAGAACUCCCUGAAAACUAGUCACCAAAAGAUCAGGAGACAUUAUCCACAACAGAAAGUGUUCUAAAGUAAAGUGCACAAAAUAAAUGGCGCAAUCGACCUGCCGAAGCAGAUCGAUCACUAAUAUUUAUGGCCUACAGCUAAAACCAAGCACCAGGUCGCCAAAGACAAGUCUGGUCGCAACCAAACCAGCAUAAGACUAUUGUUUAAAGCCAACAACCACAACAGAGAAUGAUAAGUCCUCAAAAGUGUACAUUUAUCCCCCGAAUAACACCUUGUUUGUUUAGCACUUAGCUUAUGUUAUUGUGUUAUAUCUAUUGAUUAGUGCUUUCUUUUCUAUUGUGUAGGUUUCAUGAGCCAAAAUACGAAUAUUGUGUUAAAGCCCGCCAAAAGUCAAGAAAAGCCACCAAAAAGGUGUUAUUUGCACAAAGAAGGAGAAUCGAUAUUUACACACACAGAUCUGCUAAGGGCACCCCACGGCUGGUUCUAUUGACUUGACUUUAGGUCAAAGUGGGGCGGUCCAAAUCUCAGCCCAAACCGGGUCCUAUUGAAGCCCACAAGUCAGAAUUUCUAUUUUAGGCAUUUAUUGAAGUCCAAUCUUAAAAAGGCUCUACAAGAAGAUCCAGAAGUCUGAUUUGGGCCCAUGAGCUGUCCAAUUGAAGGUCUUGGUCCAAGCUACAACUUAAGCCUAAAAUAAUUAGGUUUUGCUGAAAAUCUAAUGCCUCUAGAAGACCAACACCAGAAGCCACGAAUUUGACCUAAUUUGGAAGUCUUUGUAUGCAAGUAUUAUACUUUGUAUUUACUAUAUAAGAGAAGUAGUAGCUAGGGUUUAGGAUAGUCAAUGCUUGAGAGGCAAAAGUUCAUCUUCUUCUUCUUUUGUAUUGAACUCAAUCAUUAUCAAUAUCAAUCCAUUACUUUUCUUUAUGAUGUUUUGUUAUUUAAUUAUUUAUUCCAUGGUGUCAUCAUCAAGGAUGAGUAGCUAAAUCUCCUUAGGGGGAUGGUUAAAGCACUCUAGAUAAUGCAAAAGCACCAUGUUUGUUCUUAAUGUUCAUUGUGAUUCAAAAUACUUAAUGCUUAUUUACUUCUAUCUGCGGUAUGAGGUAAGUAUGACUAUUUGCAUGUUAUUGUUAUCCAUGUUGUUAAAAUACUAUUGUUGGAGUAUAGGGAGACCUAGCUUUAAUUGUUGUGUUUAUAUUAAUUGAAGAUAUGUGAUAGAAUAGCUGAGAGGUGACUAUUGUAUAUUUGCAGUUUGUAUAUAUUAUUGAAACCCUUUUGUAAUUAAAUUGAAUAGCUGAGAGGUGACGGUUUAAUUAUGAAUUAAUAUGUUGAUUUAAUUAAAUUGAAUAGCUGAAAGGUGACAGUUUGAUUAAUAAGACAUAUUCAAUAGCAUGCAUAAGAGAAGCCCGUUUUAAUUGAGUGGAAUAGCUGAAAGGUGACUACUUGAUUAUUAUAGGUAUUAAUGGUUAAUUGGAAUAGCUGAGAGGUGACUAAUUAAUUGUUAUAGAUUGAACAUGAAGGAACAACAUGUUAUGUUUGCAUGAUUUAGUUUGUGGAUACCAAUUCUUCCCCCUAUGUCAUCAUAAGAUCUUAUUUUCAUCUCUACCAUAUUCUUAAGUUAGGUUAUUUACAGUUUAUUAUUAUUGCAUGUAGGAAGUGGAAUUACAUCUUUUUUUUUUGUGAUUCAUUAGUGGUGUUACUUAGUUAUUGUUUUCAAUUGUGUUUGAGCUAAGAUCUUCACCUUGGAGGUGGGUACGACCCUUUUGCUUGUUACUUGUCUACUUUGAUAAUCAAUAUACAGGCAGAAGAAGGAACUUCAAUAAAAAUAUAAUCUUUUGAUUAGAGGUUACACAAAUAGUCUCUAUAUCAGAGAACCAGAACGCCAAGAAUGAACAAGGUCGAAACCAAGCCCACCCAAGACUAAUGUUUAAAAGCCACGCAAGGCUACCAACCUCGCAUCAACAUUGUUUUUUAAAAAAAACUCAUAAACACUCAAGAGAAGAAAGAAAAUGAUCACUGCUCCGGGACACGCUCUUCCUACUCGACCUGCAUAUCAUCAACAUUCAGCUGUUGCGCAUCUGGGCCCAACGAAGUGUCCUUGGGGGCAAUCUGCUCAAGAUCUUCAUGCCCCUGUAUCUUCUCUUCAAUGGGUGAACCAAAAUCCUUCAGCUGCCUCUCGAGAUUAACACAAUGUUCCUACCACAGUAGCCCGUUAUCUUCACAACAUUUCUGAGUAGUGGCCAAAUCAGACUUCAGGUUGAGCACUUCGAGUUCGAGAGUAGCAAUAUCUUUAUCCUUGUCCUUCAGCUUUAGGUCGCGGAUCAGAACUUCAUUUCGAGCAGAGUUUAGUUGGUCCCUUAGCCUCUUCAAAUCCAGGUCGACCUGAGCCCCAGAUUAAGCGAUACCUCUCAGCUCCUGAAAUGAAGUGUUGAGCUAUAAGCAACAUUAAAGAGGUCAGCUAACCAGCAAAAUAUCUACACUCAAGAAUAUUGAAAUAACUUACCAGCGAGAUGCCAUAAUUGAUUUUCGAUAGCAUAUGCGCCAAGCUCUGACCCUUCACAACAAGAAGCUAGGGUUUGAAAUUGAAUUGGGGAUUUGGAAGUUAGGGUUAUAGAUUUGGGUAUUUUUAAAUUUGUUGAAUCAAAUUGUUAAAAUAAGGGAGAAGGGGGUCAGUCACGUGAGAAAACAUGUGCCUUACUUUGAUGGGUUGAAAAUUUUGUUUAAGUUUUUUGUUUAAAAAAAAUACACGAAUAUAAUUAUUAGCCACGAAGCAGUCCGUUAGCCAGUUUUAGACAAAUUGCAUAACUUGAAUUUUUUUCAAAGUACAUUGAUGAUGUUUUAGCGUGAUUUUUAAUACAUUGUAUAAAGUGGAAAAUUUGUGAAAGUACUUUGUAUUUUUUGAUCAUUUUACCAAAUCUAUAUUAUCAAACAUAAUGAAUAAGAUUUAAGAAAAGGGGGGAAAACAAAUGGAAGAGAAGUGCUAUAACAGUUUGGGUUAUAAUUCAUUUUUUUUUAAUCCAAUUUACGAGAAGAGAAUCAGAUUGGAAAAGAUUUCUAUUAAUUUUGGGUUUUCAACAAAUUGGGUGUGAAAGGGCAUUUUCUAUAUAUCUAUACUAGCUUUUUACCCGUCCGUUGGACGGGGAACUUGAAAUAAUCAUUUAAUAAAUUUUUUUUUUUUUUUUAAAUUGUCUCAAUUUUAUAUUCUAAAGUGUUCCUGAAAAAGCAAUUGUUCUGAAGUUCCUUACACAGGUGCCAUGGGCCUGUGGCCAUGAAGAUCGAAGAUUACUGACAGACUGCUUUGAGAGGAAGUGCAGUAAGGGUUUGGACGAAGCAAAUGACACAAAAGAAUAUAAGAAGCAGUUUGAAGAUUGUGGCGGUGAAUAAAAGAAGCAGCGAUACUGAAUUGCAUAAAUGAGUUCUGCUUUCAAACAACAAAUCUAACUUCAUAAUAUGUAGUAACCACAGCUGACUUGCUAAUCACAAUAAAUCUAAAAGAAUUUCCUAUGCUUGAAAGAAUAGACUGGAUUUGCUGGACUUGGUAUAAUCACAGCUCAUUCUUAAAGCUCCAUCUAUCAGUUCCAAGGUGAAAGUUUAAGGGACCUCCAGCUCAACAUUAAGUUACUGGCAAUUGAAAAUGCUAUUGAUUUUUCCCACCAUUUUUUAUAUUAAUAAAUCUAUUUAUACUGAUAAACUAUAUUUGUUGUGUUUGGAGUUCUUUGUAAGUUGCAUGGAAGGGAAGAAGGUUAAUAGGAGUUUACAAUUUGUGUGUCUCUAUUUCAAUUUUUUGCAAGUUCUCUUAGCUUCCUGUUACAUUUGAGUUUUGUGUUGCUAAUCUGAACUUGGAUAACCUGUCCUUUAAAAUGGCCACAAAUCUGAUAUGAAAUUGUGAAAUUAUAAAACUAAAGAGGUUAACAUGUGUAAGAGAACAAAGUCAGGAAGGAAAAAUUAUUGAAGAACAUCAUCUCUAUUAUUAAUACCGAAUGUGGUUGACAUCAAGAUAUUCAGAGAUAUACAAAAAAUAAAAUAUUACAAUGUAUUUCAUAGAUUACACUUGUAAAGUACAUUCACAUUGCUAGAAGACUGCCCCAUUGUAUUGGUCGUUAUAGCAGCACCGUUUCCCUCCACCUUAUUAACACAUCUGAGAAUAUGAGUUUUUCUCGCUCCUUAAUAUUGUCAGUUCCCAUUGCUAAUCAUGCCUAACCUGUUGCCUUGAUCCUCUUAGUUGCUUUGGCAAACGUAAACUCUUCUUCUCUAAAAAUGGCUUCAUUCCUCAUGGAUCAGGUCACCCAUAUCACCAUGUACGGUAAAAUUGGCCAUACGAAGUUGCCUAUAGGGCGCAGUCUGAUCGUCUCAACCAUUCAACAUCUCUGCAAAAGUUUCUUUACUGACUUCUUUCACCACUAUACACCUGGAAGAAAGAUGAAUUCUGACUUCCUGUACGAGUUUAUAUUGGAAUUCAUUCUCUAAUCUCUCUUCUGGUUGAUGAUCCCCGAUAAUUGAAAGAACAUGGACUUGACAGUAAAUUGUUUUUUUUUUUUUGCCAAAGUUAUAAUGUGGAACGAAACGGGUUAUAUGAACAUAAUAAUAUACCCAAAAAUAGAAAUACCCCAAAGAUUGUUUACGAUCCAAGAAUUCUUAAAAAAACAAACCUAUCGAGAUAUUGUCCCUUUCCACCAAGCUUUUGACCUGCCCUGAUAGUAAAGGUAAACCUCCCUGCACUCACCCAUAAGAGCAUCUCUAAUGGGUCUCCCAUAUUUAGCCUACACAUGGGACGAUUUAGCCUCCACGUAGGUGCCCAGUGGCGUAGCCAGGAUUUCCGGUGAGGGGGAGCACCCAACCUGUAUAGGUAUUCAUAGAAUCACAAAAAAAAAAAAAAAUACUCCAUAAUUGAAUCCAAAAAUAAAAGACUUCCAAAUAUCAAAAUUAUCAAAUUAUGAUGGGAUAAUGUAGUAGCAAAGUAAAAUUAAGUAGUAACCUAGAUUCCUUAAAUAAAAGUAACAAUUAUUUAGGCAUAAAUUAAGAAAAUAAAAUACAAAAUAACCAUAAUAUCCUUCCUAUGAAUGUUAAUUCCUAUUACUUAGUUAAUUAUAUUAAGAGUUAAACUAGUAAAAACAAAAAAAAAUCAAACAAAUUAAUAUUUUUUUUGGUGUACGCAAUAUACAUGUAGGUAUUUCCAAAAAGUUGAGGGGGAGCACUUGCGCACCCUCAACCCCCUCUGGCUCCGCCACUGUAGGUGCCACCUCCUUUCCCAUCACUUUUUUUAGCAGGUCUUCCAUACCUAUAUCAGGGGUAUCCCUAACGCGUUUCCUAUUUUUUUUGCCAAAUUUUUAUCUUCCACGCUGGUGCAACCAGCGUGCAAAUGUUUUUCUGUUCCACGCUGGUCCAACCAGCGUGGAAGACUUGGGCUUCGCGUGGUUGGGCUUGGGGCUGGGCUUGGGGCAGUGGGCUUUGGCUACAGGAUCUGUAAGAUGUUCCACGUUGGUUCAACCAGCGUGGAACUUUAAUGAAGUUUUUAAAAAAAAGGUUCCACGCCGGUUUGACCUACGUGGAAUAAAAAAAAAAAAAAAAAAAUGUUCCACGCUGGUUGAACCAGCGUGGAACAUUUUAUUUUACCCAUUCCUAUAAUCCUAUCUUUGGUUCGAUUUUGGACGAAGUUUUAACAGACCGGCCCACCACAUCCUACGUGGAUAGCCGACUGCUAAAAUUAUAGACGACGCGUUAGGGUGCUGUUUUUUUCGGAAUUUCUAUAAUUUAGGUUUUAGGAGAUCCAUUAGAGAUGCUCUAACAUCCUGCACCUAAAAUGCCAAUGAUCAAGCAGCUGGCUAAAAAUGUCAGUGGUCAAGCUUCUAAGUCAUACGUAAUACGAAUAAAUUCUUAUUAUUAAUAAGUUCAAUGUUUUAUAUUGAAACACUGUAAUCAAUCUCAACACGGUCUCCCAGAGGGCCUUCAAAGUGAAGGGCAUGAUCAUGCAGAAAGUAGAUGACAAAGGUGCAUCAUCUACAGAUGGACAAAUCUCUUGUAGUAGAAUAUAACAAAUAAUUUUGGUUACUACAGAUUAUGUAUAUACGAAACAAAAUCAAUAAUUUUUUGGUUUGUAAAUGAUACCUCCUCUUUAGUUCUGUCAAAGACAUAUGAAGUUACCCCCCCCCCCCCCCACACACACACACGGAAGCUUUGUUUGAUUGUUAUCAACCAUUUCCUGUUUCUUUAGCUUAUGCACAUGAAAAUAUUGGGGUAAUUAGUUCUAAAUAUCGUCAAUUUACAUAUAAUCUGAAAUUAUUUUGAAGAGAGCUUAGCUGACCUUUGUAAUCUGCAGAGAAGCAUUAUUGCUCCGACUUGAAGAUGCAUAAGUUGUAAAAUGUAGGGAAGCAUUAUUGCUCUCACUUGAAGAUGCAUAAGUGGUAGAGUCUUCUGCAGCCCUUUUCAUCUUCCUAUCACCCUACAUUGGAGAAUAUAUGAAUAAUUUGAUUAAGAUGAAAUACCAAAAAACCACUAACAUAACAUGUACCUCAAUGGGUUUGGUAAAUUGAUUGGUCUCGAUUUCUUCAUUUACAACCCAAACUUUGGAUGUUGUAAAUGAGGCCACAACAUCUUCAUUGCGUAUAUUGAAUUCACUGAUUUUUAUUACAAAAACAAAUUCUAAUCCAACCAGUUUAUUCCCUAUAUCUUUAACAACAGAGGUAAAAUUUUAAUUAAGUAAAUAAGAAGGAGAAACAACUAAAUAAUGUAUGGUAAGUGUACCAUUGUAUUUAAGUCAAUCAUUUUUGUGACAGGAAGCUUCAGCAAACGUUCAACCUCUCUAUCAAAGAUAGAUAUUGAAGCAGAUUGUGUACAAUCUCGAAUCUCGACAUGUAUUUAAUACCUAUUAAUCCAAAUGAUGGUUUAGAAUUAAUAUCUAAUUUAAUUUAAAUCCAUAGAUUUGGAAUUCCAUUACUUUGCAACUGGAUAAUCAACAAAGUUUUUGCAAUUGUUACACCAAUGUUUGCUGCCUUUACAACAACUUUCUUGCGACAAUCUUUGUUAUUGCAAGAGAAAUAGAAGGGCUCAUAAUCGUAUAUAAUCUUAGAAAUGACAGUCUUGCAUGUGAACUUGUCUCCCUGUAUUUUCAGUUAGUAUUAUAAAGUUGUUCAUUUACUAAAGCUGACCAUGUACAAAAAUUCAGUUACAACUUACAAUGGCUGCAUUUAGUACUGCUUGCACAAUCUCAACCAAAGUUUUAGGUAACAACACAAAGAAUUAAACAAAAGAUUAUUUAGGUAACAAUAAAUUGGAAGGGCAAGCAUGUUAUUUGUGCCGAACAAAAAAUGAUUGAUAUAAUAUUCUCUUAGUAUAAACAACAACAAAAAUAUAAGUAACCCAAAUUUUAGUGAAUCAAUCCAAUAAGAAAAAUUAAAAUUAGAAAGGCAAGCAUCAACAUGUGAUUUGUAAACUUCUCUUUAGUGUAAAUGGAAUCAAAUUAUAAAGGACCCAAUUGUACUGAAUCAAGUGAGUAAGGAAAAUUAACUCCACGUGUACAUGAUUGUAACUAACAAUCUUAAGUCGGGAAAGAAAGCCAAAUUGUACUGUAGGUAACGAUAUUUUAUUAUUAUUAUUAUUAUGUAAAUAGUCGGAAUUUAGGUAUGGAAAAUAAAAAGGGAAAAGAUUUGUAGCAAGAUAUAAUGCCAAAUCAAAUAAACAAACAAAUAUCUAAUAAUUCGAACACAUAGAAAAGAGUAAAAAAAAUAACCAUUGAGACUCAAACCUUUCCAAAAUUGGCUGUUGUUUUUUCUGCAGAUGAACGGGAAGACCAAUUGCUGAAGAGGAGAAAAAGAACAGGAAAGUGACGAAUUCAUUUGCUAUUAUUUCCUUUUAUAACUUUCUAAUAUCGACGAAUCGUUACAUGUGUCUAUUGGGUAAAUUAUGUCUGUUGGCGAAGAUUUGCAAUGAUAACUACCAAAUAAAGAGAAUCACGACCUUUGGAUAUGCUAACAAAAAGGUGCGACGAUUGGUGAAGAAGAUAGGAUCCAUGGCUUAGUAACAACGAUUGGUGAAGAAACGAUUGGUGAAGACGUUUGUACAGAUGAAAAUAGGGAGAUUUAGUAAUUUUUGAAAAGUUGCAGGGAUAAAAUUGGAGCUUUGAUUUUGCUGUAGGGAUAAAAUUGGAGCUUUGAUUUUGCUGAUGUGGCUGCGGAAUUCUGUAAUAGUUGUUAAGAGUUUUUUGCCCUUGGGUGUUGCGCUUUAUAUUAAAAGAAGAAUAAUAGCUACACCCAAUAGGUCCCACACUCUCUUUCCUAUGUGGCACUCUAUAUGAUCAUCAAGGUCUCACAAAUUUUCUCCCAUAAAACAAAUAAAAAAAAAAAAAAUUAUACUAAUUGGUUCUAUAACAAAAUUUUGUAUUUCUCUACAUUUUUCCCCAUUUUCCACUAAAACCCAAAAAUCUCUACCCACUUUCUCUACUCUCCUAAUAAAGUACAAACACAAACAUUUUAAUAAAAAUAAAAUCAAAACAACAAAUAUACUCAAAACACAAAUUAAUAAUCAAAUAUAACUAAACAUAAUAAUUUAUUAUAUGUACCUAUAAAUAAAUAAAAAAUUUAAUAUAGAUAAAUUUAAUAUUAUAUAAAUUUAAAAUUUAUAGAAAAUUUUUGUUCCAAAAUCUCUAAUCCCAGUGUGUAGCACGAGGUCCACAGCUAGUCAUAAUGAAAUAAUUGUCAGAUUGGUUUUUCUUAAGCAAUUUGGUCAGAUAGGGUUUUUGACAAAUCUCUUGGGUGGCCAUAAGAUCUCCCAAAACCUACCUAAGACUCUAAGAGCCCAAUACUAUCUGCUUCCUCAUUUCCUAAUUCCUCUUCCUCAAUCCUACAAGCUUCGCUGGUUCACUUCACCAAUCAUCAGAAAAUGGCAAUGAUGGUAUUCAGGAUUUCUAUUUUCUAAUGAAAAAAUAAUUAAUUUUGGAAUGAAAAAAAUCCAAUUUGUUUGUUGAUAUGAUAUACAGGUGAUGCAUUUGUUGGUGGAACAAGAUGUGGAUUGAGACUACCUCCACCUCCAACAAAAGGAAUAAAGGAAUUGAAGGUAUUUCCAUGUGACUUGGUGAGUACGAUAUUGAAUUUUGGUAUUUUGUUUGAGAGAAGAAAAUUAUCUUAGCUGUCUAAAAAGAAUUAGGGUUAUAAAUCCCAAACAAUUUAGAAAAGAGAAAGACAAAAUCAGAAACAGAGAGAUCGAGUGGUGUACAGAGAAGUAUGUGAUAUGAUGUAGAAACAUUGUGAUUGCUAUCCUUACUUCCUUCUCUCUAUCCAGUUUCAAUGUUAAAUUUUCAAAGUCAAUGAAUCUUACUUCUUCACAGCCUUGAUUCAAGGCUUGGGUUCUUGAUUAAAACAACUAAUAGACUUCCUUGCCUUUGAAUGAUCUCAACUAUUAAACUCAUAAUUUGAGUUUUCCUCAAAUGAAUUUAUUCUUUCAGAACUGUUUUGAACUUCAAUUUUUUCUAAGAUUAUUUUCUAUCUUUCAUUCUUUCAGAUCUGGUUCUACUCAUUGUUUGGUUAGUGCAUAAGGAAAAAAACUGGCUUGGUACAUAAGGUAAAUAAGUAAGAAAAACCUUUUGAGUUCAAGUACUUCUUAAUUUGCUGUGUGUGUGUGUGUGCGCGUGCGCGCGCUUAGAUAAACAAAAUGUUUUUGCAUUAUCAGUUUUGGAUGAACAGAAUGCUGACUUUUUCUUUCUUGCGGAGUGUGUACUUAUGAGCGCAAUUUGGUGUACAUUAGUAACUCAACGGGAAAUUUUAUGUGCUAUCUAAUUUUGAUAACUACUGAGAUUUGAUAUUUUGUUUUUAUGAAUCGCUUUAUGUGGUCCUCAUUCAAGGUUUUAUCGUAAUUUAACAUAUUAUUUUUUAUGGGUUAGAAUGUUAGAUUUUGAUUUUUGGUCAAGAGGCCCAAUGAUUUAAAAUAUAAUUAAAUCUAUUAUCUAUUUUUAAAGAAAAUUAAUUAUCUAUUAAAGCAGAAAAUAACCCUAAGAAUAUAUCUCUUCAAUUAGGCUAUCAAUAUUGAAGAGAAUUUUGAUUGAGUUUGGGUAUAUGUAUGUAAUCACGCAAAAGGAGACCACCCAUCACGGAUAUAAUCAAACCUAGUUGGACUAAAUCACAGGCAUAAUUAAGCCGAGUCUAAAACAACUUAAAGUGGACCUAAUCCCAAAUAUAAUCGAGUCCUACCCAUGCAUUGCAUGGGCCUGAGCACUAGUCUAUUGUACUCUAUUAAAGCAGAAAAUACCCCUAAGAAAAUAUAUUUUCAAUUAGGCUAUCAAUUACUCCCUCUGUCCUAAAUUAUAAGUACCUUAUUCCAUUUUAGAUUGUCCCAAAAUAUAUGUCGCUUUUGACUUUUCAACCCAUAUUAAUUAAGUUAAAUGGUUCAUUUGUCUAUACUACCCUUACUUUGAGAUUAGAGUAAUUAUUCUAAUGAAAAGUUAGACCUUGUAAUUAGAAUUAAAUAGGGGUAAAUUAGAAAAUAGAGUUAGUAGACAGACAAUAAAUGAUGUUUCCUUAAUAAGUAGAAUAUUCCAAAAGGUACUUAUAAUUUGGGACGGAGGGAGUAGAUUAAAUUGAUAGCCUAAUUGAAGAGAAUUUUGAUGAACUUUGGGUAUAUUUGUAAUUAUGCAAAAGUGGACCACCCAUCACACAUAUAAUUAACCCAGUUAAACUAAAUUAAGUGUAUAAUUAAGCCCGGUCCAAAACAACAUAAAAUGGACCUAAUCCCAAGUAGAAUCAAGUCCAACUUGUGCAUUGCACGGGCCUAAGCACUAGUACUCUAUUAAAGCAGAAAAUACCCUAAGAAAACAUGUUUUCAAUUUGGCUAUCAAUUAGAUUGAAUUUUGAUUAAGUUGGGUAUAUUUGUAAUUAUGCAAAAGUCGACCACUAAUCACGGAUAUAAUCAAGUCCAGUUGGAUUAAAUCACGAGCAUAAUCAAGCCCAAUCCAAACAAUUUAAAGUGGACCAAAUCCGAAAUAUAAUUAAGUCCAACUCGUCAUUGCAUGAGCCUUAACACUAGUUAACAAAUAUUAUGAGAAAUCAACAAUUUUUAACGUGAAUUCUUAUAAAAUAAUAUUAAUAAAAAAAUUUCAAAAAUAAUUAUUUCACAAAAUUCAAUAAAUUAGUAUAAUUGUAAAUUUUACUGGGUUAAAACUCGAAGGGUCACCAAAAACGGAUAAACUAAAAUUAACCCGUGCGUAGCACCAACUAACACAUUAGUGAAAAUAAUUUCAGUAAUUUGUUAGCGUUAGAUUUUACCAUUAUGAAAUACAGUUUGGUAGAAUGCACUCCAAAGCUAGUUCAUCACAAGCUAAGAGUACUUGCAACUUCUAAUUAUGACUGCACUUUUUCUUACCUUGCCUUGAUUCCGUGUUAUUUCUCUGACGCUAAUGUCCAUACUUGCAACCAAUCGUUUUUACGACGGUUAGAAGUAAGGGUAUUGGUUUUUGUUGUGUAGUUUAGUCCCACAUAGCUUUGAUAUAAAGUCUAUGUGAUUUCUCUCUAUAUAUAGAGAGAGAAUUAGCUUUUUGUAAGUUUAACCUAAUAUAUCAAUAUUAUCAUUUCAUCUUUUAUAUUUCUAAUUGGUAUCAGAGCCAAGUUAGGUCAUGGUUUUCGGCCACUAGGAAGGCCAACUCAGGUGUCGGUGGCCGAAGAUCCGAGGAAGAUUUUCUUUGUCAAAUGUGUUCUUGUUUUUGCUUUUUUUGUGCAUUGUGUGGUUUUUUUCCUGAGUACUGUUCACGAGUACUAUUCAUGGCCAUUGUUCAUCAAGUACUGUUCGUCUGAAGUACUGUUCACAAAUCACUGUUAACCGAAAUUUUUAUUCUAGUUUAGGUUUAGGUUUGUUUUUUGUGUCAUUGGUGGGCACCGCUCUUGAUGUCACGCGCCAUUCUUUCUGGCCCUCUCUAGGGCCUCUUCGGCGCCGCCAUCAGUUUAUAGCUUUACCGUUUCUAUCCAACCCUUUCAACGACCUUAUUUGAACUUUGUCUAUUUUUAUCGUGGAGUAUCCUAUCUUCGUCGAUUCAUUCAAUAACAAAUAAGAUGGUUUGGGGAAGUAAACCCUAGCCACCGAAAAGAUCAUGCCCAUAGCAAUCACCACCACUACAUUCGGCGUCUUUCUUGGUUAAGCAGCUAGUAAUCCUUGCUUCUUUAACGUCGAAACAGUUGGACAUCUCUGCAGACGGUUCUUCUCGUAGUUGGUCAUCCUUGCCAUUGAACAUCCUUCCCGGUGUCGUUUUGAAGAUACUUUAUGGAAGACAUGAGAGAAUUUCUUUGUAUUUCAAGCUGAUAUUCAGAGUCUGAAUGCUCAGCUUGAGGGGGAGUGUUGGAAGUAAGGGUAUUGUAGCCUUUUUGUGUGUUGUUUAUCCCCACAUAGCUUAGGUAUAAAGUCUAUGUGAUCUCUCUCUCUCUAUAUAUAUAUAGGGAGUUAGCUUCUUUGUAAGUUUAACAUAAUACAUCAAUAUUAUCAUUCAUCUUUUAUGUUUCUAAUAGGACUCCCCUUGUUGUAAACCAUGUCAACUUGUGAUGUAUGUCCAUUCCACAAUAACAGAUCAAAAUUGUGAUAUUUCUUGUUCUCAUUCAGAUCCAUUUCUUAUAUGUUCUAGUAAAGUCUUAGGCAUGGUCACGUGCCCAUCUACAACUAUCAGACUUCCUUCUUGCCAUUAUUAUUUAUUUUUUUUUAUUUAUCAAAAGCAUUUCUAAAUUCUAAUUGUAAAUUUAGGAAAUAAUUACAUUGCAUAUAUGCUAGUAAAGUCUCCUCCAGCUCUUGUAUGUUUUGUUAUUGUGUUUAAUUUAACUUUUUCUUAAAUAACAUGUUUUCUUUCUCUCAAACAAAAUUGGUUUCUUCAUUGUGUAGUAAGUGUAAGGAUUGCUAAAGGGAGUGCAACAAAGGAACAUCCAACAUAAGGUAAAUAAAUAGAAAAAUAUUAUUUUGAAUUUUAGGUGUCGAUUUUUGUUUGCAUUCAACUGCUUUUUUUUUUCCUACAAAUUCAUACUUUUAUAAUGUGUGUGGACAAAAUCCUAGUCUUUGCAUUAGAUUUGAUAUUUUUUUUAAUAAAAUAAUUCUCGGGUUUUGUCGGGUAUUUGGGUAAAAUCUCGGGUUCGGGUUUAUUAUUUAAACCCGAUUCAGGUUUGGAUUCGGGUUAAGGUUGUCUUAUAUAAUUGGGGUUCGAGUUCGGGUUUGUAUGAACCUAAACAAAACCUGACCCGUUUUUAGCCCAAGGCUUCUAUCUUCUGACGUGGACGGAAGUGUAAAUAUAUAAUUGAAUCUAACACUAUAAACUUGAAAGAAAUUUGAUAUAAAAAUAGAACUUUGAUAGUUGAAUGAAUAACUAAAUACAAAUUUCGUUUUUAGAGCUCUUUAUAUAGAUAACUCUUGAUAACUAAUCUAGAAAAUGACUAAAACUCCUAAUACAUGUUCCUUGAGGAUCCUAAACAAAGUAGAACUCAAAAGACUCUUCUAGACUAUUACAAAGACACCUAAAUAGCAAAAACAAGACUUAGAAACGAUGUUCAUCUUAGACCAGGAUUUCUAAACCAAUACUAAGUAUGAAAUAGGAAACUGUCAGUCAACUCAAUUAAUCUAGUUCUGAGUUGACUAAGUCAAGAUGUUCUGCAUCGUCCUCGAGUUCUCGCAAACACGUUAAAGAUUAGAGAAAUGCGUAUAUCUUUUGAAAGAUUUACAACAUAUGCAUUACAUUCAUGAUUUAAUUAUAGCCCGUACAUUAAAAUUAUCAAACCCACCCAAUCCGCUCAAAUUACAAGAAAAAAGGGGUUAGCCCAACCCACCCCCAUUAUUUUGUAUUAAUCGGCACGGGCGGGAUCUAUGAUCCAAAUCCUAUAAUUGCGAAAAAAAAGUAUCUAAUACAAGUAAAACCUUUUGCGCACCCACUAUUUGUACAUGUAAGUGUAAGUAGUAUAGAUUUCUAUUGGUUAAGCCAGCUAAAAAACCUAGCCGCUAGAAUGAAAAACCUAACCAAUUGAAAUCCCAGCCACCGGCGUCGAAUUUCGAUCGCUGGUGGCUGGCCUUCUUCUCUAUGUGAUCUUCUUUCCUUCUUUUUUCUUUUCUUUUAGUUUUUUUCUAGUUUUCUUUCAAGAUGAAUUUUUUUUUCUUACUUUUCUACAUCUCAAGUUAGUUCAGAUCUGGAAUUUAUUCUAGAUCCAUGUUAUGGCUUUGAAGAAAAGGUUGUUUAAUUAUGGAUUUCGUGGUUCUCUUCAAGCUUCAAGAAGAAAGAUCUUGUUUUUCUUUGUAGGUUUUAUCUCAGAUCUAGUUUGGUUCUUUAUAUGGCUUUCUUGGUCACGGAUAUUGGUGGUGGUCCUUUUUCUUAUAGCCUCAUUGGUGGUUGAAGCUCGUGUGUUGUAGCAUUUUUUCUUUGACUUCCUUGACUGUGUUUGAUUCCUAAUUUUUCAUCUUAGUUUGUUUUAUUUUUUUCAUGGAAAGAUGUCACCUUUCUUCGGCGGUUUGAUCUAAUUAAGUUUCUAACUAGAUUAAAUUGGGUUGGGUUAACCCAAUUCGCCCAAAUUGAACCCACUUCCUCUUGAAGAAUUAGCUUGCUUCAAGAUCAGCUAUAGGCCUCUGGUCCAUGUAUCUAUAUUAUCUUAUAAGUAGCCUACCAAAAAAGCCCAACCAAUUCUACCAAUCAGGUUUCGUCAUAUUGUAACUGAUGUUCGUCUCCGUAACAAAAAACGAAAAAUCUGAUAAACAUAAUUUCGUUGUUUUAUCUCCUUAUUCCAUGUCAUAAAGUUAAUGGAUCCUACUAACCCGUGCUACAUACCUGGAUUUGAGAGUUUAUAGAAAUUGAAAUUUUGUGACAUUCAAUUUAUUUAUACAAAAAAUAAAUUAUUUGUAUAUAUUUGAUUAAUUUAUAUUUAUGUCUGGAUUUUUGGCUAUAUAUAUUUAUAAAUUAUUAUUUUUUACUAUAUUUGAUUAAUUUAUAUUUUUGUCUGGAUUUUUUAUAUUGAUUAUUAGUUAGGAGAGUGGAGAAACAAGGUAGAGAUUUUUGGGCUUAGUAAAAAUGAAGAAUGAGUAUAGAAAAAUACAAAAUUAGUUAGGGAACAUAUUAAAUUAAUUUAAUAUUCUACCCAAUCAGAUUUUUACUGUUUUAUUUUACUUUUUAAAAAAUGAAAAAAAAUUGUGAGAGUUUUGAGAUCAAUUAAGAUGCCACUUAAGAAAGAGUAAGUGGGACCCCUUGGGGUUCAGCUAUUAUAUAGACUACGUGAAUAUGCACGCACAGUUCAUGUGCGGGAUUCUUAUGUAUGGGGCAUAUCUGAGUCAUAAAGAUUCUAACUCUUGCCACGUGUCCUCAAAAACCUAGUUUGCCAUGUACAAAUAAAAUUAUACAUUUUCCUUCCCACGGGGACUUGAACCCUCACGAUUUCAAAAGUCGACGGAUUUUCCUCUUACUAUAAAUUUCAUUUUUGUCCUUAAAAACCUAGUUUGCCAUGCACAAAUAAAAUUAUACAUUUUCCUUCUCAUAACUAAUACCAAGUCCAUUUUACCAUUUAAUAUAUUUUUCAGAGAUAGAACGUGCUUGACACGUGCAAAUUCACUCAGUGUUCUAGUAAAGUGUCAGAUGUGGCUACUUUCCCAUCUACUACUAUUAGGCCUCCUUCUUUCUUGCCACUUUAUUUUAUUUAUAAAAAUAUUUUUUUUAUUGCAAAAUUAAGGAGGAAUUACAAUGUAAGUAUAUAUAUUCCAUAUAUGUUCUGGUAAAUCUACUCCAACUCUUCUUAUGCAUAAUUUCAAUUUGCUUAAAUAACAUUACUUAUUUUCUUUCAAAACAAGUCAAAUGAUUGUUUAGUUACUGCAAAAAUUGCAAAGAAAAAAGUGUAUGUUGUAAGGAAUUAAUGUGCUUCAUUAAGGAGUCUUCUUUGUUUAACAUGAUAUUAUAAUAUUCAUUCGUAAGCUAACGUCUUUCUUUGAUUGGUCUAAACUUUAAAACAACUCCUGCCACACUACUUUAUAAUUUUUUUAUUAACCAAAACUAAGGGUCUCGUUGAUUUCGUAAAAUUAACCUGAUAAAUAUUAUUAAGGAUAGUACUGUAAAUUCACUAGAAAUUAGAAAAACAAGGCAGUGUUUCUCUCAUCUAUUUUAUCACGUGAUCUCAGCCAAUUAUUCCCUUAUUGUCCUCCCAUUUCUCCAGAUAUUUUUGGGAAACUAAUUCUCUUCUCUAAUCAAACAUAUCCUAAAAAAAUAUUAUAAUCAAAGUAUCAAACAUAUCAUGUAUUCUUGUUAGGGUGGCGCUCAUCCUAAUUUUCUAUGUAAUCCCAUUAUAUGUUUAUACUUUAUAUUCAAACUAUUAGUGUAACUCAUUUUGUUCAUAUUUAAUAAAAUAAUAACUUACCAAAAGGUUUUUUUUUCCCGCUAGAAACCAAAAGAAUAAAAAGCACAGCCAAGGAAUAAACUUUUGAAUUUGAGGUGAUGGUUUUAUUUUGCAUUCAAUUGUUUUUCUGGGUUUUUUUUGCCAUAUAUUACAAACUAUAGUAGAAUAUAUAUAAACCAUCAAACUUGUUCAAGUUCAUAUCUUGUUGUGCCAAUUACUUUAAAAGGUUAUCCUUAUUCUUAUGUGAUACAUUUAUGUUAUGUUAUAAUGGUAGGGAUGGCUGAAACAAUUACUGCAAUCAGUACUCUUCUGAGUUGCUUUUGUCGACAAAAUUGUGUAAAUACGGCAAUUUUAGUACGAUGCAAGCAUAUGAUUAAUCCCAAGAAAGAAAUUAAGAAGUUGAUAAUGAUGAAGACAGAGUUAAUUGCCUUGAAGGAUGACGUAAAUGGCAAGUUACACAUGGCAAAGAUUGACCAAGGGGAGGUUCCUACACAUGUUGUGGAAUAUUGGCUAAAUAAUGUGCAACGUAUAUUGGGAGACACAGAUCUCAUUGAAGGAGAGUUUAAAACAUCAAAGAGGUGCUUAAAUGGUCUAUCACCUAAAUGUUGUUCAAAUAUGAAUUUAGGACAACGUAUCUCAGAGUUGAUCAUAGAGGGAACUACACUUACUCUUACUGGUAGUCAAUUAUUAAAGGACACUCUCACAUCACAAGUGCCAAAGAUUGGAGUUGAACUACCUGCACAAAAAUUGGUUGGAGAAACUACGGCUGAAAAAUCUUUAGAGAAGGUUUGGGAACUUUUAAUGGAUGGUGAAAGUAGGGUGGUUGGAGUGUAUGGAAUGGGUGGAAUUGGUAAAACCAAGAUGGCGAUGGUUAUAAAUAAUCGAAUCCUUGCAAAGCCUGGUCAGUUUGAUAAGAUUAUUUGGGUCACUCAAUCACAAGUUUGGGAUAUUCGUGGAUUACAAACUGAUAUUGCAAAAAAGGUUGACUUGGAUUUAUCAAAUGAACAAGAUGAAAUAGAAAGGAUGGGGAGGUUACAUGAGGCGUUGAAACGGAGGAAAAGGAUCCUCUUUAUUUUUGAUGACAUGUGGCAAGAGUUUCCUCUUGGGAAGAUAGGUAUAUCCGAACCCACUACAGACAAUGGAUGCAAAGUAUUAUUAACUACCAGGAAGAAAGAAGUUUGCAAUAAGAUGGGAUGUCGUGCAGCCAUUGUUAAGGCAGAAACUCUAACUGAAGAAGAAGCUUGGGAGUUGUUUUUAGAUAAAGUUGAUGAGCUUACUCCUGAAGUAAUGCCAACUGCGAAGUUGGUCGCUAAGGAAUGUUCUGGUUUGCCACUGGCAAUAAUCACAGUAGCUGCAGCUAUGAGAGGAAAUGGUGACAUUGGAGAUUGGACAGUUGCUUUGAAUGAUUUGAGGAACUUUAGCAACCGAAUCAUAGAUAGCGAAGACAUUGUCUUUGAACGUUUAAAAUUCAGUUAUGACCGGUUGCCCAAUGAAAAACUCAAAAAGUCCUUCUUAUUUUGUUCUUUGUAUCCUGAGGACUAUGAAAUUCUAGCAAGGGAAUUGGUUGACUUUUGGAUCAUAGAUGGUAUGGUCGAGGGAAGAAAUAGACAGGAGGAGUUUCUUGAAGGCCAAUUUAUAUUAAAAAAACUAAAAGACUAUUGCUUACUUGAAAGUGUUGAAACUUAUGAUGACUACUACGGCGAAAUGUCUGAUGCAGUGAAAAUGCACGAUUUGAUAAGGGACAUGGCCCUGCGUAUCACAAACAAGUAUUUCAUGGUCAAAGCUGGUUCACUAUUGCAAGUAUUACCAAAUGAAGUGGCAUGGGAAGAAGUUCUUGAGAGGGCUUCUUUUAUGAAGAAUAGGAUAUCAAAGGUUUCAAUCCAUCCAAGAUGCCCCAACCUCUCCACCUUAUUUCUUGGAGGCAAUCCUUUCUUAAGAAGUAUAACGCACGAUUUUUUUGUCCAUAUGCAAUGCCUCAGGGUACUUGAUUUGCGAUGUCAUUUGGACAAAGCAAAUCAUCAUUUAGAAUCGUUGCCAGAUUCUAUCUCUGACUUGGUGAAUCUACAUGAUUUACGUUUAAGUUGGUGUACGAAGUUGAAGAAAGUGCCUUCACUAGCUAAACUCGUACUAUUGAGAAGGUUGGAACUUAAUAAUACUGCCAUUGAAGAACUGCCUGAAGGGAUGGAAAUGUUAAUCAAACUGAGAUGCCUUAAUCUCCAUGCGGUAAAAUUGAGAGAGAAAAUUCCAAUGGGAUUAAUAUCAAAGAUGUCUGCACUACAACAGUUGUACCUUGGUGGCAUAGAAUUGGAUAAAUUGUAUGACGUUGGAGGCAGUGAAUCUUUUGCAAAUGAAUUGCUCAGCUUGAAAGAGUUGGAGAAUCUUAACACCACUUUUCAUUGCUUGUCUGAUUAUGUUACCUAUGUUGGAUCGUCCAAAUUUAAUGGGUUGAAAUGUUUUGUUCUAACAGUUGGAGAACUGUGUUAUUAUCGUGUAUCUCAUCUAGGUCCUCCUCCAAGGGCAGCAAUUCAAUUUAUUUACUCACCUGAUGAAGGUAGUGCUCAAAAUGCCCUUUUUUUCCCCAAAAACACUAAACGUGUUGAAAUAAAUUUGUUCAAUGACUUGACAAGGUUAAAUGAGUUGGGAUGGUUAAUUAAGGAGGUAAGAGAGCUAAUGGCAUUUGCAAUCAACAUGUGUAACAAAAUAGAGUGUAUAUGGUGGUGGUCUUCGUCAGAAGAUGUAAAAGAAGAAGAAUUGUUUGCCACUGGUACUUCUUCUACUUGUUGGCUACAAUGCCUGGAAAGAAUAGAUAUCUGGAAAUGCCCCAAACUGUACACGCUUUUUAAGGGGAUUCCAGUUCCUCCUUCUAGUACUGUUCCUCCUUUUUUCCGCUUGAAGGUGUUGACAAUCAAUGAUUGCCGUAGUCUCAAGAAUGUUUUAUCAUCACCUAGGUUGUUGCAGCUGCUCCAAAACCUUGAAGAGAUAAGGGUCAUUCAAUGUGACGAAUUAGAGGAGUUGAUAGGAGAAGGAGGACAAGAAGAAGAAAACAGAAGAAAUGUUAAAACACCCAUCACAGUUCAACUCCCUAGGUUUAAAAAAUUGGUG